AAAAACUGAGAAACAAUGGCGGCUGAACAAGAAGCUGUGAGCAAUAAGCGAGUGAUUCUGAGCAACUAUGUGACAGGUUUUCCAAAAGAAUCAGACAUGAAGAUAACAAGUGGAUCAAUAAAGCUGAAGGUAGCAGAGGGUUCAAAAGACACAGUGCUUUUGAAGAAUCUUUAUCUUUCUUGUGAUCCUUACAUGCGAUGGCGUAUGAGCAAGCUUGAUAGACCUUCUUUUGUUGAUUCAUUCCAUCCUGGUGAGGUUAGUUCAUCACGACCCAUCUCUUGAUUUUUCCAUUUGGUUUAAGUUUUGGUGAGUUUCUGAGUUCAUUUUUACGGUUUUGGAAUGUGAACACAAUUUUGGUGCUGUAACUGUCAUUAAUGAUAUGUAGUAAUUCAAUCAGAAUUUGGAUUUAUUGCUGAUAUAAGCUCUGCUCAUUUUUUAAAAUCUGGUGUCCACAUGCAUGUUUAUAAUCUUUUUGGUUGAGAUUGUAUGUAGAUUCAUACAGUAUUCUUGUCUAACAAUUACUAACCACAACCUUAUAAGACGAUCGAAACUAAGCUCAGAUCAAUAAUCCAAUCAAGAGAGGAUCCUAACUCAAGCUUGUCAUGUAUGGGAAUAUUUCGGUUAAAUUGUAAUCAUGAUCAUGAAUCAUGCAGGAAAAAGGGAAGUUGAGGUCAAUUUAUGCACUUGAUGGAAUUAAAGAACCAAUAUUUGGUUUACAUUAUUUCUUAGUAAUGGUGACUGUGCCUUCUAGCAGAAUUUUACAUGCUUUAUGUUCUAACUAAGCAUCAAUAUUUGAUCGUGAUCAUUAGCGAGGUCAAUAAUUUUUUUUGACUAUUUUUUCAACAUAAGGUCGAUUUGUUGAAGAACAAGUUUGGAUUUGAUGAUGCUUUUAACUACAAGGAAGAGCCAGACUUGGAUGCAGCACUCAAAAGGUCAGCUGCAACAAACGUUUCAACUCUAAUAUUUCAUUUUAAUAUUACAGAGCUUUGGUUGAAGUGUGUGAGUUGAUCCCAAAAACGUAACUUCAUCAGUGUCUCUGUUUUCAAAAAACAGGACAAAUAGAAAUCUGAUUUUGCUUUAAAAAUUUCCUAGAUGCUUCCCUCAAGGAAUCGACAUAUAUUUCGAAAACGUUGGGGGAAAGAUGCUGGACGCAGUGCUACUCAACAUGAGGCUCCGGGGCCGCAUUGCGGUAUGCGGUAUGAUCUCGCAGUACAACCUGGAAAAACCUGAAGGCGUACACAACUUAGAGCAACUAAUCGGGAAACGGAUUCGCCUGGAAGGAUUUCUAGCUGGUGAUUACUAUCACCUCUAUCCAAAAUUCUUGGAACUGGUCAUUCCUGCAAUCAGAGAAGGAAAGAUGGUGUAUGUGGAAGACAUAGCCGAAGGACUCGAGAAUGCUCCCGCAGCCCUUGUCGGGCUCUUCACUGGCCGGAACGUCGGCAAGCAGCUAGUUGCAGUUGCUUAAUACAAAAGCCAAUAUGGAUGAGCUGAGAAUAUGUGACUGAAUCCAUUGUCCGGUUAAAAAUGUUUGCAUGUGUUAAUAUGAACUAUCCUCGUUUAGUAAUGGGAUUGGAUUGUCCUGUCAUUACUUAAUUUUGUUGAGCUAGGGCAUCUGUGUGUAAAGUGUCAAAUAAUUUGGAUUCAGACAAGAACUUAGUGGAUGCAUUGAAGGAUUUUUUUUUUCUUUUUUUUUCUUUUCCAAGAUAUUGAGAUAAUGAUUGGAACAUUUGAGGGAUAAGAUCAAAGUAUCUUUUAGGAUACCUCAUUGGUAAGUAUUAAAAUAUCAAUUGCGUCUUUAUAAGGACAGGUGGUCCAGGAUCAAGAUUAAUGAAGAACAAAUUACAGCCAUUAGAUUAAAGUGAAAUUAAAGCUGUGAAUAGUACACACUUGUUGUGUGAAAAACUUAAAGGAGACAUUCCUCUGUACAAAAUUAACUUAAUAAUAUGUCCUUAUUCAUUCAUUUGAUUCUUCCUUCUCAAUCGUCAUUAAUAAAUUAAUAAUACAAAUAAGUCCCCGUUAAAGGUUAAGUCCCCGAUUGGCUUUACCGUCACGCUCAUGCAUGAUCAAAUUUCAGUUAAUGCUGACGUGAUCGAUGAUGAUUUCAUUGGGAGCUUCCUUUGUCGUGGCACUCUCAUGUUCACAUUUAUUUUUAGGGUUAAUAAUAAUAAUAGCUUCUAGAAACGCUUUGUUUUAAUGAGAUUUUAUUUUUCAAUUAGUGUAAAAAAAAAAUAACAAAAAUUAAUAAAAACUGAUUAUUUAAUGAUGUUCGGCCCUCGAGACAGUUUAUACUCGUAAUUUAUUGUUUGAAAAUUAUUUCAACAUAUGAAAAACAAAAUUUCCCAAAUUUACAACGAAUUUUAAAACAAAAUUUCGAAAUUUCAAAGAAAAUUACAAAUUUGACUAGAUUGACUGGAAAAAAUAAAAUAAAUAAAAUCGUCAAAAAUCCUGGGACCGACCAUUUCAAAAGUCUGGCUCUUUUCCAGGCUUUCCUUCCAAAUUUUCACACACAAAAUUUCUCGUAACUGCUACACAUUAAACGCGUUUCACAUUUUCACUCUCUCUCUAUAAAUAAAUACGCACAUAAAAUUUCUCACCAUCCAAAAACAAAAUCUACAUAAAAAAUGGCGGGUGAAGAAGCAGUGAGCAACAAGCAGGUGAUUCUGAGCAACUACGUGACAGGGUUUCCCAAGGAAUCAGACAUGAAGAUAAUAACAGGCUCAAUAAACCUGAAGGUGCCAGAGGGCUCAAAAGACACAGUGCUUUUGAAGAAUCUUUAUCUUUCCUGUGAUCCUUACAUGAGAGGACGUAUGAGUAAGCUUGAUAAGCCUUCGUUUGUUGCCUCCUUCAACCCUGGCGAGGUCAGUUUCUUCAAUUCCCACCUCUUGGUUUCAUAAUCUUUUAUGGUCUUAGAGGUGUUUUAGGGAAACAUUAUGGUUUUGGUUUGUGGGCAUGAAUCCUUGAAGAGAGUAUGAUGUGUCGGACUAUGUAUGCAAUAAUAAGUAUAGGGGAUCUUGUUAAGAGAAGAUUCUCUUAAUGAGAUUAAAACUUUUGUCUUAUCAAAACAUAUGUUUAGUUAUGAUAUCAUGUUAGCAUUGUUUCUGAGGAUUUGAUUGCUUGCUUUGGGAAAGGGAUGUUGAGGUUACAUUAUUCAGUAAUGAUUUUUUUUUUUUUUCAAAUGUUCAAAUUAUGCAGCCUUUGAGCGGAUAUGGAGUGUCCAAAGUGUUGGAUUCCACACAUCCAAAUUAUAAGAAAGAUGACUUGGUCUGGGGCUUAACCAGUUGGGAGGAGUACAGUCUCAUCCAAUCACCACAACAUCUGAUUAAAAUUCUGGAUACAAAUGUGCCUCUGUCAUACUAUACUGGGAUUCUUGGUAAGUUGUUACUAAAUUUAUCGAUGUCCAGUUUGCAUGAGCCGAAAAUCGUGUUUUAUUCAAUGCAAUGAGAUAGGGAUAUAUAAUAUGCCUGCUUGAACGUCUAGCAUUUUGAAUUUUCAACAAUUGGUCCGUCUGUAUGGGCAUGUAACUGAAGGAUUUCAUUUGAGGAAUUUACUAUUGUUGCUGAUUAUUGGGUAUUUUUCUGUUGAUUCUAGGUAUGCCUGGUUUGACUGCAUAUGGUGGUUUAUAUGAGCUUUGCUCUCCUAAGAAAGGAGAGUAUGUCUAUGUAUCUGCAGCAUCUGGAGCUGUUGGUCAGCUAGUUGGGCAAUUUGCAAAGUUGGUUGGUUGCUAUGUUGUUGGAAGUGCAGGAAGCAAAGAAAAGGUGAGUUUGCACUCUUGACCCUUAAGCUCCAAAUAAAAACAUAAUAACUUCCAAAAGAAUUGUGCAUGUCACAGUAUUUGUGUUCUAACUGAUCAUGGAUAUUUGAUCAGUAGUCUAGUAGAAACAGACCUAUUAAUACAUAGUUGAUUCGUCCUCAAGAAAAUUUAGUUGAUAUAUGCUUGAAAUUAUAUUCUGUUUUUUAUGCCAGAUUAUAUUAUUAGAUGACUAUAUUAACCAGAUUCUUUUUCUUUGUGCUGUUUCUCAUUUGAUUACGUUUUCAACAUUAGGUCAAUCUGUUGAAGAACAAGUUUGGGUUUGAUGAUGCUUUUAACUAUAAGGAAGAGCCAGACUUGGAUGCAGCUCUUAAGAGGUUAGCACGAAUGAAUGCUUUAACCACUUUUCUCACUUCAUUAUUACAAUGCGCUGAUUGAUGUUAUCUGCGUUGGUCCUGUAAAUGUAAAACAGGACAAACAGAGAUCACUGAUCUCAUUUGUUACAUUGAUAUUUUCUACCAUUGCCAUACAUAGUAUAAACUUGGAAUGAAGAUAGAUAUUCAAUUCAGAGGGAAAUUUUCACUUGCAGCUAACAGAAUCAUGUUUGUGAUGUAUGUUUAUUUAGGAAAUGAAAAGAUUCGUUGCAUUAUUUUAUUCCAAGUUUGCUGAAAUCAUAUUUGUUUUCCCAGGUGCUUUCCUGAAGGCAUCGACAUCUAUUUCGAAAAUGUUGGGGGUAAGAUGCUUGAUGCAGUCCUACUCAACAUGAGAAUUCAUGGCCGCAUCGCCGUAUGCGGAAUGAUCUCACAGUACAACCUUGAGAAGCCUGAAGGCGUACACAACUUGAUGCAAGUAGUUGGAAAACGAAUUCGCAUGGAAGGGUUUCUUGCCGGUGAUUUCUACCACCAAUAUCCGAAAUUCUUGGAACUGGUUAUGCCGGCAAUCAAAGAAGGAAAGUUAGUAUAUGUCGAGGACAUAGCUGAAGGCCUGGAGAAAGCUCCAUCAGCCCUAGUUGGGAUAUUCACUGGGCAGAAUGUUGGAAAACAACUGGUUGUAGUUGCUCCUGAAUGAUAUGAUUACAAUAUGCUUUAAAAGUGGACUGUGCCAUGCACUUUAAAAGCUUAGUGAAGAUGCCUCUGUCUUAUUUUUGAUACAUGUUAUGUUUGUUUGAUCAAGUUGUACUCAGCUAUAAAUGAAAGAUUCAGAACAUGUGUAUGGUACUGGUUUCUAAAUCAAUGAACGCUUUGAAAUGUUAGUGUUUUCACUGGAGAAUGCAGUUUAAUUCAUCAACAAUGUCCCAACAAGACCCUCAAGAGUGGUAGCUUGCAAAGUUAAUUACUAUAUUUUUUUCUUUCCGAUAUAUUGUUCAUUUCAUAGAAAGUUUACAUUAAUUAAAGUCUCAUGUUUCUUUGAAAGGUAAGCAAGUGUGAAUGUUUCUAUCUAGAGCUGGAAAAUGCAUUUCCGUGCAACUUACUUGAUGAAUGAAGUUUUCAUCUCUGACCUUGAUGUUUCCCAGAGCUGCAUUCAUUUCAGCUGAUCUAUUUCAUUUCGUUUGCAAAGGAGUGACACAAAACCUCCUUUGUUAAGGGGAGAAUUUAGAGUGGCUUCAACGGUUAACAAAUAGCCUAAUGUAAGACUUAAUCAAUUUCCUGCCCGGUUGCUUACCACUACUUAUCACUUUAACGUAUGAAACCUAAUCAAGAUUCCUUUGAUGAUUUUUCUAUUUGCUAAUUGAUUGAUAAGCUCUUCAGUGAAGAUAUAGUGUCCGCAAGCCAUAUGUUGAUAGAGUUAGAGUUUGCAGAAGCUACUGUACCAUAUGUUGUUAGAGGCGGUAAAAACGGAGGCAGAUCAACACACAUUUAAAUUUCAAUGACAAUUUACUGGAAAUAAAUUUCCUAUGACCCUACAUGUGACUAAUUGAUGAGAACUUGACAAUGACAAAAGAAAGUGUAUGAGCUUUGCAGGCUGGCUUGCCAAUAUUGACUGUAUGGCACCAUCCGCAAGUAAGUAUCAUUACUGUUUAAUCAACUUGGUGGAGUCCACUGGGACCACCCCACAUGGUCAGUCUUAUCUCUACUCCUAAAUUUUCAAUAUUCCAUACAUCAAACCAAUUGCAGUUUUGAUAUCAAAUUCAAUUUUAUUGUUGGUGACGAUUCUGAUUCCUUUCAUUCUCACAAAACGGAACCAUGGUUGCUGUUGGAGAGAUCUUACUCAACGCCUUCCUUGAGGUGUUGUUUGACAGGUUGGCUUCUCGUAAUUUGCUCCGCUUUGUGCGUCAACUCCAAGGCGGGGUUGAUUCGGAGCUCAAGAAGUGGGAGAAAAAGCUGAAGAUGAUUCAGGCUGUGCUCUGCGAUGCAGAGGAGAAACAACUGACCGAUGAGGCUGUGAAGAUGUGGCUGGACGAACUCCAAGACUUAGCUUAUGACGCUGAGGACAUUCUUGAUGAGUUUGCUACUCAAGCUUUGGAAAGCAAGUUGAUGGCGCAAAACCAGGAUAGCUCUGGCCAGGUUCUCAGUCUCAUCCCGGCUAGUUUGAAUCCGAAUGCUAUUAUGUUCAAUUAUAGCAUGGGGUCCAAGAUUAAAGAUAUGACUAGCCGGCUGGAGCAACUCUGCCAAGAAAGAAUUGAACUUGGACUGCAACGGCUUACUGGAGGGGCGUCAUCAACCGCUGCUGCUGCACACCGGAGGCCACCCAGUUCGAGUGUCCGAACAGAACGUGAAGUAUUUGGAAGAGAAGAAGAUAAGGCCAAAAUUCUUGAUAUGGUCAAUACCCCAAGUGAUCACGCCAACUUUGUUGUAAUACCUAUUGUUGGAAUGGGCGGGAUAGGAAAAACAACUCUUGCUCGGGAGGUCUACAAUGACAAGGCAGUUGAGGAUUCCAAGUUUGACGUAAAAGCAUGGGUUUGUGUCUCCGACAACUUUGAUGUUUUCAACAUUUCAAAGGCACUUCUCGAGUCAAUCACCUCCGCAGCUAGUGAUCUCAAGACUUUAAAUGAAGUGCAGGUUCAACUGAAAAAAGCAGUGGACGGAAAAAGAUUCUUGCUGGUCUUAGAUGAUGUUUGGAACGAGGACUACAGCUUGUGGGUAGACUUAAAAGCUCCGUUCCUGGGUGCUGCACCAAACAGUAAGAUGAUCGUCACCACACGCAAUUUAAACGUUGCAUCAACAAUGGGACCAAUUGAACAUUAUAAUCUCAAGAGUCUGUUAGAUGAUGAUUGCUGGUCCAUUUUCAUACAGCAUGCAUUUGAAGGUAGAGAUCUUAACGCAUAUCAAAUUUCAGAAUCAUUCAGCAAGAAAGUUGUUGGCAAGUGUGGGGGCUUGCCUCUGGCAGCAAAAACGCUCGGGGGCCUUCUGCGCACAACAAGGCAUGAUGCGUGGGACGAUAUAUUGGAUAGCAAAAUAUGGGAUUUACAUCAACAAAGCAGCAUUCUCCCUGUGUUAAGAUUGAGUUACCAUCAUCUUCCGUCUCAUUUGAAAAGAUGUUUUGCUUUUUGUGCCAUCUUUCCAAAAGAUUAUGAAUUCACUGAGAAGGGGCUAACUUUCUUGUGGAUGGCUGGAGGUAUUAUUCGACAGUCAAGAAACAGUGAGCAGCUGGAAGAUUUGGGCAGCAAGUGCUUUCAUGAUCUAGUGUCAAGGUCUAUUUUUCAACAAACCAGCUCUGGUAGUUCUAAAUUUGUAAUGCACGACCUUAUCCAUGAUUUUGCUGAAUUGGUUUCUGGAGAGACCAUUUUAAGGUUAGAGGAAUCCACCAACUUGUCGUCAAGGAGAUUUGAAAGAGUUCGCCAUUCUUCCUAUGCCCGUGGUUGGCUUGAUGGUAAAAAUAAGUUUGAGGUUUUCUAUGAAAUUGAACAUCUGCGAACAUUCUUGCCAUUCUGCAUAAGAGGUGGCCCUAAUACUAGUUACGUAACUAGUUUACUUCUAUAUGAUUUGUUGCCGAAGUUUAAAAAGUUGAGGAUGCUAUCUUUAGAAGGAUACCAGAUUGGUGAGUUACCAAUUCCAUUUGAAGAUUUGAGACCUUUAAGGUUCCUCAACCUUGCCGACACUGACAUAAGAAGUUUACCCGAGUCAACAUGCAAAUUGCUGAACUUGGAAAUUUUGAUAUUACGAAAUUGUUCCCGUUUGAUAAAGCUUCCGCCCAAAAUGAGGAAUUUGAUCAAUUUACGCCAUCUCGAUAUAAAAGGUGCAAAGCUGCUGAAGGAGAUGCCAUUGGGAAUGAAAGCGUUGAGGAGUCUUCAAACAUUGUCCAAUUUUAUUGUAGGCAAGGGUGAAUCUGCAUCUGGUUUGGAAGAUUUAAAAAGUUUAAACUUUCUUUGUGAUGAACUCUGCAUUGCUGGAUUAGAGAGUGUGAAUAGUCCACAGAAUGCAAGAGAAACCGCAUUAUGCGAGAAGCACAAUCUUGAAGCAUUGACUCUAGAAUGGGGGUCUCAAUCUAACAGUCCUCGGGAUGCAGUACUAGAGGAGAAUGUACUUGACACUCUACAGCCUCAUAAACGUAUAAAAGAGCUGGCAAUCAGGCACUAUGGUGGUGCAAGAUUUCCACUUUGGAUCGGACAUCCUUCGUUCUCCGAGAUGAAGGUCCUUAAAUUGGAGAACUGUGACAAGUGUGUAUCUCUGCCAUCGCUUGGCCUGAUGAAUUCACUUAAGCACCUUGCUGUUAAAGGGCUGAAGAAACUAAAAAGCAUAGAGUCUGCGGUCUUUCCAUCAUUGGAGAUUCUAAGUUUUGAGAAUUUGCCAGAAUGGGAGCAUUGGGACACCAAUAUCAAUGGAAAUGUGCACGUUGAAAUAUUUCCUCAUCUCCAAGAACUUUCCAUUGCAGAAUGUCCCAAACUCUCUGGAGAACUGCCUGAGCUCCUGCCCUCCUUGGAGACACUUGUCGUUAGUAAAUGUGAACAGUUGGCAGUUCCAUUGUCUUGCUAUCCGAUGCUCUGCAGAUUAGAAGUUGAUGAGUGCAAAGAACUCGUGUGCGGGACUCCAAUUAAUUUUAAGUUGGUAAAGUCUUUGACCAUUUCAAAUAGUUCAUUAGACAUGAAUGGAUGCAAUGGGAUGCUAUACCAUGGUCCAGCUGGCUCUUCACUGUCUAAACGCAUGACUAUUACAAAUGUUUUGGAGUUUGGAAAAUUAUUGAAGCCUGGAUUUCAGAUAUUAGAAUAUUUGGUAAUUGGCAAUUCUGAACAGCUCAAGUCAUGGAGGCGGGCCAGGAGACCUAGACGUUUUAAUGAACCAGAACACGGGCUAAAAAUUCUCGCUUCCCCUGAAGAGGUAACAAUUGAAGAAAGUUGCGUAAAUCUUGUUUUGUUUGCAGAGAUCAAUUUCUUUCCCAGAAAUCUGCGCUCUCUUCUAAUUUUCAAUAACAUACCUUUAAAAUCCUUACCCGAGGAAAUGAUGGACAACAAUUCACAACUGGAAAGCUUGUGCAUCAGAAAUUGCGAUUCUCUAACAUUCAUCACAAGACACAAGCUACCUUCAUCUCUAAAAAGUAUAGCAAUUAAGAAUUGUGAGAAAUUGCAACGUCCGUUCGAUGAUGAAGAGGAUGCUUCUUCUUCUUCUUCUCCUUCAUCCUCGUCUUCCCCAGUGAUGCUGCAAUGCCUGACUAUAGAGAACUGCCCAGAGCUCACCAGUUUAUCAUCGGGAAUCCAAUUCCUUGAGGCGCUUGAAGUACUCGAGCUAAGGGAUUGUCGAAAGCUGGAGUCAUUACCGGAUGGCCUGCAAAAUCUUAACUGUUUACAGAGCAUUCAUAUAGAUGGAUGUCCAAGUCUUGUUUCCUUCCCAGAAAGAGGGCUUCCCAACACCAUUUCGAGAGUUUACAUUCGUGGUUGUGAGAAGCUUGAAGCCCUGCCCAACGACAUGCACAAACUCAACUCUCUCGAAACUUUAAACAUACGGAAAUGUCCAAAUCUUGUAUCGUUUCCAGAGGAAGGUUUUCCUACCAGUCUAGUAUCACUUACAAUUGGAUAUGUCAAAAUGUAUAAGACACUCGUCCAGUGGGGGUUGCAUAGGCUUACCUCUCUUACACACCUCGAGAUUAUUGGAUGUGAUGAUGAAGCAGAGUGUUUUCCAGACGAGGAGAUAGGAAUGAUGCUGCCCACCUCUCUCACUCAUCUGCAACUUUCGGAAUUCAAAAAAUUGAUAUCUCUCUCUUCGACGGGUUUUCAGAGCCUCAACUCUCUUCAAUCUUUGUGGAUAUUGGGUUGCCCAAAUCUCACAUCAUUCCCAGAGGUGGGCCUUCCAUCCUCACUUUUGGAAUUACACAUUGUCAAGUGUCCAAAGCUUAAAGAAGUUUGCAAAAGAGACCAAGGAGAAGAGUGGCCCAAAAUUGCUCACAUCCCUUGUUUUGAGAUAGACUGGAAAUUCAUAUACGAUCCAGAAUCAGAGGAGUAGAUUCUCCUAUUAAGGUCAGUUGAUUUUUUAUUAUCCGUUAUAACAAGCUCCUCCUUUUUUAUUUUUUUAAUAAUAAUUUAGCAGUUCUAUAUAAUUAUAAAUCCUCCGCCCUUAAUUGAAAAUGUCACUCAUUUGAUUCCAUUUUCACAAGUCAGAUCGUAUGUUGAGGUUAUUUGCAUUUUAUCGGUGUUUAUUAAGGUAAUUAGUGCGUUAUAGGUUGAUUACUCACAGAUUAAGUUAUAACAUUUAUCUUAAAAUUUAAUGUCAUAGACAGAGAUGAUUUUUUAAUCCAAAGUUUUCUUGAUUCACUUCAAUUAGCAUUUUCUUUUCCCCAGAUCAGGCACGCGGAGAGUUCCAAUCAAGAAUUGGAGCAUGUGAAUGGGAUUUUUGUGAAAACAUAAUGAUGCAGGAACUGGGAUCUCAAAGUCAACAGAAUUUUAUUUACUCAUUGACUUUUCAACUCCUGUGGUUAUUUAUGGGUGAAAGAAAGAUAAGGGCAAUUUCAAGAAAUUUGCAAACUCUGUCAAUUUCUUUUAAUUGUACCAAUUUGUCGUUUAUGCUUUGGUUUUAUUUUUUCAGUUUUGUUUAUUGCUUAGAUGGUAGCAUACUUGAAAUGAUACAUAGCCUUCACCGGCAGAAUUCUAGUCUUGGCUUUCACCUCUCUAACUCAUCUCAUCUGUUCCUAUUGGGAUUCCAGAAAUUGAAAUUUCUGUCAUCAAUGGGUUUCAAAGCCUCACCGCUCUCCGAUUUUUGUGGAUCGGGAAUUGCACAAAUCUCACAUCAUUUCCAGAGGUGGGCCUUCCAUCCUUGCUUUUUGGAAUUACAAAUUGGAAAAUGCUACUUUCCCCGGGUCAAAUCCCAGGUCAAACCCCGAAUUAAACCAAAACGACACCGUUUUGGUUUCUUUUUUUUGUCCUUUUUGCUUCCAUGAAACGUGGUCGUUUCAGCCAAACAAAAGCAAAUGUCUUCGUUUUUUACUUCCUCUCCUCUUCGAUUCUCCUCUUCGUUUUACCAACAGACCAACAGAGCACAAAUUGCAGAAGUCACUUGCACAUCAAUUCAUCACAAAAUGCAGAGUUUUACUAAAGAAAAAAACGAUGCCGUUUUUCUUGCCAAAUAUUUUCCAUUUCCUUCGUUCAUGGAGCUCCUGCCACCGCCAAAGCCAAAUAUUUCCCCUUUCAUUUCCUUCGUCAAUCAAGCUCCAGCCACUUGCUUCGUCGAUCGAGCUCUAGCCACAGCCAUUCGCAAAUCGCAGUCCACAAUCCGCGCCUGAAAUUGUCAUUCACAAUCCACAACUCACAACCAUGACUUCACACAGAGAACGACUCCCACAGCCUUCACGCGACAGCGAGAUCGAGCUCUUUAACAUUCGAAGAACAUAUCUGGUUGCGAAAGUUGAUUUUUAAUUUGCUUGCGAGCUGAGAUGCUUCGAAUUCUCUGUUUUUUUUUUUUUUUUGUAAAUUACUAAGCCAAAAGCUUUGCAUAAGCUUCUGCUUCGGUUUUGAAGAUUGUGAAGCUGGAAAUGUUUUUUCCCUUUUUAUAAAUGGAUAAUUGAAAGUUUGAACUUUACCUUCGUACUUUCUUUUUCAUAAAUUGCUCAUGGUGCAGUCUCAUUUUGCUAGUUGAAGAAACAGUUAAGGGGGUCUGUAGUUGGGAAGAAAGAGGAAACGAAAAUGAAAAGAAAAAGCUUAAGUCUCGGUGCGUUCAAGUAGCAUUUUUUCAAUUAAAAAAUUUAAUUCUCAAAACGGCGUCGUUUUCUAAAGUUUCGGGGUUUGACCCGGGAUUUGACCCGGGGUAAAUAGCAGAACUCUUACAAAUUUACAGUUGUCAGAAGCUUGAAAAAGUGUGUAAAAGAGAUCAAAAUUCUUGUCUUGGCUUUCACGUAGGGAUGGCAAAAAUCCCCACGGGGACGGGUACCCUCGGGGAUUUUCCCCAUUCGGGGAGGGUAUGGGGAUAAUUUCAUACCCAAUUUCUUAUUCGGGGAGGGGACGGGGAAAUUUUGUUACCCAAUUUCUUAUUCGGGGAGGGGACGGGGAUGAGGUGGAAUCCCCAUCCCCUACCCAUUUCCCCAUUUUAAUUUUUAAUUUUAUUUUAAUUUUUUAAAAUUACUAGUAAAUAAAUAAUAAAAUUUAAAUUAUAAAAUUAUAAAUAUUGGUAAAAAUAAAAAAUAUCAAAAUAUUUAUAUUAUUAAACUUUUAGGCUUAAUUAACUAAUUAAAGUCCUAAAUUUUUAUUUAGGACAUUAAAAAGACCGAGUAGAUUCUAUUAGCCCAAAAGUUUUUUAUUUUUAAUAUUCUUUAAAUAUUUUAAACUUAAAUCUAUUUUUUAUUUAUUUUUAGAUGUUAUAAUUGCCCACAUCGAAUCACAAUUUUAAUAUCUAAUCUAAUCUAAUCUAAUCUAAUAUUUACUCUUGAUUUGCUCCGAUUUAACUAUUGUGUUGUAAAGGGAAUAGUCCACAUUUAUAAAGUGCCCACGCCACCAUUAAAAAAGUUAAUUUUGAAUCUAAAUUCGAUUUUAUUUGUAACAAUUUUGUAUUAAACUAUUAAUUUGUUCAUGAUAGUUUGUAAAAGAAGUUUGUAUCCCUUGCAUGCUGUGUUACUUACUAAUUUAAUGUAUGUGACUUUUGUAAUGGAUAUUAAUGUAAGAUAUAUUUCAAAUUUUACUUUUAUUUGAAUUUUUUAUUUUAAUAUGAUUAACUCAAAAUCGAAAAAAAAAUAUUAGUUAUUCGGGGAUCGGGGACCCUCGGGGAUCCCCUGUUAUUAUUCGGGGAGGGGAUGGAGAUUCGCUCAAGUAAUUCUGACGGGAACGGGGAGGGGACGGGGACAUACGCAAAAUAUCGGGGAUGGGUACGGAGAGAUUGGUCCCCUCCCCUCCCCUCCCCAUUGCCAUCCCUACUUUCACGGAUAGUUUUUAUCACGUAACCACGUGAGGAAGCAUGUGCUGGAGCCUGAAUUCAGUUAGUUAAAGUUUGUUAACCACGUGUCAACAAACUGUAUAAUCUGGAAAAUAAGCUAGCUAUUGAAACAGGGUAUAAAGGCUGGUUUUUCAGGGACUAUCGAGAGCUGAUUCUAGAGUCUUGUAGAAAGAGGUUUGUGAGAGAGAAAGUGUCAUCUUGUUCUCUGUAAAAUCCGAUAUAGGGCUCUGUAACGAUCUCCAUUGUUGAAUCAAUAAAACUCAUCUAGAAGCUUCUCUCGUGGACGUAUUCUGAGCAAUCAAUGCACAGCUGAACCACGUAAUAUCUUGGUUUCUGUGGGUUCUUGUUUUGGUUCUUGAUAAAUUCUUGUUGUUGUAUUGAGGUGUGAUUUGAUCUGUCUAAACUUGUAUCUGUGCAACUUGAAUUGAUUUGAUGAUAAGAAUCUUGGGCAGUGAUCAGAUUCGUUUAGUUUAAAGAACAAGCUGAUUACUACCGUACCUAUGCAUGGACCUGCAACCUGUGCUGACAAAACUGAAACUGUGAGUUUGAGGUAAAAAGGUCCUGGACCCUCACAGUUUAACUUUGACUUGUUGCUUUCUGGAUAAACAUAUUUUAGAAAUUUGCAAUUUGUUGUUAAUUAUGGUAUGUGAUUUUCUUCUUUGUUUUCGCUUUUGUAGAAUCUACCGUAUUACAUAUUGGCAGUUGUAUCUGAGGUACCUUUUUUGCAUUUAACUUGCCUUUAUCUGUUUUGCCUGUUACUUAACAACACAAACACAUCAUUUCCCAAACAUUUGGAGAAGCAUCUCAAGAUGCUUAACAAACUUGACAAACUUCAAGAUGCUCCCAAGCCUUGAUUCUUCACAAUGGAAGACCUGUGAGUACACUUAUGCCCGCAAUUAUUGUGAAGUGAUUGCAACUUUGAUGCAGCGAAAUGGUUUGCUGAUGCAAAGCUUUAAAACUGUUAAGAAUUACCCUGCAGGCUUGUUGGAUGUUGUAUACUCCAAAAGCCACCAACACCAAGAACUAUAACAGCAAGACUAGGUUUGCAUUAAUUCAAUUAGCUGAAAUAAUGAUGCAAAUGGCACUAUCCAGCUCGACUUAGAGACUAGUCAGGUCAAUCAUCCAUUUCAUCAACAGUUAAUGUCAGGAUGGUGGCUAGCAGAGGAAACAAAGGAUAUGUUGGAAUCAAUAAGAACAGUGAGAAGCAUGAGAGGAGCUUUGAUUAUAAGUAGGCUCAAUGAACUAGUGUUGGUAAGUGGUAAUUAGAGCAAUUUGUGAGCUUAGUAGAGUUUCAAUAUUUUCUGUUUGGGAUAUAGUUGAUAAGUUGAUACUCUGAUUAAGAAGGCUGAUUAUAGUAGCUGACUAUAUUAACCGGGUUCUCUUUUUUGGUUUGCUGUUGUUUUUUCUUUCAAUAUCUUUUUCAACAUUAGGUUUAGCUGUUGAAGAACAAGCUUGGGUUUGAUUAUCAGGUAAGAACAAAUGAAUGCUUUAACCAUGUUUCUCACUUAUCACAAUGCACGGAUUGAAGGCGUCUGAGUUGAUCCUGAAAAUUUGAUGGAAACACUUCUCUGUUUUCAUAAAACAGGACAACCAGAAAUAUCUGAUCAUGCCUGAGAAUUCGUCGCAUUGAAAUUUUCUACCAUUGCCAAACAUAGAAUAAACCAGGGAUACAUUAGCUUAAGACUCAAUUUUGAGAAGGAAGUUUGUACUUGCAGACUAUAAAAUCAUGUCUACCUUGUAUGUUUCUGUGGGGAAUGAAAGAUUCUGUGUGUUCUUUUACUUCGGGUUUGCUGAAAUCACAUUUGUUUUCUCAGAUGCUUUCCGGAAGGUAACAACGUCAAUUUCAAAAAUGUUGGGGUAAGAUGCAUCAUGCAGUGCUGCUCAACAUGAGAAUUCCUGGCCGCAUUACCCGUAUGUGGAAUGAUCUCACACUACAACCUUGAGAAGGUUGUAAGGAGUACACAACUAGAUGCGAGUAGUUUCAAAAUGAAUUCACAUGGAAUUAUAUGUUGCCGCUUAUUACUAUCACGUCUAUCCGAAAAUUCUUGGAAUUUGUCACCGGCAUUGAAGGAUUGUAUACGUGAAGACAUAGCUGAUGGCCUUGCGAAAGCUCCAUCAGCACUUAUAUCGGAAACAGCUGGUUGUAGUUGCUCCUGAGUGAUAUGAUUAAUAGAUACUGUAAAAAUGAACUGUGCCACUCAUAUCGAAAACCAGCUGUUAUGAUGUGUUGGUAAUGUGUUUGAUGCUUGUUUGAUUUAUGUUGUAUUCGGCUAUAAAUCAAAGAUCAGAACAUGGGUGUGUUACUGGUUUCCAAAUCAAAAAAUGCCUUGUGAUGUUAGUGUUCACUGUUUUCACAGGAGACCAGGUUCCUUGUUAAUGAGUCAAGAAGAAGACAAGUGAAUCCAUGUCUGAGUUCAAAUGUGUCUUUUCUAUUUCUUUUACCGACACAUUUAUUUUGAUUUCUUUGACUAGAUGACUAAAGAGUAAAGAUAGAAGAAAUCAAAACAAAUGAGUCAGGUCCCACCUGGCCCAUUGGCCCAUCUCUCUUCCAGCCCAAAUCACUCUCAUUCGCUAUUUUGCCACCUUCAUUUCACUGCCCUCAUAGCUCCCCGUUCUCACGGUGGCUGCCAUCUUUCUGCUCACGCAUCUUUCAAAUUUCAAACCUAACAGCAUUCUGUUGCUCUGUCGUGGGUACUUCAACUUCUGUCACCUUCGGUAAGCUUAUCUCUGCCCCUCUGUGGCUGUCUCUCUCUUUACAAUGUUGUUUCUUAUUCAAUUUACAGAAUUGAAUUCACUGUUCAGUUUAUGGGUUAGAUUUUUAUUCAAAAUAAUAUUAAACCCACCUCAGAUUUUAUCCCGUAGUAUGUAAAGUUCAUGUAAAGUUUCCACCUUUACGACCGUCCGAUGUUUAAAGUUCUAAUUUUGUUCCGGGGUUUUAUCAGUGUAUUUAGAAAUUAUGUCCAUUGUUUUUAUGAAAAUGGAACUAUUUUCAUUUGUUUAUUUCUCUAUGGAUGAGAAAACCGGUCUUUAAGCUUUAUAAUCUUUAUUUGAUUAUUAGAUUUCUCUUUUGUUAUUCAGAUGAGUUCAGUUUUCCAAUUCUGUGCAAUUGUUUUGUUGCAUUUUUCAAUUUUAUCUUUUUCCAAUGCGACGUUUAUGUUUGUAUUUUCUUAAAAGUGGACAUGAAUUUUGAUUUGUUGUUGCUUUGUUGUGAUUGAGUAGCCAAUUUUAAGUCCAUAUUAAACUUUCUCAAUUAUUAGUUGAAUUAUUUGGAUUUGAAAUUUUAAGUUCUUAAAACCGCCAUUUUAACUUGUUUGUUAAUGGCUCUGUUGAGCUUCAACAUUUGUUUUCAAGAACAAAAUUGAUGGAACUAUAAACCUUCGUUUCUCACAUGCGGGCAACAUGUUAUGUUAGACAGAGUGAAAUCGACAGAAGAAACCAAAACAUUGGAAACAGAGACACAGAGAGAGAUCAGCAGAAAUGGCUUGGUGCAGAGUACGCUCAGCUUCAUCGACACUCUUCAUUAGGCUUCUCUGCCCUUUCAUUCUCAACAAUAACACUACUUAACGCUAUCAGUCCUGUGGUACUCUUGUUUCUAUACUUGUGGAAUCUCUUUUUUAAUCCUCAAAGUUUGAAUUAAAUUAUAUUGCCUCUGUAUUUCUGCAGAAACGGAAUCAGUUGGUGAUGACAUUAAUUCUCAAGUUGGAAGUUGCAUGCCACUUUCUUGUAUGCAUGUUGGGACCAUCAUCAACAACAUUGAGGUAAACUCAGCCAAGAUUUUGAAAAAGAAUCCACUUCAAGGUACUGCUUAGUUUCUGGAAAUGAGAAAUUGAUUGACACUAGACGUCAACCCACCAUUGAUACAGCGUCUAACCCCAGCCAUGAAGCUAAGAUGCUUAGGAAGGCUGGUCAGAGCCAUUGGUUGGGCCAAAGACCUGUGAUUAGAGGAGUACCCAUGAAUCCAGUUGAUCAUCCUCGUGGUCGAGGUGAGGGACAAGGCAAAAGUAGUGGUAAGCAUGGAAGGUGUUCACUUACACCUUGGGGCAAGCCUUGUAAGUGGUGUAAAACUGCAUCUCGUAAGAAGAAAAGGAAAUUUAGCCGUCUGAUAAUAUUGUCCUUCUGUGCUAUUUAGCCUUUUUAAUAUUGUUACAUUGUUUGUUAUAUCUUUGAUGUUAGUUUUGGACCAGCUUUUAACUGAUCCAUAAUGAAACUGAAGUUUAAUUUUCGAUUGAACUUUUACUGGUUUUACUCCUGUCAUUUCAAUUUAGCUUUGAUUUAAGAUGCUGAAUUCUGUGAUUGGAGUAUGUAGAUUGGAAAGAGAGAUAUUAUGGGAUAGAAUAUAGAUUUUGUGUUUUGGUUUCUCAUGUUUAGAGAUAUUCUGUUCUUUUUCAUUUAUUCAAUUUGGUUAGUGGUGAUCUCUUAAAGAGUUAAUGCAUGUGUGUUUAUGUACUUUUCUUUUGGCCUUGAUUCUAUUUCUUGGGGAGUUUAUACAGAUUCCUCUUUUAUGCUUCACAUGCCACAUGCCACAUGAAAGAUGAAAGCCUUUUGUGUGAUUAGAAUUGACUUGCAUCAUAGUAACUUUGAACCACUGUAACAUUUUUAUAAUAGCAGUCUGCGAUCUCCUUGAAGGAUUCAAAGCAUUUUUUUUGUUAGUCUUGGCUUGCAUUAAAAUCCUUUAUACCGAUUGGUUGGUCUCCUUUAAAGCAAUUCCUGUUUUAAGUAAUCAAAAUCUUGAUUCGGAAGUGUGUUUUAGCACUACUAAAGGUUCUUUUAAAUACUAAAUUGAUUGUGAGUCUUCUAUAUCAUCUGAUUGAAAUACAUGAAAGCGAUAUUGGCUACAAAAGUACACUUGGGGUUGUUUAUAAAGUCUUCAACAGGAUUUUUUUUUCCCCUUCCUCAUGGUUUAUUUUUUAGUUGUUGUUUAACAAAACACUUAAAAGGUUCUCUUUAUAGGUUUCUGAAAAUAAUUUUAACAUAACCAUUUUUCAGAAGCACUUUAGAUACCUGUGGCAUUUAGAAAAUUUUGUUCCAGCAUUCACAUAAUAUACAUAGAAAUUUGAAUUUAUUUAAUUAUGAGCAUGUGCUAGUGCCUAUUGGCAUCCACUUGUAUAUACAAAUGUAUUAUACAAUACAAUAUUAGCUUGACUGUAGCAUAGAGGAGAAUAGGGUCGGAAUUGGUCUGAAUUCUGAUCUUUGAAUAAAUAUAAUAGCUGAUUGAAGCUGCUCAUGUGACUCCAUUGUCAGCAGCUUACACAAGGUCUUUUAGCUUUUUAAAAAGUUUUGUGAUAUUUCAUAGUUCACAUGGAUUGCUACAGUAUAGAAUACCCAAUUAGGGCAUUUUUAAUUCCUAUGCAUAGGAGUCUUCCUUCAUGCGCACGCGCGUACACACAUAUAUUUCCCACUUCCGUUCACUCCAAAAGUGAAAAUUGCGGGCAAUUUUUAUCUUCAGUAAAAUUGGAGUAGAUGUUGUUCUUAUUGGCGCAAAUUUGCGUACCAUGUUUGUGGGACCCUUAACCUUGCGCCUUUGUUACAAUCAUAUGCAUUCAGGCUUUUGGUAGACCCUUGGAUAGUAUGAUCAGUGUAUUAGAAUUUAGAAUUCGUGUUUAUAAGGGUCAGUUUGGUAAUGUUAUAAUUUUUAAAAUAAUUACUGUUAGCUAUACUAUAGAAAUAAUCAGUUGUGAAUAAAAUCAGUUAAACAGUUGAUAAAUUUUGUUUUUAAGGUGUUGUGAGUUUUAAACAAUUUGUAUGUAUUUAGUAAAUCUCGCUUUUAAAGUAUUAUAAGAAUGCAAAGACUUAAAUAGAUAGAAAUCUAUAAAAUUUAUUUACAUGUGCAUUUAUACAAUAAUAUUUUAUGCAUGUAUAUAAUAAUUAAUAACAGAAAUAAAUAUUUUUAUUUUAUUAAUUAUAUAUUUUUCUUAUUAUCUCAAUAUAAUUGGUAAUAAUAAUCUUUUUAAUAGUACAUUUAUUAAUCAGUAAUCGAAAUGGGCUGGAAUCGGAAUGGGGAAUGAAAAUCAUAAUAAUUUGUUUACUUUAGCUGUAGGAAUCAAAAUCACAUGGAGCUAUAUUAUCAUUAAUAUAUUUAUUUUGUCUUGGAAUCGAAAUAGAUUGUUACAAAUUACUAAACUGAUUUUAUUAUUAUCAAUAUUAUUAUUAAACAAGGUAAAGGGAAUUUUUAAUUUUCACUAGGUGUAGAAAUGUCGAUUCACUUCUCAUUCUCAUUCUCUGUUCUCAUUCCCCCUCCUCAUAGGAUUACCAUUUCACAUUCUCAAAAAUUUAUAAUUGACUCACAUUUCAUUCUCAUUCCUCCUUAUUUUGGAAGUAAAUAAGUUAAAGAAUCAUAUUCCUUUAUUCUUGUUUUUCAUUCACAUUCCUUCUCCUUAUUUUGGAAGUAAAUAACUUAAAGAAUCAUAUUCCCUUAUUCUUGUUCUCGUUCUCGUUCUCAUUCUCAAUUAGUAAGCACACUACAAAUGCAAUGAUUUUGUUUCCUAAUUAAACAAGGAUAAUUUUUAGAUUUUUAUAAUAUAUGUUAAGAUAUAUGUAGAAUUGUAUUAAAUAUGAAACUGACUCCCAAAAUCAUAUUUUAAAAAACUAUUUUUUUCUUAUUUUUUGAAAUUUAUUGUAGGCUAGGGUGAUUUUAUCAAAGUAAUUUUUUUAAAAAUUUUCGGACCCAUUUGGGAUUGUUUUUGGAAGACUCAAAAAGGAUUUUGAAUAGCUAAAAUCUAAGUUUGGUGUUUUAUAAUUUUUUUUUAAAAAAAUUACUUCUGAUAAAAUUAUCUUAUCCACGUUAAAUUUUAAAAAGAAAGGAAAAAGUAAUUUUUUAAAAUCUGAUUUUAAGAAUCAUUUUUAUACUUAAUACAAUUUCAUAAAUAUCCUGAUAUAUAUCAUAAAAAUUCAAAAUUAUCUUUAUUAGUUAGGAAAUAAAAUCAAUAAUUUUAAAAAGAUUAUUAUUAUUUCUAAUUAUAUUGAGCUAACAAAAAGAAAUAAAAUUACUAAUAUAAAAUUUAUUUUAACUAUUAAUUAUUAUAUUUACCAAUAAAAAACAUUUUAUAUACACGUUUAUAAAUAUUUAAAUAAAAUUUAUUCAUGUCGAGUUCAACCAUUUAUAUUAUUACAGCAAUUUAACAACUGGUUGUCGUUGCUCGGGAAUUAUAGAAUUACCAUAUGUUGUAAAAAUGCACUAAGCCAUGCCAUGUGUUUGAUACAGGUUAUGCUUGUUCGAUUAAAUUGUACUCACCUAUAAAUCAAAGAUUCAGUACAUGUGCAUGUUAGUGGUCUUCAGAAUCCAGAAUAAUAAAUGCCUUGAAAUGCUUGAGUUCAAUGAUUUCGCAGAAGACCAAGUUCCUUGUUAAUGAGUCAGCAUGACUGAAUCCUUCACUAAGCCAAAUUUGUUUUCACUUUUAGUUUAGAAAUUGUCAUUAAUUAAGAAAGUGUUUGAUAAAAUGCUUUGGAAGGCACUGUUCGUUGGACGUUUGCCCAGAAUUUAUGAAAUCAUUGGUGUUUCAUCCUACUUGUAACACUCUUCUUUAUUUUCUAUUCUAACGAAGAAAUCUUUUAUUAGAAAAGUGACAAGAUUGCACCUUUCAUUUGUAUGUUAAGGAGGUGUAAAAUUUUCUCGUUAAAAUCCCAUCAUGAAAAAAACUCACGGGCAAAAACCUACUGCAAAUUAAAGAAAGAAGAGUAAAUCAUGAUAAAUACACUCUCUUUUACAAUGCAAGCGGAUGCUUCAAUGAGUGGAUCAUGCGCCAAACUUGUAUAUCGUUGUUGGUAGUGCUUUGUUGAAUCAAUAUGAUAGAUUUUCACUUUUCUUUUUUUUCUUUUCUUUUUUUUUUCCUUGUGGAUACGAAAAUGAUUUGGGUUAAACUAUACUUAAUGCCGGUUUGGUACGACUUCUCUACUAAUUAAAAGAGUUUUUUUUCUUAAAUGUUCAAAAAGAUUUUUUAUUAUAAAUUGUAAUUUGAGUGGAUUUCUUGGGAUUAAACAAGUUACAUUUUUGUCUCUAUAAAGAAGUUCAAGUUAUAGAUUUUGGCAAUAGAGAUGUAGAGGUUUUUUUUUUUUCAGAGAACUAAAUUGUGGAGACUAUCUUUAUUUGGUUAUACAACUUUUUUUUUUUUAAUUUCAUAACAUAAUUUUAAAAGACUUAUUUAAUAAAUUUGAUAUUUUUUUGUAAAAAUUAUCAUUCACGUCCAAACUACUGAAGAUUUUUUUGUUAAACGCACUACUUAAAAGUUAUAUUAAUUAUAAACUUUCUAAAAAAAAAAAACAAUUCAAAGAGUUAUAGCAAACAAAGUGCUAGUUAACUUCAGUCGAUAAUAAUCUUCUAAUCCGUCCUACAAAUGACUUUCGACAAGAGUGGUGCUACUCACAUCUCUUCAAAACCCAUUUGACACCCCGUUUUCUUUAUUUAAAAUUUUAUACAUUUGAAAAUUAUUUUUUCUUUUACUUGACACUCUUCAAAUUCUAAAACUAAGCUUCAAAGAACCUUCGUCAUUAAAUCUCAUUGCCUUCCUUUAUUCUUGUUACUUGAGAAGAAGAAUGAGAGUCUGGAAGAAUGAAAGAAAAUUCAGCGAGAUAGAAAUCUAGUAAUUUCAUACCAUGAUUCAGAAUUUUUUUUUUCUCAAAAGAAUCUACUAUUCUUCUAUAUUUUAUAUAAAAAAAAGAGGAAAAGAGGAAACUGAGAGACUCUUUGUUUAAUGCUUGAAAGUUAGAAAGAAAAGGUCAGGAAGCUGCCUGGUAAUGAGAGUGAUGCAUCAGCACUAAUUUCUAUCUCGAUAGCUACCAAUUACCACCCCUAGAAAGGCUGUUGAUCAACAAGCCAUAUCUACUGGUUUCCUUUCUUUAAAAGUUCUAAUGGUCCCCUUAAAAAUCUCUAUAUGCUCAGUCUUCUCAUGAUAUAUCUGAUUUUCGCUGAGAAUUAUAGCAAGCGCUUCAGAUAUCAUAAUACUUUGUGACUGACUACUGUGCAUGCUUAAUUAUAAGAUUAUUCCUUGUGGCCAAAUAAAAUGACCCCCUUUAGAGCCUCUGUAUUUGAAAAAGCAAGACAAUGAGCUUAAUUAUUGUCAAGGUCUCCAGUAGGAUACUCCUAAAUCCAUAUACCCACCCACCAGAACUCCAAUCUUGAAACUUAUAGAUCAAACCAUAACUUAAUGUGCCUGGCAACCAGGGAUAUGUCAGGCCUUUAAAAAACCACUACAUACAUUUGAGUCUGAAAUUGCUCCAAUUAGUAUUAUGAUUAUUAUUUUAAAAAACUCAACCUAAGCAAAGUGCCUCAGCAUACAAUAUUUAUUGACAACUAAAAAGUAAUAGUGGGUGGGGGUUGCCCUGGGUUUUGUUUAAAAAUUGAAGUAAAAAAUUUUCAAAUUUCAAAUUUCUAGUACAAAGAAAAUUGAUGACUAAAUUAAAUUCUGCAAAUUAAUUUCUAAUAUUACAUGAAAAUAUAUCAAGUUAAUUGGUAACAUUGUUAAUCACUUAAUCCUCAAUCUAAUACGUUAUGUAUUUGUUACUCUGUCUUAAAUCAAAAGUGGCGGUGAUUUAUUUUUAUUUUCACUAAUAAGAAAGGCAUGUUAGAGCUUUUAUUUUGUUGAAAAUGAACCAAAAAACUCCGAUUGGGAGAUUAUAAAUGUAUUUAACAAUAAUUUAACUUCCAUUUUGAAAGUCAUUAUAUUGUUUAUUCAGGAGAAGCGUUCUUUUAUAUUUUAUAGAUAUAAUGUUUGCUAAUCCUAAUUUAAGCUAAAGCAUAUGCAUUUCCUAAUUAAUUCUAAUUUAAGCUUAUUCAACUGCAUUCAAUUAAUGUUCGAUAAUACAAAUUCUAAAUACUAUAUACUCUAAGAAUUUUAAUCGUAAUGACAAGGUGAUCAUUUAAUUAUUACCGUUAAAUUAUAUAUGUAUGGUGGAGACGAGUCCACACGGUUUUGACGAGAAAUUAAAGACAAUAUUUAGUUAAGCUAGUAGUAUUUGUUCUGUUUAGUACGUCGUUUUACCAGCAAGCAUCCCGGCAAUGCACGCAUUAAUAAAAAAAUUUAUCUGUUUGGACUGAUUGGUAGUGAAAAAUUCCACAUACUUUAAAUUAAGAAAAUGCUAAGUAUCUUAAAGAAAACAAUUAAAAUAUUGUCACUUGAUGCUUGAAUCAUUAUUGUUAAAUAUCUCCGUUGAGUUGUAUUCCCCAGCUGUGAGUAUCAUUAUUGUCUUUGCUAUCUAAUCAAUUCAAUUUUCUUUCUGGAGACAAGAUUUUGAUUCCUUUCAUCGUUACAAAAACGGAACCAUGGUUGAUGUGGGAGAGAUCUUACUCAACGCCUUCUUUCAGGUGUUGUUCGACAGGUUGGCUUCCCGUGAUUUGCUCAGCUUUGUCCGUCAACUUGGAGGGGGGGUCGAUUCCGAGCUCAAGAAGUGGGAAAGAAAGCUGAAGAUGAUUCAGGCGGUGCUCAACGAUGCAGAGGAGAAGCAACUGACUGAUGAGGCUGUGAAGAUGUGGCUGGACGAUCUCCAAGACUUGGCUUAUGACGCUGAGGACAUUCUUGAUGAGUUUGCUACUCAAGCUUUGGAAAGCAAGUUGAUGGAGCAAAAUCAGGAUAGCUCUGGCCAGGUUCUCAGUUUCAUCCCGGCUAGUUUGAAUCCGAAUGCUAUUAUGUUCAAUUAUAGCAUGGGGUCCAAGAUUAAAGAUAUUACUAGCCGGCUGGAGCAACUCUGCCAAGAAAGAAUUGAACUUGGACUGCAGCGGAUUACUGGAGGGGCAUCAUCAACUGCUGCUGCUACACAGCAGAGGCCGCCCAGUUCGAGUGUCCCAACAGAACGUGAAGUAUUUGGAAGAGCAAAAGAUAAGGCCAAAAUUCUUGAUAUGGUAUUGGCCGAUACCCCAAGUGAUCAUGCCGACUUUGUUGUAAUACCCAUUGUUGGCAUGGGCGGGAUAGGAAAAACAACUCUCGCUCGGGAGGUUUACAAUGACAAGGCCGUUGGCGGUUCCAAGUUUGAUGUAAAAGCAUGGGUUUGCGUAUCUGACGUCUUUGAUGUUUUGGGCAUCUCAAAGGCACUUCUCGAGUCAAUCACCCGCAGGCCAUGUCUUCUAAACAGUUUAAAUGAAGUGCAGGUUGAAUUGAAAGUAGCUGUGGAUAAAAAAAGAUUCUUGCUGGUCUUAGAUGAUGUUUGGAACGAGGAGUACAGCUUGUGGGUAGACUUAAAAGCUCCGUUCCUGGUUGCUGCACCAAACAGUAAGAUGAUCGUCACCACACGCAAUUCAAAUGUUGCAUCAACAAUGGGGCCAGUUGAACAUUACAAUCUCAGGAGUCUAUCGGAUGAUGAUUGCUGGUCCAUUUUCAUAAAGCAUGCAUUUGAAUCUAGAGAUCUUAACGCACAUCAAAUUUCAGAAUCAUUCCGCAAGAAAGUUGUUGCCAAGUGUGGAGGCUUGGCCCUGGCAGCAAAAACACUCGGAGGCCUUCUGCGUACGACGAGGCAUGAUGCGUGGGAUGAUAUAUUAGAGAGCAAAAUAUGGGAUUUACCACGACAAAGUGGGGUUCUCCCAGUAUUAAGAUUGAGUUACCAUCAUCUUCCUUCUCAUUUGAAAAUGUGUUUUGCUUUCUGUGCAAUCUUUCCAAAAGAUUAUGAAUUCAAAGAGAAGGAGCUGACUUUUUUAUGGAUGGCCGGAGGAAUUAUUCGACAGUCAAGAAGCAAAGAGCGGCUAGAAGAUUUGGGCAGCAAGUGCUUCCAUGAUCUGGUGUCAAGGUCAAUUUUUCAGAAAUCAGCAAUCUCUGCUAGUUCUAAAUUUGUAAUCCAUGACCUUAUCCAUGAUCUUGCUGAAUUGGUCUCUGGAGAAACCAUAUUUAGGUUAGAGGAGGCCAAUACUCUGUCAAGAAGAUUUGAAAGGGUUCGCCAUUCCUCCUAUGCUUGUGGUGGAUAUGAUGGUAAAAAUAUGUUCGAUGUUUUCAAUGAAAUUGAACAUCUACGAACAUUCUUGCCAUUACGCUUACGCAUAAGAGGUGGCUUUAGUUCUGGUUACAUAAGUCGAACGGUCCUAUCUGACUUGCUGCCAAAGUUCAAAAGGUUGAGAAUGCUAUCUUUAGAAGGAUACUGUAUUGGCGAGUUACCAAUUCCAUUUGAAGAUUUGAGACUUUUAAGGUUUCUCAACCUUGCUGACACUGACAUAAGAAGUUUACCCGAGUCAACAUGCAAAUUGCUGAACUUGGAAAUUUUUAUAUUAAGAAAUUGUUCCCGUUUGAUAAAGCUUCCAGCCAAAAUGAGGAAUUUGAUCAAUUUACGCCAUCUGGAUAUAAGAGGUGCGAAGUUGCUGAAGGAGAUGCCAGUCGGAAUGAAAGAGCUGAAGAAGCUUCAAACAUUGUACAAUUUCAUUGUGGGCAAGGGUGAAACUGCAUCCGGUUUGGAAGAAUUAAAAAGUUUAAACUUUCUUUGUGAUGAACUUUGCAUUGCUGGAUUAGAGAAUGUGAAUAAUCCACAGAAUGCAAGAGAAGCGGCAUUAUGCGAGAAGCACAAUCUUGAAGCACUGACUCUAGAUUGGGGGUCUCAAUUUGACAAUUCUCGAGAUGGAGUAGUAGAAGAGCAUGUACUGGAAAUUCUACAGCCUCAUAAACGUAUAAAAAAGGUGGCAAUCAGGAACUAUAGAGGUGCAAGAUUUCCACAUUGGAUAGGAGAUCCUUUGUUCUCCAAAAUAGAGUUCCUUGAAUUGGAGAACUGUGACAAUUGUGUAUCUUUGCCAUCGCUUGGCCGUUUGAGUUCACUUAAACACCUUGCUGUUAAAGGGCUGAAGAAACUAAAAAGCAUAGAGUCUAAGGUUUAUGGGGAGGGUUUCUCAAUGCCUUUUCCAUCAUUGGAGAUUCUAAGUUUCGAGAAUUUGCCAGAAUGGGAGCAUUGGGACACCGAUAUCAAAGGAAAUGUACUUGUUGAAAUAUUUCCUCGUCUCCAUAAACUUUCCAUUGUGGAAUGUCCCAAACUCUCCGGAGAACUGCCUGAUCUCCUGCCCUCCUUGGAGACACUUGUUGUUAGUAAAUGUGAAAAGUUGGUAGUUCCAUUGUCUUGCUAUCCGAUGCUCUGCAGAUUAGAAGUUGAUGAGUGCAAGGAACUAGCGUGCGCGACUCCAAUUGAUUUUAAGUUGAUAAAGUCUGUGACUAUUUCAAAUUGUUCACUAGACAUGUAUGGAUGCAAGGGGAUGCUAUACAAUGGUCCAGCUGGCUCUUCACUGCCGAAAUCCAUGACUAUUACAAAUGUUUUGGCGUUUGGAAAAUUAUUGAAGCCUGAAUUUCAGAUAUUAGAAACUUUGGUAAUUGACAAUUCUGAACAGCUCAUGUCAUGGAGGCAGCGUGGGAAUUUCCGAGAAGAAUAUUUGGCCGUUCGCCGAAGGCUUAUCAAACCAUUACAAGGGCUAAAUAUGCUCGCUUCCCCAGAAGAGGUAACAAUUGAAGAAAGUUGUGUGAGUUUUGUUUUAUUUUCAGAGAUCAAUUUCUUUCCCAGAAAUCUGCGCUCUCUUCUAAUUUGCAGCAGCACAGCUUUAAAAUCCUUACCCGAUGAAAUGAUGGACAACAGUUCACAACUCAAAAGGUUGUAUAUCAGAGAUUGCGAUUCUCUAACAUUCAUCACAAGACGCAAGCUACCUUCAUCUCUAAAAAGUAUAGAGAUUCAGAAUUGUGAGAAACUGCGACAUUUGUUCGAUGAUAAAGAGGAUGCUUCUUCUUCUUCUCCUCCUUCAUCCUCGCCCUCCCCAGUGAUGCUGAAACACCUGAGUAUAAAUAAUUGCCCAGAGCUCACCAGUUUAUCAACAGGAAUCCAAUUACUUGAGGCGCUUGAACACCUCGACAUACGGGAUUGUCGAAAGCUGGAGUCAUUACCAGAUGGCCUUCACAAUCUUAACUGUUUACAGGAGAUUACUCUAAACAGUUGUCCAAGUCUUCUUAGAGGGCUUCCCAACACGAUUUCAAGGGUUGACAUUUACAGCUGUCCAAGUCUUGUUUCCUUCCCAGAAAGAGGACUUCCCAACACGAUUUCAAAGGUUGACAUUUUUAAUUGUGAGAAGCUCGAAGCCCUGCCCAAUGACAUGCACAAACUCAACUCUCUUCGAGAUUUAAGCAUAUUGGGGUGUCGAAAUCUUGUAUCCUUUCCAGAAGAAGGUUUUCCUACCAGUCUAACAUCACUUAGAAUUGGAGAUUUCAAAAUGUAUAAGACACUCAUCCAGUGGGGGUUGCACAGGCUUACCUCUCUUAGACGCCUCUAUAUCGUUGAUUGUGAUGACGAAGCAGAGUGUUUUCCAGACGAGGAGAUAGGAACGAUGCUGCCUACCUCCCUAACUCAUCUAUCCUUUCGGGGAUUCCGAAAUUUGAUAUCUCUGUCUUCGACGGGUUUUCAGAGCCUCAACUCUCUUCAAUACUUGUGGAUCAGGGAUUGCCCGAAUCUCACAUCAUUCCCAGAGGUGGGCCUUCCAUCCUCACUUUUGGCAUUAUGCAUUAUCGAUUGUCCAAAGCUUAAAAAAGCGUGCAAAAGAGAUCAAGGAAAAGAGUGGUCCAAAAUUGCUCACAUCCCUCGCAUUGACAUAGACAGGAAAUUCAUAUACGAUCCAGAAUCAGAGGAGUAGAUUCUACUAUUAAGGUCAGUUGAUUUGUAUUAUCCGCCAUAACAAGCUCCUCCUUUUUUUUUAAAUAAUAAUAAUAAUUCUUACCAAUUAAUGAUGGUAAGAUGUGUACUUAUUCUUUCUUCCGGACAACCUUGCCUUCUUUCUUCGGUAGCAUAUCUAAUGAAUAUUUCUCUGUUUAGUUAAGGAUGAAUGCUUGGAGUGGAGUAUUUGGUAACAUUUCUGCCGUAGAUGAAACCUUGAAGAAAUGCCUGCACUUCCUGAGACCAAAUACAGGUCUGAUUCACAACAACACCUGUCCCAGAAAAUAUGAUACAAGCCAAAGCCAUGUUCUGAAGCAGAAAUAACGCAUUUCAAUUUUUAUCUGGUAAAAAUACACAGCCCUCGCCUACAAAAUUCUUAUCUUGGCUUUCACGGAUAUUUUUAUCACGUAACCACGUGAGGAAGCAUGUGCUGGAGCCUGAAUUCAGUUAGUUAAAGUUUGUUAACCACGUGUCAACAAACUGUAUAAUCUGGAAAAUACGCUAGCUAUUGAAACAGGGUAUAAAGGCUGGUUUUUCAGGGACUAUCGAGAGCUGAUUCUAGAGUCUUGUAGAAAGAGGUUUGUGAGAGAGAAAGUGUCAUCUUGUUCUCUGUAAAAUCCGAUAUAGGGCUCUGUAACGAUCUCCAUUGUUGAAUCAAUAAAACUCAUCUAGAAGCUUCUCCCGUGGACGUAUUCUGAGCAUUCAAUGCACAGCUGAACCACGUAAUAUCUUGGUUUCAGUGGGUUCUUGUUUUGGUUCUUGAUAAAUUCUUGUUGUUGUAUUGAGGUGUGAUUUGAUGUGUCUAAACUUGCAUCUGUGCAACUUGAAUUGAUUUGAUGAUAAUAAUCUUGGGCAGUGAUCAGAUUCGUUUAGUUUAAAGAACAAGCUGAUUACUACCGUACCUAUGCAUGGACCUGUAACCUGUGCUGACAAAACUGAAACUAUGAGUUUGAGGUAAAAAGGUCCUGGACCCUCACAGUUUAACUUGGACUUGUAGCUUUCUGGAUAAACACAUUUUAGAAGUUUGCAAUUUGUUGUUAAUUACGGUAUGUGAUUUUCUUUUUUGUUUUCGCUUUUGUAGAAUCUACCGUAUUACAUAUUGGCAGUUGUAUCUGAGGUACCAUUUUUGCAUUUAACUUGCCUUUAUCUGUUUUGCCUGUUACUUAACAACACAUCAUUUCCCAAAGAUUUGGAGAAGCAUCUCAAGAUGCUUAACAAACUUGACAAACUUCAAGAUGCUCCCAAGCCUUGAUUCUUCACAAAGGAAGACCUGUGAGUACACUUAUGCCCGCAAUUAUUGUGAAGUGAUUGCAACUUUGAUGCAGCGAAACGGUUUGCUGGUGCAAAGCUUUAAAACUGUUAAGAAUUACCCUGCAGGCUUGUUGGAUGUUGUAUACUCCGAAAGCCACCAACACCAAGAACUAUAACAGCAAGACUAGGUUUGCAUUAAUUCAAUUAGCUGAAAUAAUGAUGCAAAUGGCACUAUCCAGCUCGACUUAGAGACUAGUCAGGUCAAUCAUCCAUUUCAUCAACAGUUAAUGUCAGGAUGGUGGCUAGCAGAGGAAACAAAGGAUAUGUUGGAAUCAAUAAGAACAGUGAGAAGCAUGAGAGGAGCUUUGAUUAUAAGUAGGCUCAAUGAACUAGUGUUGGUAAGUGGUAAUUAGAGCAAUUUGUGAGCUUAGUAGAGUUUCAAUAUUUUCUGUUUGGGAUAUAGUUGAUAAGUUGAUACUCUGAUAAAGAAGGCUGAUUAUAGUAGCUGACUAUAUUAACCGGGUUCUCUUUUUUGGUUUGCUGUUGUUUUUUCUUUCAAUAUCUUUUUCAACAUUAGGUUUAAGAACAAGCUUGGGUUUGAUUAUCAGGUAAGAACAAAUGAAUGCUUUAACCAUGUUUCUCACUUAUCACAAUGCACGGAUUGAAGGCGUCUGAGUUGAUCCUGAAACGUGCCUCAGCAAGUAUUAUGAUUAUUAUUUUAAAAAACUCAACCUAAGCAACGUGCCUCAGCAUACAAUAUUUAUUGACAACUAAAAAGUAAUAGUGGGUGGGGGUUGCCCUGGGUUUUGUUUAAAAAUUGAAGUAAAAAAUUUUCAAAUUUCAAAUUUCUAGUACAAAGAAAAUUGAUGACUAAAUUAAAUUCUGCAAAUUAAUUUCUAAUAUUACAUGAAAAUAUUAUCAAGUUAACUGGUAACAUCGUUAAUCACUUAAUUCUCAGUCUAAUACGUUAUGUAUUUGUUACUCUGUCUUAAAUCAAAAGUGGCGGUGAUUUAUUUUUAUUUUCACUAAUCAGAAAGGCAUGUUAGAGCUUUUAUUUUGUCGAAAAUGAACCAAAAAAACUCCGAUUGGGAGAUUAUAAAUGUAAUUAACAAUAAUUUAACUUCCAUUUUGAAAGUCAUUAUAUUGUUUAUUCAGGAGAAGCGUUCUUUUAUAUUUUAUAGAUAUAAUGUUUGCUAAUCCUAAUUUAAGCUAAAGCAUAUGCAUUUCCUAAUUAAUUCUAAUUUAAGCUUAUUCAACUGCAUUCAAUUAAUGUUCGAUAAUACAAAUUCUAAAUACUAUAUACUCUAAGAAUUUUAAUCGUAAUGACAAGGUGAUCAUUUAAUUAUUACCGUUAAAUUAUAUAUGUAUGGUGGAGACGAGUCCACACGGUUUUGACGAGAAAUUAAAGACAAUAUUUAGUUAAGCUAGUAGUAUUUGUUCUGUUUAGUACGUCGUUUUACCAGCAAGCAUCCCGGCAAUGCACGCAUUAAUAAAAACAUUUAUCUGUUUGGACUGACUGGUAGUGAAAAAUUCCACAUACUUUAAAUCAAGAAAAUGCUAAGCAUCUUAAAGAAAACAAUUAAAAUAUUGUCACUUGAUGCUUGAAUCAUUAUUGUUAAAUAUCUCCGUUGAGUUGUAUUCCCCAGUUGUGAGUAUCAUUAUUGUUGUUUGUGCGAUAUGUUUCGACGAAGACCAGCAGUGAUGAGCAGGCGUCUGGUAGCAGGGUUCCUCGAACAGGUAUAUCUUGCAAGAGUCUGGUAGCAGGGGGAGCAAGAGCAGGAGUAUCCUGCUCGUCCACGAGUACGUCAUCCACGAGGCCGGUCUCCUGUUGGGAGCGUAAAGCCAUUCCUGCUAUAUUCCUGCUAGCGGUUGAGUCGAGGAGACCCGGUCAACGACAGUUGACGAGACAUGCUCUCCAGUCCGAGAAUCAAGGCGCGAAGGCCACGCAACCACCCACGACUACGGAAAUGGAGCAUCCACUUUCGAGAAGUGGGAGGAUGACAAGCGCAAAGGGAGGAAAUGCAUGGGCUCAGAAGUGGCCUAUAAAAAGGUAACCAACGAAGGUAAAAGGGUUAGCAAUUUUGAGAUUAUAACAGAGACUAAGGAAAUUCUAAAGAAGAGAAAACUAUUAAAAAGCCAUAAGAUCUGUGGCAAGCGUUCCCAGAGCCUUCAUAUCUGACUUGAGCGUCGGAGGGUUUACGCCGGGAAAACAACCGGCGUGCUCUGACUUGUUUCUGUGGACGCAGGAAUACUUGGAGAAGAAAGCAUACAAGGAGAGAUCCUGGUCGAGGUGAGGUUGAUUGAGCAGAUAUCCUGGUCGUAGGAAGAGCGUAACCAGAAUCUCGCAUCAAUAUUUUGGCGCCGUCUGUGGGGAGCUGAGCAAAAAGUUUCUGUUGAUAGCAAAGAAGAGGAGUGAAGCAAGUGAAAAGCAAUGGAGACAGGAGGAAGUAGUGCACAAGGGGGUGAUAUGAGGCUUAACGAUUCCGUGACGCUGAGGGAGAUAGCCAGUGAAGCACGGGAAAAAGCCAUGUUCGACCGGAUGGAACGGAUGGAAAAGCAGAUGGAGACCUUGACAACCAUCCUACAUGAGCUGCGGAGCGAACGAAGGGUAACCCAGGAGGAAAGGGUGAGAGGUGGUGGAGUGGCACCAGGUCCCGAUAGUGCGAGGAGAAGUCAAACCACCGGGAGAUUUGGUGGUGAGAGAGGUAACAUACCUCUGCAGGGAAAUUGCAUAGAGAGGAAGAGCAGUCCCCGGCAAGACAGAUUUUUGACGAGGACGACGGGGUGGCGAAUGCAGAGGAAGCAGAGUUGAGGCAAUACUUGCAUGAUGUAGUGCAAGAGCGGGAUCAAGUCGCAGCACGUGACCCUGGUCGUGCAGAGCAGCUGGAGGAGGAAGUGUGCAGGCUAGCGCAGAUAAUUGACGACAUACAAGGAAGGAGCAGAGCUCCUGGUUGGAGGAUAAUGCUGGACGGAGAAUCACCGCUCGCAGCAGAGAUCAUGAGGGCAGUUAUUCCAAGAGAUUUCCGCCUCCCAGACCUUAGAUAUUCGGGAUGAACUGAUCCGCUGGUGCACAUAGAGCGCUUCAACGACAUAACUGGGGUACAAGGAUUAUCUCAAUCCUAAAGGUGCAGGGUGUUCCCACUAUCCCUUGAGGGACGCGCACGAGAGUGGUACAGGAAACUUCCUCGGGGGAGCAUUAAAACCUUCGAGCAGAUGUGCCAGGAAUUUGCAGAACAGUUCCGUGGGGCAAUGGCACCAGAAGAUGACAUGAUGGAGUUGAAAAACAUGAAGCAGGGGGAACAAGAAACACUUCGGGAAUUCAUCAAGAGGUUUCACCGUGCUGUCCUCGACUUGGGAGCCUUCAACCACCCUCAAACGUUAAGGGGAUUGAAAGAAGGGGUGAAGAUAGGAAGGCUGUGGUACAACUUGAGAAGCCCAGUUAUUCAGACGUAUGCGGCCGCAUACGAGCAGGCUAAGAGAGACAUUGAGAUUGAAGAGGAGAAGGCAGCACAGAUUAAGACAGACCAGUUAGAAGGGUGGGGGAGGAAAGAGAAGAAAGCAUUACCGGGGAAUGGGCCGAUCAGGAGGAGGAACCACCAGGCCUCGAGUAGUGGAGCAGAAGGUCGGGUAACUGCUUACCAGCCUCAUCAGAGGCCACUACAGUAUCAGCACAGCAGGGCGCAACCUCCUCGUUCCCCAGCUGGGGAGCCUUGGAGAAGGCAUGACUCGGCGUAUGGUGGUCUUCAUCAACACUCCCACGGUAGUAGAAGGGGCAGACCAGAAGCGCUGCCACCGCCUCCAACUCAGAACGGAGCAAAUAGAGAAAGGGCAGUGCACCUGAUCGACCAGAACCAGGACUAUGGGCGAUAUACUUCCUUGAAGAUGUCCCUGGCCGAGGUGUACGAGGCCAUAAAGGAUCGAGGGUCGUUAUACCUCCCUGCCCCAAUAACAAAGCUACCCAGCAGGAGGGAUAGGGGACGCUAUUGUAAGUUCCAUGGCACUCAUGGCCACACCACAGCAGAUUACAGGGAUCUCAAGACCCAGGUUGAAGAUUUGGUGAGAAAUCGGUAUCUGGACGAGUUUAUAGAUGGGACCUUCCCAAUGGUAGCCUCGACCAGCGAAUGGGAGCAGAGUGACAGGAACUUGAGGCGCGAGCAGCCUGCAGUAAGGGUGAUAGCUGGGGGCCCAACAUUGGCCGGAGAUUCCAACAGGUUGAGGAAGAAUUACGCUAGAUACGCCAUGACCAGCAAAGAUGUAUUCUUCACCACCCCAGCAGCCAAACGUGCAAGAGUCAGGCAAGUGCCAAUUAUGUGGACAGAUGAGGAUGAAGAAGGGAUUCUAUACCCCCACGAGGAUGCUUUGGUCAUCAAGGCCACUGUUGCCAGCAAGAAGUUUGACAGGAUACUGGUUGACACAGGGAGCUCAGUUGAUGUGUUGUUUAAGUCAACCCUGGAGGAGAUGGGAAUAGCAGACCUGAAGUUGGAUUACACCAAUACCUCCUUGAAGGGGUUUGGAGGAGGAAAGUUGGUCCCUCUGGGCGUGGUCGAGCUGCCUAUCACGAUUGGGAGCUCCCCGACAGAAGGGACAAUGAUACUGGACUUUGUGGUAGUGGAUGAGGAAGGUCCUUAUCAGAUGAUCCUAGGCCGGCCAUUUCUGACGAUGAGCAAAGCGGUGCUGUCCAGCCAUUAUCUGGCUCUCAAGUACCGGGUGAAUGGGGUAGUUGGAGUGGUACGAGGAGACCAGAGGAUCGCAAGAAGCUGCUACUCCUCGGCAGCAAAGGAAGCAAUGCAGAUAACAUCCCUUGAUACCCGAGUGGAAGCCAGGAAUGGCAGCUAGUUGGACCCGGAGUUUACAAGCUGGUUCGCACGGAUGGCCACAAGGUGAAACGCCCAUGGAGCGCGACACACCUCAGGAAAUAUUUCUAGUAAGACUUACUCAUCUUUUAAAGUUAUUUCUGUUCGUGCCCGUUGUUUUCUAUUUUUCAUUUCUUAUUUCAAAGCAAUCUCAUGUAAGCCGAAUUCAAUAAUAAAUGAAUCAAUGAGGAGUUUCAGUCAACUACACUGUUCAAGAAAUUAUCAAAGGCAUGCAAAGGCUAGUCAAGUCUCAAAGCCUGUUUAUGGCGAGACCAGAAGCCAAGCGUGCCAGGAUCUGCUCGACCACGAGAAGGCGAGCAGAGUCCCAAGCUUUCAAGAAAUUAUCAAUGGCAUGCAAAGGCUCACCAAGUCUCAAAGCCUGUUUAUGGCGAGACCAGAAGCCAAGCGUACCAGGAUCUGCUUGACCACGAGAAGGCGAGCAGAGUCCCAAGCUUUCAAGAAAUUAUCAAAGGCAUGCAAAGGCUCACCAAGUCUCAAAGCCGGUUUAUGACGAGACCAGAAGCCAAGCGUUCCAGGAUCUGCUCGACCACGAGAAGGCGAGCAGAGUCCCAAGCUUUCAAGAAAUUAUCAAAGGCAUGCAAAGGCUCACCAAGUUUCAAAGCCUGUUUAUGACGAGACCAGAAGCCAAGCGUGCCAGGAUCUGCUCGACCACGAGAAGGCGAGCAGAGUCCCAAGCUUUCAAGAAAUUAUCAAAGGCAUGCAAAGGCUCACCAAGUCUCAAAGCCUGUUUAUGGCGAGACCAGAAGCCAAACGUGCCAGGAUCUGCUUGACCACGAGAAGGCGAGCAGAGUCCCAAGCUUUCAAGAAAUUAUCUAAGGCAUGCAAAGGCUCGCCAAGUCUCAAAGCCUGUUUUAUGGCGAGAUAGAAGCCAAGCGUACCAGGAUCUGCUCGACCACGUGAAGGUGAGCAGAAUCCCCAAGCAUCGGAAUAUUUUCCAAGGCAUGCAAAGGCUCGCCAAGUCUCAAAGCCUGUUUUAUGGCGAGACAGAAGCCAAGCAUGCCAGGAUCUGCUCGACCGCGCGAAGGCGAGCAGAAUCUCAAGCAUUGAAGAAUUUUCCAAGGCAUGUGGCAAAACCAUAUGCCGAGCCAGAACCUGCUAAACUAGACGAAGACGAGCAGAUUCUCAGACGAAAAAUAACUCAUGAUUACAACACAAGAAAGUAAUCAAAAACAUUUUUAUUAAUUUGUUAAUAAUUAACAGAGGAGAUAAUCUUCACAAACAUUGUUCAUUACAAUACAAGAAAUAUAUUAAGAGGACGGUGGAUCCGUAAGCCGAGCAGCCUCAGUCGGUUGGUCCACCUCAGGUGCUGGGGGAGUAUCACCGGUCGCGUCCGGGGGGGUGCUUGCCUCACCCACAUCAACAGGAACGGCACGAGGAGGAGAGUUUUCCUCAACUACGAUUGGUUCCACCGUUUCGGCAUCUUCCUUUGCAGCCUCCUCGUCCAUAUGUUGGGCGACACCAGUUGCAAGGUCGUCCAUCUUCAGAUCAGGAUGCUGCUUCCCGAGGACGACCAUGAUGCAACGAUAGGAAUGCCGAAGCCCCUAGUCGUACUGGUUGUCGGCCUCCCUCUCCAAGUUCUCGACCUGAGCUCGGUGGGAAUCGCGGAGAGAUUCGAGCUGAGCCUCAUAUAUAGCCUUCUGCCUUUGCAGAUCCUCCUCGACCUUGGUCAGCUCCUCCUCGAGGGUAAUGGCUUUUGCUUGAGCAAGAGAUUCUUGCUCUAUCAGCUUGAGGUUCUCAACAUUCAGCUCCCCUGCUUUCUUCUCGGCAGCGUCAGCUCUGGUCGUCGCCGAUUGAAUGUCCUCCUUAAUCUUGCGGUCGUAGCGGCCAACCUUCGCCUUGUAAUAGGUGGUCAUGCAGCUGAGGUAGAAAGCGCUAUACUGCAUGGCCCCCACCAGCUCACCCAAGGUGCAGCCGUCAAAGUCCUCCAGGUCCUUCUUGCUCACGAGUUUAGAUAACUCAUUGAGGUAGGGGACCAAGUGUUCUGCUUGGCUGUCAGGUAAGCGAGAUCGAGGCCCGACAGGAGGAGAAGAGGAAGCAGGAUCCGUGGCUGCUCCACUAGUUUCCCCAACUUUGGCAGGAGCAGGAGGUAAAGUCUUCAAGGGAGAGACUUGCUGUACGAUGUUGGCCUGCUUUGCAGAAGGGGCGUCCUUGUUCUGGUCCCUCUUCGUGGCUUGAGGUUGAGAACGUUUCCUGUUCAGAGCCCCAAUCACAGCGUCCUCCAUCUUAUGGCCAGGGAGUACCAAGCGAGACUCGAGCAAGUUGUAAACAGUUAUCAAUUCUCGGCUCGGGCAAGAGUUGGCUAGUAUAGCCUCGACCCGUUUGAGCUGAUCAGGUUGGAGCGAGAAGUGAACACCCCAAGAACCUGCAACACAAACAAACAUUUGAUUAGAGACAAACCAGUAAAGUGCAAACAACAAGGGAGACAAGACAUCUAAUACGAGCAGGCAACCUGGGACCAUGAAACGGGGUGGGACGCGACAAUCCUUCCCGUCUAUUUGUGCAACUUGACCCCAAGGACCCCCAGCAAAAAAGAAUUUCCUCUUCCAAGUCCCACCACCACCAGUUGGAAGAUCAGUUAUGGGUUUCUUGCUCUUGGUACUAGAUUGGAAGUAGUACCAGCCGGCAUCUUUGGGGCUGCUCUUUAGCUGGUACAGGUGCUUCACCUCAUCAACCGUGGGCUCGCUUUGGCAACAUCUGUCCCACAAUAUGAACAGACCAGAGAGCACCCUCCACCCAUUGGGGUUCAGUUGACCAGGAGCUAGAUUGAGCCCGUGGAGUAUGCGAGCAAAAUAGGGUUGCAAGGGGCACCUUAACCCGUACUUAAAACUCUCCUGGAACAAGGUGACAUAUCCCCUAGGAGGCCUGCUAGGACUAUCUUUUUUUCCUGGGAUCCUAAGGAGUACUUCACCAGGAAUAUGAUACCUGAGCCAGAGGUCAUCCAGCUCGUUGAAUGUGGUCGUGCAGGUCAUGUAAUCAAUAGCAUAAUCCCGCAACAAGGCUCUACCUCCUACUGUACUACGCCCUUCUGGUCGCAGUGUUCCCGGUGAAGAUCCCUCACCAGAGUCACCUCCUUGAUCCUCACUUAGGGUGUCUUCCGAGCCAGAAGGUCCUUCCUCGCCACUACUUCCGCUCGUGGAGGUUGUUUGGGGGGACAUCCUCCUAGCGCUAGUCCCGACACUAGACCUAGUGGGCUCUAAGGGGAUCCCGGGGUCAAAAGCAGAAUCAGUGAGCAGACUAGGCAAGAAACCUAGUUCGUCGUCAUCAGUCUCAAUGACUUUCUCCUUACCCUUCGACAUUCCCUAAGUUCUAACCAAAACACCACCACCGACUACAACCCCAAGUAAAGCAAAGAGAAAAGAAAUUAUCUACAACUAUCCGAGACCGAGGAGAUAGAAGUAAUACCUGAAGUAAUGGUUCAGUUAGAGAAAGGCAGGGGAGGAGACUUUUAUGCCGAGACUUCUUUGCCGGAGAGACAGAGACAGAGAUGGAGUAAAUGACGAAUUUUCCCUUUGAGAGGUUUUGGGUUUUCCUAAUGGAGAAUGAACUUUUGGAUUGCCAGCAUUUAAUAGCAUCGAAUCCCAAGGGUCUCGUAACCGUCGGUUUAAAAUUCAAAUAGAUGGGUAGAUUUCUGCCACAUCACCUGGUCCACAAUUAAAUGCGACACGACUCUUGGCAGCCUUUUCCUAUCCCGCGCGAGCAAGAACUGUCGAGUUUCUACUGUUGGCUCACUACGCUACCCAACACAAGAAACUGGGGGACUGGUGUUUGUGCGAUAUGUUUCGACGAAGACUAGCAGUGAUGAGCAGGCGUCUGGUAGCAGGGUUCCUCGAACAGGUAUAUCUUGCAAGAGUCUGGUAGCCGGGGGAGCAAGAGCAGGAGUAUCCUGCUCGUCCACGAGUACGUCAUCCACGAGGCCGGUCUCCUGUUGGGAGCGUAAAGCCAUUCCUGCUAUAUUUCUGCUAGCGGUUGAGUCGAGGAGACCCGGUCAACGACAGUUGAUGAGACAUGCUCUUCAGUUCGAGAAUCAAGGCGCGAAGGCCACGCAACCACCCACGACUACGGAAAUGGAGCAUCCACUUUCGAGAAGUGGGAGGAUGACAAGCGCAAAGGGAGGAAAUGCAUGGGCUCAGAAGUGGCCUAUAAAAAGGUAACCAACGAAGGUAAAAGGGUUAGCAAUUUUGAGAUUAUAACAGAGACUAAGGAAAUUCUAAAGAAGAGAAAACUAUUAAAAAGCCAUAAGAUCUGUGGCAAGCGUUCCCAGAGCCUUCAUAUCUGACUUGAGCGUCGGAGGGUUUACGCCGGGAAAACAACCGGCGUGCUCUGACUUGUUUCUGUGGACGCAGGAAUACUUGGAGAAGAAAGCAUACGAGGAGAGAUCCUGGUCGAGGUGAGGUUGAUCGAGCAGAUAUCCUGGUCGUAGGAAGAGCGUAACCAGAAUCUCGCAUCAACAAUUGUCUUUGCUCUCUAAUCUAUUCAAUUUUCUUUCUGGAGACAAGAUUUUGAUUCCUUUCAUCGUUACAAAAACGGAACCAUGGUUGAUGUGGGAGAGAUCUUACUCAACGCCUUCUUUUAGGUGAUGUUCGACAGGUUGGCUUCCCGUGAUUUGCUCAGCUUUGUCCGUCAACUUGGAGGGGGGGUCGAUUCCGAGCUCAAGAAGUGGGAAAGAAAGCUGAAGAUGAUUCAGGCGGUGCUCAACGAUGCAGAGGAGAAGCAACUGACGGACGAGGCUGUGAAGAUGUGGCUGGACGAUCUCCAAGACUUGGCUUAUGACGCUGAGGACAUUCUUGAUGAGUUUGCUACUCAAGCUUUGGAAAGCAAGUUGAUGGCGCAAAAUCAGGAUAGCUCUGGCCAACUUCUCAGUUUCAUCCAGGCUAGUUUGAAUCCGAAUGCUAUUAUGUUCAAUUAUAGCAUGGGGUCCAAGAUUAAAGAUAUCACUAGCCGGCUGGAGCAACUCUGCCAAGAAAGAAUUGAACUUGGACUGCAACGGAUUACUGGAGGGGCAUCAUCAACUACUGCUGCUGCACACCAGAGGCUACCCGGUUCAAUUGUCCCAACAGAACGUGAAGUAUUUGGAAGAGAAGAAGAUAAGGCCAAAAUUCUUGAUAUGGUAUUGGCCGAUACCCUAAGUGAUCAUGCCAACUUUGCUGUAAUACCCGUUGUUGGCAUGGGCGGGAUAGGAAAAACAACUCUCGCUCGGGAGGUUUACAAUGACAAGGCCGUUGGCGGUUCCAAGUUUGAUGUAAAAGCAUGGGUUUGCGUAUCUGAUGUCUUUGAUGUUUUGGGCAUCUCAAAGGCACUUCUCGAGUCAAUCACCCGCAGGCCUUGUCUUCUAAACAGUUUAAAUGAAGUGCAGGUUGAAUUGAAAGUAGCUGUGGAUAAAAAAAGAUUCUUGCUGGUCUUAGAUGAUGUUUGGAACGAGGACUACAGCUUGUGGGUAGACUUAAAAGCUCCGUUCCUGGCUGCUGCACCAAACAGUAAGAUGAUCGUCACCACACGCAAUUCAAAUGUUGCAUCAACAAUGGGACCAAUUGAACAUUACAAUCUCAAGAGUUUGUCAGAUGAUGAUUGUUGGUCCAUUUUCAUAAAGCAUGCAUUUGAAUAUAGAGAUCUUAACGCACAUCAAAUUUCAGAAUCGUUCCGCGGGAAAGUUGUUGCCAAGUGUGGAGGCUUGGCCCUGGCAGCAAAAACACUCGGAGGCCUUCUGCAUACGACGAGGCAUGAUGCGUGGGAUGAUACGUUAGAGAGCAAAAUAUGGGAUUUACCUCAACAAAGUGGGGUUCUCCCCGUAUUAAGAUUGAGUUACCAUCAUCUUCCUUCUCAUUUGAAAAGAUGUUUUGCUUACUGUGCAAUCUUUCCAAAAGAUUAUGAAUUCAAUCAGAAGGAGCUGACUUUCUUAUGGAUGGCUGGAGGAAUUAUUCGACAGUCACGAAACAGUGAGCAGCUGGAAGAUUUGGGCAGCAAGUGCUUUCAAGAUCUAGUGUCAAGGUCUAUUUUUCAACAAACCAGCUCUGGUAGUUCUAAAUUUGUAAUGCCCUAUCUUAUCCAUGAUCUUGCUGAAUUGGUUUCUAGAGGGACCAUUUUCAAGUUAGAGGAGUCCACCAACUUGUCGUCGAGGAGAUUUGAAAGAGUUCGCCAUUCUUCCUAUGCCCGCGGUUGGCAUGACGGUAAAAAUAAGUUUGAGGUUUUCUAUGAAAUUGAACAUCUACUAACAUUCUUGCCAUCACGCAUAAGAGGUGGCACUAAUACGAGUUACAUAACUCGAACGGUUCUAUCUGAUUUGUUGCUGAAUUUCAAAAGUUUGAGGAUGUUAUCUUUACAAGGAUACUGUAUUGGUGAGUUACCAAUUUCAUUUGAAGAUUUGAGACUUUUAAGGUUUCUCAACCUUGCUUACACUGACAUAAGAAGUUAUCUGAGUCAACAUGCAAAUUGCUGAACUUGGAAAUUUUGAUAUUAAGAAAUUGUUCUCGUUUGAUAAAGCUUCCACCCAAAAUGAGGAAUUUGAUCAAUUUACGCCAUCUCGAUAUAAGAGGUGCGAAGUUGCUGAAGGAGAUGCCAUUCGGAAUGAAAGAGUUGAAGAAGCUUCAAACAUUGUCCAAUUUUAUUGUGGGCAAGGGUGAAACUGCAUCUUGUUUGGAAGAUUUAAAAUGUUUAAACUUUCUUUGUGAUAAACUUUGCAUUGCUGGAUUAGAGAAUGUUAAUAAUCCACAGAAUGCAAGAGAAGCCGCAUUAUGUGAGAAACACAAUCUUGAAGCAUUGACUCUGGAUUAGGGGUUUCAAUUUGACAAUUCCUGAGGAGUAGUAGAAGAGCAUGUACUGGAAAAUCUACAGCCUCAUAAAUGUAUAAAAAAGGUGGCGAUCCGGAACUAUGGUGGUGCAAGAUUUCCCCUUUGGAUAGGAGAUCCUUUGUUCUCCAGGAUAGAGCUCCUAAAAUUGGAGAACUGUGACAAUUGUGUAUCUUUGCCAUCGCUUGGCCUAUUGAGUUCACUUAGACGGCUUGCUGUUAAAGGGCUGAAUAAACUAAAAAGCAUAGGGUCUGAGGUUUAUGGGGAGGGUUUCUCAAUGCCUUUUCCAUCAUUGGAGAUUCUAAGUUUCGAGAAUUUGCCAGAAUGGGAGCAUUGGGACACCGAUGUCAAAGGAAAUGUGCUUGUUGAAAUAUUUCCUCGUCUCCAUCAACUUUCCAUUGUGGAAUGUCCCAAACUCUCGGGAGAACUGCCUGAGCUCCUGCCCUCCUUGGAGACACUUUUUGUUAGUAAAUGUGAAAAGUUGGUAGUUCCAUUGUCUUGCUAUCCGAUGCUCUGCAGAUUAGAAGUUGAUGAGUGCAAGGAACUAGCAUGCGGGACUCCAAUUGAUUUUAAGUUGAUAACGUCUGUGACUAUUUCAAAUAGUUCCUUAGACAUGAAUGGAUGCAAGGGGAUGCUAUACGAUGGUCCAGCUGGCUCUUCACUACCAAAGCCUAUGAUUACUACAAAUGUUUCGGAGUUUGGAAAAUUAUUGAAGCCUGGAUUUCAGAUAUUAGAAACUUUGGUAAUUGCCAAUUCUGAACAGCUCAAGUCAUGGAGGCAGAAUGGGGAUUUUCCGGAAAAAUACACGGCCCCUGAACAUAGGUUUAAGAAACCAGUACGAGGGCUGAAUAUGCUCGCUUCCCCUGAAGAGGUAACAAUUGAAGAAAGUUGCGUACGUCUUGUUUUGUUUCCAGAGAUCAAUUUCUUUCCCAGAAAUCUGCGCUCUCUUCUAAUUAACAACAACACUGCUUUCAAAUCCUUACCCGAGGAAAUGAUGGAAAACAAUUCACAACUCGAAAGGUUGUAUAUCAGAGAUUGCGACUCUCUAACAUUCAUCGCAAGACGGAGGCUACCAGCAUCUCUUAAAAGGCUUGAGAUAGAAAAUUGUGAGAAAUUGCAACGUCUGUUCGAUGAUGAAGAGGAUGCUUCUUCUUCUUCACCUUCACCCUCGUCUUCCCCAGUGAUGCUGCAACACCUGAGUAUAGAGAACUGCCCAGAGCUCACCAGUUUAUCAUCGGGUGUCCAAUUCCUUGAGGCGCUUGAAGACCUCGACAUACAGGGUUGUCCAAAGCUGGAGUCAUUACCGGAUGGCCUGCCCAAUCUUAAAUGUUUACAGAGCAUUUAUAUACGGGGAUGUCCAAGUCUUGUUUCCUUCCCAGAAAGAGGGCUUCCCAACACGAUUUCAAGGGUUGACAUUUGCAGUUGUGACAAGCUCAAAGCCUUGCCCAAUGAUUUGCACAAACUCAACUCUCUUCGAGAUUUAAGAAUACGGCUGUGUCGAAAUCUUGUAUCGUUUCCAGAAGAAGGUUUUCCUACCAAUCUAACAUCACUUACAAUUGGAAAUUUCAAAAUGUAUAAGACACUCGUCCAGUGGGGGUUGCACGGGCUUACCUCUCUUAAACGCCUCUCGAUCAGUGGAUGUCAUGAAGCAGAGUGUUUUCCAGACGAGGAGAUAGGAAUGACGCUGCCCACCUCUCUCACUCAACUGCUCCUUUAGGGAUUCGAAAAACUGAUAUCUCUGUCUUCGACGGGUUUUCAAAGCCUCAACUCUCUUCAAUACUUAUUGAUCUGGGGUUGCCCAAAUCUCACAUCAUUCCCAGAGGCGGGUCUUCCAUCCUCACUUUUGGAUUUAGGCAUUUACAAUUGUCCAAAGCUUAAAAGAGCGUGCAAAAGAGAUCAAGGAAAAGAGUGGCCCAAAAUUGCUCACAUCCCUCGCAUUGAGAUAGACAGAAAAUUCAUAUACGAUCCAGAAUCAGAGGAGUAGAUUCUAUUACAAAGGUCAGUUGAUUUCUAUUAUCCUCUAUAACAAGCUCCUCUUAAUUUUUUUUUUCUAAGUAAUAAUUUUGCAGUUCUGUAUAAUUAUUAAUCGUCUGCUCUUAAUUGAAAAUGUCACUCACUUGAUUCCGUUUUCACUAGUCAAAUUGUAUGUUGAGGCUAUUUGCUUUUUAAUUAUAACACUUAUCUUAAAAUUUAAUACCAAAUUUUUUUGAUUCACUUCAAUUAGCAUUUUGUUUUCCCCAAAUUAGGCAAGCCGAGAGCUUCAUUAACUAGAGUUUUUUAUUUUUCGGACCUUGCAUCUGAAAGGUUCAGUGUAUUUUUUUUUUUUUCAAAUUUAUUGUUCAGAUCUCAGACGAGUAUACGGUUUAGAUUACAAAACACCUAUGAUUAAUUUCUUUUUUUUUUUUUUAAUUUCAGGGAGAAGAAGUGGUCAGUUUCAAUCCGGAAUUGGAAUAUGGCAAUUUGGUUCAAGCACACACACCUGGUCACUUGGUCAGUGAACCUGAACUUUACGCAGUUUUUUCAACUCAGUGAUUUUUGGAACGCAUAUUGGUGUAAGGAAAUCAAUAGAAAUUUAUGCAUAGUCAAAUUCUGAUAUUUGCUAUAAUAUUAUACAUUCUAAAGUUUCUCCAGUUUGUUCUCAGAUUACCAUCAUUUUUUGCCUUCACCAAAAAAAAAUCGAGUGGCUUUCCAGUGGAUAUUUAAUCGGAGGUAUGACUGGAUUUUUUUCACUUCUGUAAAUCUUGCAUUUUAAACUGGCAAAUUUAACUUUAAUUUUAAUACGACUUGUUUGAGGGAAAUACUCCGACGAGACCAGACGUGAUGAGCAGAUGUUUGGUGGCAGAAGUCUGCGAGCAGGUGUGUCCUGUAAGAGCCAGGUAGCAGGGAAACAGGGGCAGAAAUAUCCUGCUCAUCCACGAGCAUGUCAUCCGCGAGGCCAAUUUCCUGUAAGAAACAUAAAGCCAUUCCUGCUGUAUUCUUGCUAAGGGUUGAUUCGAGGAGACCCGGUCAACGACAGUUGGCGAGGCAUGCUCUCCAGCCCGAGAAUCUAGGCACGAAGGCCACGCAACCACCCACGACUACGGAAAUGGGGAAUCCACGUUCGAGAGGUGGGAGGAUAACAGACGUAGACUGCGGAAAACUGGGAUUCAGAGGAAGCCUAUAAAAAGGUAGCCAACGAAGGUAAAAGGGUUAGCAAUUUUGAUUCUAAAAGAGAGAAAACAACCUAACAACCAUAAGAUUUUUGGCAAGCGUUCCCCGAACCUUCAUAUCUGACUUGAGCGUCGGAGGGUUUGCGCCGGGAAAACAACCGGCGUACUCUGACCUGUCUGUGUGCGCAGGAACCUCUGGAGAAGAAGCUUUACGAGGAGAGAUCCUGGUCGUGGUGAAGUUGAUCGAGCAGAGACCCUGGUCGUAGAACGAGGAGAACCAGAAUCUCGCAUCAACACGACUUUGUUGGUGCCUUGUGUUCCAGAAACUAGAAUGAUGUGUAGUUUUCAGAUUAAGGGGCUUGUAAAUUCUCUAGUAAGAAUCCAAUAAUUUGCUUUUGCACAUUCAUUUUAUUUGUGGAUCCUUGCAUCUGAAUUUGAUCAAUCCAAAAGGAAUUGCUUUUAGACAGAAGAAGAAUUGCAGUACCUAGCCUACGACAUAGUAAAUGGACCUGCAAACCUGUAACUAUUAGUUUGAGGUAAAAAAUUCAUGACCCUCACAUGUUAACUUCUUCUAGUUACUUUCAUCAAAAACACAUUUAAGAAAUUUGCAAUUUUUUGUUAGUUUUGUAUACCGAUGUUGUUUUCUGUUUUAGCAUUUGUAUAAUCUACUGUAUUAUAUUUUGGCGGUUGCAGUAUCUGAGGUAUCUUUUGCAUUUAACUUGCUUUAUUUGUUUUGCUUGUGACUUAAGAACACCAAUAUUUGCCAGAGAUUUAGAGAAGCAUAUCAAGAUGCUUGGCAAACUUGACAAACUUCAAGAUCCUUCAUUCUUCACGACCCAAAACUUGUGAGUACACUUAUGCCCGCAAUUAUUGUGAAACGCUUGCAAUUUUGAUGCAGCGAAAUGGUUUGUUGAUGCAAAGGUUUAAACUUUUAAGAUUUACACUGCAGGGUAGUUGGAUGCUGUAUAGUCGAACGGCCACCAACAUCAAGAACUAUAACUCCAAGACCGGGUUUGCAUUAAUUCAAUCAGCUGAAAUAAUGAUGCAAAUGACACUAUCAGCUGGACUUAGAGACCAGUCAGAUCAAUCAUCCUUUUAUCAACAGUUAAUGUCAUGAUGGUGUCUAUCGGAGGAAACAAAGGAUGUGUCGGAAUCAAUAUGAACAGUGAGAAGAAUGAGAGGAGCUUUGAUUAUAAGUAGGCUCAAUGAACUCAUGCUGGUAAGUGGUAAUUAAAGAAAUUUGUGCGCUUAGUAGCAUUCAAUAUUUUCUGUUUGGGAUAUAGUUGAUGAGUUGAUACUCUGAUUAAGAAGCCUGAUUAUAGUAGCUGACUUUUUUUUUGUGGUUUGCUGUUGUUUAUUCUUUCGAUUAAUUUCAACAUUAGGUUGAUCUGUUGAAGAACAAACUUGGGUUUGAUUAUGCUUUAACUACAAGGAAGAGCCAGACUUGGAUGCAGGCGUUCAGCUUUUAAUGGGUAAGAACAAAUGUAUGCUUUAACCAUGUUUCUCACUUAUUACAAUGCACACAUUGAAGGCAUCUGAGCUGAUCCUGAAAAUGUGAUGGAAAUACUUCUCUGUUUACAUAAAACAGACAAAUAGAGAUCUCUGAUCAUGCCUGAGAAUUCGUUGCAUUUAAAAUUUCUACCAUUGCCAAAAAUAGAAUAAACUACGGAUACAUUAGCUUAAGACUCAAUUUUGAGAAGGAAGUUUGCACAUGCAGCCUAAAAAAUCACGUCCGUGUUGUAUACUUGUAUGUUUCUUUGGGAAAUGAAAGAUUCUGUGUUCUUUUAUUUCAAGUUUGCUGAAAUCACAUUUGUUUUCUUAGAUGCUUUUGGGAAGGUAACAACAUCAAUUUCAUAAAUGCUGGGGUAAGAUGCAUCACGCAGUGCUACUCAACAUGAGAAUUCCCGGCCGCAUUACCUGUAUGUUGAGUGAUCGCACAGUACAACCUUUAGAAGCUUGUAAGGAGUAGACAACUAGAUGCGAAUAGUUUCAAUAUGGAUUCGCAUCAAAUGAUCUCUUGCCAGUGAUUACUAUAACCUCUAUCCCAAAAUUCUUGGAACUGGUCAUACCAAUAAUGAAGUAUUGUGUACGUUGAAGACGUAGCUCAAGGCCUUGCGAAAGCUCCGUCAGCCUUUGUAUUGGAAAACAGUUGGUUGUAGUUGCUUCUGAAUGAUAUUAUUAAUAGAUACUGUAAAAAUGAAGUGUGCCACUCAUUUUCAGAGCCCUGUUAAGAUGUGUUGGUAAUGUGUUUGAAGGUUGUUUGAUUUGUGUUGUAUUCAGCUAUAAAUCAAAGAUUCAGAACAUGGUUAUGUUACUGGUUUCCAAAUAAAAAAAUUGCCUUGUGAUGUUAGUGUUCAUUGUUUUCACAGGAGAUCAGGUUCCCUGUUGAUGAAUCAAGAAGGCAAACGCAUCCAUGCCUUAAGUUCAAAUGUGUCUCUUCUAUUUUCUAUUACUGACUCCUUUAUUUUGAUUUCUUCAUUGUAAUGGAAUUGGUUUUCAUUCCAAAUUAGUCAAAACCUCCUAGAGUCAUUAAGUUCUGUUAGCAUUUGAAGAUAGAACUAGAACUAAAUGAUUGACUGGAUUAAAUUCCGAUAAAGAAUUAAGUUAUGUAUUUAGAGAUAUUUUGUUUUUUUUUUCAUUUGUUCAAUUUGGUUAGUGGUGAUUUCUUAAAGACUCAAUCCAUGUGCGUUUAUGCAUUUUUCUUUUGCCUUAAUUUCUGUUUCUUGGGGAGUUUAUACAGAUUCUUAUUUUAUGCUUCACAUGCCACAUGAAAGAUCGAAGCAUUUUGUGUGAUUAGAACUGACUUGCAUCACAGUAACUUUAAACCACUGCCACAUUUUUAUAAUAACAGUCUGAGAUCUCCCUGAAGGAUUCAAAGCAUUUUAUUUUAUAUUAACCUCCUUUAAGUGGGUUUCGACACUACCACAAGUUCUUUAAAUACUAAAACGAUUUUGAGUCUUUUGUAUCAUCUGAUUGAAAUACCUGAAAGCACUCGUGGCUGCAAAAAUAUAUCGAUUUUGAGUAUGGCGUGCAUGUAAAUUAUAUCGAUUUUUUCUAUAUGACAAGUAAGACUCUCUUUUACAAUGGCACGGAUGCGUCAUUGAGUAAUCAUGAUUCUUGCUGGUAGUGCUUUGUUGUAUCAAUCUGCUAGCUAUUCAGCUUUCUUUCUUUCUUUCUUCUUUUUUUUUUUUUUUUUUUGUUUUCAAAUAGCUUGUGGUUGUAGAAAUAUUUCAAUUAAACUAUACUUAAGUACUUAUUUAGUAUAACUUCUUUACUAGCCAAAAUAAUUUUUUUUUGGUUUUUUAUAAUUUAAUUAUACUUUAACUAGAGUUUUUGGGAUUAAACAAGUGAUAAUUUCUCUCUAUUAAGAAAAACUCAAAAUUUUUUAAUUACUAGAAUGCGUCUAAAUUAAAUUACAAUUAUAGACACUAAAAUAUAGUAAAUUUUUUUUUUUACUCUUUAAAACUGUCUUUACAUUCGAUAUCAUAUUUUUUUCUUAAAAUCUAAAUUGAUAUUUUUAUUUUAUUUUUGAUUAAUCUUAGAACACAUAUAAAGUGAUUCAUAUUGAUUUUAUACUAACAAACUAUCAUAGCACAUUCGAAAAUAAUUAACUCGUUCUUAUUUGCAUAGUGAAAAAGGCAAAUAGCUCACCCAAAUGUUAAGGAACUGGAGAGCUGCUGCUGGAGACGAAAGGAUGUGAAAAGCAUGGUAAAGAAAAAUUGCAUAAUUCUCACUUAGAAGAGGAAGAAAAAAAAAAUACAAUUAGAAUGAGAGGUAGCCAGUAGCCAGUAGCCGCCACCACCACCAGUCAAACUAUUUCGACACACUAAUACUGUAAUACAUAUCAAAAUGCAAUAUCGGUCCUAACAAAAUGAAAAUAAAAAUUCAUUACGAAUAUGUGUUAAAGAUAUCCCAAGUAUUGAUGUGAUUGAAAUAUUUGAGAUUGAAGUAGAAAUAAGACUCAAAAUCAAUUGAGAGGAAUAAAUGAGAAACUCUAAUACUAAUAAAAUAUAUUCACAAAUCCUAAUGCUAAUUAAAAUCACGGAUUAAAAAAAAUAAUAUGAAUGAAUUACAGGCGCAACUGUUUCAUUAAAAAAUUAAUAAAAUCGUGUAUUAAUAUUUUGUACACAUACAUUUUUCCAUAUAUAACUUUUGGUAAUUUAGUUUUCCACUUAUCAUUUUUACUCCAAAAAAAUAAUUGAGAAUAUUAUUUAUGUUUUGGUGCAAAAUAUUUAAACAACAUAAAAAUUUUCAGUUUAAUAAAUCUAAACAAUUCUCAAGUUAUAAAUGAAUUUAAUGGGUUUAAUUAGUAAAAAUACUAUUAUUUUAUAAAUUGGGUUUAGUAAUGGUAUAUUGGGUAUUUAAAUGGGUUUGUUGAGUAAAUUUUAAAAUUUUAAAGUUCAAGGGUAGGUUUAUUUAGUAAAUGGGUUAAUGCAGCAAUUUUCAAACUAAAUUUUUGGAAAAAGAGGCUAUUGAGUUUUUUUUAAGAAAAAGAAUUAAAAUGUUGAGAAUACCUUUAUUUAAUUUUAUAAUCUAAUUUUAAAAAAUUUACCCAAUAAAUUUUAUAAUUUUUUAUAAAAAUUAUCAUUAACAUCCAAACAGCUGAAGAUUAAAAAAAAAAAAAGAAGGGAACUGUACUAGCAAAAGUUAGAUUAACAAUAAAUUUAGUCCAAAGAAUAAAGUUAUAGCUAAAAAGUGCUCCUAUCCUAUUUUUCUCUAUUUUAACAAUAAUCUUCCAAUCCAUUUUACAAUGGACUUAACAAAUGGGCUCAAUCUCUAAACUUCAUUUUCUUUUGCUAACCCAUGGCCAUUAGCCAGAAAGCCUAAAACAAUUUUAGGAUCACAUGUGUAAAUGGAACCCCAAGAUUGAUCAAGAAUUAACAAGACAAGAUGAAGAGAUGAUCUUGUAACUAAGAAUGAAGAAAUUGAAUCAAGACAGUACUCUAGUAAAACCCAGAAAACAGAGCUUGAAGAAUCACGCACAAAGCAGUAAAUUUGUAAAACCAGAAUUGGAGCUUCACUUCUCAAGAUAGACGAAACAGGAUACAAUCUAGCUUUGGUCAACUUCGUUUGGCCACGUCAUAAAGUCUUCCCCCACAGUCUUUCCCGCCAAAACAGAAAAGCUUUAAAAGCCAUUUACCCUCCUGAGUUACUUGCUCCUAUUACAUCAAGGCCCUGUAAGUCUAUAUUUAUUAUUACAAAAGCACCCUUAAACCGAGAUUUGAGAUAUUUUUUCAAAGAUCGAAGCGCAUGAUUUCACGGCUAUGUUGCAUAGUGAAUUUUAGUGCUUUACAGUUAAGGGAUAGUUUAAAUUCAUUACAAAGCAUUCGCAAAGAAAUUGUUUUUAAAUGAAACUCCUCGUCUUGACCAGAUUAUUUAUUAUUAUUAAAAAAAAAAUGUUCAAAACUUAGCCAAAGUGAUAAACUCGUAAUUAUUCUACAAAGGGAACAAUUUUGAACGGUGGGAAAUUCCAUAAUUAUGCUUUUCUGUGAAUUAUUUUAAAUAAAAUUAUAAAAAUUAAUAUAAAAUUAUAAUAAUGAUAGAGCCACAAACUCUUGUACAAAUUUAUUUUAUACAAACUCAUGUGGCAUGAUAAGAUUGGUUGAAUUAAAUAUUACUUGGCCCACAUGAUUUGUUUUUAUUAUUUUAUAUUUUUAUUCAACCAAUAAAUUAAUACCACGUCAGUUUGUACAAAAUAAAUUUAUACAAAAAUUUGUGACUCGAUCAUCACUCAUAAAAUUAAUACCCGGUAAAGACUGUAGAGAGACAAGUGCCCCCAACAGAAUCAAGUGAAUAUGCCCCACAAAGAUCACAUGAUCAUUUCUGUUCUUUUUCUUUUUGAUAAUUUUAUCUGUGGUUUCAACUUUUAUGCUUUAUUGUCGUAUCCCGUUGAGGGCUCCGCUGCACCCAUUACAACUUACCCCUAAAUUGCCUCUUACUAACUAAACCGUUAGAUUUUAUGGAAGCACGUUCAAUGUUGAAUUUUAAUUAUGUCAUCGAAUUUCGUUUAGCUCCUUAAACUCCAUUUUAUUUGUAAUUUCUUCAUAAAAUAUUCAAAGCUUCAUCAAGCUCCUGAUGGACCAUCAUGGCUAGGGGUGCAUUAGAGCCGAACUGAAAUAUGUUAGUUCAGUUCAGUUUGGUCAGUUUAAAUCGAAUGGUUUAGAAUAUAUAAACUGAUCAAUUUUAAUUUUGAAUUGAACCGAACCGAAAAUCAAUUGGUUCACUAUUAGUAUUUUUGUAUAAACAAGAAUGAUUAGUGAUUAUAAUUAAAUUGGACUAAAAAAAAUUCAAACUAAGGUGAAAAAUAUCAAAUCUUAGACAAUAUAAAAAAAAAUAUUAAAUUUUUUUAACCGAAACGAACCGAAUUAUUUUGACUCAGUUUGGUUCAUAAUUUUUUAAACCAAACUGAUUUAUUCCCACCCCCUAAUCGUGGCUCUCUAUCUUUAGUCAUUCACCCUUGAGUUUGAUGCCAAUUGUUGGGUUUCAAAUGAUUAUACACUCAAAUGGAACCCUCAUAACAAAAAACUAACAGAAACAAUAAGAACACGAUGUUAAAAUCUUAAAUCAAUCGCAAAAAAGCACCCAAAACAGAUCGAUUAGGAACAGUUAAGAACAAAAGAUUUGAUGGUUCAAAAUCAUAAUGUGACCUACGUACUUUCAUCCAAGAAUCAUACUAAUUGCUUUACUAGUUGUCAAACUCAAGAUCACAAGAUUGUUUAUCACUCUACAUAAAAAUUUUUUUUAGAAGAAAUACUCCCCAAUUUUUCUCUUAAUAGUUAUGAAUCAACACCCCUAGGAAGCCUGUUGAUUUACUUUUCCUUAUUUCCUAUGAUCGGUUGCUGCAACUUAAUCCUUGCCAAGCUCCAACAUAGUCCAAACACUUUUAACGGUACAGGCAUAGUGCACCUUCAGAAACUUUACAGCUCCUCUUAAAACCUCAGGCAUCGUAAGCACAUUAAGCAGCCGACAACACUCUUCUUCAUUUCUUCAUUGUCAAUUUCCUUCUUGGAACAUUGCUCCAUUGAGAGUCUGCUAGAAUUGCUCCAAUUAUUAUUAUUAUUUAAAAAAAAAAGAAAACCCUGCAAUAAGAGUAUAAGACUAAGCAACGGUCCUUUUUUUUUCCCCAUUCUUGAACCUAAAGUAUUUGAGUAUGCAAAUUAAUAAAUAAAUUCAUUUAUUUUUAUUAAAAUUUUGUAAAAUUAUAAUUUUUAAUAAAAAUAAUUAUUAAAAUUUUGUAAAAUCUAAAUUUAGAAAAAUUCAGUUGGGCACCUCUAUUUGAGAUUUAUUUUUUAUUAAAUUUAGGGAUAUUUUUAUAAUUAUAAUUUUUAAUUUUAAAAGUUUUUAUAAGAUAAAAUAGUCUUUUAAUUUAUUUAGGGGGUAAAAUUGGUGUUUUAUUAAAAUUAUUUAAUUGUGUUAAUGCAAAAGUGGCUAUUUGAUACAAAUGUGAAAAGAAAGGUGGUGCAAAAUAUAUGUUAAAAUUUUAUAUUGGUUGGAUGAACAUAAGCUAAAAUAAAGGUGGUGCAAUGAUAAUUUCCCUAUCCUAAAACUUAAUUGACUUAAUUCUUACGGUGCAAGGAAGAGGUUUCCAAGUUUAAAUCUAAAGGCUUGUAUUUAAUUUGGGGUUGGGAAAGCACUGAGAAAUAAAUGUAACUAAGGAAAAAAAAAAAGUCACGCAGUCCAAAUAAGUAGAUAUAUUUAAUAUGAGGUGGGGAUGGGUGAACUGUAAUUCAGAAAAAAAUAAAAUAAAAUUUUAUAUAAAGUUGAGGGUGUGUUUUAAUGGUUUCUUAUGCUGCGUUUAUUUUUUGGACUAGAGUGAGAAUUCUAAAAAGUGAGAAUCCUAUGAUUAGGUGUGUGGAGUGGGAGUGGGAGUAUGGUAUUUACUUAGACUAAAUAAAAGUAUGGAUUGUCAAUCAGAAUCUCAAUUAUUUGUUACUUUGUCUUGGAUUGAGAGUAAAUUAUUUUAAAUUACAAUUUUAUCCUUAUGUAAAGAAUUAUAAUUUGUAAUUAAAAAAUUAAUAAAAAUAUAUUGGAAAAUAAAAUAAAUAUUUUAUUAUAUUUAUAAAAUAAUAAUAAUUAAUAAAAUUCUUAAUUAUGUAAAUCAUAAUUUUUUAUUAAUUUAAAUUUAAAUUAUGUGAAUAAAAUUAUUAAUAAUAGCAACACAAAUGAAACAUUAUUAUUAAUAAUAUAGUAUAAAAUUAAUAUUUUUUUAGAAUAAAAUAUUUAUUAUUAUUAAAUAAAUAAAUAAUAUUUAUUAAAAUUAAUGUUUAAUAUUAUUAAUUUAAAUAUAAUAUUUAUUUAUUUUUAUUUUAUUUUAUUAAAUUUAAUAAAAUAAAUAUGUUAUAAUUAUUAUUUUUAAUAAAUAUGAUAUUAUUUAUUUUAUUAAAUAUUAUUUAUUUAUUUUAAUUAUGAGGGUAAAAAUGGAAGAGGGGGAGUGGAUUCCCACUCCCACCUCCCCCCAUGGGAGUGGGAAUCCCACUCUCCCCUUAAAAAUGGUAAGUAAAUAUUAGAAUGGGAAGAAUCUACACUCUACACUUUCUAGAAAAUAAACACUACCUUUAUUUAAAUCGAUUUGUUGGAUAUUUAGCUAAAAUGAGAGUAGCUCUCUAAUAAUUAUUGCAUUAUUACAAACAUAUCCAACGGUUAUAAUAGCGCGCUGAAUCAAUGCUUCAGAAGGAUGACAGUCUGAGUGAAAAGGAAAUAAACGCUUUCAAUUGAAUUACUACCACUACACUCCAAUACUCUAUUAUUGUUUGUGUGCUUGCUUGUGGACCUUUUUACUUCUUACUAUCAUUAUUGAAUUCCAUUUCCAAAUUUUCAGCAUACUUUUGCUUUCUUUCAGUAUCUUCAGUUUCUCUUUUGCUUGCUAUCAAUUCAGUUUUCUUCUUGUGAAGAUCGAACGGAACCAUGGUUGCUGUGGGAGAGAUCUUACUCAACGCCUUCUUUCAGGUGUUGUUUGACAGGUUGGCUUCCCGUGAUUUGCUCAGCUUUGUCCGUCAACUUGGAGGCGGGGACGAUUCCGAGCUCAAGAAGUGGGAAAGAAAGCUGAAGAUGAUUCAGGCGGUGCUCAACGAUGCAGAGGAGAAGCAACUGACCGACGAGGCCGUGAAGAUGUGGCUGGACGAUCUCCAAGACUUGGCUUAUGACGCUGAGGACAUUCUUGAGGAGUUUGCUACUCAAGCUUUGGAAAGCAAGUUGAUGGCGAAAAAUCAGGAUCGCAUUGGCCAGGUUCUUAGUUUCAUACCGGCUAGUUUGAAUCCGAAUGCUAUUAUGUCCAAUUAUAGCAUGGGAUCCAAGAUUAAAGAUAUUACUAGCCGGUUGGAGCAACUCUGCCAAGAUAGAAUUGAACUUGGGCUGCAACGGAUUGCUGGAGGGGCAUCAUCAACUACUUCUGCUGCACAUCAGAGGCGAGACAGUUCGAGUGUCCCAACAGAACGUGAAGUAUUUGGAAGAGAAGAAGAUAAGGCCAAAAUUCUUGAUAUGGUAUUGACCGAUACCCCAAGUGAUCGUGCCAACUUUGUUGUAAUACCCAUUGUUGGCAUGGGCGGGAUAGGAAAAACAACUCUUGCCCGGGAGGUCUACAAUGACAAGGCCGUUGAAGAUUCCAAGUUUGAUGUAAAAGCAUGGGUUUGUGUCUCUGAUGUCUUUGAUAUUUUGGGCAUCUCAAAGGCACUUCUCCAGUCAAUCACCUCCGCAGCUAGUGAUCUCAAGACUUUAAAUGAGGUGCAGGUUCAACUGAAAAAAGCAGUUGACGGAAAAAGAUUCUUGCUGGUCUUAGAUGAUGUUUGGAACGAGAACUACAACUUGUGGGAAGACUUAAAAGCUCCGUUCCUGGAUGCUGCACCAAACAGCAAGAUGAUCGUCACCACACGCAAUUCAAGUGUUGCAUCAACAAUGAGACCCAUUGAACAUUUCAAUCUCAAGAGUCUGUUGGAUGACGAUUGCUGGUCCAUUUUUAUAAAGCAUGCAGUUGAAGGUGGAGAUCUUAACGAGGAUCAAAUUUCAGAAUCAUUCCGCAAGAAAGUUGUUGGCAAGUGUGGAGGCUUGCCUCUGGCAGCAAAAACUCUCGGGGGCCUUCUGCGUACGACGAGGCAUGAUGGGUGGGAUGGUAUAUUGGAUAGCAAAAUAUGGGAAUUACAUCAACAUAGCAGCAUUCUCCCUGUGUUAAGAUUGAGUUACCAUCAUCUUCCGUCUCAUUUGAAAAGAUGUUUUGCUUUUUGUGCCAUCUUUCCAAAAGAUUAUGAAUUCACUGAGAAGGAGCUGACUUUCUUAUGGAUGGCUGGAGGUAUUAUUCGACAGUCAAGAAACAAUGAGCAGCUGGAAGAUUUGGGCAGCAAGUGCUUUGGUGAUCUAGUGUCAAGGUCAAUUUUUCAACAAACAGCAAUCUCUGAUAGUUCUAAAUUUGUAAUGCACGACCUUAUCCAUGAUCUUGCUGAAUUGGUCUCUGGAGGAACCAUAUUUAGGUCAGAGGAGGCCAAUACUCUAUCAAGAAGAUUUGAAAGGGUUCGCCAUUCUUCCUAUACCCGUGAUUGGUAUGAUGGUAAAAAUAAGUUCGAGGUUUUCAAUGAAAUUGAACAUCUACGAACAUUCUUGCCGUUAAGAGGUAACUAUUGUACUAGUUACAUAACUCGACCGAUUCUAUCUGAUAUGCUGCCAAAGUUCAAAAGGUUGAGAACGCUAUCUUUACAAGGAUACUGUAUUGGUGAGUUACCAAUUCCAUUUGAAGAUUUGAGACUUUUAAGGUUCCUCAACCUUGCUGACACUGACAUAAGAAGUUUACCUGACUCAACAUGCAAAUUGCUGAACUUGGAAAUUCUGAUAUUAAGAAAUUGUUCCCGUUUGAUAAAGCUUCCGCAGAAAAUGAGGAAUUUGAUCAAUUUAUGCCAUCUGGAUAUAAGAGGUGCGAAGUUGCUGAAGGAGAUGCCAGUCGGAAUGAAAGAGCUGAAGAAGCUUCAAACAUUGUCCAAUUUUAUUGUAGGCAAGGGUGAAUCCGCAUCUGGUUUGGAAGAUUUAAAAAGUUUAAACCUUCUUUGUGAUGAACUUUGCAUUGCUGGAUUAGAGAAUGUGAAUAAUCCACAGAAUGCAAGAGAAGCCGCAUUAUGUGAGAAGCACAAUCUUGAAGCAUUGACUCUAACAUGGUGGCCUCAAUUUGACAGUCCUCGAGGUGUAGUAGUGGAAGAGAAUGUACUUGACGUUUUGCAGCCUCAUAAAUGUAUAAAAAAGGUGGCAAUCAGGAACUAUGGUGGUGCAAGAUUUCCACCUUGGAUAGGAGAUACUUUAUUCUCCAAGAUAGAGCUCCUUGAAUUGAAGAACUGUGACAAUUGUGUGUCUUUGCCAUCGCUUGGCCUAUUGAGUUCACUUAAACACCUUGCUGUUAAAGGGCUGAAGAAACUAAAAAGCAUAGAGUCUGAGGUUUAUGGGGAGGGUUUGUCAAUGCCUUUUCCAUCGUUGGAGGUUCUAAGUUUUGAGAAUUUGCCUGAAUGGGAGUAUUGGGACACCAAUAUCAGAGGAAAUGUGCUCGUUGAAAUGUUUCCUCGUCUCCAUAAACUUUCCAUUGUGGAAUGUCCAAAACUCUCUGGGGAACUGCCUGAGCUCCUGCCCUCCUUGGAGACACUUGUUGUUAUUAAAUGUGAAAAUUUGGUAGUUCCAUUGUCUCGCUAUCCGAUGCUCUGCAGAUUAGAAGUUGAUGAGUGCAAGGAACUAGCGUGCGGGACUCCAAUUGAUUUCAAGUUGAUAAAGUCUGUGACUAUUUCAAAUAGUUCCUUAGACAUGGAUGGAUGCAAGGGGAUGCUAUACGAUGGUCCAGCUAGCUCUUCACUGCCAAAGCCCACGAUUACUACAAAUGUUUUGGAGUUUGGAAAAUUAUUGAAGCCUGGAUUUCAGAUAUUAGAAACGUUGGUAAUUGGCAAUUCUGAACAGCUCAAGUCAUGGAGGCAGCAUGGGGAUUUUCUAGAAGAAUAUAUGGUCGCUCGCCAAAGGUUUAAGAAACCAGUACAAGGGCUGAAUAUGCUCGCUUCCCCUGAAGAGGUAACAAUUGAAGAAAGUUGCGUACGUCUUGUUUUGUUUCCAGAGAUCAAUUUCUUUCCCAGAAAUCUGCGCUCUCUUCUAAUUAACAACAACACUGCUUUCAAAUCCUUACCCGAGGAAAUGAUGGAAAACAAUUCACAACUCGAAAGGUUGUAUAUCAGAGAUUGCGACUCUCUAACAUUCAUCGCAAGACGGAGGCUACCAGCAUCUCUUAAAAGGCUUGAGAUAGAAAAUUGUGAGAAAUUGCAACGUCUGUUCGAUGAUGAAGAGGAUGCUUCUUCUUCUUCUUCUCCUUCAUCCUCGUCUUCCCCAGUGAUGCUGCAACGCCUGAAUAUAAAGAACUGCCCAGAGCUCACCAGUUUAUCAUCGGGUGUCCAAUUCCUUGAGGCGCUUGAAGGCCUCGAGAUAUGGGAUUGUCCAAAGCUGGAGUCAAUACCGGAUGGCCUGCACAAUCUUAAAUGUUUACAGAGCAUUCAUAUAGAUGGAUGUCCAAGUCUUGUUUCCUUGCCCAAUGACAUGCACAAACUGAACUCUCUUCGAGAUUUAAACAUACGGGCGUGUCCAAUAUCGUUUCCAGAAGAAGGUUGUCCUACCAAUCUAACAUCACUUACACUUGGAUAUGUCGAAAUGUAUAAGACACUCGUCCAGUGGGGGUUGCACAGGCUUACCUCUCUUAGAAGCCUCGACAUUUUUGGAUGUGAUGAUGAAGCAGAGUGUUUUCCAGACGAGGAGAUAGGAAUGACGCUGCCCACCUCUCUCACUCAUCUGCACCUUUUUGAUUUCGAAAAAUUGAGAUCUCUGUCUUCGACGGGUUUUCAGAGCCUCACCUCUCUUCAAUCUUUGGAUAUCUGGUUUUGCCCAAAUCUCACAUCAUUCCCAAAGGUGGGCUUUCCAUCCUCACUUGUGGAAUUACGCAUUAGAGAUUGUCCAAAGCUUAAAAAAGCGUGCAAAAGAGAUCAAGGAAAAGAGUGGCCCAAAAUUGCUCACAUCCCUUGCGUUGAGAUAGACGAUAAAUUCAUAUACCAUCCAAAAUCAGAGGUGUAGAGUGUAUUAUUAAGGUCAGUUGAUUUAUGUUAUCCACCAUAACAAGCUCCUCCUUUUUUUUUAAAUAAUAAUUUUGCAGUCACUCGCGUGAUUCCGUUUUCACAAGUCAGAUUGUAUGUUGAGGCUAUUUGCCUUUUAAUCGCAGAUUAAAUUAUAACACUUAUCUUAAAAUUUAAUACCAUAGACAGAUAGACGAUUUUUUAAUCCAAAGUUUUUUUAUUCACUUCAGUUAGCAUUUUUUUUUUCCCCAAAUCAUGCAAGCCGAGAGUUUCAAUCAACAGAAUUUUAUUCACUCAUUGACUUUUCAACUGCUGUGGUUAUUUAUGGGUGAAAGAUAAAUUUCUUAGAUGGUAGAUAUAUCGACAUUUUAGAUUUCAGAUAUUUGUCACCAAUUUCAUUCCUUUUUUUAAAAUUUUUUUUAAGCAAGUUUGACUAAUUUUAACCAGAAUUGGAGUAUAAUAUUUUGGAGCAAGCAUACUUGAAAUUUCUGUCUUCAAUUUUUUUGAUGCUUUUUUAAUUUUGAUCUAGUAAAAAUACAUAGCCUUCACCGGCAGGAUUCUAGUCUUGGCUUUCACCUCUCUAACUCAUCUGUCCCUAUUGGGAUUCCAGAAAUUUAAAUUUCUGUCUUCAAUGGGUUUUCAAAGCCUCACCUCUCUUCGAUUUUUGUGGAUUGGGAAUUGCACAAAUCUCACAUCAUUUCCCGAGGUCGAGGAAAAGAGCGGCCCAAACUAUCAGCGGUGUUGAUUCUCUUAUUAAGGUCAGCUGAUUUCUAUUAUCCACUCUGACAAUCUCCUAUUAGUGUUUUUUUUUUAAAAAAUUUGCAGUUCUGUAUAAUUGAAAUGCCACUCACUUGUUUCCUUCUUCACAGGUCAGAUAGUAUGUUAAAGCUAUUAGUGCUGCCUCAUAGGUUGAUUACUCACAGAUGAAAUCAUAACUUUUAUCUUAAAAUUUAAUAGCAUACACAGAUAGACGAUUUUUAGUCCAAAGUUUUUUUUAUUCACUUCAAUCAAAAUUUUAGAUUGCAGAUUUUUGUCGAGUAUUUUCAUUCCAAUUUUUUCAUUUUUUAUUUUAAACCAGAAUUGGAGUAUAAAAUUUUGGAGCGCGCAUACUCUGAUGCAUGCAAUUAACUGUUUUUAAUCGUUGGAUUUUGAAAUUAAUGAUGGUAAGAUGUGUACUUAUUCUUUCUUCCAACAACCUUGCCUUCUUUCUUCGGUCGCAUAUCUAAUGAAUAUUUCUCUGUUUAGUUAAGGAUGAAUGCUUGGAGUGGGGUACUUGGUAACAUUUCUGCCUUAGAUGAAUCCUUGAAGAAAUGCCCGCAGUUCCUGAGACCAAAUACAGGUCUGAUUCAAAACAGCACCUUUCCCAGAAAAUAUGAUCCAAGGCAAAGUCAUGUUCUGAUAAUGUUUCCUUAAGUACUAAGUUGCAAGGAAACUUGAUUCAUUAACUACAGUUUUUUAUUUUUAGGACCUUGUAUCUGAAAGGUUCAGUGUUUUUUUUUUUCAAAUUUAUUGUUCAGAUCUCAGAGGAGUAUAUGGUUUAGAUUACAAAACACCCAUGAUUAAUUUCAUUUUUUUUUUAAUUUCAGGGAGAAGAAGUGGUCAGUUUCAAUCCGGAAUUGGAAUAUGGCAAUUUGGUUCAAGCAAACACACCUGGUCACUUGGUCAGUGGUCACUUGGUCAGCGAACCUGAACUUUACGCAGUUUUUUCAACUCAGUGAUUUUUGGAACGCAUAUUGGUGUAAGGAAAUCAAAAGAAAUUUAUGCAUUGUCAAAUUCUGAUAUUUGCUAUAUAUUAUACAUUCUAAAGUUUCUCCAGUUUGUUCUCAGAUUACCAUCAUUUUUUGCUUUCACCAACCAAACAAAAACAAAAUGAGUGGCUUUCCGGUGGAUAUUUAAUCGGAGGUAUGACUGGAUUUUUUUCACUUCUGUAAAUCUUGCAUUUUAAACUGGCAAAUUUAACUUUAAUUUUAAUAGGACUUUGUUGGUACCUUGUGUUCCAGAAACUAGAAAGAUGUGUAGUUUUCAGAUAAAGGGGCUUGUAAAUUCUCUAGUAAGAAUCCAAUAAUUUGCUUUUGCACGUUCAUUUUAUUUGUGGAUCCUUGCAUCUGAAUUUGAUCAAUCCAAAAGGAAUUGCUUUUAGACAGAAGAAGAAUAGCAGUACCUAGCCUAUGACAUAGUAUAUGGACCUGCAAACCUGAAACUAUUAGUUUGAGGUAAAAAAUUCAUGACCCUCACAUGUUAACUUCUUCUAGUUACUUUCAUGAAAAACACAUUUAAGAAAUUUGCAAUUUUUUGUUAGUUUCGUAUCCGAUGUUGUUUUCUGUUUUAGCAUUUGUAGAAUCUACUGUAUUAUAUUUUGGCAGUUGCAGUAUCUGAGGUAUGUUUUGCAUUUAACUUGCUUUGUUUGUUUUGCUUGUGACUUAAGAACACCAAUAUUUGCCAGAGAUUUAGAGAAGCAUAUCAAGAUGCUUGGCAAACUUGACAAACUUCAAGAUCCUCCAUUCUUCACAACGCAAAACUUGUGAGUACACCUAUGCCCGCAAUUAUUGUGAAAUGCUUGCAAUUUUGAUGCACUGAAAUGGUUUGUUGAUGCAAAGGUUUAAACUUUUAAGAUUCACCCUGCAGGGUAGUUGGAUGCUGUAUAAUCGAAAAGCGACCAACAUCAAGAAUUAUGACUCCAAGACCGGGUUUGCAUUAAUUCAAUCAGCUGAAAUCAUGAUGCAAAUGACACUAUCAGCUGGACUUAGAGACCAGUCAGAUCAAUCAUCCUUUUAUCAACAGUUAAUGUCAUGAUGGUGGCUAUCGGAGGAAACAAAGGAUGUGUCGGAAUCAAUAUGAACAGUGAGAAGAAUGAGAGGAGCUUUGAUUACAAGUAGGCUCAAUGAACUCAUGCUGGUAAGUGGUAAUUAAAGAAAUUUGUACGCUUAGUAGAGUUUCAAUAUUUUCUGUUUGGGAUAUAGUUGAUAAUUUGAUACUCUGAUUAAGAAGCCUGAUUAUAGUAGCUGACUUUUUUUUUGUGGUUUGCUGUUGUUUAUUCUUUCGAUUAAUUUCAACAUUAGGUUGAUCUGUUGAAGAACAAACUUGGGUUUGAUUAUGCUUUAACUACAAGGAAGAGCCAGGCUUGGAUGCAGGCGUUCAGCUUUUAAUGGGUAAGAACAUAUGUAUGCUUUAACCAUGUUUCUCACUUAUUACAAUGCAUGCAUUGAAGGCAUCUGAGCUGAUCCUGAAAAUGUGAUGGAAAUACUUCUCUGUUUACAUAAAACAGGACAAGAGAUCUCUGAUCAUGCCUGAGAAUUCGUUGCAUUUAAAAUUUCUACCAUUGCCAAAAAUAGAAUAAACUAGGGAUAGAUUAGCUUAAGACUCAAUUUUGAGAAGGAAGUUUGCACAUGCAGCCUAAAAAAUCAUGUCCGUGUUGUAUACUUGUAUGUUUCUUUGGGAAAUGAAAGAUUCUGUGUGUUCUUUUGUUUCAAGUUUGCUGAAAUCACAUUUGUUUUCUUAGAUGCUUUUGGGAAGGUAACAACAUCAAUUUCAUAAAUGCUGGGGUAAGAUGCAUCACGCAGUGCUACUCAACAUGAGAAUUCCCGGCCGCAUUACCUGUAUGUUGAGUGAUCGCACAGUACAACCUUUAGAAGCUUGUAAGGAGUAGACAACUAGAUGCGAAUAGUUUCAAUAUGGAUUCGCAUCAAAUGAUCUCUUGCCAGUGAUUACUAUAACCCCUAUCCCAAAAUUCUUGGCAUUGGUCAUACCAAUAAUGAAGUAUUGUGUACGUUGAAGACAUAGCUCAAGGCCUUGCGAAAGCUCCGUCAGCCUUUGUAUUGGAAAACAGUUGGUUGUAGUUGCUUCUGAGUGAUAUUAUUAAUAGAUACUGUAAAAAUGAACUGUGCCACUCAUUUUCAGAGCCCUGUUAAGAUGUGUUGGUAAUGUGUUUGAAGGUUGUUUGAUUUAUGUUGUAUUCAGCUACAAAUCAAAGAUUCAGAACAUGGUUAUGUUACUGGUUUCCAAAUCAAAAAAAUGCCUUGUGAUGUUAGUGUUCAUUUUUUUCACAGGAGAUCAGGUUCCCUGUUGAUGAAUCAAGAAGGCAAACGCAUCCAUGUCUUAAGUUCAAAUGUGUCUCUUCUAUUUUCUAUUACUGACUCCUUUAUUUUGAUUUCUUCAUUGUAAUGGAAUUGGUUUUUUAUUCCAAAUUAGUCAAAACCUCCUAGAGUCAUUAAGUUCUGUUAGCAUUUGAAGAUAGAACUAGAACUAAAUGAUUGACUGGAUUAAAUUCCGAUAAAGAAUUAAGUUAUAUAUUUAGAGAUAUUAUGUUUUUUUUUUUUUCAUUUGUUCAAUUUGGUUAGUGGUGAUUUCUUAAAGACUCAAUCCAUGUGCGUUUAUGCAUUUUUCUUUUGCCUUAAUUUCUGUUUCUUGGGGAGUUUAUACAGAUUCUUAUUUUAUGCUUCACAUGCCACAUGAAAGAUCGAAGCCUUUUGUGUGAUUAGAACUGACUUGCAUCACAGUAACUUUAAAUCACUGCGACAUUUUUAUAAUAACAGUCUGAGAUCUCCCUGCAGGAUUCAAAGCAUUUUAUUUUAUAUUAAACUCCUUUACGUGGGUUUGGACACUACCACAAGUUCUUUAAAUACUAAAACGAUUUUAAGUCUUUUGUAUCAUCUGAUUUAAAUACAUGAAAGCACUCGUGGCUGCAAAAAUACAGUUGGGGCUAUUUCUAAAGUCUUCAACAGCAUUUUCUUUUUAACCUUUAUCCUCAUGGUUGUUUUUGCAGUUGUUCUUUAAGAAAACAUUUAAAAGGUUCUCUUUAUGGAUUUUUGAAAAUAAUUUUAACAUGAGCAAUUUUCAGAAGCACUUUAGAUGUCUGGCAUUUAGGAAAUUUUAUUUCGGUGUCACAUAAAAUACUUAGGAAGUUAAAUUUAUUUAUUUAUGAGCAUGUGCCAGUGCCCAGUGGCAUCCUCUUCACUUGUGAUAGUCAAAUGUAUUAUACGAUACAAUAUUAGCUUGACUGUAGCACAGAGGAGAAUAGGGUUGGUGUUGGUCUGAACCAGCUUAUGUAACAGCUGCCAAAGGAUAAUUUAAUUGUACUUUGAGUAAAGCUUUUGCGAAUUAAACAAGUGAUAAUUUGUUUUUAUUAAGAAAAACUUAAGGAAUUAGGCUAUUUUAACUGACCAAAUUACACAUUAAAAAUUCAUUUACAAAAAUAGUUUUUAGUUAUUAAAAUAUUCCUAAAUUAAAUUAUAAUUAUGGACACUAAAAUAUUUUUUUUAUAUUUUACUCUUUGAAACUGUCUUUAUAUUCGAUAUUAUAUUUUUUUCUUAAACUCUAAAUUGAUUUUUUUUUUUGAUUAAUUUUAAAACACCUAUAAAGUGAUUCAUAUUGAUUUUAUACUAACAAACUAUUAUAGCACAUUCGAAAAAUAAUUAAAUCGUUCUUAUUUACAUAGUGAAAAUGCAAAUAGCUCGUUCAAAUGUUAAGGAAUUGGAGAGCUGCUGCUGGAGAUGAAAGAUGUGAAUUAAACAUCAGAAAAAAAAUUAUGUUUACUAUCUUGCCAGACCAAGCACCGAAAAGCAUCGUAAAGAAAAAUUAGAUAAUUUAGAAGAUAAAGCACGUGGAAUGGAGGCAGAAAGCAAGUAAUGAUAACUCUUUCGACAAACUAAUAUAUACCAAAAUGCAAUAUCAAAAAUGAAAAUAAAAAUUCAUUACGAAUACGUGUUAAAGAUAUCCCAAGUAUAGAUGUGACUGAAAUAUUUGAGAUUGAAGAAGAAUUAAGACUCAAAAUCAAUUGGGAGGAAUAAAUGAGAAACCUCAAUACCAAAAAAUACACGCGCAAAUCCUAAUACUAAUUGUAAUUGCAGAUAAAUAGCAUAAUACGAAUAAAUUCCAUGGGCAACUAUUUCAUUGAGAAAUUAAUUAAAUCGUGUAUUAAUAUUUUGUAUACAUAUAUUUUUCUAUAUAUGACUUUCGGUAAUUUAAUUUUCCACUUAUCAUUUUUACUCCAAAAAAAUAAUUGAGAAUAUUAUUUAUGUUUUGGUGCAAAAUAUUUGAACAAUAUACAAAUUUUCAGUUUAAUAAAUCUAAACAUCUAUUAAGUUAUAAAUGAAUUUAAUGGGUUUAAUUAAUAAAAUUACUAUUAUUAUAUAAAUUGGAUUUAGUAAUGGUACAUUGGGUGGGUUUGUUGAGUAAAUUUUAAAAUUUUGAAAUUUAAGGAUGGGUUUAUUUAGUAAAUGAGUUAAGGGAGUAGUUUGUUGGGAUUCACAUAACGCCACCAAAUUCAAAUGUAAAAUUUAUGGAAAAAGAAGCUAUUGAGUUAUUCUUUUUAAAAAAAGAAUUAAAAUGUCAAGAAUACCUUUAUUUAAUUUUAUAAUCUUAUUUUAUAGUCAUAUUUUAUUUCCACCUUAACAUAAUUUUAAAAAACCUUAACUAAUAAAUUCUAUAUUUUUUUUAUAAAAGUUAUCAUUAAUAUCCAAACGGCUAAAGAUUUUUUUUUUUAAAAAAAAAGAAACUAUGCUUACAAAAGUUGUAUACAUUAACAAUAAAUUUAGUCCAAAGAAUAAAGUUAUUCCAAACAAGCACUCCUAUUCAUCUUGCUAAUGAAUCAAGAUGACUGAAUCCAUUCUCUAAGCCAAAUCUAUUUUCACUUCUAGGUCAGAAAUUGUCAUUAAAAAAGUGUUUGAUAAAAUAUGCUCUGGGAACACUAAUUCGUCAGAUGGUUACUCCAAGUUUAUGAAAUCAAUGGGGUUUCAUCAUAUUCAUAACAUUCUUCUUUAAUGUCUAUUCUAACAAAGAAAUUACUAGAAAACUUUUACUAGAAAAACUAACCACAAUUCAUCAUUCAUUUAUAUCUUAAGUAAGCGUAAGAUUUUAUCAUUAAAAUCUCAUCAUGAAAAAACUCAUGGGAGAAAAACUAUAAAAAUUGAAGAAAAAAGAGUAUGGCGUGCAUGUAAAUUAUAUCGAUUUUAUCUAUAUGACAAAUAAGACUCUCUUUUACAAUGGCACGGAUGCUUCAUUGAGUAAUCAUGAUUCUUGCUGGUAGUGCUUUGUUGUAUCAAUCUGCUAGCUAUUCAGCUUUCUUUCUUUCUUUCUUCUUUUUAUUUUUUUUGUUUUCAAAUAGCUUGUGGUUGUAGAAAUAUUUCAAUUAAACUAUACUUAAGUACUUAUUUGGUAUAACUUCUUUACUAGCCAAAAGAUUUUUUUUUUGGUUUUUUAUAAUUUAAUUAUACUUUAACUAGAGUUUUUGGGAUUAAACAAGUGAUAAUUUCUCUCUGUUAAGAAAAACUCAAACGGUAGGGUUAUCUCAAUCCACCAAACUAUUUAUUAAAAAUCCACUUAUGAAAAUAAUUUUUAAUUAUUAGAAUGCCUCUAAAUUAAAUUACAAUUAUAGACACUAAAAUAUAGUAAAAAAAAUUUUUUUUUACUCUUUAAAACUGUCUUUACAUUCGAUAUCAUAUCUUUUUCUUAAAAUCUAAAUUGAUUUUUUUUUUAUUAAUCUCAGAACACAUAUGAAGUGAUUCAUAUUGGUUUUAUACUAACAAACUAUCAUAGCACAUUCGAAAAUAAUUAACUCGUUCUUAUUUGCAUAGUGAAAAGGCAAAUAGUUCAUCCAAAUGUUAAAGAAUUGGAGAGCUGCUGCUGGAGAUGAAAGAUGUGAAAAGCAUGGUAAAGAAAAAUUACAUAAUUCUCACUUAGAUGAGGAAGAAAAAAAAAAGAAUACAAUUAGAAUGAGAGGUAGCCAAUAGCCACUAGCCGCCGCCACCGCCACCAGUGAAACUAUUUCACAUAAUAGAAGAUAAAGCACGCGUAAUGGAGGCAAAAAGCAAUUAAUGAUAACUCUUUUCGACACACUAAUACAUAUCAAAAUGCAAUAUCGGUCCUAACAAAAUGAAAAUAAAAAUUCAUUACGAAUAUGCGUUAAACAUAUCCCAAGUAUUGAUGAUGUGAUUGAAAUAUUUGAGAUUGAAGUAUAAAUAAGACUCAAAAUUAAUUGAGAGGAAUAAAUGAGAAACUCUAAUACUAAUAAAAUACAUUCACAAAUCCUAAUGCUAAUUAAAAUCACGGAUUAAAAAAAAUAAUAUGAAUGAAUUACAGGCGCAACUGUUUCAUUAAGAAAUUAAUUAAAUCGUGUAUUAAUAUUUUGUACACAUACAUUUUUCCAUAUAUAACUUUUGGUAAUUUAGUUUUCCACUUAUCAUUUUACUCCAAAAAAAUAAUUGAGAAUAUUAUUUAUGUUUUGGUGCAAAAUAUUUAAACAACGUAUAAAUUUUCAGUUUAAUAAAUCUAAACAUUUCUCAAGUUGUAAAUGAAUUUAAUGGGUUUAGUUAGUAAAAAUGCUAUUAUUAUAUAAAUUGGGUUUAGUAAUGGUAUAUUGGGCAUUUAAAUGGGUUUGUUGAGUAAAUUUUAAAAUUUUAAAAUUUAAGGGUGGGUUUAUUUUAGUAAAUGGGUUAAGGCAGCAAUUUCCCAAACUAAAAUUUUUAGAAAAAGAGGCUAUUUAGUUUUUUUUUUUAAAAAGAAUUAAGAUGUUGAGAAUACCUUUAUUUACUUUUAUAAUCUUAUUUUAAAAAAUUUACCCAAUAAAUUUUAUAAUUUUUUACAAAAAUUAUCAUUAACAUCCAAACAGCUAAAGAUUAAAAAAAAAAAAAAAGAAGGGAACUGUACUAGCAAAAGUUAGAUUAACAAUAAAUUUAGUCCAAAGAAUAAAGUUAUAGCUAAAAAGUGCUCCUAUCCUAUUUUUCUCUAUUUUAACAAUAAUCUUCCAAUCCAUUUUACAAUGGACUUAACAAAUGGGCUCAAUCUCUAAACUUCAUUUUCUUUUGCUAACCCAUGGCCAUUAGCCAGAAAGCCUAAAACAAUUUUAGGAUCACAUGUGUAAAUGGAACUCCAAGAUUGAUCAAGAAUUAACAAGACAAGAUGAAGAGAUGAUCUUGUAACUAAGAAUGAAGAAAUUGAAUCAAGACAGUACUCUAGUAAAACCCAGAAAACAGAGCUUGAAGAAUCACGCACAAAGCAGUAAAUUUGUAAAACCAGAAUUGGAGCUUCACUUCUCAAGAUAGACGAAACAGGAUACAAUCUAGCUUUGGUCAACUUCGUUUGGCCACGUCAUAAAGUCUUCCCCCACAGUCUUUCCCGCCAAAACAGAAAAGCUUUAAAAGCCAUUUACCCUCCUGAGUUACUUGCUCCUAUUACAUCAAGGCCCUGUAAGUCUAUAUUUAUUAUUACAAAAGCACCCUUAAACCGAGAUUUGAGAUAUUUUUUCAAAGAUCGAAGCGCAUGAUUUCACGGCUAUGUUGCAUAGUGAAUUUUAGUGCUUUACAGUUAAGGGAUAGUUUAAAUUCAUUACAAAGCAUUCGCAAAGAAAUUGUUUUUAAAUGAAACUCCUCGUCUUGACCAGAUUAUUUAUUAUUAUUAAAAAAAAAUGUUCAAAACUUAGCCAAAGUGAUAAACUCGUAAUUAUUCUACAAAGGGAACAAUUUUGAACGGUGGGAAAUUCCAUAAUUAUGCUUUUCUGUGAAUUAUUUUAAAUAAAAUUAUAAAAAUUAAUAUAAAAUUAUAAUAAUGAUAGAGCCACAAAUUCUUGUACAAAUUUAUUUUAUACAAACUCAUGUGGCAUGAUAAGAUUGGUUGAAUUAAAUAUUACUUGGCCCACAUGAUUUGUUUUUAUUAUUUUAUAUUUUUAUUCAACCAAUAAAUUAAUACCACGUCAGUUUGUACAAAAUAAAUUUAUACAAAAAUUUGUGACUCGAUCAUCACUCAUAAAAUUAAUACCCGGUAAAGACUGUAGAGAGACAAGUGCCCCCAACAGAAUCAAGUGAAUAUGCCCCACAAAGAUCACAUGAUCAUUUCUGUUCUUUUUCUUUUUGAUAAUUUUAUCUGUGGUUUCAACUUUUAUGCUUUAUUGUCGUAUCCCGUUGAGGGCUCCGCUGCACCCAUUACAACUUACCCCUAAAUUGCCUCUUACUAACUAAACCGUUAGAUUUUAUGGAAGCACGUUCAAUGUUGAAUUUUAAUUAUGUCAUCGAAUUUCGUUUAGCUCCUUAAACUCCAUUUUAUUUGUAAUUUCUUCAUAAAAUAUUCAAAGCUUCAUCAAGCUCCUGAUGGACCAUCAUGGCUAGGGGUGCAUUAGAGCCGAACUGAAAUAUGUUAGUUCAGUUCAGUUUGGUCAGUUUAAAUCGAAUGGUUUAGAAUAUAUAAACUGAUCAAUUUUAAUUUUGAAUUGAACCGAACCGAAAAUCAAUUGGUUCACUAUUAGUAUUUUUGUAUAAACAAGAAUGAUUAGUGAUUAUAAUUAAAUUGGACUAAAAAAAAUUCAAACUAAGGUGAAAAAUAUCAAAUCUUAGACAAUAUAAAAAAAAAUAUUAAAUUUUUUUAACCGAAACGAACCGAAUUAUUUUGACUCAGUUUGGUUCAUAAUUUUUUAAACCAAACUGAUUUAUUCCCACCCCCUAAUCGUGGCUCUCUAUCUUUAGUCAUUCACCCUUGAGUUUGAUGCCAAUUGUUGGGUUUCAAAUGAUUAUACACUCAAAUGGAACCCUCAUAACAAAAAACUAACAGAAACAAUAAGAACACGAUGUUAAAAUCUUAAAUCAAUCGCAACGGUCCUUUUUUUUCCCCAUUCUUGAACCUAAAGUAUUUGAGUAUGCAAAUUAAUAAAUAAAUUCAUUUAUUUUUAUUAAAAUUUUGUAAAAUUAUAAUUUUUAAUAAAAAUAAUUAUUAAAAUUUUGUAAAAUCUAAAUUUAGAAAAAUUCAGUUGGGCACCUCUAUUUGAGAUUUAUUUUUUAUUAAAUUUAGGGAUAUUUUUAUAAUUAUAAUUUUUAAUUUUAAAAGUUUUUAUAAGAUAAAAUAGUCUUUUAAUUUAUUUAGGGGUAAAAUUGAUGUUUUAUUAAAAUUAUUUAAUUGUGUUAAUGCAAAAGUGACUAUUUGAUACAAAUGUGAAAAGAAAGGUGGUGCAAAAUAUAUGUUAAAAUUUUAUAUUGGUUGGAUGAACAUAAGCUAAAAUAAAGGUGGUGCAAUGAUAAUUUCCCUAUCCUAAAACUUAAUUGACUUAAUUCUUAUGGUGCAAGGAAGAGGUUUCCAAGUUUAAAUCUAAAGGCUUGUAUUUAAUUUGGGGUUGGGAAAGCACUGAGAAAUAAAUGUAACUAAGGAAAAAAAAAAAGUCAUGCAGUCCAAAUAAGUAGACAUAUUUAAUAUGAGGUGGGGAUGGGUGAACUGUAAUUCAGAAAAAAUAAAAUAAAAUUUCAUAUAAAGUUGAGGGUGUGUUUUAAUGGUUUCUUAUGCUGCGUUUACUUUUUGGACUAGAGUGAGAAUUCUGAGAAGUGGGAAUCCUGUGAUUAGGUGUGUGGAGUGGGAAUGAGAGUAGGGUAUUUACUUAGACUAAAUAAAAAUAUGGAUUGUCAAUCAGAAUCUCAAUUAUUUGUUACUUUGUCUUGGAUUGAGAGUAAAUUAUUUUAAAUUACAAUUUUAUCCUUAUGUAAAGAAUUAUAAUUUGUAAUUAAAAAAUUAAUAAAAAUAUAUUGGAAAAUAAAAUAAAUAUUUUAUUAUAUUUAUAAAAUAAUAAUAAUUAAUAAAAUUCUUAAUUAUGUAAAUCAUAAUUUUUUAUUAAUUUAAAUUUAAAUUAUGUGAAUAAAAAUUAUUAAUAAUAGCAACACAAAUGAAACAUUAUUAUUGAUAAUAUAGUAUAAAAUUAAUAUUUUUUUAGAAUAAAAUAUUUAUUAUUAUUAAAUAAAUAAAUAAUAUUUAUUAAAAUUAAUGUUUAAUAUUAUUAAUUUAAAUAUAAUAUUUAUUUAUUUUUAUUUUAUUUUAUUAAAUUUAAUAAAAUAAAUAUGUUAUAAUUAUUAUUUUUAAUAAAUAUGACAUUAUUUAUUUUAUUAAAUAUUAUUUAUUUAUUUUAAUUAUGAGGGUAAAAAUAAAAGAGGGGGAGUGGAUUCCCACUCCCACCUCCCCCCAUGGGAGUGGGAAUCCCACUCUCCCCUUAAAAAUGAUAAGUAAACACUAGAAUGGGAAGAAUCCACACUCUACACUUUCUAAAAAAUAAACACUACCUUAAUUUAAAUUGAUUUGUUGGAUAUUUAGCUAAAAUGAGAGUAGCUCUCUAAUAAUUAUUGCAUUAUUACAAACAUAUCCAACGGUUAUAUAUGCUUGCCUGUGGAAAUAAAAGUCCCAAGUUUCUUUGAAAGGUAAGCUAGUGUGAAUGUUUUCAUCCGUGCAACUUACUUGAUGAAUGAAGUUUUCAUCCCUGACCUUGAUGUUUCUGGUGGCUACAAUCAUUUCAGCUGAUCUAUUCCAUUUUGUUAAGGUGAGAAUUUAGAGUGGCUUUAACUGUUAGCAAAUAGCCUAAUGUAAGACUUGAUCAACUUCCUGCCCUGUUGUAUGCUUAUGAAUUUUGAUAGAGUUAUGAGUUUGCAGAAGCUACUGUAUUAUAUGUUGUUAGAGGCUGUAAAAAUGAGGCAGAUCAAACACACAUUUAAAUUUCAAUGACAAUUUACUAGAAGUAAAUUUCCUAUGACCCUCCAGGUGACUAAUCAAUGAGAACUUGACAAUAACAAAAGAAAGUGUAUGAGCUUUGCAGGCGGGCACGCCAAUCUUGACUGCAUGGCACCAUCCGCCAUUUGCAAGUGAAUAUCAUUAUUGUUUAAUCAACAUGGUGGAGUCCACUGGGACCACACCACAUGGUCAGUCUUAUCUCUAUUCCUCAAUUUUCAGUAUUCCAUACAUCAAAACAAUUUCAGUUUUGUUAUCAAUUAUAAUUUCAUUGUUGGAGACGAUUCUGAUUCCUUUCUUUCUGACAAAACGGAACCAUGGUUGCUGUGGGAGAGAUCUUACUCAACGCCUUCUUUCAGGUGUUGUUUGACAGGUUGGCUUCCCGUGAUUUGCUCAGCUUUGUCCGUCAACUUGGAGGCGGGGUCGAUUCCGAGCUCAAGAAGUGGGAAAGAAAGCUGAAGAUGAUUCAGGCGGUGCUCAACGAUGCAGAGGAGAAGCAACAGACUGACGAGGCUGUGAAGAUGUGGCUGGACGAUCUCCAAGACUUGGCUUAUGACACUGAGGACAUUCUUGAUGAGUUUGCUACUCAAGCCUUGGAAAGCAAGUUGAUGGCGCAAAAUCACGAUAGUUCUGGCCAGGUUCUCAGUUUCAUCCCGGCUGGUUUGAAUCCGAAUGCUAUUAUGUUCAAUUAUAGCAUGGGGUCCAAGAUUAAAGAUAUCACUAGCCGGCUGGAGCAACUCUGCCAAGAAAGAAUUGAACUUGGACUGCAACGGAUUACCGGAGAGGCAUCAUCAACUGCUGCUGCUGCUGCACACCAGAGGCCACCCAGUUCGAGUGUCCCAACAGAACGUGAAGUAUUUGGAAGAGAAGAAGAUAAGGCCAAAAUUCUUGAUAUGGUAUUGGCCGAUACCCCAAGUGAUCAUGCAAACUUUGUUGUAAUACCCAUUGUUGGCAUGGGCGGGAUAGGAAAAACAACUCUUGCCCGGGAAGUCUACAAUGACAAGGCCGUUGAAGAUUCCAAGUUUGAUGUAAAAGCAUGGGUUUGCGUAUCUGACGUCUUUGAUGUUUUGGGCAUCUCAAAGGCACUUCUCGAGUCAAUCACCCGCAGGCCUUGUCUUCUAAACAGUUUAAAUGACGUGCAGGUUGAGCUGAAAGCAGCUGUGGAUAAAAAAAGGUUCCUGCUGGUCUUAGAUGAUGUUUGGAACGAGGACUACAGCUUAUGGGUAGACUUAAAAGCUCCGUUACUGGUUGCUGCACCAAACAGCAAGAUGAUCGUCACCACACGCAAUUCAAGUGUUGCAUCAACAAUGAGACCCAUCGAUCGUCACCACACGCAAUUCAAGUAUUACGAUCUCAAGAGUCUGUUAGAUGAUGAUUGCUGGUCCAUUUUCAUAAACCAUGCAUUUGAAUCUACAGACCUUAGCGCACAUCGAAUUUCAGAAUCAUUCCGCGAGAAAGUUGUUGGCAAGUGUGGGGGCUUGCCUCUAGCAGCAAAAACACUCGGGGGCCUUCUUCGUACUAAAACGCAUGCUGAGUGGGACGGUAUAUUGGAUAGCAAAAUAUGGGAUUUACCUCGGCAAAGCAGCAUUCUCCCCGUGUUAAGAUUGAGUUACCAUCAUCUUCCUUCUCAUUUGAAAAGAUGUUUUGCUUUUUGUGCCAUCUUUCCAAAAGAUUAUGCAUUCACUGAGAGGGAGCUGACUUUCUUAUGGAUGGCUGGAGGUAUUAUUCGACAGUCAAGAAACAAUGAGCAGCUGGAAGAUUUGGGCAGCAAGUGCUUUGGUGAUCUAGUGUCGAGGUCAAUUUUUCAACAAACAGCAAUCUCUGAUAGUUCUAAAUUUGUAAUGCACGACCUUAUCCAUGAUCUUGCUCAAUUGGUCUCUGGAGAAACCAUAUUUAGGUUAGAGGAGGCCAAUACUCUGUCAAGAAGAUUUGAAAGGGUUCGCCAUUCCUCCUAUGCCCGUGAUUGGUGUGAUGGUAGAAAUAAGUUGGAGGUUUUCAAUGAAAUUGAACAUCUACGAACAUUCUUGCCAUUUUGCAUAAGAGGUGGCGUUACUUCUGGUUGGAUAACUAGCACGGUUCACUACGAUUUGUUGCCGAAGUUCAAAAGGUUGAGGAUGCUGUCUUUAGAAGGAUACCAUAUUGGUGAGUUACCAAUUCCAUUUGAAGAUUUGAGACUUUUAAGGUUCCUCAACCUUGCUGACACUGACAUAAGAAGUUUACCUGAGUCAACAUGCAAAUUGUUGAACUUGGAAAUUCUGAUAUUAAGAAAUUGUUCCCGUUUGACAAAGCUUCCCCAGAAAAUGAGGAAUUUGAUCAAUUUACGUCAUCUGGAUAUAAGAGGUGCAAAGCAGCUGAAGGAGAUGCCAUUUGGAAUGAAAGAGUUGAAGAAGCUUCAAACGUUGUCCAAUUUUAUUGUAGGCAAGGGUGAAUCUGCAUCUGGUUUGGAAGAUUUAAAAAGUUUAGACCUUCUAUGUGAUGAACUCUGCAUUGCUGGAUUAGAGAAUGUGAAUAGUCCACAGAAUGCAAGAGAAGCCACAUUAUGUGAGAAGCACAAUCUUGAAGCAUUGACCCUAGAAUGGGGGUCUCAAUCUGACAGUCCUCGGGAUGCAGUACUAGAAGAGAAGGUACUUGACACUCUACAGCCUCAUGAACGUAUAAAAGAGCUGGCAAUCAGGAACUAUGGUGGUGCAAGAUUUCCACCUUGGAUCAGAGAUCCUUCGUUUCCCGAGAUGAAGGUCCUUAAAUUGGAGAACUGUGACGAUUGUGAAUAUCUGCCAUCACUUGGCCUGUUGAGUUCACUUAAGCACCUUGCUGUUAAAGGGCUGAAGAAACUAAAAAGCAUAGGGUCUGAGGUUUAUGGGGAGGGUUUGUCAAUGCCUUUUCCAUCAUUGGAGGUUCUAAGUUUUGAGAAUUUGCCUGAAUGGGAGUAUUGGGACACCAAUAUCAGAGGAAAUGUGCUCGUUGAAAUGUUUCCUCGUCUCCAUAAACUUUCCAUUGUGGAAUGUCCCAAACUCUCUGGGGAACUGCCUGAGCUCCUGCCCUCCUUGGAGACACUUGUUGUUAGUAAAUGUGAAAAGUUGGUAGUUCCAUUGUCUCGCUAUCCGAUGCUCUGCAGAUUAGAAGUUGAUGAGUGCAAGGAACUAGCAUGCGGGACUCCAAUUGAUUUUAAGUUGAUAGAGUCUGUGACUAUUUCAAAUAGUUCCUUAGACAUGAAUGGAUGCAAGGGGAUGCUAUACGAUGGUCCAGCUGGCUCUUCACUGCCAAAGCCUAUGAUUACUACAAAUGUUUCGGAGUUUGGAAAAUUAUUGAAGCCUGGAUGUCAAAUAUUAGAAACUUUAGUAAUUGGCAAUUCUGGACGGCUCAAGUCAUGGAGGCAGCAUGGGGAUUUUCUAGAAGAAUAUAUGGUCGCUCACCAAAGGUUUAAGAAACCAGUACAAGGGCUAAAUAUGCUCGCUUCCCCUGAAGAGGUAACAAUUGAAGAAAGUUGUGUGAGUUUUGUUUUGUUUCCAGAGAUCAAUUUCUUUCCCAGAAAUCUGCGCUCUCUUCUAAUUUGCAACAGCACUGCUUUGAAAUCCUUACCCGAGGAAAUGAUGGAAAACAAUUCACAACUGGAAAGGUUGUAUAUCAGAGAUUGCGACUCUCUAACAUUCAUCGCAAGACAGAGGCUACCAGCAUCUGUUAAAAGGCUUGAGAUAGAAAAUUGUGAGAAAUUGCAACGUCUGUUCGAUGAUGAAGAGGAUGCUUCUUCUUCUUCUUCUUCUCCUUCAUCCUCGUCUUCCCCAGUGAUGCUGCAACACCUGAUAAUAGGGAAAUGCCCAAAGCUCACCAGUUUAUUAUCGGGUGUCCAAUUCCUUGAGGCGCUUGAAUUCCUCAAGAUAGAGCAUUGUCCAAAGCUGGAGUCAAUACCGGAUGGCCUGCCCAAUCUUAAAUGUUUACAGAGCAUUUAUUUACUCAAUUGUCCAAGUCUUGUUUCCUUCCCAGAAAGAGGGCUUCCCCACACCAUUUCAUUUGUUUGCAUUUGCGGAUGUGACAAGCUUGAAGCCCUGCCCAAUGACAUGCACAAACUCAACUCUCUUCGACAUUUAAGCAUACAGCUCUGUCCAAAUCUUGUAUCGUUUCCAGAAGAAGGUUUUCCUACCAAUCUAACAUCACUUACAAUUGGAGAUUUCAAAAUGUAUAAGAUACUCGUCCAGUGGGGGUUGCACAGGUUUACCUCUCUUAGACGCCUCUAUAUCGUUGAUUGUGAUGACGAAGCAGAGUAUUUUCCAGACGAGGAUAUAGGAAUGACGCUGCCCACCUCUCUCACUCAACUGGAACUUUCGGGAUUCAAAAAAUUGAUAUCUCUGUCUUCGACGGGUUUUCAGAGCCUCACCUCUCUUCAAAGAUUGCGGAUCUGGGAUUGCCCAAAUCUCACAUCAUUUCCAGAGGUGGGCCUUCCAUCCUCACUUUUGGAAUUACACAUUUACAAAUGUCCAAAGCUUAAAAAAGCGUGCAAAAGAGAUCAAGGAAAAGAGUGGCCCAAAAUUGCUGACAUCCCUUGCGUUGAGAUAGACAAUAAAUUCAUAUACGAUCCAGAAUAAGAGGAGUAGAUUCUACUAUUAAGGUCAGUUGAUUUGUAUUAUCCGCUAUAACAAGCUCCUCCUUUUUUUUUUUUAAAUAAUAAUUUUGCAGUCACUCACGUGAUUCCGUUUUCACAAGUCAGAUUGUAUGUUGAGGCUAUUUGCCUUUUAGUCGCAGAUUAAAUUAUAACACUUAUCUUAAAAUUUAAUACCAUAGACAGAUAGACGAUUUUUUAAUCCAAAGUUUUUUUUAUUCACUUCAGUUAGCAUUUUUUUUUUUCCCCAAAUCAUGCAAGCCGAGAGUUUCAAUCAAGAAUUGGAGCAUGGGAAUGGAAUUUUUGUGAAAACAUAAUGGAUGAACGAACAUUUCAUCUGUGAUCUCAAAGUCAACAGAAUUUUAUUCACUCAAUGACUUUUCAACUGCUGUGGUUAUUUAUGGGUGAAAGAAAGAUAAGGGCAAUUACAAAAAAUUUGCAAAAUUUGUCAAUUUCUUAGAUGGUAGAUAUAUCGACAUUUUAGAUUUCAGAUAUUUGUCACCAAUUUCAUUCCUUUUUUUUUAUUUUUUCAAGCAAGUUUGACUAAUUUUAACCAGAAUUGGAGUAUAAUAUUUUGGAGCAAGCAUACUUGAAAUUUCUGUCUUCAAUAUUUUGAUGCUUUUUUAAUUUUGGAUCUAGUAAAAAUACAUAGCCUUCACCGGCAGGAUUCUAGUCUUGGCUUUCACCUCUCUAACUCAUCCGGCCCCAUUGGGAUUCCAGAAAUUGAAAUUUCUGUCUUCAAGGGGUUUUCAAAGCCUCGCCUCCCUUCGAUUUUUGUGGAUCGGGAAUUGCACAAAUCUUACAUCAUUUCCCGAGGUCGAGGAAAAGAGCGGCCCAAACUUGCUCGCAUCCCUUGGGUUAUGAUAGAUGGAAAAUUCAUAUACGAUCCAGAGUCAGAGGUGUUGAUUCUCUUAUUAAGGUCAGCUGAUUUCUAUUAUCCACUCUGACAAUCUCCUAUUAGUGUUUUUCCCUUUUUUUUUUUCAAAAUUUUGCAGUUCCGUAUAAUUGAAAAUGCCACUCACUUGUUUCCUAUUAGUAUGUUGAGGCUAUUUGCUUUCUAUCGGUGUUUGUUAAGGUAAUUACUCACAGAUGAAAUUAUAACUUUUAUCUUAAAAUUUAUUGCCAUUGACAGAUGGACGAUUUUUAGUCCAAAGUUUUGUUAUUAACUUCAAUCAAAAUUUUAGAUUGCAGAUUUUUGUCAAUUAUUUCAUUUUUUAUUUUUAUUUUAAAGCAGAAUUGGAGUAUAACAUUUGGAGCGCGCAUACUCUGAUGCAUGCAAUUAACUGUUUUUAAUCGUUGGAUUUUGAAAUUAAUGAUGGUAAGAUGUGUACUUAUUUUUUCUUCCGGACAACCUUGCCUUCUUUCUUCGGUAGCAUAUCUAAUGAAUAUUUCUCUGUUUAGUUAAGGAUGAAUGCUUGGAGUGGUCUGAUUCACAACAACACCUCUUCCAGAAAAUAUGAUACAAGGCAAAGCCAUGUUCUGAAGCAGAAAUGAUACAGCAGUUGCGGUACCCGAGGUACCUUUUGCAUUUAACUUGCCUUUAUUUGUUUUGCUUGUGACUUAAGAACACAUCAUUUCCCAGAGAUUUGGAGAAGCAUCUCAAGAUGCUUAACAAACUUGACAAGCUUCAAGAUGCACUUGCUCCCAAGCAUUGAUUCUUCACAAUGGAAAACCUGUGAGUACACUUAUGCCCGCAAUUAUUGUUAAGUGUUUGCAAUUUUGAUGCAGCGAAAUGGUUUGUGGAUGCAAAGCUUUAAAACUGUUAAGAACUACCCUGCAGGCUUGUUGGAUGUUGUAUACUUCAAAAGCCACCAACACCAAGAACUACAACAGCAAGACUAGGUUUGCGUUGCUUCAAUCAGCUGAAAUAAUGAUGCAAAUGACACUAUCAAGCUGGACUUAGAGACUUGUCAGGUCAAUCAUCCAUUUCAUCAACAGUUAAUGUCAUGAUGGUGGCUAUCAGAGGAAACAAAAGAUCUGUUGGAAUCAAUUCAAACAGUGAGAAGCAUGAGAGGAGCAUUGAUUAUAAAUAGGCUCAAUGAGCUCAUGCUGGUAAGUGGUAAUUAAGAAAUUUGUGAGCUUAGUAUAGUUUCAAUUUUUUUCUGUUUGGGAUAUAGUUGAUAAGUUGAUACUCUGAUUAAGAAGCCUGAUUAUAGUAGCUGACUGUGCUAACUGCGUUCUUUUAUUUUUUAUUUUUUUGGUUUGCCGUCGUUUUUUCUUUUGAUUAUUUGUUCAACAUUAGAUUGAUCUGUUGAAGACUACGAGGAAGAUCCAGACUUGGAUGCAGGCGUGCAGCUCGUAAUAGGUGAGAACAAAUGAAUGCUUUAACCAUGUUUCUCACUUAUGACAAUGCACGGAUCAAAGGCAUCUGAGUUGAUCCUGAAAAUGUGAUGGAAAUAGGUCUCUGUUUUCAUAAAACAGAACAAAUAGAGAUCUCUGAUCACGCCUGAGAAUUCAUUGCAUUGAAAUUUCUACCAUUGGCAAACAUAGAAUAAACUGGGGAUACAUUAGCUUUAGACUCUAUUUUGAGGAGGAAGUUUGUACUUGCAGCCUAUAAAAUCAUAUCCCUGUUGUAUGUUUCUUUGGGAAAUGAAAGAUUCUGUGUGUUCUUUUAUUUCAAGUUUGCUGAAAUCACAUUUGUUUUCUAAGAUGCUUUACAGAAGGUACCAACAUCAUUUUCAAAAAUGCUGGGGUAAGAUACAUCGUGCAGUGCUCCUCAACAUGAGAAUUCCUGGCCGCAUUACCCAUAUGUGGAAUGAUCUGAGAGUACAACCGUGAGAAUGUUGUAAGGAGUACACAACCAGAUGUGAGUAGUUUGAAAAUGAAUUCGCAUGGAAUGAUUUCUUGCCAGUGCAGAAAUGGCUUGGUUCAAAAUAUGCUCAGCUUCAUUGACACUCUUCGGUAGGCCUCUCCGUCCUUCCAUUCUUAACUACAAUACUACUCUUGUCUGUCUAGUUAUGGAAUCUCUCUUUUAAUCCUCAAAGUUUGAAUUAUAUUAUAUUGCCUCUGUGUUACCGCAGAAACUGAGUCAGUUGGUGAUCCUUCAAAACAAGAAAAACCAAAAACAGAUACAGCGCGCGAUAAGAUAAUGAGACAGAUGGCUCCCGUUGCUGCAUGCCACUUGCUUGUGUGCGUAUUGGGACCAUCAUCAACAACAUUGACGUAAACCCAGCUCAAGGUGGGAAGCUAGUUCGAGCUGCAGGGACGUUAACCAAGAUUUUGAGAAAGAACCCACUUCAAGGUGUUGCUUAGUUAGGCUACGUUGUGGAAAUGAGAAAGUGAUUGACCCUAGAUGUCGCGCCACCAUUGGUACAGUGUCUAACCCCAGCCAUGGAGCUAAAAAGCUUAGUAAGGCAGGUCAGAGAAGUUGGUUGGGUCGAAGAGCUGUGGUUAGAGGAGUAGCCAUGAUUCCAGUUGAUCACCCUCAUGUUGAACAAAGCAAAAGUAGCGGUAACAAUGGAAGGUGUUCACUCACACCUUGGGGCAAGCCUUGUAAGUCUGGGAAUUAAACUGCAUCUCCUAAGAAGAAAGAGAAAUCAGCUGUCUGAUAAUAUUGUCCUUUUCUGCUAUUUGGUCUUUUUAACAUUGUUACACUGUUUUUACAUCUUUGAGGUUAGUUUUAGACCAAUUUUUAACUGAUCCAUAAUGAAACUGAAGUUUAAUUUUUGAUUAAACUUUCACUGGUUUUACUCUUCUGUCACUUCAAUUUAGCAUUGAUUUAAGAUACUGAAUUCUGUGCUUGGAGCUUGUAAAUUGGAAAGAGAUAUUUUGGGAUAGAAUGUAGAUUUUGUGUUUUGCUUUCUCAAGCUAGUUGUGACUUCUUAAAAGAGUCAAUCCAUGUCUUUAUAUAUUUUUCUUUUGUCUUGAUUCUGUUUCUUCAUACAGAUUCUUAUUUUAUGCUUCACAUACCACAUGAAAGAUGAAAGCCUUUUCUGUGAUUAGAAUUGACUUGCAUUAUAGUAACUUUAAACCACUUGGAUAUUUUUAUAAUAGCAGUCUGAGAUCUCCUUAAAGGAUUCAAAAGCAUCCACUGGCAUCCACUUUACUCGUAUCGGUCAAAAGUUUUGUGCAAUACAAUAUUAGCUUGACUGUAGCGCAGAGGAGAACAGGUUGGUGUUGGUCUGAAUUCUGAUAUUUGAAUAAAUAUAACAGCUCAUGUGACUCCACCACUUUUUACUUGUUCUGUAGUCUGUACCUACCUCCAUUGUCGGCACUGCCCAUACAAGGUCUUUUAGCUUUUUAAAAAGUUUCAUGAUAUUCCAUAGUUCACAUGGAUUUCUACAGUUUGUAGAAAACCUAAUUAGGGCACAUUUAAUUACUAUGCAGAAGAUUCUUUUAUCUUGCUCACCAAUAAUUCUUUGUACUUAUUUGAAAGAUGUGUUUCAAAAAAAUAAAAAAAAACUAUUUGAAAGAUGAGAAAUCCCUUAGCCGAACGACAAACUCAUCUAUCAGUCCUAUCAAAAAAAAAAAAACUCAUGUUUUAGUGGUUUUUUUUUUUCACUUGUAUUCAGUCGCACAAGUGAAGAUUGUGGGCAAUUUUUUCCUUGAGUAAAAUUGGAAUAGAUGUUUUUAUUGACACAAAUUUUUGAGCUAUGUUUGGGAAACCCUUAGACUUAAGACUUUGUUACGAUGAUAUGUAUCUAAGCUUUCAACAGACCGUUGAGGUCUUAUUAUCAAAAUACUAGAAAUUUACAAUUCAAUUUUGGUAAGGACCAAUUUAAUAAUGCUGUAAUUUUUAAAAUAAUUACCGUUAACUGUGUUGUAAAAAUAAUCAAUUAUGAAGAAAAUUAAUUAAACAUUUAGUAAACUUUAUUUUUACAAGUGCUUUGAAUUUUAAAAAUAGUCAUAUGUGUUCAGAAAAUCUCACUUCUAAAAUAGUAUAAGAAUGGAAAAAACUUAAAAAGACAAAUGUAUAAUAUUUAUUUACACAUGCAUUUAUAAAUAUGUGUAUAUAAUAACAUUUUAUGUGUACAUAUAAUAAUUGAUAACUAAAAUAAAUAUUUUUAUUUAUUAAUUAUUUUUUUGUCUCAAUGUAAUUGGUAAUACUUUUUUUUAAUCUUCUCAUCCUAAGUUUUUUUAUUGUUUUGUACAAAAUUCAAGGUUUGGACUUUUAUAAAAUGUCCACUCAAAAAUAAAUUGUUUUCUAACUAAGAUUUGUUGCUAAUGUAUAACUCAAAGUAAUACUAGCUAUUUGUAAUUUUAUUUCAAAAUUUUUAUUCAAAUGAUAUGGUAACUAAUGUACAUUAGUUGAUAGCAAUUUUUUUUUUUUUACAAUAUUCAAAUCAAUCAAUUGCAUCAUCUCAACAUUUUUAUGAUGUCGUGUUAUUUUAAACGAAUUUUUUAUUUUUAUAUAAAAUUUAUUAUGUUUAACAUCAUUUGCAUAACUUGACCUUUUUUUUUUCCUACAAAUAUUAAGUCAAAUUUACUCACCCUAUAUUUCUAUCUAAAAUCUACCUAAAACUCAUGCAUCACUGUAAAACAAAUCCAAAGAUUGCGGUACGUUUUUCUUGGUAACAAAUCAAUAAUUAGGUCAAGUACUACUACUAAGCGUGCUCAAUUAAUUCUAAAAUACUACGGUGAUCAAAAUCAUACUUGACGCAAGAGGAUAAGGGCUAAACCUCAAUUAGGCAUUAUUCAUCCAAAAUUCGUUGACCCGGCAUUCUUUGCAAGUUGUAGCACGGGACAGCUAAGAUUAGCAAAUGCUGUGGACCAUAUGCCCCCAUACAUUUGUGACAUGUGAAACUUGGCAUUAAAGGAAAGGCAACGUGUUAAAAUUUAAUAGCGCCCAAUUCUUCAUUGAAUGAUUAUCAGAUCCAAUGAGCAUCCUUUGAUUGGAUUAUUUUAAGUCAAUUAUUGGUGGAUUGGGGCCCACUUGACUCUACCAAAUCGGGCUCCACCAUAUCACCUAUUAACGACCACCUGUCCUUAUCAUAAAUAGCAAAUGUCACUUGUUUUAUUUUGUAUUUUACCAAAAGCAAAGUCACUAUGAACCCAAAUGAAAGUGACCCCAAUUUUGGGGGUCAUGAGCUUUGGAUUAUUAUGGACACAAGAGACAAGCGCAAAGUUUCUCAUUUAUCACCGGAUAAGAUUUAAGUUAUCAACCCAACAUUAAUAAAUUCUGCUUAAAGUAAAGUUUGAAGCUUCAUUUUGCGAAUAUUCAAUGGUUAACAUUUAAGUAAUUAACCUGAUAUUAAUCCAAUUAAACUUUUUAUGUAAUCCAAGUCAAAAAUAUGUUGAUAAACCUAAAUUAAUCUAAUUGGACAUAUUAUUUCAACUUGAAAAGGCGAAUCUAUCAUUUUUCAAUUAAUUUUGAAUCAAGCUAUGUAAAAUAUAAGCUUAUUAAAGACAUAUUUUUAUCAUGUUAAAAUAUCGAAAUACUUCUUACUCGUUUCGUAAUAACAUUAACAAACCUUUUGGUAAAUUUGACAGUCCAAUCAAUUCAGUUGGUUUUUUGUUAUUGAAACUCCAACAAAAUUCAUCACGAUUAUUAAAAACCCAUUAAAAAAAAAUGAAGGUAACUAUUUAAAAAAUUCUAAUUGAAUUAUUUAACAACUACAUUUCAACUAAAUUGUGUUGCUAAUUAACUUCCUCAACUUAAACUAUAUUUUUCUCAAUUAAUUCAUAACAAAUAAUGUUAGAUAUUUUAUUCGAAUAAUAACAUUCAACAUCCUUAUUCUUUAUGAUUAUUGCAUAAAAACAUAUUUUAUCCAUUUACAUCACAUAUGUUCCUAAAUUGUAUAAGAAAAUCACCAAAUUUACUCUUGUAAGUUACUAUAUCAAUGAACAUGAAAUUCACUAAUCAUUAAAGUCUCGGAAUGACAUCAUGAGAGGGAUUCAGUUACAUUUAUUGAUAGGAUUAGAUAUAUGUCUUCUCAAAUAUUAGUAGGAGCAAUUUAACAGAUGCAGCUACUAAAAAUAUAGAAUUACUUAUCUCGUCAAUAACUAACGAUAUUUUUUAUCUAUGCUCAAUAAAUUGUAAUAUUUGUAGAUUGUAACAAUUGUUAAAAAAAAAGAGCUCCCUGAGACUAAAUGACAAAAGGACUGUUUUGAAAUAGAUAGAUAAAAUAUGCCCUUAUUUGAGAAAAUGUAAAACACUAGGGAUCUAAAUGUUAUUAUAAUCCCAUGCACAAAAAUACCAAAAAUAACUAAUAACAACUAACCGAAAAUCCCAGGCGUCAUAUUCCUUUUUUCCGCGUUUUAAAAUGCCCUCUGAUUCAUUCACAGUCAGACGCUGUCGGCAUUUCUCUUCUCUCCCUCUCUCUCCACGUAUUAAAACAUGUAAAGUACGGAAAAAUUUAAAAAAAAUUUUAAAAUUACAUAAUUUAAAAGAUAUAAAAUUAUAAAUUUUUAAAAUUAUACGGUUUUAAAAUUUUUUUAAAUUUUUUCGUAUUUUAAAAUUUCAGACUAAAAAAUUAUUAUACGAAUACUUCGUAUAACCGCUUUGCGCUUAAAAUCUGUGCCUAACAAACUCACGAAAUCACUCCUCAUUUUCCUCUCUCCCUCUCCUCCUCUCAUUCCCUUUCAAAUCCUUCCACCACCUUCCCCGCCUCUCUCUCUUUCUCUCUCCCCUCACCGCCACAGCUCAACUUUUCCAUGUAAACCACCACGGGCGCCGUCGUUUCAACCUCCCACUCAUCCGACGUCGUUUUGUGUGAAUAAGAUAACGAUUUAAAUUAAAAUACGAAAAUGGAGAACUUAACGGCGCAGUUGAAGCGAGGGAUAUCGCGGCAGUUCUCGACGGGAUCGCUGCGGCGGAGCCUGACGAGGCAGAUGUCGAGGCAGUCGUCGUUCGAUCCGAGGAGGAAUAACAUGAGGUUUAGCUUCGGGAGGCAGUCGUCGUUGGAUCCGAUACGCAGGAGUCCGGUUCAGGACGAGUUGACGGUGCCGGAGAACCUUGACUCGACGAUGCAGCUGUUGUUUAUGGCAUGCAGAGGUGACGUCAAGGGAGUCGAGGAUUUGCUGAACGAAGGCAGUGAUGUCAACAGCAUUGAUCUUGACGGACGGUUUUGGCGAGAAAUCAAAGAAUUAAGAGACAAUAUUUAGUUAAGCUAAUAGUAUUUGUUCUGUUUAGUACGUCGUUUUACCAACAAGCAUCCCGGCAUUGCACGCAUUAAUAAAUUUUUUUUAUCUGUUUGGACUGAUGGUGGUAAAAAAUUCCACAUACUUUAUAUUAAAAAGGAAAAAGGACAAACACACCCCUAACGUCAACUUGGAGGGGGGUCGAUUCCGAGCUCAAGAAGUGGGAAAGAAGAAAGCUGAAGAUGAUUCAGGCGGUGCUCAAUGGUGGGUAUGACGGCAAAAAUAAGUUGGAGGUUUUCUAUGAAUUUGAACAUCUAAGAACAUUCUUCCCAUUACACAUAAGAGGUGGCUCCAAAACUGGUUACAUAACUCGUAUGGUUCUAACUGAUUUGUUGCCGAAGUUUAAAAGGUUGAGGGUGCUAUCUUUACAAGGAUACCAUAUUGGACCAAUUCCAUUUGAAGAUUUGAGACUUCAAAGUAUAAUUACCCAAAGUGUAUACAAUAAAAGCCAAAUUUAAGAAAUUCCUGAACCUUGCUGACACUGACAUAAGAAGUUUACCAGAGUCAACAUGCUCAAUGUUGAACUUGGAAAUUUUGAUAUUAAGAAAUUGUUUCCGUUUGAUGAUACUCCCACCCAAAAUGAGGAACUUGGUUAAUUUACACCCAGACUCUUUUCUUUUGACAUGGGGUUAACGAUCAAAGUUGGUUUCGUGCGGUAUAUAUUUACAAAUUGAUAGGUAUGCCUGGUGUUGAUGCAGGAUUCCGGUUCUUCUCGUUCUACGACCAGGAUCUCUGCUCGAUCAACUUCGUCACGACCAGGAGGUCUCCUCGCAAGACUUUUUCUCCAGAGAUUCCUGCGCACACAGACAAGUCAGAGUACGCCGGUUGUUUUCCCGGCGCAAACCCUCCGACGCUCAAGUCAGAUAUGAAGGUUCGGGGAACGCUUGCCACCGAUCUUAUGGCUUUUUCGUGGUUUUCUCUUCUUUUUAAUUCCUUUUCUAAUGAGAAAAAUGCCAACCCUUUUACCUCGUCGGCUACCUUUUUAUAGGCUUCCUCUGAAUCCCAGUUUUCCGCUCUUUUCGAGACGGUAUGGGACUCUGACUGCUGUGUUAUGGGCAAACGUGGGAUCUUGCGUGUUACGCCACCGUUCUGGGAAAAGCGCGGCAGUCGUGGUUCUGUGAGAUCUUGCGUGUUACGCCACGGUUCUGGGGAAAGCGUGGCUGUCGUGCUUAGGUUCUCGGGCUGGAGAGCAUGUCUCGUCAACUGCCGUCGACCGGGUCUCCUCGCCUCUCGACCUCUAGCCGGAAUGACCUUAUGCCUCUUACAGGAAAUUGGCCUCGCGGAUGACCUGCUCGUGGACGAGCAGGAUAUUUCUGCUCCUGUUCCCCCGCGUACCAGGCUUUUACGGGACACACCGGUUCGCAGAACUCUGCCAUCAGAUAUCUGCUCACCGUGCCUGGUCUCGUCGACGUAUUUCUCCCAAACACCGGUCCCCCAGUUUCUGGUGUUGGGUAAUGUAGUGGACCAGCAGUAGAAACUCGUUAGUACUCGCCCGCGUGGGAUUGGAAAAGGCUGCCAAGAGUCAUGUCGCAUUUAAUUGCGGACGAGGUGACGUGGCAGAAAUCCCCCCCUCCAUUUGAAUUUCAAACCGACGGUUAUGAGAUCCUCGGGAUUCAGCGCCGUUAAAUGCUGGCAACCCAAGAGUCCGUCCUCAUUAGGAAAACCAAAUCCUCUCGAACGGCAUAUUCGUCAUUCACUCCGUCUCCGUCUCUGUCUCCCCGGCAAAGAGGUUCCGGCAUAAAAGCCCUCCAUCUCUGAUUUUCACCGACUGAACCGUUACUUCAGGUAUUUCUUCUAUCUCCUUGGUCUCGGAUAGUUGUAGAUAAUUUCUCUUCUCUUCUGUUGGGUAGUAGUUGGUGGUGUUGUGGUUAGAGCUUAGGGAAUGUCGAAAGGCAAAGAGAAGGUCAUUGAGGUUGGUGACGACGAGUUGGACUUCCUGCCUAGUCUGCUCACCGAUCCUGCUUUUGACCCCGGGAUCCCCUUAGAGCCCAUUAGGUCUAGUGUCGGGACUAGUGCUAGGAGGAUGUCUCCCCAAACAACCUCUACGAGCGGAAGUAAUGGUGAGGAGAGAUCUUCUGGCUCCGAGGAUACUUUGAGUGAGAAUGGCGAAGGUGACUCUGGUGAGGUGUCUCCAUCUGGAACAUCACGACCAGAAGAACGGGGUAUAGUAGGAGGCAGAGCCUUGUCGCGCGAUUAUGCCAUUGAUUACAUGACGUGCACGACCUCGUUUGACGAGCUCAAUGACCUCCGGCUUAGGUAUAGCAUUCCUGGUGAGAUACCUCUCAAGGUCCCAGGAAAGAAGGAUGCUCCCAGCCGGCCUCCUAGGGGAUAUGUUACCCUGUAUCUGGACAGCUUUAAGUACGGGCUGAGGUGUCCCUUGCAACCUUACUUUGCCCGGAUACUUAACGGGCUAAAUCUAGCUCCUGGUCAGCUGAAUCCCAAUGGGUGGAGAGUGCUCUCUGGUCUGUUCAUAUUGUGGGACAGAUGUUGCCAAAGCGAGCCCACGGUUGAUGAGGUGAAGCACCUGUACCAGCUAAAGAGCAGCCCCAAAGAUGCCGUCUGGUACUACUUCCAAUCUAGCACCAAGAGCAGGAAACCUAUAACCGACCUCCCUACUGGUGGUGGUGGGAAUUGGAAGAGAAAAUUCUUUUUUGCUGGGGGUCCUUGGGGUCAGGUUGCACAAAUGGACGGGAAGGAUUAUCGGGUCCCACCCCGUUUCACGGUCCCAGGUUGCCUGCUCGCUUUAGAUGUCUUGUAUCCACAAUUGUUAUUGCUUUAUUGGCUUGUCUCUAACCAAGUGUCUGUUUGCGUUGUAGUUUCUUGGGGUGUUCACUUCCCGCUCCCACCUGACCAGCUCAAACGGGUCAAGGCUGUGCUCGCCAAUUCCUGCUCGAGUCGAGAACUGCUAACUACAUACAACUUGCUCGAAUCUCGCUUGAUACUUCCUGGCCAUAGGAUGGAGGACGCCGUGAUUGGGGCUCUGACCCGAAAACGUUCUCGACCUCCAACCACGAAGAGGGACCAGGGUAAGGAUGCCCCUGCUGCAAAGCGGGCCAGCAUCGUGCAGCAGGUCCCACCCUUGGAGAUUUUACCUCCUGCUCCUGAAAAAGUCGGGGAAGCUAGUGGAGCAGCCACAGAUCCUGCUUCCUCAUCUGUUCCUGUCGGGCCUCGAUCUCGCUUACCUGACAGCCGAGCAGAACACCUGGUCCCCUACCUCAAUGAGUUGUCUAAACUCGUGAGCAAGAAGGACCUGGAGGACUUCGACGGCUGCACCUUGGGUGAGCUGGUGGGGGCCAUGCAGCAUAGCGCUUUCCACCUCAGCUGCAUGACCACCUAUUACAAGGCUAAGGUUGGUCGAUACGAUCGGAAAAUGAAGGGGGAUAUUCAAUCGGCGACGACCAGAGCUGACAUUGCCGAGAAGAAAGCAGGGGAGCUGAACCUCGAGAAUCUGAAGCUGAUAGAGCAAGAAUCACUUGCUCAAGCAAAGACCAUUACCCUCGAGGAGGAGCUUACCAAGGUCAAGGAGGAUCUGCAAAGGCAGAAGGCUAUGUAUGAGGCCCAGCUCGAAUCUCUCCGGGACUCCAACCGAGCUCAGGUCGAGAACUUGGAGAGGGAGGCAGAGAAUCAGUACGACCAGGGACUUCGGCAUUCCUAUCGUUGCAUCAUGGCCGUCCUCGGGAAGCAACACCCUGAUCUGAAGAUGGAUGACCUUGCGGCUGGUGUUGCCCAACAUAUGGACGAGGAGGCGGCCAAGGAAGAUGCUGAAGGGGUAGAGCCGAUCGUGAUCGAGGAGGAAAGCUCUCCUCCUCGUGCAGUCCCUGCUGAUGUUGGCGAGGCGAGCACCCCUCCGGACGCAACUGGCGAUACCCCUCCCGCACCUGAGGAGGUCCAGUCAACCGAUGCUGCUCGGCUCACUGAUCUACCAUCUUUUUGAUAUAUUUCUUUUUGUAUUGUAAUAAACAACGUUUAUGAAAUUUAUCCCCUCUGUUAGCCAUUAACACAUUAAUAAAGAUGUUUUUUGAUUACUUUCUCGUCUUGUAAUCAUCACUUAUUUUCCGUUUGGGAAUCUGCUCGUCUCGUCUGGUCGAGCAGGUUCUGGUUUGGCAUAUGGUUUUGCAACAUGCCUUAGAAAAAUUUCUUUUUUUUUUUUUUUUUUUUUUUUUUUUUUUUUUUUUGCUUGGGGAUUCUGCUUGCCUUCGCGUGGUCGAGCAGGUCCUGGCAUGCUUGGCUUCAGUCUCGCCAUAAAAAGGCUUUGAGACUUGGUGAGGCCUUUGCAUGCCUUAGAAAACUUUUUCGAUGCUUGGGGAUUCUGCUCGACUUCGCUCGGUCGAGCAGACCCUAGCAUGCUUGGCUUCCGUCUCGCCAUAAAAAGGCUUUGAGACUUAGUGAGCCUUUGCAUGCCUUAGGUGGCUUCUUCAAAGCUUGGGAUUCUGCUGCCUUCUCGUGGCCGAGCAGAUCCGGGCAUGCUUGGCUUCUGUCUCGCCAUAAGACAGGCUUUGAGACUCGACGAGCCUUUGCAUGCCUUAGAUGGCUUCUUCGAAGCUUGGGAUUCUGCUGCCUUCUCGUGGCCGAGCAGAUCCGGGCAUGCUUGGCUUCUGUCUCGCCAUAAGACAGGCUUUGAGACUUGACGAGCCUUUGCAUGCCUUAGAAAUUUUCUUGGUUUCAAGCGAAAGGAAUUCCUCGACGUUCCAUUAAUGGCAGGAUUCGGCUUACAUGAACUUGUUUGGACAUAAAGCGUGAAAGAUAAACGAUAAUGAUCAUGAGCAAAAAUAGCUUUCAGAUGUGAACAAAUCUUACUGGAAGUAUUUUCGGAGGUGUGCUGCGUUCCAUGGGCGUUUCAGCUCGUGGCCGUCCGUGCGAACCAGCUUGUAAGCUCCGGGUCCCGCUAUCUGCUUGACUCUAUAUGGCCCUUCCCAAUUCGGUCCCAGCACUCCUUGAGUCGAAUCUUUGGUGCUCUGAUUCACUCUUCUCAGUACCCAGUCUCCGACCUUGAAUUGCCGUAUGUUCACCUUCUGGUUAUAAUACCGAGCAACCCUCUGUUGGUAAAGGGCUGAUCGCUCGGCUGCUUGCUCCCUCCUUUCCGUUAGCAGAUCAAGAUUCAAACAUAUCUGCUCGUCGUUCUCCUGCUCGUUGAAAUGACCUGUCCGGUGUGUGGUCGUUCCUAUCUCAGCCGGCACGACCGCUUCAUGUCCGAAAGCCAAAGCGAACGGUGUCUCCCCAGUUGCGGUUUUGUGGGUUGUUCUGUAUGCCCAUAGCACACCUGACAGCUCGUCAACCCACGCACCCUUUUUUGCUCCAAGCCUGGUUUUCAAAAGCCUCUUGAUGGUCUUGUUGGCUGCUUCUACUUGUCCAUUCGAUUGAGGGUGAGCAGGCGAGCAAUACUUCAGCUCUAUCCCGAGGUUCUGGCAGAAAUCCCUGAAGCUGUGAUUAUCGAACUGCCUGCCAUUAUCCGUUACCAAGGCAUAAGGGAUCCCGUAUCGACAGACCAGGUUUCUCCACACGAAGUCUGUUGUUUUCUUCUUUGUGAUCCUGCUAAGGGCUUCUACCUCUAUCCACUUCGUGAAGUAAUCUAUAGCAACUAUUGCAUGUGUUGCUGCUCCUUGUGCCUUUGGCAAUGGGCCGAUCAGAUCAAUUCCCCAUUGAGCAAAUGGCCAAGGGGAGGCCAUGGAGGUGAGCUUCUCUGGGGGUUGGUUAGAGAAAUUUGCAAAACUCUGGCAGCUUACACAACUCCUGGUCUUCUCUUGCGCAUCCUGGUGCAUUGUCGGCCAGAAAUAUCCCUGCCUAAGAACCUUGUGGGCCAGGGACCUCCCGCCAGAAUGAUUUCCGCAAAUUCCUUCAUGUACUUCUCUCAGUACGUAAUCCGCGUCGUCCUCAUCCAAACACCGAAGGAACGGUAGUGUAUAUCCUCGCCGAUACAGCGCCCCAUCAAUCAUCGUGUAUCUCGAGGCCUGGGCUCUAAUCUUGCGAGCUCGCAGCUUAUCUGGUGGUAAUACUCCGUCUCUAAGGUAUGAAACUAUCGGGUCCCUCCACGAGCAUUUUUGUUCUAUCCGCAACACCCCCGAAUUCUGAUCGAUACUUGGGCUGGACUUCACCUCCAGAGGGACCGACUUUGGCAUUUUUGGGUCGGCUACUGCUGCCAUCCUCGCCAAAAUGUCUGCUCGACUAUUCUGCUCCCUGGGGAUCUGUACCACCUCCACUGCUUCGAACUUCCCCAUCAUCUGCCUGACUAUCUUCAGGUACUGCUCCAUCUUCUCCUCUCUUGGUUGGAAUCUUUCACUGACGUGAUUCGCAACCAGCUGGGAAUCAGUUCUGAUCUUAACUCUGUCUUCUUUCACGGCCUUAGCCAAUUCCAGACCUGCUAUCAAGGCUUCAUACUCUGCCUGGUUAUUUGUGGCUGCAAAUUCCAACUUUACAGCAUAAGAGAUCUCCUCCCCCUCAAGGCCUUCCAGGACAAUCCCUGCUCCUGAACCCCGCUCCCCUGAUGACCCGUCCACAGACAUCUGCCAUACUUGAUUUUCGUCAUUGCCUAUAACUGCAUCCUGUUGAUCUGAGCAUACUUCGGGCUCUGUGAAUUCAGCUACGAAAUCGGCCAUUGCCUGGGCUUUUAUCGCUGCGCGGGGUUUAUAGUCUAUGUCGAACUCGCUCAGCUCUACAGCCCACUUGACGAGCCGACCAGAGGCAUCUGGCUUGUGCAGAGUUUGACGCAAUGGCUGGUUUGUUAUUACCGAGACCGGGAAUGCUUGAAAAUAUGGCCUCAACUUCCGAGCAGCAACCACAAGGGCAAGUGCCCAUUUCUCCAACAGUGGGUAUCUAGUCUCAGCGUCGAGUAGGGCCUUGCUGGUGUAGUAUAUCGGAUACUGAACUCCUUCUUCCUCUCUCACCAGAACAGAACUGGCGGCCCGAUCCGACACCGCCAAAUACAGAUACAACUUGUCCCCAUCCCUUGGUGUGGACAGCAGCGGAGCUUGCUGCAAGUAUUGCUUCAAGUUCUGGAAGGCUUCCUCGCACUCUGGGGUCCAUUCUGUUUUCUUUCCCCUCCUUAUCACUUGAAAGAAUGGCUGACACUUAUCUGUAGCCUUGGAGAUGAAUCUGCUCAACGCCGCCAACCUCCCUGUGAGGCUCUGCAUCUCCUUCAGGUUACGAGGAGACGUCAUUUGCACAAUCGCCUGGAUUUUCUCGGGAUUUGCUUCAAUCCCCCUAUGGCUCACCAUGAAUCCAAGGAAUUUCCCUGACUCGACCCCAAAAGCACACUUUUCCGGGUUGAGCUUCAUCUUAUACUUCCUCAAAAGCUCGAAUGUCUCCUCGAGGUGUCUGACAUGUUCCUUCGGGAUUUUGGACUUGGUGAUCAUGUCAUCCACGUACACCUCCAUGGUUUUCCCAAUCAACGGCUUAAAGACUUUGUUCACCAGCCUUUGAUAGGUGGCCCCAGCAUUUUUGAGACCGAACGGCAUUACCCUGUAACAGAACAAACCUUGGUUAGUGACGAAAGCCGUGCUCUCCUCAUCCUGCUCGUACAUGGGGAUCUGGUUGUAUCCCGAGAACGCGUCCAUGAAGCUGAGCAGACCAUGUCCAGCCGUUGAAUCUACUAGCUGAUCGAUCUUUGGUAGAGGGAAGCUGUCUUUUGGGCACGCCUUAUUGAGGUCUGUGAAAUCCACACACAUCCUCCACUUGCCGUUUGCCUUCUUUACCAACACCACAUUCGAUAUCCACUCAGGGUAACUGACUUCCCGAAUGAACCCUGCUCUCAAGAACUUCUCCACCUCGCUAUUUAUUGCCUCAUACAUCUCCUGGUUGAAGCACCUCCUCUUCUGCCUUACUGCCCGAGCACCUUUCUUUAUUGCCAGCUUAUGACAUGCUACCUCAGGGUCAAUCCCUGGCAUGUCUUCAUGUGUCCAAGCAAACACAUCAGAAUGAGCCUGUAAGCAUUUCACCAACUCCUGCUUUUGCUCUCCCUCAAGCCUCGACCCGAUUCUGAUCAUCUUUCCCGGAUUCUCUGGUCCCAGGCUUACUGUUUCCAGAUCUUCUACAGGUUCUUGUCUGCCCUUCUUGUUUUCCACUCGGGUAUCGAGGGAUGUUAUCUGCAUUGCUUCCCUUGCUGCCGAGGAGUAGCAGCUUCUUGCGAUCCUCUGGUCUCCUCGUACCACUCCUACUACCCCAUUCACCCGGUACUUCAGAGCGAGAUAGUGGUUGGACAACACCGCUUUGCUCAUCCUUAAAAAUGGCCGACCUAGGAUCAUCUGGUAAGGACCUUCCUCGUCCACUACGACAAAGUCCAGUAUCAUUGUUCUUUCUGUCAGGGAGCUCCCAAUUGUGAUAGGCAGCUCGACCACGCCCAGAGGGACCAGCUUCCCUCCUCCGAACCCCUUCAAGGAGGUAUUGGUGUAUUCCAACUUUCGGUCGGCUAUUCCCAUCUCUUCCAGGGUUGACUUAAAUAACACAUCAACUGAGCUCCCUGUAUCAAUCAGUAUCCGGUCAAACUUCUUGCUAGCGACAGUAGCCUUGAUGACUAAAGCAUCAUCGUGGGGGUAUAGAAUCCCUUCCUCAUCCUCAUCCGUCCACAUGAUUGGCACUUGCCUGACCCUUGCUCGUUUGGCUGCUGGGGUGUUGAAGAGUACCUCUUUACUGGUCAUGGCGUACCUAGCAUAAUUUUUUCUCGAUCUGUUGGAAUCUCCGGCCAAUGUUGGGCCCCCAGCUAUCACCCUUACUGCGGGCUGCUCGCGCCUCAAGUUUCUACCACUCUGCUCCCCUUCACCUGUUGUGGCCACCAUCGGGAAAGUCCCAUCCAUAAACUCGUCCAGGUACCGAUUUCUCACCAAAUCUUCGACCUGGAUCUUGAGAUCUCUACACUCUGCCGUGGUAUGGCCAUGGGUGCCAUGGAACUUACAAUAACGUCUUCUAUCCCUCCUGUUGGGUAGCUUUGUUAUUGGUGUAGGGAGGUGCAGCAGACCUCGAUCCUUUAUGGCCUCGUACACCUCAUCCAGGGACAUCUUCAAGGAAGUGUACCGCCCAUAGUCCGGGUCCUGGUCGAUCAGGUGCACUGCUCUUUCUCUGUUUGCCCCGCUUUGAGUUGGGGGCGGUGGAAGUAAUUCUGGUCUGCUCGCUCUGCUACCAUGUUGGUGAAGACCACCAGAUGCCGACUCAUGCCUUCUCCAAGGCUCCCUAGCUGGGGAACGAGGAGGUUGCGCCCCGCUGCGCUGAUACUGUGGUGGCCUCUGAUGAGGCUGGUAAGCAGUUACCCGACCUCCUGCUCUACUACCGGAGGCCUGGUGGUCUCUCCUCCUGAUCGGCCCAUUCCCCGGUAAUGCUUUCUUCUCUUUCCUCCCCAACCCUUCCAACUGGUCUGUCUUAAUCCGUGCAGCCUUCUCCUCUUCAAUCUCGAUGUCUCUCUUAGCCUGUUCGUAUGCGGCUGCAUACGUUUGAAUAGCUGGGCUUCUCAAAUUGUACCACAACCUUCCUAUCUUCACCCCUUCUUUCAAUCCCCUUAACGCCUGAGGGUGGUUGAAGGCUCCCAAGUCGAGGACAGCCCGAUGAAACCUCUUGAUGAAUUCCCGAAGGGUUUCUUGCUCCCCCUGUUUCAUGCUUUUCAGCUCCAUCAUGUCGUCUUCCGGUGCCAUUGCCCCACUAAACUGCUCCGCGAAUUCCUGGCACAUCUGCUCGAAGGUUUUAAUGCUGCCCCGAGGAAGUUUCCUGUACCAUUCUCGUGCACGUCCCUCAAGGGAUAGUGGGAACACCCUGCACCUUUGGGAUUGAGAUAAUCCUUGUACCCCAGUUAUGUCGUUGAAGCGCUCUAUAUGCACCAGCGGAUCAGUUCUUCCCGAGUAUCUGAGGUCUGGGAGGCGGAAAUCUCUCGGAAUAACUGCCCUCAUGAUUUCUGUUGCGAGCGGCGAUUCUCCGUCCAGCAUUAUCCUCCAACCAGGGGCUCUGUUCCUUCCUUGCAUGUCGUCAAUUAUCUGCGCUAGUCUGCGCACUUCCCCCUCCAGCUGCAACGCACGACCAGGGUCACGUGCUGCAACUUGAUCCCACUCUUGCUCUACAUCAUGCAAGUGUUGCCUCAACUCUGUUUCCUCUGCAUUCACCACCCCGUCGCCCUCGUCACCAGUCUGUCUUGCUGGGGACUGCUCUCUUUCUCUAUGAAAUUCUCCCUGCAGAGGUACGUUACCUCUCUCACCACCAAAUCUCCCGGGGGUUUGACUUCUCCCCGCACUAUCGGGACCUGGUGCCACUCCACCGCCUCUCACCCUUCCCUCUUGGGUUACCCUUCGCUCGCUCCGCAGCUCAUGCAGGAUGGUUGUCAAGGUCUCCAUCUGCUUUUCCAUCCGUUCCAUCUGGUCGAACAUGACUUUUUCCCGUGCUUCGCUGACUAUCUCCCUCAGCGUCACGGAAUCGUUAAGCCUCCUAUCACCCCCUUGUGCACUACUUCUUCCUGUCUCCAUUGCUUUUCACUUGCUUCACCCCUCUUCUUGCUAUCAACAGAAGCUUUUUGCUCUGGUCCCCACAGACGGCGCCAAAAUGUUGAUGCAGGAUUCCGGUUCUUCUCGUUCUACGACCAGGAUCUCUGCUCGAUCAACUUCGUCACGACCAGGAGGUCUCCUCGCAAGACUUUUUCUCUAGAGAUUCCUGCGCACACAGACAAGUCAGAGUACGCCGGUUGUUUUCCCGGCGCAAACCCUCCGACGCUCAAGUCAGAUAUGAAGGUUCGGGGAACGCUUGCCACCGAUCUUAUGGCUUUUUCGUGGUUUUCUCUUCUUUUUAAUUCCUUUUCUAAUGAGAAAAAUGCCAACCCUUUUACCUCGUCGGCUACCUUUUUAUAGGCUUCCUCUGAAUCCCAGUUUUCCGCUCUUUUCGAGACGGUAUGGGACUCUGACUGCUGCGUUAUGGGCAAACGUGGGAUCUUGCGUGUUACGCCACCGUUCUGGGAAAAGCGCGGCAGUCGUGGUUCUGUGAGAUCUUGCGUGUUACGCCACGGUUCUGGGGAAAGCGUGGCUGUCGUGCCUAGGUUCUCGGGCUGGAGAGCAUGUCUCGUCAACUGCCGUCGACCGGGUCUCCUCGCCUCUCGACCUCUAGCCGGAAUGACCUUAUGCCUCUUACAGGAAAUUGGCCUCGCGGAUGACCUGCUCGUGGACGAGCAGGAUAUUUCUGCUCCUGUUCCCCCGCGUACCAGGCUUUUACGGGACACACCGGUUCGCAGAACUCUGCCAUCAGAUAUCUGCUCACCGUGCCUGGUCUCGUCGACGUAUUUCUCCCAAACACCUGGUAUGACUGCUUAUGCUGGAUUUUAUGAGGUGUGCUCUCCUAAGCAAGGAGAGUGGGUCUUAAUAUGGGCAAGGGUGCAGUUGGUCAGCUUAUGGGGCAGUUUGCAAAGUUACUGGGCUGCUAUGUUGUCGGAAGUGCUGGAAGCAAAGACCAGGUAUACAAACAAACAAUCCGUAUCAGUUGCUUGAUUGUUCCCAUUUUGCUUUCAAAAUAUCUAACUUACAUAAGGAAAAUUUUCACCAUCUCGUCUUUUCUUUGAUUUUGAACGCUAAGAUUGAUCUACUGAAGAAUAGGUUUGGGUUCGAUGAGGCGUUCAACUAUAAAGAAGAUCCUGAUUUGAAUGCAGCCUUGAUAAGGUUAGUAUAUCAGCAAACUACAAAUUAGAAGACAUUUUUUCCUGAAAAUCAAAUAAUGUUUCUAAUUUGACAGGUGGUUUCCUGAAGGCAUUGACAUAUACUUUGAAAACGUUGGUGGGAAAAUGCUCGAUGCGGUGCUGAUCAACAUGAAAAUCGGUGGUCGAAUUGCUGUGUGUGGGAUGAUCUCGCAGUACAACCUUGACGAACCCAAAGGCGUACACAACUUGACGCGUCUUAUUUCGAAACGGGUUCGGAUGGAAGGAUUCCUCGUAUCGGAUUACAAUAAACUCUAUCCGAAAUUUCUGGAAAUGAUCAUUCCUCACAUCAAGGGGGGAAAGAUUGUAUACAUUGAAGACACGGCUGAAGGUCUUGAGAGUGCUCGGGCAGCUCUCGUCGGUCUGUUCUCUGGCCGGAAUCUCGGGAAACAGGUGGUUGCAGUUGCUUCUGAAUGAAUGAAGGAUUUGGUUGUUUACAUCAUGCUUCUACUCGUCCAUUUAUUUAAUAAAAUGGUUACGCUCAAUGAGUGUAAUUUUUAUGAUGCUAAAUUAAAUGUGGAAUGUGGCUGCUGGUUUGAUAAUGUUAAAAGUGCUAAAAAAUUUCAUGUUAGGCGCGGUGUGCGUCUGUAUAUCAUUUUUAGGUACGGGCAUUCUAUCUUUUUUUUUUAAUUAAUACAGACACAUUCUUAAACUGUAUGGUUUAAGAGAGAGUUAAAAAAAACUUUUACCACAUGGUUUAAAAGCGUAUCCGUAUGGAAAAAAAAUGAAAGUCCAUUGGAGAAGAAUUUUAUAUAUAGUCCAGGAUAUUAAAGUGCGGGAAAACUAUAGAGUUUUAAAAACUUAAAAUUUAAAACGUUUAAACUGCACGAUUUAUGUGUUUUUCGAUGUGAUCCCACAUUUUAAAAUUGUGGAUUGGAACAUUUGUCUUUGAGGGAAAAAAAACAAUAACAACAACUUCUUUUGGAGACCGUGGGGCUCAUAUGCAGAUUCAACCCCGAGCUAUACACUGGAUCUGGUGGGCUAGGUUUGAACCCAAAACAAGCUCUAUUCAUUACACGGUUCAGCGGGUUGGUCCAUUUGACGCUUCUAACUUAACAAUUUAAUCAUAAUAAAUUGAAAAAAUAAAAUAAAACCCACGUAUCUAAAUUAUUGUAUUGAGCUAUUGGUGCAGAGAAUAAGUAUAUAUGAGAACAAAAACAACACGAUGUAGUCGCUCGUUUUGUCACUUCUAAAAUCAGGAUUUAGAGCAUCACCAAAAGGCUCUUCAAAUAAGAUUUUAUUACUCAUUUGAAGAGCCACAUCAAUAUUUAAAGCUCCAAAAGACACUCUAAUUAAGAUUCUUCAAAUAAGAAUUGAUUCUCUCUCUUCAAAUUUGGAGAGUUAAUUUCUCCCUCUUCAAUUUAUAUUUUAUUACUUUUCAUUAAAAAAAGAGAGAGAAGUGCUUUAAUUGCUAUUGACUUUUCCUUUUAAAAACUAAUUAUAUGAUUAAAAUAAUAUUAACUUAUUUCUAUUUGAAGAGUCUUUUGGAAAAUAUCAUAUUUUUUCACCCUUCUAUUUGCCACAUAGGUAAGCAAAUAGAUAUUUGAAGAGUAAAAUUUAUAGAGGCUUUUGGAGAUGCUCUUAUGAUAGAGUCAUAGUGUUAACAGUACAUCGGUGUAUAAUUAUUUGUAAUGAAAUUAAUUAAUAUGGGUUUUAUGUUGUCUUUGUCAAUAAUCAAUUAAAUUUUUCGUUUUCAUUUAAAUGUUACUGAUCGAUGAAACAUUUGACUGCGUUCAAGUUAUCUUUUAAUUUUGUGAGAUCCACAUUGUUUUUAUUUCAAAAACAUAAUUUUUCAUAUUAUUAAAAAGCUGUUGCUUGGGCCUAGAGAAAUUGGAUUAAUGAAAUACCUUAAGGGUGUGUUUGACACAUUAUAUUGUAUUAUGUUGCAUUGCAUUAUUUUAUUUGGUGUUGCACUAUACUUUACUAAUUUUUUUGCAAUUAAUUUAAAUUACAUAGUUAGCAAAUAAUAUUUAUUAGUGCUUAGAAAAAUACUAAAUAUAGAAGUCUUAAAUUUUAGAAAUUUAACAAUUUUUUUACUAUAAAUGUUAAAAAAUAUAAUAAUUCUUCAUAAAGAUGGAAGCUUACAGCCUUAAGUUUUUGGAAGCAGAGCAUUUAUUUUUUAGUAUCUUCUAAAUAUAUAAUUUUUGAAAUAAAGAUAUAAGCACAUAAUUUAAUCACAUAGUCUUUAAAUAAUAUAACAACAUAAAUAAAUAGUUAAAAUGUGCAAGAUUAGUUCAAAACUCAUCUUAGGAUGAUAUAAUAAAAGUUUAUACACACCACAAGAUAAUCACAAAAUAAUAAAGUGAUAAAAUUAUUAUAACAUAUUCACUACCAAAAUAAAUUAUAUUAAAUAAUCCAAGUGAGAGUUCUGUAGUUUAUAUAAUAAUAUUAUUUAUGUUAUUAUUAUUAAUUUUAAAUUAAUAUUAUCCAAAUUUAUUCAUACUUAAAUAUGUAUUAUUAGUUAUAUUACAUUAUUUUUACAUAUUAAUUAUUGUAAUAUAAUUAAAUAAUGUAAAAUUAUAUUAUAUUUUUAUAUACUAUUUAAGUAUUUAUUAUUAAUUAUAUUCAAUUAUAAAUUUAUUAAUAAAUUAUAGUGCAAAAAAAAAUAGAAAUAAAAAUUAAUAUUGUAUAAUAAAUAACAUUCUGCUCCCAAUUUCUGGAUUUUAAAUUCCAAAAAUAGUAUUCACGUUCGCCACAUUCAAAAAUCCAACCUGGGCUUGGAGAUUCGAUUCAUCUCAUAGAUUAAUUUUAUAAACUAAUGUUUAGUGAAAAAUUAACCUUAAUGGGUCCUCCUCUCCAGGCCUAAUUCUUAAUUUUUUUUUUAAUUUGGUCCUACUUAAGUGGCUUCUAACGUUACCGUGUCUUUAUUUUGUGUACAGUUGUUUUACUAAUUUGUCAUUUAGUGCAAAUAACAGCACUCAACUUGUAAUAUCCAGUAUCCACAAAUCAGCCACUUCGGCCAAGGCCGAAGUGGUGGGCUGCUGCCCUCACAAUGCUUGUGAGGGCAGCGGUUCUAGCCCCCACAAAAGCAUUGUGGGGGUUAAAUGUUCUUUAUAUUUCCAAAAAAAUCCUUCUCUCUUGCAAAAUGUAAGUGGAGUAUGGACAUCCCUCUCCUGUGAGGGGUUAUUUGUCUGGGCAUGUACUUCAUAGAAUUCAUUGUAAUAAUGUAAGUCCCAAUCAUGUAUAUCUGAUUGUAAAUAUCAGUGUAAUAUCUCUGCUACAAUAAGCAGUUGUUGUAAAUAUCUGUCUGAUGAUUAAUCAGUAUUCAAAAAAAAAAAAGUAUCCACAAAUCAUGAACUCAUUUUUUAGUUCUUUCAUGUGUACUAACAUUCGUACAAAUAUACAAUAAGUUCAUAAUUUAGUCCAAGUUGACGAGAAAUUCUUGACCCACCCCUAAAUAUCUGUCCGCCAAUAGCGUGAAGUGGCCGGCAUAAAUUUAAAGCAGCUGGGACAUUGUAACUCAUCCAAAGAUUGUAUAACAUCUCUUUUUUGCUUUAUCGUUUUUCUCCAGUUGCAUAGUUUCUUAUCCUACCGCUUUAAAAACAAUUAUUCCUAGAAAUUUUCAUUUAUCUAAUGAAUUUUAAGAAUUUUUUCAGCAAACAAUUUUUACUUUUUUUUUUUUUUAUCAUUGAUGGGUAAAGAAAAUAUUAAUGAAAAAUGAGGAGUUAUUGGCUGGUUCAACGGAUUAAUUGCAAUGAUAAAUACAGGGAGGAUUGGAUUAUAUGGCAAAUUUUUAUAGUAAAUGUAAUAUAUAUGCUAACACUUUUUAUUUAUGGCAAAAUAUCUUCCUCUUUUGAGACUUUUCCCUCUAAGAAAAUUGGAGGAUACGACAAUAUAUAUAUAUAUAUAUAUACUAAUAUUUAUCAUUUAUAGAAAAGUAUCUAUCCCACUUAAGAUUUGCCCCACUAGAAAAGGAAAAAAAAAUCCCUCAAAAUAAAAGAGCGAAAUGGAAACAGAACAAAAUUUGAUUUUGUGGAUCUUGUAUUGUGUGAUAAGUCCGGCAUGCAAUUUUGGGCCAGCUUACCGUGCGCAUGGGAGCAUUCACAAAGUAUCUCUCGUCACUAUCGAAAACUUUUAACAGUCAAUACAAAUGCUUCCGUUUCAUCCCAUAAACAAAUAAAAUUCACAUCUGUACACAUCUACUUUGCUUUGCUAGAUAGAGUUCCUCUGCAUUUCCCAAUUGCCUAAAGAGAAGGGGAAAAGAAAAAGAGGGCCAAAAAAUGCCUGAAAUGGUAAGGAACAAGCAAGUGAUAUUGAAGGACUAUGUGUCUGGUUUCCCAAAAGAAACAGACAUGUACAUGACCGAAAGUUCCAUAGAAUUGAAGGUGCCAAAAGGUUCAAAUGGGGUUCUUUUAAAGAACUUGUACUUGUCCUGUGAUCCGUACAUGCGACCAAGAAUGACCUACAUCGAAGGAUCUUAUGUUGAAUCCUUUAAACCUGGCUUGGUUAGUGCACUCGCUCAUGGCCACGCUUUUCAUUUCCAUGGCUUCUUGCUCUUUUGUUAUAGAAAAUUUAUUUUUGGUUGCAGUUUGGUUCGACUGCUAAAAUCUCGUGCGAUAAUUGUAUAAGAUAUCUAGAGUUUGAACUUCUUUCACAUUAGGGUUCAAGGAAGUUAACUUAAAUGAUUUUCAAAAUUUUAAAUGUGUACCAAUGAAUUUAAUUUCAUAGCUUAAACUUAUUGUUUGAUCAUACUCUAACUUUGGACAGGAAAAUUAUAUUUUUCCUUUUGUUCUUUGACUUCGUGUAUGUUGUGUGAAGUACUUGUGCUUGAAAAUGAAUUGCUGACACAGAAAUUUCUAUGAAUGCAUGCAGCCCAUAAGUGGAUAUGGGGUGGCUAAAGUUUUGGAUUCAGAGAAUCCAGAGUUCAACAAAGGUGACUUGGUUUGGGGAAUGACUGGAUGGGAAGAGUAUAGUCUCAUUACGGCUCCACACUUGUUUAAAAUUCAGCACACAGAUGUGCCUCUUUCUUACUAUACUGGAAUCCUCGGUAAACUUUUUGUUUGCGCAAUUUAUGUGAGCAAAUUGUGUCUUCUUUUUCAUAUGUAAAUGUUUUUGAUAUCUUGAUGUGAAGGUAGAAAAUUGCAUGUUUUGAGUUUUUGCAUAUUUGAUGGAAACACAGAACCGUACCUGAAUAUUUCAGAACCCCCUUUUCUUUGAAGUUUGAACACUUUUCUUGAAUGUAUCAACUUUAUUUAUGGGAUAUGUUGCCAAAUUGGCAAAUCUAUUCGUUAUAAAACUUUCCUUUGACAGUUUAAUCUAAGCAGAUGUUAAUUCUGCAAAUAGAGUGUGCCUUAGUUUAGAUUGAUAGAUUUGUCUCCUUCUGUACAGUAAAAACUUUGAGCAUUUUCGCCAUAUUCUGAUCAAUACACUCCAACUAGUUAGUUCUUGAGGCGUUUCCUGGUUUCGUGGAGUGAGCCAAGAUGUAUACGUUUGCAAAUUGGCAAUGUCUUUUGCUUGAUGUGUUGUGAGUUGUGAGUGUCAAUAGGAAAGUUUCAAAGUGCGCAGUGCUCACUUGAGCACCCAUAUUACUUGGUGACCUGUUGCCUCAGCAAACAAGACCUCUGUUUUAUGAACUCCAAAAAGUUAUUCUGUUAAAAAGAUCGAGACAGAGGCCAUACUAUAUUUAUUAUUGCUAUAAAAGUGUCAAACAAUAUUCUUUAUUUAAUAUUCUAAACGAUUGAGCCAUUUAGUUAUGAUACUCUGCUGUACUGGGGCUAAUAAUCUAAGUCGGUUCAAAGUGGUAAAUUUAUAAAUUGAUAGGUAUGCCUGGUAUGACCGCUUACGUUGGAUUUUAUGAGGUCUGCUCUCCUAAGCAUGGAGAGUGCGUCUUCAUAUCAGCAGCAUCUGGUGCAGUUGGUCAGCUUGUGGGGCAGUUUGCAAAGUUAUUGGGUUGCUAUGUCGUCGGAAGUGCUGGAAGCAAAGACAAGGUAUGUAAUCUGUGUGAACUACUUGAUUGUUUCCAUGUUACUUUCAAACAUUUAAAUUAAAAAGGAAAUUUUCAUAAUCUUGCCUUUUCUAUGAUUUUCAACACCAAGGUUGAUCUACUGAAGAACAAGUUUGGGUUCGACGAGGCAUUUAACUAUAAAGAAGAAGCUGAUUUGAAUGCAGCAUUGAAAAGGUUAGCAUCAAUAAAUGCCUUAGCUUGAUGCAGCUUGAUGAAGUAUGAUACACAUUUCUGACCAAUAUACUGCGUUCCCUGAUCUCUUACUUGAAAUAUCUUGGUUUGAGAAUCUCAUGCCAAUGCCUUUAACAUUUUGGCAGGUACUUUCCUGAAGGAAUUGAUAUAUAUUUUGAAAACGUUGGUGGAAAAUUGCUUGACGCAGUGCUACCCAACAUGAAAAUCCGUGGUCGAAUUGCUGCAUGCGGUAUGAUCUCACAGUACAAUCUUGACAAGCCUGAAGGUGUGCACAACUUGAUGUAUCUUGUUUCGAAACGGCUUCGAAUGGAAGGAUUCAUUGUUCUGGAUCACUAUCACCUCUAUCCAAAGUUUCUGGAAAUGAUCAUUCCUCACAUCAAAGAAGGGAAGCUUGUAUACGUCGAAGACAUGGCUGAAGGUCUGGAGAGUGCUCCGGCAGCUCUCAUCGGUCUAUUCUCUGGCCAGAAUGUUGGGAAACAGGUGGUUGCUGUUGCUCCUGAAUGAAGAACAAGUUAGUGUUGUGUGUUCUUUUACCCUUUGACACAAAACUUCAAUGUUAAAGAGAGAAUGCUGCUCAUACUGCUUUAUAAAAUAAUCAAAUGAGUGCAAGUUUCAUGAUAUGUGCUGAAUAAAAAUAUUGGAAAUUAAGCAGCUAGCCUAGCUCCUUCUUGUAGUUGCAGUUUGAAUGAUGCUGCUGCACAACUGCUGCCGAAAAAAUCCUUAAUAGAUGAUUAGCAAGGUUUCAAAAAUAAAAAUAAAUGUUUGUGCAAUGUGCCGAAUAUGACAGCCACAAAGAAAGAGCAUACAAAUUGACUGGUUUUAUGUCUUCUCUAGGAGAAAGCUACAAUACAAGAAAUUGUAUUGAUGCCAUGGACCAAAUUUCUUAUUUAAACUUUUAAUUUUUUUUUAUUAAAAUUACUUAUGUUAUUAUGGUUUAUAUUUUUAGAAAUUCUUUAGAAAUUAAUACAGAACUAGUAGCAAGUUGAGAAAUCUAAUGAAUGGUCGAGAUAUGAUCAUGUUUAUUGAAUUAAAUUGACAAUCAUCAUUUUGAUAAAUUAUUGUUAGGAUAUUUGAUUCAUCACAGGUGUAAGUAACUAAAUGUGCUAAAAAAAAAGUUAAUGAGUUGUGAGUGUUUGAUAUUCGUUUGUUGUAAUUCUUUUAAUAAUUGUUGUGGGAAAAAAAUUAUGGUAAAAAAAUUAUAAUUAUAAAAUAAAAAUUAAUAAUAUAUUAUAAAUAAAAUUUUUAAAUAAUAAUUUUAAUAAAAUAAUAAAUAUAUUAUGAAUUUUUCAUUAUAAAUUUUUAAGUUAAAAUAAUAAAUAUUUAUUAAAUAUUUUAAUAGCACAACUUUUAAAUUAUAACAGUACAAUGUAAAUACCAGAGGUCUUAAAAAAUAAAAUUACAGUCAAGUUUUAAAACUGUUAAUAAUGCUAUUCAUAAAGGCGCUCGUCGUGUAAACAACACAUGGGACCCAACCAAUAAAUGUUUAUGAUCCUCAACUUUCCUCCUCACCGUCCCUGCAAACAAUUCUGAUUUUCUUGUCUGAGAAAAAAACUGAGAAACAAUGGCGGCCGAACAAGAAGCUGUGAGCAAUAAGCGGGUGAUUCUAAGCAACUAUGUGACAGGUUUUCCAAAAGAAUCGGACAUGAAGAUAACAUGUGGAUCAAUAAAACUGGAGGUAGCAGACGGUUUAAAAGACACGGUGCUUUUGAAGAAUCUUUAUAUUUCUUGUGAUCCUUACAUGCGAGAGCGUAUGAGCAAGCUUGAUAGACCUUCUUUUGUUGAUUCAUUCCAUCCUGGUGAGGUUAGUUCAUCACGACCCAUCUCUUGAUUUUUUUUUUUUUUCAUUUGCUUCAAGUUUUGAUGAGUUUCUGAGGUCAUUUGUACGGUUUUGGAAUGUGAACACUAUUAGUGAUUUUGGGGCUGUAACUGUCAUUAAUGAUAUGUAGUAAUUCAAUCAGAAUUUGGAUUUAGUGCUGAUAUGAUCUCUGCUCAUUUUUUAAAAUCUUGUGUCCAGAUGCAUUUUUAUAAUCUUGUACGGUUGAGAUUGUAAGUAGAUUAAUCUACGUGCAGUAUUCUUGUCUAAUGACUACUAACCACAACCUUAUGAGACGAUCGAAACCAAGCUCAGAUCAAUAAUCCAAUUGAGAGAGGGUCCUAACUCAAGCUUAUCGUGUGUAGGAAUAUUUCGGUUAAAUUGUAAUUCUUUUAAUAAUUGUUGUGAAAAAAAAAAAGUUAUGAUAAAAAAAUUAAUAAUUAUAAAAUAAAAAUUAAUAAUAUAUAAUAAAUAAGAUUUUUAAAUAAUAAUUUUAAUAAAAAAUAAUAAAUACAUUAUCAGUUUUUCAUCGUUAAUUUUUAAGUCACAACCACAAAUAUUUACUAAACACUUUAACACCAUAAUUAACACCACAACUAUUGAAUUAUAACUGUACAAUCUAGACGCCAAGAGGCCUUAGUAUGAAAAAAAAAAAUUACAGUUAAGUUAAAAUUCAUCAUACAGAUGUGCCACUUUCAUACUAUACCGGGAUCCUCGGUAAUGAUUUUUGUUACACAAUAAGAUUUGCUUAUAGUAAUAUCAAUACAUAUGCUGCUUAAAUGCUUUCUGAUUUUUUGCCGGCCAUUGUCCAUUUUGCCAGGGAGUCUAUAAUUGAAGGAAUUUACUGAAGGAAUGCUGAUUGUUGGGAAUUUGAUUAUUCUAGGUAUGCCUGGUGUAACUGCAUACGCUGGUUUAUACGAAGUUUGCUUUCCGAAGAAAGGAGAGUAUGUCUAUGUAUCUGCAGCAUCUGGAGCUGUUGGUCAGCUUGUUGGACAGUUUGCAAAAUUAGCUCGUUGCUAUGUUGUUGGAAGUGCAGGAAGCAAAGAAAAUAUAGCACCGUGCCUUCUAGCAGAAUUUUACUUGCUUUAUGUUCCAACUAAGCAUCCAUAUUUGAUCAUGAUAAUUAGCAAGGUCAAUAAUUUUUUUUUGACUAUUUUUUCAACGUAAGGUCGAUUUGUUGAAGAACAAGUUUGAACGAUGCUUUUAACUACAAGGAAGAGCCUGAUUUGGAUGCAGCACUCAAAAGGUCAGCUGCAACAAACGUUUCAACUCUAAUAUUUCAUUUUAAUAUUACAGAGCUUUGGUUGAAGUGUGUGAGUUGAUCCCAGAAACGUAACUUCAUCAGUGUCUCUGUUUUCAAAAAACAGGACAAAUAGAAAUCUGAUUUUGCUUUAAAAUUUCCCAGAUGCUUCCCUCAAGGAAUCGACAUAUAUUUCGAAAAUGUUGGGGGAAAGAUGCUGGACGCAGUGCUACUCAACAUGAGGCUCCGGGCCGCAUUGCAGUAAGCAGUAUGAUCUCACAGUAUAACCUGGAAAAACCCGAAGGCGUUCACAACUUAGAGCAACUGAUCGGGAAACGGAUUCGCCUGGAAGGAUUUCUAGCUGGUGAUUACUAUCACCUCUAUCUGAAAUUCUUGGAACUGGUCAUUCCUCCAAUCAGAGAAGGAAAGAUGCUGUAUGUGGAAGACAUGGCCGAAGGACUCGAGAAAAUUUCUCGUAACUGCUACACAUUAAACGCGUUUCACAUUUCCACUCUCUUUCUAUAAAUAAAUACGCACAUAAAAUUUCUCACCAUCCAAAAACAAAAUCUACAUAAAAAAUGGCGGGUGAAGAAGCAGUGAGCAACAAGCAGGUGAUUCUGAGCAACUACGUGACAGGGUUUCCCAAGGAAUCAGACAUGAAGAUAAUAACAGGCUCAAUAAACCUUAAGGUGCCAGAGGGUUCAAAAGACACAAUGCUUUUGAAGAAUCUUUAUCUUUCUUGUGAUCCUUACAUGAGAGGACGUAUGAGCGAGCUUGAUAAGCCUUCGUUUGUUGCCUCAUUCGAGUCUGGCGAGGUCAGUUACUUCAAUUCCCAUCUCUUGGUUUCAUAAUCUUUUAUGGUUUUAGAAGGUGUUUUAGGGAAACAUUGUGGUUUUGGUUAGUGGGCAUGAGUCUUUGAAGAGAUUAUAAUGUGUAGGACUAUGCAUGCAAUAAUAAGCAUAGGGGAUCUUGUUAGGAGAAGAUUCUCUUAGCAAAAUAAAAACUUUUAUCUUAUCAAAACAUAUGCAGGGAACUUAGUUAUGAUGUCAUGUUAGCAUUAUCUCUGAGGAUUUGAUUUCUUGAUGGGGAAAGGGGAAUUUAAGGUUACAUUAUUCAGCAAUGUUUUUUUUUUAAAAAAUUAUGUUCAAAUUAUGCAGCCUUUAAGCGGAUAUGGAGUGUCCAAAGUGUUGGAUUCCACGCCUCCAAAUUAUAAGAAAGAUGACUUGGGUGGCGUUUGUUUUUUAACUUAAUGACUUAAAGUGACUUAACUUAAUUAAUUAAGUUAAUUAGAGAUGUUUGUUUUUAUAACUUAAUGUGACUUUUUAAAUAAUUUUGACUUAAUAAAAUAAGCCAAUUUUAUUUACUUUUUACUUAAUAGAGACAUCUGAAUUAAGUCAAGUACUUUCUAAUGUCAAAAAUAUACAUGCUUUAUAAUUUAUUUUUCAUGUCUAUCCCAAAACUCACCCAUAGACAUUUACCCCACAUAAUAAUCUCAUCAUUAUUUUUUUAGCCGUCAUGAAAUCCCUCCUCACUUUGGUAUCAACUCCUCAACUAUUGAAGAUCAAAAUUACAUGCGACAACUUCGAGAUGAAUGGCAAAUCAACUGUUUCAAGCAUCUUAUUCGUUUUUUUUCUUUUUUAUAUUAUAUACGAUAAAAUUUGAAAUUUAUGGUAUUUUAUAUAUUAAAAUUCCAAAAUCAUUAUAUAUUCACUUGAAUAUAGUUUUACUUAUAAAUGUUAAAAUAUUGUGAUAUUUAAUAUAUUAUUUAUUUGACAUUCAAAUUUAAUAAGGAUACAAAUGUAAAAGUACAUAUUUUUCAGUUUUUUAAGUUGAAAAAAGCAAACAACUUAAUAAUUAUUUUUCGAGAUUCAGACGAAAAAACAAACAUAUUAUUCAGAUUCAGACAUUCAGAUCUAUUCAGAAUUUAGACUAAUUCAGGUCUAUUCAGAUUUCAGAUAAAAAAACAAACGCCACCUUGGUCCGGGGCUUAACCAGUUGGGAGGAGUUCAGUCUCAUCCAAUCACCACAACUUCUGAUUAAAAUUCUGGAUACAAGUGUGCCUCUGCCAUAAUUAAUUGACAGGUUGCUAUGUUGUUGGAAGUGCCGGAAGCAAAGAAAAGGUGAGUUUGCACCCUUAACCCUUACGCUCUAAAUAAAAACAUAACACCUUCUGAAAGAAUUGUGCAUAGAGAAUUUUGCAUGUCACAUUAUUUGUGUUCUAACUAAUCAUGGAUAUUUGAUCAUUAGUCUAACUAAAACUGACAUAUUACCACCUAGUUGACUGGUCUUUGAGAAAUGUUAGUUGAUAUAUGCUUGAAAUCAUACUUGUUUUAUUAGAUGAUUAUAUUAACCUGCUUCUUUUUCUUUGUGCUGUUUCUCGUUUGAUUACAUUUUCAACAUUAGGUCGAUCUAUUGAAGCACAAGUUUGGGUUUGAUGAUGCCUUUAACUAUAAGGAAGAGCCUGACUUGGAUGCAGCUCUUAAUAGGUUAGCACGAAUGAAUGCUUUAACCAUUUUUCUCACUUCAUUAUUACAAUGCGCUGAUUGAAGUAAUCAGUGUUGGCUCUGAAAAUGUAACGUAUACUUCUCUGUUUUCAUAAAACAGGACAAACAGUGAUCAGUGAUCUCAUUCGUUACAUUGAUAUUUUCUACCAUUGCCAUACAUAGUAUAAACUAGGAAUUCAGUUGCUUAAUAGAUAUUCAUUUCAGAGGGAAAUUUUCACUUGCAGCUAACAGAAUCAUGUUUGUGAUGUAUGUUUAUUUGGGAAAUGAAAGGAUUUGUUGCAUUAUUUUAUUCCAAGUUUGCUGAAAUCAUAUUUGUUUUCCCAGGUGCUUUCCUGAAGUUAUCGACAUCUAUUUCGAAAAUUUUGGAGGUAAGAUGCUUGAUGCAGUGCUACUCAACAUGAGAAUUUGUGGCCGCAUCGCUGUAUGCGGAAUGAUCUCACAGUACAACUUUGAGAAGCCUGAAGGUGUACACAACUUGAUGCAAGUAGUUGGAAAACGAAUUCGCAUGGAAGGAUUUCUUGCCAGUGAUUUCUACCACCAAUAUCCAAAAUUCUUGGAACUGGUUAUGCCGGCAAUCAAAGAAGGAAAGUUAGUAUAUGUCGAGGACAUAGCUGAAGGCCUCGAGAAAGCUCCAUCAGCCCUAGUUGGGAUAUUCACAGGUCAAAAUGUUAAAAAACAACUGGUUGUAGUUGCUCGGGAAUGAUAUGAUUACUAUAUGCUUUAAAAAGUGGACUUUGCCAUGCACUUUAAAAGCUUAGUGAAGAUGCCUUUGUCUUAUUUUUGAUACAUGUUAUGUUUGUUUGAUCAAGUUGUACUCAGCUAUAAAUCAAAGAUUCAGAACAUGUGUAUGAUACUGGUUUCUAAAUCAAUGAACGCGUUGAAAUGUUAGUGUUUUCACAGGAGAAUGCAAUUUAAUUCAUCAACAAUGUCCCAACAAGACCCUCAGAGCUGUAGCUUGUAAAGUUAAUUACGAUAUUUUUUUGUAAAGUAAAUUACCAUAUUUUUUUCUUUCCAAUAUAUUGCUUAUUUCAUAGAAAGUUUACAUUAAAGUCUCAUGUUUCUUUGAAAGGUAAGCAAGUGUGAACGUUUCAAUCUAGAGCUGGAAAAUGCAUUUCCGGGCAACUUACUUGAUACAUGAAGUUUUCAUCUCUGACCUUGAUGUUUCCCAUAGUUGCAUUCAUUUCAGCUGAUCUAUUUAAUUUUGUUUUCGAAGGAGUGACACAAAAUCUCCUUUGUUAAGGGGAGAAUUUAGAGUGGCUUUGACUGUUAGCAAAUAGCCUAAUGUAAGACUUAACCAACUUCCUGCCCUGUUGUAUGCUUAUGAAUUUUGAUAGAGCUAAGAGUUUGCAGAAGCUACUGUAUUAUUUGUCGUUAGAGGCUGUAAAAAUCAAACACAUUUAAAUUUCAAUGAAAAUUUACUGGAAGUAAAUUUCCUAUGAUCCCACAGGUGACUAAUUAAUGAGAACUUGACAAUGACAAAAGAAAGUCUAUGAACUUUGCAGGCUGGCAUGCCAAUAUUGACUGGGUGGCACCAUCCACCAUCUGCAAGUGAAUAUCAUUGUUGUUUAAUCAACAAGGUGGAGUCCACUGGGACCACACCACAUCGUCAGCCUUAUCUCUAUUCCUCAAUUUUCAGUAUUCCAUACAUCAAACCAAUUUCAGUUUUGUUAUCAAUUAUAAUUUUAUUGUUGGUGACGAUUCUGAUUCCUUUCUGACAAAAGGGAACCAUGGCUGCUGCUGGAGAGAUCUUACUCAACGCCUUCUUUCAGGUACUGUUCGACAGGUUGGCUUCUCGUAAUUUGCUCAGCUUUGUGCGUCAACUCCAAGGCGGGGUUGAUUCGGAGCUCAAAAAGUGGGAGAAAAAGCUGAAGAUGAUUCGGGCUGUGCUCUGCGAUGCAGAGGAGAAGCAACUGACUGACGAGGCUGUGAAGAUGUGGCUGGACGAACUCCAAGACUUGGCUUAUGACGCUGAGGACACUCUUGAUGAGUUUGCUACUCAAGCUUUGGAAAGCAAGUUGAUGGCGCAAAAUCACGAUAGUUCUGGCCAGGUUCUCAGUUUCAUCCCGGCUGGUUUGAAUCCGAAUGCUAUUAUGUUCAAUUAUAGCAUGGGGUCCAAGAUGAAAGAUAUUACUAGCCGGCUGGAGCAACUCUGCCAAGAAAGAAUUGAACUUGGACUGCAACGGAUUACCGGAGAGGCAUCAUCAACUGCUGCUGCUGCACACCAGAGGCCACCCAGUUCGAGUGUCCCAACAGAACGUGAAGUAUUUGGAAGAGAAAAAGAUAAGGCCAAAAUUCUUGAUAUGUUAUUAGCCGAUACCAUAAGUGAUCAUGCUAACUUUGUUGUAAUACCCAUUGUUGGCAUGGGUGGGAUAGGAAAAACAACUCUCGCUCGGGAGGUUUACAAUGACAAAGCCGUUGGAGGUUCCAAGUUUGAUGUAAAAGCAUGGGUUUGUGUAUCUGAUGUCUUUGAUGUUUUGGGCAUCUCAAAGGCACUUCUCGAGUCAAUCACCCGCAGGCCUUGUCUUCUAAACAGUUUAAAUGAAGUGCAGGUUGAAUUGAAAGUAGCUGUGGAUAAGAAAAGAUUCUUGCUGGUCUUAGAUGAUGUUUGGAACGAGGACUACAGCUUGUGGGUAGACUUAAAAGCUCCGUUCCUGGGUGCUGCACCAAACAGUAAGAUGAUCGUCACCACACGCAAUUCAAAUGUUGCAUCAACAAUGGGACCAAUUGAACAUUACAAUCUCAAGAGUCUGUCAGAUGAUGAUUGCUGGUCCAUUUUCAUAAAGCAUGCAUUUGAAUCUAGAGAUCUUAACGCACAUCAAAUUUCAGAAUCAUUCCGCAAGAAAGUUGUUGCCAAGUGUGGAGGCUUGGCCCUGGCAGCAAAAACACUCGGAGGCCUUCUGCGUACGACGAGGCAUGAUGCGUGGGAUGAUAUAUUAGAGAGCAAAAUAUGGGAUUUACCUCGACAAAGUGGGGUUCUCCCAGUAUUAAGAUUGAGUUACCAUCAUCUUCCUUCUCAUUUGAAAAGAUGUUUUGCUUUUUGUGCCAUCUUUCCAAAAGAUUAUGAAUUCACUGAGAAGGAGCUGACUUUCUUAUGGAUGGCUGGAGGUAUUAUUCGACAGUCAAGAAACAAUGAGCAGCUGGAAGAUUUGGGCAGCAAGUGCUUUGGUGAUCUAGUGUCGAGGUCAAUUUUUCAGCAAACAGCAAGCUCUGAUAGUUCUAAAUUUGUAAUGCAUGACCUUAUUCAUGAUCUUGCUGAAUUGGUCUCUGGAGAAACCAUAUUCAGGUUAGAGGAGGCCAAUACUCUGUCAAGAAGAUUUGAAAGGGUUCGCCAUUCUUCCUAUGCUUGUGGUGGAUGUGAUGGUAAAAAUAUGUUCGUGGUUUUCAAUGAAAUUGAACAUCUACGAACAUUCUUGCCAUUACGCUUACGCAUAAGAGGUGGCUCUAAUACUAGUUACAUAACUCGUACGGUUCUAUCUGAUUUGCUGCCGAAGUUCAAAAUGUUGAGAAUGCUAUCUUUACAAGGAUACCGUAUUGGUGAGUUACCAAUUCCAUUUGAAGAUUUGAGACUACUAAGGUUCCUCAACCUUGCUGACACUGACAUAAGAAGUUUACCUGAGUCAACAUGCAAAUUGCUGAACUUGGAAAUUUUGAUAUUAAGAAAUUGUUCCUAUUUGAUAAAGCUUCCGCAGAAAAUGAGGAAUUUGAUCAAUUUACAUCACCUCGAUAUAAGAGGUGCGAAGUUGCUGAAGGAGAUGCCAUUCGGAAUGAAAGAGUUGAAGAAGCUUCAAACAUUGUCCAAUUUCAUCGUGGGCAAGGGCGAAACUGCAUCUGGUUUGGAAGAUUUAAAAUGUUUAAACUUUCUUGGUAAUGAACUUUGCAUUGCUGGAUUAGAGAAUGUGAAUAAUCCACAGAAUGCAAGAAGAGCCGCAUUAUGCGAGAAGCUCAAUCUUGAAGCAUUGACUCUAGAAUGGGGGUCUCAAUCUGACAGUCCUCGAGAUGCAGUACCAGAAGAGAAUGUACUUGACACUCUACAGCCGCAUAAACGUAUAAAAGAGCUGGCAAUCAGACACUAUGGUGGUGCAAGAUUUCCACUUUGGAUCGGAGAUCCUUCAUUCUACGAGAUGAAGGUCCUUAAAUUGGAGAACUGUGACAAUUGUGUAUCUUUGCCGUCGCUUGGCCUGAUGAGUUCACUUAAGCACCUUGCUGUUAAAGGGCUGAAGAAACUAAAAAGCAUAGAGUCUGAGGUUUAUGGGGAGGGUUUCUCAAUGCCUUUUCCGUCACUGGAGAUUCUAAGUUUCGAGAAUUUGCCAGAAUGGGAGCAUUGGGACACCGAGAUCAAAGGAAAUGCGCCUGUUGAUUUAUUUCCUCGUCUCCAAGAACUUUCCAUUGCAGAAUGUCCCAAACUCUCUGGACAACUGCCUGAGCUCCUGCCUUCCUUGAAGACACUUGUUGUUAGUAAAUGUGAAAAGUUGGUAGUUCCAUUGUCUUGCUAUCCAAUGCUUUGCAGAUUAGAAGUUGAUGAGUGCAAAGAACUAGUCUGCCGGACUCCGAUUGAUUUUAAGUUGAUAAAGUCCAUGACUAUUUCAAAUAGUUCAUUAGACAUGAAUGGACGCAAGGGGAUGUUAUACGAUGGUCCAGCUGGCUCUUCACUGCCAAACCCCAUGACUACUACAAAUGUUUUAGAGUUUGGAAAAUUAUUGAAGCCUGGAUUUCAGAUAUUCGAAACUUUGGUAAUUGGCAAUUCUGAACAGCUCAAGUUAUGGAGGCAGCAUGGGGAUUUUCCGAAAAAAUACAUGGUCACUGACCAUGGGUUCAAGAAACCAGUACGAGGGCUGAAUAUGCUCGCUUCCCCUGAAGAGGUAACAAUUGAAGAAAGUUGCGUACGUCUUGUUUUGAUUCCAGAGAUCAAUUUCCUUCUCAGAAAUCUGCGCUCUCUUAUAAUUAACAACAGCACUGCUUUCAAAUCCUUACCCGAGGAAAUGAUGGAAAACAAUUCACAACUCGAAAGAUUGUAUAUCAGAGAUUGCGACUCUCUAAUAUUCAUCGCAAGACGGAGGCUACCAGCAUCUCUUAAAAGGUUUGAGAUAGGAAAUUGUGAGAAAUUGCAACGUCUGUUCGAUGAUGAAGAGGAUGCUUCUUCUUCUUCUUCUCCUUCAUCCUCGUCUUCCCCAGUGAUGCUGCAACACCUGAGUAUAGAGAACUGCCCAGAGCUCACCAGUUUAUCAUCGGGUGUCCAAUUCCUUGAGGCGCUUGAAGACCUCGUGAUACAGCAGUGUCGAAAGCUGGAGUCAAUACCGGAUGGCCUGCCCAAUCUUAAAUGUUUACAGAGCAUUAAUAUACGGGAAUGUCCAAGUCUUGUUUCCUUAACAGAAAGAGGGCUUCCCAACACCAUUUCAUUUGUUUACAUUUGCAGAUGUGACAAGCUCGAAGCCUUGCCCAAUGAUUUGCACAAACUCAGCUCUCUUCGAGAAUUAUUCAUACAGCUCUGUCCAAAUCUUGUAUCGUUUCCAGAAGAAGGUUUUCCUACCAAUCUAACAACACUUGUAAUUGGAGAUUUCAAAAUGUAUAAGACACUCGUCCAGUGGGGGUUGCACAGGCUUACCUCUCUUAAACGCCUCUGGAUUGCUGUACGUGAUGAUGAAGCAGAGUGUUUUCCAGACGAGGAGAUAGGAAUGACGCUGCCCACCUCUCUCACUGAUCUGCACCUUUUUGAUUUCGAAAAAUUGAUAUCUCUGUCUGCGACGGGUUUUCAGAGUCUCACCUCUCUUCAGAGUUUGUGGAUCGGGAAUUGCCCGAAUCUCACAUCAUUUCCAGAGGUGGGCCUUCCAUCCUCACUUUUGGGCUUAGACAUUAGAUAUUGUCCAAAGCUUAAAACAGCGUGCAAAAGAGAUGAAGGAAAAGAGUGGUCCAAAAUUGCUCACAUCCCUCACGUUGAGAUAGACGGUAAAUUCAUAUACGAUCCAGAAGCAGAGGAGUAGGUUCUACUAUUAAGGUCAGUUGAUUUGUAUUAUCCGCUAUAACAAGCUCCUCCUUUUUUAUUUUUUUUAAAAAUAAUAAUUUUGCAGUCACUCACGUGAUUCCGUUUUCACAAGUCAGAUUGUAUGUUGAGGCUAUUUGCCUUUUAAUCGCAGAUUAAAUUAUAACACUUAUCUUAAAAUUUAAUACCAUACACAGAUAGACGAUUUUUUAAUCCAAAGUUUUUUUUAUUCACUUCAGUUAGCAUUUUUUUUUUCCCCAAAUCAUGCAAGCCGAGAGUUUCAAUCAAGAAUUGGAGGAUGUGAAUGGGAUUUUUGUGAAAGAGUAACAUAAUGGAUGAACGAACAUUUCAUAUGUGAUCUCAAAGUCAACAGAAUUUUAUUCACUCGUUGACUUUUCAACUGCUGUGGUUAUUUAUGGGUGAAAGAUAAGGGCAAUUACAAAAAAUUUGCAAAAUUUGUCAAUUUCUUAGAUGGUAGAAAUUGGAGUAUAAUAUUUUGGAGCAAGCAUACUUGAAAUUUCUGUCUUCAAUAUUUUGAUGCUUUCUUAUCCCAUGCACAAAAGUACUAGAAAAAACUAAUAACAACUAACCGAAAAUCCCAGGCGUCAUAUUCCUUUUUACCGCGUUUUAAAAUGCACAACAAUGAUAUUCUUACAAAUUUGCAAAAUUUGUCAAUUUCUUAGAUUUCAGAUAUUUUAAUGCUUUUUUUAAUUUUUGAUCUAGUAAAAAUACAUAGCCUUCACCGGCAGGAUUCUAGUCUUGGCUUUCACCUCUCUAACUCAUCUGUUCCCAUUGGGAUUCCAGAAGCUAGAAAAAUGUGUAGUUUUCAGAUAAGGAGGCUUGUCAGUUCUCUAGUAAGAAUCCAAUGAUUUGCUUUUGAACGUCCAUCUAAUUUGUGGAUCCUUGCAUCAGAAUUUGAUCAAUCCAAAAGGAAUUGCUUUUAGACAGAAGAAGAAUAGCAGCACCUAGCCUACCCGCAAACCUGAAACUAUUAGAUUGAGGUAAAAAAAUCAUUGACCCUCACAUGUUAACUUCUUCUAGUUACUUUCGUUGGGAAAAAAAAAAACAUUUAAGGAAUUUGCAAUUUGUUGUUAGUUAUGGUAUCUGAUGUUCUUUUCUGCUUUAGCAUUUGUAGAAUCUACUGUAUUAUGUGUUGGCAGUUGCCGUAUCUGAGGUAACUUGCCUUUAUUUGUUUGCUUCUGACUUAAGGACACCAACAUUUGCCAGAGAUUUAGAGAAUCAUCUCAAAACACUUAGCAAACUUGACAAACUUCAAGAUGCACUUGCCCCCACGCCUUAUUCUCAACAACGCAAAACUUGUGAGUACACCUAUGCCUGCAAUUAUUGUGAAGUGUUCGCAAUUCUGAUGCAGAGAAAUGGUUUCUUGAUGCAAAGUAUUAAACUGUUAAGAUUUAUCCUGCAGGCUUGUUAGAUGCUGGAUACGCGAAAAGCCAACAACAUCAAGAACUGCAACUCCAAGACCAGCUUUGCGUUAAUUCAGUCAGCUGUAAUAAUGAUGCAAAUGACACUAUAUCAAGCUGGACUUAGAGACUAGUCAGAUAAAUCAUCCAUUUCAUCAACGGUUAAUGUCAUGAUGGUGGCUAUCAGAGGAAACAAAAGAUGUGUCGGAAUCUAUACAAACAUUGAGAAGCAUGAGAGGAGCUUUGAUUUUGAGUAGGGUCAAUGAACUCAUAUUGGUAAGUGGUAAUUAAAGAAACUUUGUAAGCUUAGUAGAGUUUCAGUAUUUUCUGUUUGGAGUAUAGUUGAUAAGUUGACUCUGUUUAAGAAGCCCGAUUAUAGUAGCUGACUGUAUUAACCUUUUUUUUUUUUUUUUUGGGUCUGCUGUUGUUUUUGGUUUCGAUUAUUUUUUCAACAUUGGGUUGAUCUGUUGAAGAACAAGCUUGGGUUUGAUUAUGCUUUAACUACAAGGAAGAGCCAGACUUGGAUGCAGGCGUUAAGCUUUUAAUGGGUAAGAACAAAUGAAUGCUUUAACUAUGUUUCUCACUUAUUAAAAUGCACGGAUUGAAGGCAUCUGGGUUGAUCCUGACAAUGUGAUGGAAAUACUUCUCUGUUUUCAUAUAACAGGACAAAUAGAGAUCUCUGAUCAUGCCUGAAUUUUUGUUGCAUUGAAAUUUCUACCAUUAUCAAACAUAGAAUGAACUAGGGAUACAUUAGCUUAAGACUAAAUUUUGAGAAGGAAGUUUGUACUUGCAGCCUAUAAAAUCAUGUCCAUGUUGUACGUUUCUUUGGGAAAUGAAAGAUUCUGUGUGUUCUUUUAUUUCAAGUUCACUGAAAUCACAUUUGUUUUCUCAGCUGCUUUCCAGAAGGUAACAACAUCAAUUUCAAAAAUGCUGGGGCAAGAUGUAUCAUGCAGUGCGACUCAACUUGAGAAUUCCUGGCCACAUUACCCGUAUGUCUAAUGAUCGCACAGUACAACCUUGAGAAGCUUGUAAUGAGUACACAACUGGGUGCAAGUAGUUUUGAAAUGAAUUUGCCUCAAAUGAUUUCUUGCCGGUGAUUAAUAUAACCUCUAUUCCAAAAUUCUUGGAACUGGUCAUACUAGCAAUGAAGGAUUGCAUACAUUGAAGACAUAGCUGAAGGCCUUGCGAGAGCUCUGUCAGCCCUUGUACCGGAAAACAGCUGGUCGUAGUCGCUUGUGAAUGAUAUGAUUAAUAGAUACUGCAAAAAUGAAUUGUGCCAUACAUUUUCAGCGCUCUGUGAAGAUGUCUUGGUCAUUUGUUUGAUGCUUGUUUGAUUUAUGUUGUAUUCAGCCAUAAAUCAGAGAUUCAGAACUUGGGUAUGUUUCUGGUUUCCAAAUCAAAAAAUUGCCUUGUGAUGUUAGUGUUCACUGUUUUCACAGGAGAUCAGGUUCCUUGUUAAUGAAUCAAGAAGAAGGCAAGCGCAUCCAUGUCCAAGUUCAAAUGUGUCUCCUCUAUUUUCUAUUACCCACUCAUUUAUUUUGAUUUCUUCAUUGUAAUUGAAUUAGUUUUUUAUUCCAAAUUAGUCAAAACCUCGUAGAGUCAUUAAGUUCUUUUAGCAUUUAAAGACAGAACUACGAACCAAAUGAUUUAAGUUCUUCGUUGUAAUUGAAUUUGCUUUCCCAUCUUUAAAGAUAUUAUGUUCUUUUUCACUUUUUCGAUUUGGUUAGUGGUGAUUUCUUAAAGACUCAAUCCAUUUGCGUUAAUACAUUUUUCUUUUGCCUUGAUUUCUGUUUCUUGGGGAGUUUAUACAUAUUCUUAUUUUAUGCUACACAUGCCAUAUACAGAUUCUUAUUUUAUGCUUCACAUGCCACAUGAAAGGUCAAAGCCUUGUGUGUGAUUAGAAUUUACUGGCAUCAUAGUAACUUUAAACCAUUGUGACGUUUUAGUAAUAACAGUCUGAGCUCUCCCUGAAGGAUUCAAAGCAUUUUAUUUUAUAUUAUACUCCUUUAUAUGGUUUGGCUGGUCUCUUUUAAGGCAAUUCCUGUUUAAAGUAAUCAAAAUUUUGAUUUCGAAGUGUCUUUCAACACUACCGCUAGUUCUUUAAGAAAAGUAAAUCGAUUUUGAGUCUUCUGUAUCAUCUGAUUGAAAUACAUGAAAGCACUCUUAGCUGCAAAAGUACACUUGGAGUUAUAAUAGCAUUCUGAAAUCUCCUUGAAGGAUUCAAAAGCUCUUUAUUUGCUAGUCUUUGCUUGCAAUAAACUCCUUUAAUAUACAUUGGUUGAUCUUCUUUAAAGCAAUUACCAUAAGUUCUUUAAAUAAUAAAACGAUUUUGAGUCUUCUGUAUCAUCUUGUUGAAAUACAUGAAAGCACUCUUGGCUGCAAAAAUGCACUUGGGGUUAUAUAUAAAGUCUUCAACAGAAUUUUAUUUCCCCCUUUAUCCUCAUGGUGGUUUUUUUAGUUGUUUUUUAAGAAAUCGCUUGAAGGUUCUCUUUAAAAAUAAUUUUAACAUAAGCAUUCUUUAGAAGCACUUUAGAUGUCUGGCAUUUAGAAAAUUUUGUUCCUGUGUUCACAUAAUAUAAUAUAUAUAUAGAAAGCUGACUGUAGAAUAGAGGAGAACGAGUUGGUGUUGGUCUGAACUCUGAUCUUUGAACCUCAUGUGACUCCACUACUUUUUACUUGUUCUGUACAAGGUCUUUUAGCUUUUCAAAAAGUUUUAGCUUUAUGGAUAAAAUACUGUUAAUUGUAAUCUAUAAAUAAUGAAAGGAAUUAAUAAAAUAUUAGGUAAAUUUUAUUUUCUAAAGUGUUAUGAGUUCUAAAACGGCUGUAUGUAUAUAAAUUUAUUUACACAUAUAUUUAUAAAUAUGAUUAUAUAAUAAUAUUUUAUGUGUACAUAUCAUAAUUGAUAACUAAAAUAAAUAUUUUUAUUUUAUUAAUGGUUUUUUCGUCUCAAUGUAGUUGGUAAUAAUAAUCUCUUUAGAUGUAACGAUUUUAUUUCCUAACUGAAUAAGGAAAAUUUUAGAUUUUUAUAAUAAAUGUUAAAUAUAUUUAGAAUUACAUUAAGUAUGAAAUAAUCCUCAAAAUUAGAUUUUGAAAAGUUAUUCUUUUCUUGCUUUUAAAAAUAUGUCAUAUGAUGAGAUGAUUUUACUAAAAGUGAUUUUUUUAAAAAAAAUUACUAAACAUCAAAAUUAACUCUUAACUUUUUAAAAUCAUUUCUAAUCUUCUCAUCCUAAGUUCUUUAUUGUUUUGUACAAAAUCCAAGGUUUUGACUUUUAUAAAAUGCCCACUCAAAAAUAAAUUAUUUUCUAAUUAAGAUUUGUUGUUAAUGUAUAACUCGAAGUAAUAUUAGAUAUUUGUAAUUUUAUUUCAAAAAUUUUAUUCAAAUGAUAUGGCAAGCAAUGAACAAUAGUUGAUAGCAAUUUGUUUUUUUUUUUAACAAUGUUCAAAUCAAUCAGUUGCAUUAUCUCACCAUUUUUAUGAUGUCAUGUUAUUUUAAAUGAUUUUUUUAAUUUUUAUAUAAAGCAUACGACGUGUUAACAUCAUUUGCAUAACUUGACCUUUUUUUUUUCCUACAAAUAGUAAGUCAAAUUUACUCACCCUAUUUGUACCUAAAAUCUACCUAAAACUCAUGCAUCACUGUAAAGCAAAUCCAAAGAUUGCGGUACGUUUUUCUUGGUAAGAAAUCAAUAAUUAGGUCAAGUACCGCUACUAAGCGUGCUCAAUUAAUUCUAAAAUACGGUGAUCAAACUCAUACUUCACGCAAGAGGAUAAGGGCUAAACCUCAAUUAGGCAUUAUUCAUCCAAAAUUCAUUGACUGGGCAUUCUUUGCAAGUGGUAGCAUGGGACAGCUAAGAUAAUUAGCAAAUGAUAUGGACCAUACGCACCCGUAUGUUUGUGACAUGUGAAUCUUGGCAUUAAAGGAAAGGUAAUGUGUUAAAAUUUAAUAGAGCCCAACUCUUCAUUGAAUGAUUAUCAGAUCCAACGAGCAUCCUUUGAUGGGAUUAUUUUAAGUCAAUUAUUGGUGGAUUGGGGCCCACUUGACUCUACCAAAUCGGGCUCCACCAUAUCACCUAUUAACGACCACCUGUCCUUAUCAUAAAUAGCAAAUGUCACUUGUUUUAUUUUGUAUUUUACCAAAAGCAAAGUCACUACGAGCACUAAUGAAAGUGACCCCAAUUUUGGGGGUCAUGAACUUGGGAUUAUUAUGGACACAAGAGACAAGCGCAAUGUUUCUCAUUUCUCACUAGAUAAGAUUUAAGUUAUCAACCCAAUAUUAAUAAAUUCUGCUUGAAAAGUAAAGUUUGAAGCUUCAUUUUGCGAAUAUUCAAUGGUUAACAUUUAAGGGUGCGUUUGGGAUUGAGGUUGGGCAGCUGUAGCUUAAAAGCUACAGUACUAAAGUGUUUGGUAAACACUAGCUACUGUAGCUUUUAAGCUAUGUUGAUAUAAUUUUUCACUUGUAUAAUAUAAAAUUUAUUAUAUCUUUAAUAAUUUUGAUAAAAUUAUUAUUUAAAAUUUAUAUUUACUAUAUAUUAUUAACUUUUAUUUCAUAAUUACAGCUUUUUUUUCACAGCAGCUGUAGCUUAAAAGCUACAGCACCUCAAUCCCAAACACACCCUAAGUAAUUAACCUGAUAUUAAUCCAAUUAAACUUUUUAUGUAAUCCAAGUCAAACAUAUAUUGAUAAACCUAAAUUAAUCUAAUUGGACAUAUUAUUUCAACUUGAAAAGGUGAAUCUAUCAUUUUUCAAUUAAUUUUGAAUCAAGCUAUGUAAAAUAUAAGCUUAUUAAGGACAUAUUUGAAAAAUUCAAAUUGAAUUAUUUGACAAUUACAUUUCAACUAAGUUGUACUGCUAAUUAACUUCCUCAACUUAAAAUGUAUUUUUCUCAAUUAAUUCGUAACAAAGAAUGUUAGAUGUUUUGUUCGAAUAAUAACAUUCAACAUCCUUAUUCUUUAUGAUUAUUGCAUAAAAAAUAUAUUUUAUCCAUUUACGUCACAUAUGUUCCUAAAUUGUAUAAGAAAAUCACUAAAUUUACUCUUGUAAGUUACUAUAUCAAUGAACAUGAAAUUAACUAAUCAUUAAAGUCUCGGAAUGACAUCAUGAGGGGGAUUCAGUUACAUUUAUUGAUAGGAUUAUAUAUAUACCUUCUCAAAUAUUAGUAAGAGCAAUUAAACAGAUGCAGCAAUUAAAAAUAUGGAAUUACUUAUCUCGUCAAUAACUAACGAUAUUUUUUAUCUAUGCUCGAUAGGCGUCUGAGCUAUAUUAUAAAUUGUAAUAUUUGUAGAUUGUAACAAUUAUUAAAAAAAAAAAAAAAAGCUCCCUAAGACUAAAUGACAAAAGGACUGUUUUGAAAUAGAUAGAUAAAAUAUGCCCUUAUUUGAGAAAAGGUAAAACACUAGGGAUCUAAAUGUUAUUAUAAUCCCAUGCACAAAAAUACCAGAAAAAACUAAUAACAACUAACCGAAAAUCCCAGGCGUCAUAUUCCUUUUUACCGCGUUUUAAAAUGCAACAAUGAUAUCACUACUACAAAAAUGACAUUUACUGACACUUUGUUUCUGACACUUAGUAAAAAGUGUCAGAAAUGGUGUACAUUUGGACCAUUUUCCUCCUUUAACAAGUAUGUAUCAUAAAUCAUUGAUACUAAGGUGUCAGUAGCUUAAAACUCAGUGAUUAUUGAUACUAAAGCAUCAGUGAUAAAAAAAUAAUAGUAUUAAUUUUGUUUUAAUUUGAACUCGAACUCAAGAUCUCUAAACUUAAAAUUUGUAAGUUUAGAGUGCAAACCAUUGAUGCAAGUGUUUUUAAAUUUUCAAUUUGAUUAAUUUUUUUAUUUAAUUAAAUUUUAUACAAUUACUUUGUGGACAAUAAUAAUAAUAAUAAUAGUUUUGAGAAUAAUAUUUUUUAUUUUGCCACAUGUCAGCUUGUAAUUCGUUGUUAAUAAUAAUAAUUUUACUUGACCACGUGUCGACUUAUAGUUUGUUGUUUUAUUAAAUUACAAUGCGAACAACUACACUAUAUAAUUUUUCAAAGUAUAAAAUGAAAAUAAGAAACCCUAAAUCUAACCUAAUCAAACACACCACUUCUUAAGUUGCUGCCGCCGCUCCCCUGCUCCUUGACUUUCACUGCUGCCGGCCGCUGCUCCUCGACUUUCACUGCUGUCGGCUGUCGUUCCUUGACGUCACUGCCGCCUUUGCUCUGCUGUUGCCAAGCUUCAGCCACCGACGACUAGCUAGCCACCUUUCAGUACGUCGCUGCUACCACUUUUAUGCCGUCACAUCAACUUCAGCUCAGCCAGCCACCGUUCCUUUACCGCCGAGAUCAAGAACCAUUUCUUUCUCUUCUCUCUUUUGGUACAGGUAUGAAAAUAUUGCAGAGGAGUUAAUCUGUUAAUUACCUUUCUGUACGUCGCUGCUGUCAUUCGUGUACGUCAUUGCUGCUACUCAUCUUGGUCACUGCUGCCGCUCCUCUGCCGCCACGACAAGCUUCAGCCUUUUUGACAAAACAUUUCACUUGGAAUUAUAAGCAAACCCUUUUGAGACCAUAAAAAACUAAGCCAAUUUCUUUGGUUUCAAGGCCUUGUUUUUUCACUUUGAAAUCGGAUCAUACAAUGACAAGCCAAUUGAAAACUUCUGUUCAAGAUUUCAUUGUUAAAUUCAGCUUUAUUUUUAUUAUUUGUGUUCCUUUCAUUUUCUUUCCCUUUUUUUGAUUUUUAAUUCAAUUUGGGAUUUGACAGAUAUAUUUUUUAAUUUUUAUAAAAAUUUAUCUUAUUUGCAGGAUGCUAAGGGACAGGAUGUUGAUCUUAGCAUCUACAAGGGAAAGGUUCUUUUGAUUGUCAAUCUUGCAUCACAAUGGUGUGCCUCAGCUCCUUUCAUUUUUAAUUUUUUUUCCAUAAUGAUUUAUUGAUUAUUGUUGAUGCUUCCAUUUAAUUAAUGCUAAUACGUGUUAUCUAUCUAUCGGGAGUCUAAAUUUUAUAGAAUUAUAUCAUACUCGGAAGUAUGCAUGCUCCCAAUACAAAUAAGUGUUUAUAAGAGAGGAUUUCACCCAAAAUCUUUAAUUCUUGCAAAAUGCUAGUGGCUCCGUUUGCACAAGUUUAGUUUUCAUCCAUGUUCGUUCCUUUACCAUAGCGGUUCCUUUACCACUGAGGUCAGACACCAUUUCUUUCUCUUCUCUGUUUUGGCACAGGUAUGAAAAUACUACAGAGAAGUUUCUCUAUUAAUUACCUUUUAUGAAAAUAAUAUAUAUAUAUUAUUCACAUGUUUAAUUGAGAACAUCUAAUAAUAUAGUAAUAAUAUAGUGGGCAAACUAUAGGAAGGUUGUUAGUAGACAAUUCUAAUUUUAGCUUUACUUUGCAAAUGAAAGAUUAGAAAUAUUCCGUCGAACCCAUUUUACUAUAUUGGAGGUUUGGGCUAAUCUUGUAUAGAUUUUUGCUCAGAAGAAGGAUGGUUCUCCAAGGGCGGUGGGUUGGUUUUUCUAUAGACUAUUCCCCUAUUUUCCCAUUUUGCUUUUCUUUGAGGAAACCUGGUCCAUUUUUUUUGUGUUUUCUUUCUUCAAUCAAAUAUGUAUUUCUCAAUCUCCUCUCAAAAAAUACCUAUCUCAUUUUAUUAUAUGUUUAUGAAUUACUAAUUGUAUUUUGUUAGUAUUCCAUGUUCGAAGAAGAAUAUUAGAUUGAAGAAAGAAGAAUAUUAGAUUGAAGAAAGAAGAAGUUGUUCCUUUGCUAAUCGUUUGAAACCCAGGUUUGCACUGAAUCUGAUUUUUAUCUUUAACUUUUUUACUUGACCCAUACUUGAAUCAAAUUUUUGCUCCACUUUCCUUUCUUUCGUCAAUUUAAUUAUCAAUCCACUUCAAACCUAAAAAGAUUUAGUAAUUGGGAAACCCUUUUUUUUUUAAAGAAUUGCAAAGUACUGUAAUUGGAAACUGGGUUCAUGUCUUAAAAAGUAACCUGAUUUGUAAUGUUUGGCUUAUAGUGGCCUUCUAUUUCUGUUUUUCAUCUCGGCUUGGUUAAUUUCUUUACUAGUCGUUUAAAUUUUGUUAAUUUUUAUUUUUCCUCUUUAAGCUCAUUAAAUAUCUUUUUUUUUUCAAUUUAUGGCUUUCGGUCCAACUGAUCAUCGUUGAAUGUGGGCACUAUAAAUGUUAUAGUGCUUGUUAACUUAAUGUAUUUGAUCAUAUAUUAUAGUAUUGUUUACUUUAAAUUUAGACAAUGAAAUAGAUUACAAAAAAAAUAACUUAUGCUUGUCAAGUUGUAGACACCAUCGUUCAUGUCAUCAUUACUGAAUAUUGAUGUACUUAUUAAGUGUUCUCUUUAAUACUUGAUAGAAUACUUUUGGUGAAGCAAUUUUGGUAUCAUGAUUGCAGGCUGUAAUUAACUUGGGAACGUGUAGAUUCUACAAUUUCUUUUUCUGAUUCCUUAACUUGCUUCUUUUAAUCCUACUCUUCUAUGUUGAAGUAAUUUAUGAAUAUUUUUGCUUCAAAAUAACUAAGAUAUAUUUUUCACAGUAUACUAAUUGAUUUUAUGCAUUUGUAGGUGGGAAAAAAAUGAAGCCGUGGAUGGAUAUUGAGUGACCUUGUGCUUUUUUUUUUUUUUUUUUGGGUUGGAAACUUAAUUGAGUAGUAGUUAGCACUUGUUGUUUAGAGAUUGUUGAAAAUUUAAUUUGAUACUUAUGUUAAGUCUUUUACAUAUAGUGAUGUAGUUGAAUUGUGUGAAUUUAUGUGAUGUAUUUGAGAUGUUUAUUAUAUGAAUUGUGUUGCAAGAUAUUUAAUAAUAAAUAUAUUUCGUGUUUUCUUUUGGUUGUACAACAAACACGAAAAAUAUAAUUAAAAUAAAAAUAUACUAUUAACCAAAAGCAGUAUAACAUUACUAAAUACUGACACUACAUAUUUAAAAUAACAAUAAGAAUUUUUUAUAUUAUCGAGUCAGUUUCUGAUACUAUAGUCACAUAAAUUACUGACAUGUAAAUAGUAUCAUUAAAUACCAACAUCAUCGUGUCAUUAUUUUAGUGAUACUAUAGUGAAACAAAUUACUGACACAAAAAUUACUGACACCAAAAAUUAGUGUCAGUGUGUUCUGGCUUGAGCAACACUGACACAAUUAACAAGUGUCAAUAAAAGUAAUUACUGACGCUAAAUUAGUGUCAGUAAAACUCAUUUUUCUAGUAGUGUAUUCUCACAAAAGUUGGUACAAAGGUUUGUACAACCAGGGCCUCUUUGUAAAUUAUUUCAAAGUUUUGUGUUAUUUUUUAAAUUUAUGAAUUUUGUUAAUUUUGAUUGAUUGGAGCAUUUCUCCUUCCAUCUCUUCUACAUCUAUCUUUAAAUUUCUUUAAAAUUUUGACUAUAUCUUUAUAGAGUUCUAAAUGAUUAUCUUUUUCAUAAAAAUCUAUACUUAAAUUAAUCCCUGAAUUUAUAAUCAUUUGUCUUCUUUGAGUCAUAGACCAAAUUUUUUCUUCUAACAUAUCUAUAUAUACUCCUAAGCUAUCUUUGCAGCUUAGAUACAUUCUAUCAAAGCUUUCGCAUAUAAAUUGUAAUUUGAGAUCUGCAUCUUGAAUCAACAUGUCUAUAUUAUCCAUUGUUUUACGCUCGAUUUUGAGUUCUAUUAUUAGUCUUGCACAUGUCUUGGAUUAUUUCGAGGGUAGUUAAAAUUGAUUCUAUUAAUGCUAUCCUGUUUUCUUCUUCAAAAGAAUCAAAUAUUUCUGAAUCAUUAAUUUCUUUUAUUUCUUCAUACAAGCGUUUGUUUGUCGCUAAUCUUGUUUUAAUCAAGGAAACUGUAUAAGCAGCUUGAUAUUCUUGACAAAAGUCUAAAUGAUCUAUUGCAUCUAGAAAUUUAUUAAUAGAUCUUUCCAUUUUUAAGAAAUUGAGUUACUCUUAUCACUUCCAAUCUUUUAACAUCUCAGAAAACAAACAAGGCCCAACAUGCUUCCGUUUGUAGCUAAAAUAAAAGAAGAGUUCAUAUCACUAACCAGUGUAAUAUCUCUCGGAAUUCUGAGAUAGACUCACUAAUUGCCUCUAACCAUAGAGAGGUCCAUGGUUAGCACCACUAUAGCUCCACAUAUCAUACAAAAUCACUUCAACGACUGUUCCAUAUGGCCCAAAGCAACACACAGCAGACUGGCCUAAUAGGAUAUGUUUAAGUGAUUUUCUUGCAGUUGUCUCUGGAAGAGUGCUUAGUAAUAGAAAAUCUUCUUCGUUUAGUACAAGUAUUGGCAUGUAAGGUUCUUGGUUAAUUUUUAAAAGAUGUAUAAGAUAUCUAGAAGAUGAUAAUUUCACUCAAAAGAGUUUUAUUUAUUCCAUCAUUGAAAUUGUUUACAGAGGAAGGUUACAGAGAAUACAGAGGUAAUUGAAGGUUAGACAUCUGAUAUAUUUCCUUUCUUACAUGCUUUCAUUUAUAUAUCUCUCUAGAGAUAAGAUUAUUUCUUUUACAUAACACAUGUUCGAUCCUUGUGGUGGAAUCUCAAUUUCCUUUUGAUAAGGUGACCCCUUCUUUAUCAUUGAAGCUAGUAGUUGUCUUCUUUUCAUGUUGGCAGACAUGAAAUAUCUGGUUCUGGUGAGCUUUUUCUUUUUUGGAAUCUGUCUUUUUGAAUUAUUGAUACUUUUUGGAUAGCACCUUUUAUCUUUUUCAGUGGUCCUCGUCACGUGCCAAUUAUCAGAUCUUCAUCUAUAGACAUGUCUUCCCCACUAGAAUCUCUUUUUUUGAUCCUUCGUAGUAGUAGCCACAUGAUGAUUGAUGCUUUAGCACCUUAUAUAUCUCGUGGUGUGUUAGCAAGGUGGAUUCCACGAGAUUUUCGAAUAUGCCCUUUUUCUUUUCUAAUAUGUUAUCCUCAUCUUUAUCAAAUUCACAUUUACAAUAUAAUUCUUUGAAGCUACAUGUAUAUUCUUCUAAAUAACAUAUAUUACAUAUUUCAAGCCUUGUUAGCUUCAUUAAAUUUUCUAUCUGUUUUCUUUUUAUUUCUUGUUGAAAAUCAAUUUCCUAAUCUUCUCCCAAGAAUUUUUUUCUUAUUUCAUUUUUGAAUCUAUUUAAAACCUGAUCAACACUUUCGUUUCGAUUAUUAUUUUCUCCAUACAAUAUUCUAUUUUUAUGGUUAUCAUUUAAUCCCAUAAACCAAUGAGAAACAAUUCCUAUAAACGAAAUUUUAAGGAAUUCUAUACUAUUAUCCCUAUCAAUUUUGUGAAAUGCAAAAGCCAUUUUCAUAGAUUUAACCCAAGCGGUAAUCGUUUUAUCUCUAUCUUUGAUACAGUCUAAAUCUAACCAUACACCAUCAUGGUUGAUUGGUCUUUCUCUAUAUUCUCCUGGAGUUUUAUAAUCUUUUUUAGGCUUGUUAAUCCUAAAAUAUUGACCUUGUAAUCUUUCCUGAGUUGGUAUUUCUUCCCUAACAUAGGAAGCUCCAUUACUAGUUUCUCCUUGUUAAAAACCAUUUGGCUUUGAUUCAUUCAUUUUUAGAUGUUCUAUUCUAUUUUCAAUAUCCUGCAAAUUAAUGACUAUAUCACCUUCUUCUUCGGAUUCAGAUUCUUUAUUAGAUAUCUCUUGAUUAGGUAAUUCUAUGUUUUCACUUAGCAUUCUUAGACUUAUUAAUUUUUUGUCUUUGUUUAUUUUGUUAAAUAUCGGUUUAGAUAUUGUUAUCAUUUCUUUAUCUUUAAGUUCAUUAUAGUAAAUUAUGGUAUCUUGUAAAAUUUUGUUUUGUUUAUUGAUCUUCUGUACUUCAAUCCUUUUGUAAUUUUCCAUUUAUGCUUAUAGCGAAUUUAUUACCAAGUUGUUCAACAAUUUUUUCAAAUUUUUGUAGUUGGAUUUCAAUCUUGUUUGAAUUUAUUUUCAAUUGAACUUUUGUUCAUAAUAUUAAAGAUUUCUUGUUUUAAUCUAUCUUGAUCUUCAAUAUUAAAGUCUUUUAUUAAUAGCUUAACAAAAUCAAAUUCUUCACUCAUUCGCUCUCCUAUCAUUUUGACUUGUCUUAUAUUUUCAGCAUCAAAGCUUUUAAUCUCAAGUAUCUCAUUUAUACUUUCUAUAUCAUCUAUGGUUAAAUUAGGGUUUCCUAAUUUAUUUAAUAAAUAUAAUGAAAUCCAAUUUAAUUGAUUAUUUCCCCACAUAUCGGAAUCAUUUACUAAAUCAAAUGGUUGAAAUCUUCCAUAAGUAAAUCCUCUAUGCCUAUAGCUAGAAGGUGGUAAUAUGUUGGUUUCAAUAUUUUGAGAAAUUAACAAUGGUUUUGGUAAUUUAUUCAUAGUACCAUCUGCAUAAUAUCUCAUUAUAUUCUAAUAAGUAUUUAUGACAUAUAAUAUUUCUUAUAUCCUUAGGGAUAUUGUUUUAUGUUAAUCCUUUAUGUAUAUAGCAAAGUUUAUACAUAAUUAAAUCUUUAUAUCCUAUUAGCAUGUUGCUAGAAGGAUAAUAUUUACUUCUGAUUCUUUUAUUUUUCCAAUUGUAUUCACCUCGUUGUUUAACAUUUAAAAAUCCGUUGUAAUCUAUUAUAAGAUCAUCUACAUAAUCUUCAAUAGAGUUAAUAUUCCAUUGUUUCCAUGAAAAAUUAUUUCUAUAUACUUCUCUCCUGAUCCUAAAGAGAAGAAUAGGAUCAAUAUUUAAAUUUCUAAUUUUUAUUAUGAUGAGUUCUCCAAUUUUAAAUUCAUGAACUCUAACUAAAUAAAACUGUAUUAAUUGUUUAUCAUCCAAUAUAUUAACUUCUGAAUAAUAAUAUUGUUUAUGUUUUGUUAUAUUAUCUUUAAUUGUAUUUCUAUCUAUCAUUAAAUUAUAUCUUCCAUUAUUAAUGGAAUAAAUAACUGUUUCGUCUAUUUUUAUAUUUUAAACCAAAAACUUGGCUCUAAUACCGUUUUGCAGAAAUCAACUAAACCCAAAAUCCAAAUGAAUUCAAAUAGGGAUGUAUAUGAUUAAUUGUUAAGAUUUUAUCUAAAUUUUGUAAUUAUAAUUUUUCAAAACUCACAGUUUUGUGCAAUCAUUUGUGUAAUCCGUUGUGAGAAUGUCUUUUUCCUUGCAUCUAAGGCAACAAAGUGGAAAACGCGUACCAACGACUCACAUAACAAUAUAACAUCUGUCCCGGAUGGAGCCGGUUGUUCAUGUCAGCAACCUACUUUGAAACGACACGUGGACCGCAAUUUGUUCUUGUUCUCAACGUUGCUAUGAAAGAAAGCAUUUUUUUCCCCUUUUCUUCUUCAUUUUUUAAAGAAAUAUUUUACUAUAUAUUUAAAAAAAAAAAUCGUUGCAAUCUGAAGAUAUUAAAUUGUGGAUCUUGUAUUGUGUGAUAAGUCCGGCAUGCAAUUUUGGGCCAGCAUACCGCGCGCAUGGGAGCAUUCACAAAGAAUCUCUCGUCACUAUCGAAAACUUUUAAUAGUCAAUACAAAUGCUUCCGUUUCAUCCCAUAAACAGAUAAAAUUCACAUCUGUACACAUCUACUUUUCUUUGCUAGAUAGAGUUCCUCUGCAUUUCCCAAUUGCCUAAAGAGAAGGGGAAAAGAAAAAGAGGGCCAAAAAAUGCCUGAAAUGGUAAGGAACAAGCAAGUGAUAUUGAAGGACUAUGUGUCUGGUUUCCCAAAAGAAACAGACAUGUACAUGACCGAAAGUUCCAUAGAAUUGAAGGUGCCAAAAGGUUCAAAUGGGGUUCUUUUAAAGAACUUGUUUGGGAGAAAUACGUCGACGAGACCAGGCAUGGUGAGCAUAUAUCUGAUGGCAGAGUUCUGCGAACCGGUGUGUUCCGUAAAAGCCUGGUGCACGGGGGAACAGGAGCAGAAGUAUCCUGCUCGUCCACGAGCACGUCAUCCGCGAGGCCAAUUUCCUGUAAGAGGCAUAAGGUCAUUCCGGCUAGAGGUCGAGAGGCGAGGAGACCCGGUCGACGGCAGUUGGCAAGACAUGCUCCCCAGCCCGAGAAUCUAGGCACGACAGCCACGCUUUCCCCAGAACCGUGGCGUAACACGCAAGAUCUCACAGAACCACGACAGCCACGCUUUCCCCAGAACCGUGGCGUAACACGCAAGAUCUCACAGAACCACGACAGCCACGCUUUCCCCAGAACCGUGGCGUAACACGCAAGAUCUCACAGAACCACGACAGCCACGCUUUCCCCAGAACCGUGGCGUAACACGCAAGAUCUCACAGAACCACGACAACCACGCUUUCCCCAGAACCGUGGCGUAACACGCAAGAUCUCACAGAACCACGACAGCCACGCUUUCCCCAGAACCGUGGCGUAACACGCAAGAUCCCACGUUUGCCCAUAACGCAGCAGUCAGAGUCCCAUACCGUCUCGGAAAAAGCGGAAAACUGGGAUUCAGGGGAAGCCUAUAAAAAGGUAGCCAACGAAGGUAAAAGGGUUGGCAUUUUUGAGAUUAUAAAAGAAAUGAAAAAAGAAGAGAAAACGACGAGAAAGCCAUAAGAUCUGUGGCAAGUGUCCCCCGAACCUUCAUAUCUGACUUGAGCGUCGGAGGGUUUGCGCCGGGAAAACAACCGGCGUACUCUGACUUGUCUGUGUGCGCAGGAACCUCUGGAGAAGAAGCCUCACGUGGAGACCUCCUGGUCGUGAAGAAGUUGAUCGGACAGAGAUCCUGGUCGUAGAACGAGGAGAACCAGAAUCCCGCAUCAACAUUUUGGCGCCGUCUGUGGGGAGUGGAGCAAAAAGCUUCUGUUGAUAGCAAGAAGAGGGGUGAAGCAAGUGAAAAGCAAUGGAGACAGGAGGAAGUAGUGCACAAGGGGGUGAUAGGAUUAACGAUUCCGUGACGCUGAGGGAGAUAGUCAGUGAAGCACGGGAAAAAGUCAUGUUCGACCGGAUGGAACGGAUAGAAAAGCAGAUGGAGACCUUGACAACCAUCCUGCAUGAGCUGCGGAGCGAGCGAAGUAUAAUCCAAGAGGGAAGGGUGAGAGGCGGUGGAGUGGCACCAGGUCCCGAUAGUGCGGGGAGAAGUCAAACCACCGGGAGAUUUGGUGGUGAGAGAGGUAACGUACCUCUGCGGGGAGAAUUUCAUAGAGAAAGAGAGCAGUCCCCGGCAAGACAGACUGGCGACGAGGACGACGGGGUGGUGAAUGCAGAGGAAACAGAGUUGAGGCAACACUUGCAUGAUGUAGAGCAAGAGCGGGAUUAAGUCGCAGCACGUGACCCUGGUCGUGCAGUGCAGCUGGAGGAGGAAGUGCGCAGACUAGCGCAGAUAAUCGACGACAUGCAAGGAAGGAACAGAGCCCCUGGUUGGAGGAUAAUGCUGGAUGGAGAAUCACCGCUCGCAGCAGAGAUCAUGAGGGCAGUUAUUCCGAGAGAUUUCCGCCUCCCAGACCUCAGAUACUCGGGAAGAACUGAUCCGUUGGUGCACAUAGAGCGCUUCAACGACAUAACUAGGGUACAAGGAUUAUCUCAAUCCCAAAGGUGCAGAGUGUUCCCACUAUCCCUUGAGGGACGUGCACGAGAAUGGUACAGGAAACUUCCUCGGGGCAGCAUUAAAACCUUCGAGCAGAUGUGCUAGGAAUUCGCGGAGCAGUUUAGUGGGGCAAUGGCGCCGGAAGAUGACAUGAUGGAGCUGAAAAGCAUGAAACAGGGGGAGCAAGAAACCCUUCGGGAAUUCAUCAAGAGGUUUCAUCGGGCUGUCCUCGACUUGGGAGCCUUCAACCACCCUCAGGCGUUAAGGGGAUUGAAAGAAGGGGUGAAGAUAGGAAGGCUGUGGUACAAUUUGAGAAGCCCAGCUAUUCAAACGUAUGCAGCCGCAUACGAACAGGCUAAGAGAGACAUCGAGAUUGAAGAGGAGAAGGCUGCACGGAUUAAGACAGACCAGUUAGAAGGGCUGGGGAGGAAAGAGAAGAAAGCAUUACCGGGGAAUGGGCCGAUCAGGAGGAGGGACCACCAGGCCUCCGGUAGUGGAGCAGGAGGUCGGGUAGCCGCUUACCAGCCUCAUCAAAGGCCACCACAGUAUCAGCGCAGCAGGGCGCAACCUCCUCGUUCCCCAGCUAGGGAGCCUUGGAAAAGGCAUGAGUCGGCAUCUGGUGGUCUCCAACAACACCCCCACGGUAUCAGAGCGAGCAGACCAGAAGUACUUCCACCGCCCCCAACUCAGAGCGGGGCAAACAGGGAAAGAGCAGUGCACCUGAUCGACCAGAACCCGGACUAUGGGCGGUACACUUCCUUGAAGAUGUCCCUGGAUGAGGUGUACGAGGCCAUAAAGGAUCGAGGGCUGCUACACCUCCCUACACCAAUAACAAAGCUACCUAACAGGAGGGAUAGAGGACGUUAUUGUAAGUUCCAUGGCACCCAUGGCCAUACCACAGCAGAGUGUAGAGAUCUCAAGACCCAGGUCGAAGAUUUGGUGAGAAAUCGGUACCUGGACGAGUUUAUGGAUGGGACUUUCCCGAUGGGGGCCACAACAGGUGAAGGGGAGCAGAGUGGCGGAAACGUGAGGCGCGAGCAGCCCGCAGUAAGGGUGAUAGCUGGGGGCCCGACAUUGGCCGGAGAUUCCAACAGAUCGAGAAAAAAUUAUGCUAGGUACGCCAUGACCAGUAAAGAGGUACUCCUCAACACCCCAGCAGCCAAACGAGCAAGGGUCAGGCAAGUGCCAAUCAUGUGGACGGAUGAGGAUGAGGAAGGGAUUCUAUACCCCCAUGAGGAUGCUUUAGUCAUCAAGGCUACUGUCGCUAGCAAGAAGUUUGACCGGAUACUGAUUGAUACAGGGAGCUCAGUUGAUGUGUUAUUUAAGUCAACCCUGGAAGAGAUGGGAAUAGCCGACCGGAAGUUGGAAUAUACCAAUACCUCCUUGAAGGGGUUCGGAGGAGGGAAGCUGGUCCCUCUGGGCGUGGUCGAGCUGCCUAUCACAAUUGGGAGCUCCCCGACAGAAAGAACAAUGAUACUGGACUUUGUCGUAGUGGAUGAGGAAGGUCCUUACCAGAUGAUCCUAGGUCGGCCAUUUUUAAGGAUGAGCAAAGCGGUGUUGUCCAAUCAUUAUCUGGCUCUGAAGUACCGGGUGAACGGGGUAGUAGGAGUGGUACGAGGAGACCAGAGGAUCGCAAGAAGCUGCUACUCCUCGGCAGCAAGGGAAGCAAUGCAGAUAACAUCCCUCGAUACCCGAGUGGAAAACAAGAAGGGCAGACAAGAACCUGUAGAGGAUCUGGAAACAGUAAGCCUGGGACCAGAGAACCCGGGAAAGAUGAUCAGAAUCGGGUCGAGACUUAAGGGAGAGCAAAAGCAGGAGUUGGUGAAAUGCUUACAGGCUCAUGCUGAUGUGUUUGCUUGGACACAUGAAGACAUGCCAGGGAUUGACCCUGAGGUAGCAUGUCAUAAGCUGGCAAUAAAGAAAGGUGCUCGGGCAGUAAGGCAGAAGAGGAGGUGUUUCAACCAGGAGAGGUAUGAGGCUAUAAAUGGCGAGGUGGAGAAGCUCUUGAGAGCAGGGUUCAUUCGGGAAGUCAGUUACCCUGAGUGGAUAUCGAAUGUGGUGUUGGUAAAGAAGGCAAACGGCAAGUGGAGGAUGUGUGUGGAUUUCACAGACCUCAAUAAGGCGUGCCCAAAAGACAGCUUCCCUUUACCAAAGAUCGAUCAGCUAGUAGAUUCAACGGCUGGACAUGGUCUGCUUAGCUUCAUGGACGCGUUCUCGGGAUACAACCAGAUCCCCAUGUACGAGCAGGAUGAGGAGAGCACGGCUUUCAUCACUAACCAAGGUUUGUUCUGUUACAGGGUAAUGCCAUUCGGUCUCAAAAAUGCCGGGGCCACCUAUCAAAGGCUGGUGAACAAAGUCUUUAAGCCGUUGAUUGGGAAAACCAUGGAGGUGUACGUGGAUGACAUGAUCACCAAGUCCAAAAUCCCGGAGGAACAUGUCAGACACCUCGAGGAGACAUUCGAGCUUUUGAGGAAGUAUAAGAUGAAGCUCAACCCGGAGAAGUGUGCUUUUGGGGUCGAGUCGGGGAAAUUCCUUGGAUUCAUGGUGAGCCAUAGGGGGAUUGAAGCAAAUCCCGAGAAAAUCCAGGCGAUUGUGCAAAUGACGUCUCCCCGUAACCUGAAGGAGAUGCAGAGCCUCACGGGGAGGUUGGCGGCGUUGAGCAGAUUCAUAGCCAAGGCUACAGAUAAGUGUCAGCCGUUCUUUCAAGUGAUGAGGAGGGGAAAGAAAACAGAAUGGACCUCAGAAUGCGAGGAAGCCUUCCGGAACUUGAAGCAAUACUUGCAGCAAGCUCCGCUGCUGUCCACACCGAGGGAUGGGGACAAGUUAUAUCUGUAUUUAGCGGUAUCGGCUCGGGCCGUCAGUUCUGUUCUGGUGAGAGAGGAAGAAGGAGUUCAGUAUCCGAUAUAUUACACCAGCAAGGCCCUGCUCGACGCUGAGACCAGAUACCCACCGUUGGAGAAAUGGGCACUUGCCCUUGUGGUUGCUGCUCGGAAGUUGAGGCCAUAUUUUCAAGCAUUCCCGGUCUUGGUAAUAACAAACCAGCCAUUGCGUCAAACUCUGCACAAGCCAGAUGCCUCUGGUCGGCUCGUCAAGUGGGCUGUAGAGCUGAGCGAGUUCGACAUAGACUAUAAGCCCCGCGCAGCGAUAAAAGCCCAGGCAAUGGCCGAUUUCGUAGCUGAAUUCACAGAGCCCGAAGUAUGCUUAGAUCAACAAGAGGCAGAUAUAGGCAAUGACGAAACUCAAGUAUGGCAGAUGUCUGUGGAUGGGUCAUCAGGGGAGCGGGGUUCAGGAGUAGGGAUUGUCUUGGAAGGCCCAGAGGGGGAGGAGAUCUCUUAUGCUGUAAAAUUGGAAUUUGCAGCCACGAAUAACCAGGCAGAGUAUGAAGCCUUGAUAGCAGGUCUGGAAUUGGCUAAGGCCGUGAAAGCAAACAAAGUUAAGAUCAGAACUGAUUCCCAGCUGGUAGCGAAUCAUGUCAGUGAAAGAUUCCAACCAAGAGAGGAGAAGAUGGGGCAGUACCUGAAGAUAGUCAAGCAGAUGAUGGGGAAGUUCGAAGCAGUGGAGGUGAUACAGAUCCCCAGGGAGCAGAAUAGUCGAGCAGACAUUUUGGCUAGGAUGGCAGCAGUAGCCGACCCAAAAAUGCCAAAGUCGGUCCCUCUGGAGGUGAAGUCCGGCCCAAGUAUCGAUCAGAAUUUGGGGGUGAUGCGGAUAGAACAAAAAUGCUCGUGGAGGGACCCGAUAGUUUCAUACCUUAGAGACGGGGUAUUACCACCAGAUAAGAUGCGAGCUCGCAAGCUUAGAGCCCAGGCCUCGAGAUACACGAUGAUUGAUGGGGUACUGUAUCGGCGAGGAUAUACACUACCGUUCCUUCGGUGUUUGGAUGAGGACGACGCGGAUUACGUACUAAGAGAAGUACACGAAGGAAUUUGCGGAAAUCAUUCUGGCGGGAGGUCCCUGGCCCAUAAGGUUCUAAGGCAGGGAUAUUUCUGGCCGACAAUGCACCAGGAUGCGCAAGAGAAGACCAGGAGUUGUGUAAGUUGCCAGAGUUUUGCAAAUUUCUCUAACCAACCACCAGAGAAGCUUACCUCCAUGACCUCCCCCUGGCCAUUUGCUCAAUGGGGAAUUGAUCUGAUCGGCCCAUUGCCAAAGGCACGGGGAGCAGCAACACAUGCAAUAGUUGCUAUAGAUUACUUCACGAAGUGGAUAGAGGUAGAAGCCCUUAGCAGGAUCACAGAGAAGAAAACAACAGACUUCGUGUGGAGAAACCUGGUCUGUCGAUACGGGAUCCCUUAUGCCUUGGUAACGGAUAAUGGCAGGCAGUUCGAUAACCACAGCUUCAGGGAUUUCUGCCAGAACCUCGGGAUAGAGCUGAAGUAUUGCUCGCCUGCUCACCCUCAAUUGAAUGGACAAGUAGAAGCAGCCAACAAGACCAUCAAGAGGCUUUUAAAAACCAGGCUUGGAGCAAAAAAGGGUGCGUGGGUUGACGAGCUGUCAGGUGUGCUAUGGGCAUACAGAACAACCCACAAAACCGCAACUGGGGAGACACCGUUCGCUUUGGCUUUCGGACAUGAAGCGGUCGUGCCGGCUGAGAUAGGAACGACCACACACCGGACAAAUCAUUUCAAUGAGCAGGAGAACGACGAGCAGAUAUGUUUGAAUCUUGAUCUGCUAACGGAAAGGUGGGAGCAAGCAGCCGAGCGAUCAGUCAUUUACCAACAGAGGGUUGCUCGGUAUUAUAACCAGAAGGUGAACAUACGGCAAUUCAGGGUCGGAGACUGGGUACUGAGAAGAGUGAAUCAGAGCACCAAAGAUUCGACUCAAGGAGUGCUGGGACCGAAUUGGGAAGGGCCAUAUAGAGUCAAGCAGAUAGCGGGACCCGGAGCUUACAGGCUGGUUCGCACGGACGGCCACGAGGUGAAACGCCCAUGGAACGCAGCACACCUCCGAAAAUACUUCCAGUAAGACUUGUUCACAUGUGAAAACUAUUUUUGCUCAUGUUCAUUACCGUUUAUCUUUCACGCUUAUUGUCCAAACAAUUUCAUGUAAGUCGAAUCCUGCCAUUAAUGGAACGUCGAGGAAUUUCUUUCGCUUGAAACCGAGAAAAUUUUCCAAGGCAUGCAAAGGCUCACCAAGUCUCAAAGCCUGUCUUAUGGCGAGACAGAAGCCAAGCAUGCCAGGAUCUGCUCGGCCACGAGAAGGCAAGCAGAAUCCCAAUCCUCGAAGAAUCCAAGGCAUGCAAAGGCUCACCAAGUCUCAAAGCCUGUCUUAUGGCGAGACAGAAGCCAAGCAUGCCAGGAUCUGCUCGGCCACGAGAAGGCAAGCAGAAUCCCAAUCCUCGAAGAAUCCAAGGCAUGCAAAGGCUCACCAAGUCUCAAAGCCUGUUUUAUGGCGAGACAGAAGCCAAGCAUGCCAGGAUCUGCUCGGCCACUAGAAGGCGAGCAGACUCCAAAGCAUUCGAAGAAAUGCCCAAGGCAUGCAAAGGCUCGACAAAGUCUCAAAGCCUGUUUUAUGGCGAGACAGAAGCCAAGCAUGCCAGGAUCUGCUCGGCCACUAGAAGGCGAGCAGACUCCAAAGCAUUCGAAGAAAUGCCCAAGGCAUGCAAAGGCUCGACAAAGUCUCAAAGCCUGUUUUAUGGCGAGACAGAAGCCAAGCAUGCCAGGAUCUGCUCGACUACUAGAAGGCGAGCAGACUCCAAAGCAUUCGAAGAAAUGCCCAAGGCAUGCAAAGGCUCGACAAAGUCUCAAAGCCUGUUUUAUGGCGAGACAGAAGCCAAGCAUGCCAGGAUCUGCUCGGCCACUAGAAGGCGAGCAGACUCCAAAGCAUUCGAAGAAAUGCCCAAGGCAUGCAAAGGCUCGACAAAGUCUCAAAGCCUGUUUUAUGGCGAGACAGAAGCCAAGCAUGCCAGGAUCUGCUCGGCCACUAGAAGGCGAGCAGACUCCAAAGCAUUCGAAGAAAUGCCCAAGGCAUGCAAAGGCUCGACAAAGUCUCAAAGCCUGUUUUAUGGCGAGACAGAAGCCAAGCAUGCCAGGAUCUGCUCGACUACUAGAAGACGAGCAGACUCCAAAGCAUUCGAAGAAAUGCCCAAGGCAUGCAAAGGCUCGACAAAGUCUCAAAGCCUGUUUUAUGGCGAGACAGAAGCCAAGCAUGCCAGGAUCUGCUCGACUACUAGAAGGCGAGCAGACUCCAAAGCAUUCGAAGAAAUGCCCAAGGCAUGCAAAGGCUCGACAAAGUCUCAAAGCCUGUUUUAUGGCGAGACAGAAGCCAAGCAUGCCAGGAUCUGCUCGACUACUAGAAGGCGAGCAGACUCCAAAGCAUUCGAAGUAAUGCCCAAGGCAUGCAAAGGCUCGACAAAGUCUCAAAGCCUGUUUUAUGGCGAGACAGAAGCCAAGCAUGCCAGGAUCUGCUCGACUACUAGAAGGCGAGCAGACUCCAAAGCAUUCGAAGUAAUGCCCAAGGCAUGCAAAGGCUCGACAAAGUCUCAAAGCCUGUUUUAUGGCGAGACAGAAGCCAAGCAUGCCAGGAUCUGCUCGACUACUAGAAGGCGAGCAGACUCCAAAGCAUUCGAAGUAAUGCCCAAGGCAUGCAAAGACUCACCAAGUCUCAAAGCCUGUUUUAUGGCGAGGCAGAAGCCAAACGUGCCAGGAUCUGCUCGACCACUAGAAGGCGAGCAGUCUCCAAAGCAUUCGAAGAAUCUCCAAAGGCAUGUGGCAAAACCAUGAGCCAAGCCGGAACCUGCUCGUCUAGACAGAGACAAGCAGAUUCUCAACCGAAAAUUAAUUCAUAAUUACAUCACAAGAAAGUAAUCAAAAACCAUUUUUAUUAAUUUGUUAAUAAUUAACAGAGGGGAUAAUCUUCAUGAACAUUGUUCAUUACAAUACAAGAAAUAUAUCAGGAAGAUGGUGGACCAGUAAGCCCGGCAGCAUCGGUUGGCUGGACCUCCUCAGGUGCAGGAGGGGUAUCACCAGUUGCGUCCGGGGGGUGCUCGCCUCGCCAACAUCAGCAGGGACUGCACGAGCAGGAGAGUCUUCCUCCUCAAUCACGAUCGGCUCUACCCCAUCGGCAUCUUCCUUGGCCGCCUCCUCAUCCAUAUGUUGAGCAACACCAGCUGCAAGGUCAUCCAUCUUCAGAUCAGGGUGUUGCUUCCCGAGGACGGCCAUGAUGCAACGAUAGGAAUGCCGAAGUCCCUGGUCGUACUGGUUGUCAGCCUCCCUCUCCAAGUUCUCGACCUGAGCUCGGUGGGAGUCGCGGAGAGAUUCGAGCUGAGCCUCAUACAUAGCCUUCUGCCUUUGCAGAUCCUCCUUGACCGUGGUAAGCUCCUCCUCGAGGGAAAUGGCUUUUGCUUGAGCAAGUGAUUCUUGCUCUAUUAACUUCAGAUUCUCGAGAUUCAGCUCCCCUGCUUUCUUCUCGGCAACGUCAGCUCUGGUCGUCGCCGAUUGAAUAUCCUCCUUCAUCUUCCGGUCGUAGCGGCCAACCUUAGCCUUGUAAUAGGUGGUCAUGCAGCUGAGGUGGAAAGCGCUAUGCUGCAUGGCCCCCACCAGCUCACCCAAGGUGCGGCCGUCAAAGUCCUCCAAGUCCUUCUUGCUCAUGAGUUUAGUUAACUCAUUGAGGUAGGGGACCAGGUGUUCUGCUCGGCUGUCAGGUAAGCGAGAUCGAGGCCCGACAGGAGGAAAAGAGGAAGCAGGAUCUGUAGCUGCUCCACUAGCUUCCCCGACUUUUACAGGAGCAGGAGGUAAAAUCUUCAAGGGUGGGACCUGCUGCAUGAUGUUGGCCCGCUUUGCAGCAGGGGCAUUCUUAUUCUGGUCCCUCUUCGUGGUGGGAGGUCGGGAACGUUUUCGGGUCAGAGCCCCAAUCACAGCGUCCUCCAUCCUAUGGCCAGGAAGUAUCAAGCGAGACUCGAGCAAGUUGUAUGUAGUUAGCAGUUCUCGGCUCGAGCAGGAAUUGGCUAGUACAGCCUCGACCCGUUUGAGCUGGUCAGGUUCAAGCGGGAAGUGGACACCCCAAGAAACUACAACACAAACAGACACUUGGUUAGAGACAAGCCAAUAAAGCAAGAACAAUUAUGGAUGCAAGACAUCUAGAGCGAGCAGGCAACCUGGGACCGUGAAACGGGGUGGGACGCGACAAUCCUUCCCGCCUAUUUGUGCAACUUGACCCCAAGGACCCCCAGCAAAAAAGAAUUUCCUCUUCCAAGCCCCACCACCACCGGUUGGAAGAUCGGUUAUGGAUUUCCGGCUCUUGGUGCUAGAUUGGAAGUAGUACCAGCCGGCAUCUUUGGGGCUGCUCUUUAGCUGGUACAAGUGCUUCACCUCGUCAACCGUGGGCUCGCUUUGGCAACAUCUGUCCCACAAUAUGAACAGACCAGAGAGCACUCUCCACCCAUUGGGAUUCAGCUGACCAGGAGCUAGAUUUAGCCCGUUAAGUAUCCGGGCAAAGUAGGGUUGCAAGGGACACCUCAGCCCGUACUUAAAGCUCUCUAGAAACAGGGUAACGUAUCCCCUAGGAGGCCGGCUGGGAGCAUCCUUCUUUCCUGGGACCUUGAGAGGUAUCUCACCAGGAAUGCUAUACCUAAGCUGGAGGUCAUUGAGCUCGUCAAACAAGGUCGUGCACGUCAUGUAAUCAAUGGCAUAAUCGCGCGACAAGGCUCUGCCUCCUACUGUACCCCGUUCCUCUAGUCGUGAUGUUCCAGAUGGAGACACCUCACCAGAGUCACCUUCCCCAUUCUCACUUAAGGUGUCCUCAGAGCCAGAAGGUCCCCCCUCACCAUUGCUUCCGCUCGUGGAGGUUGUUUGGGGGGACAUCCUCCUAGCACUAGUCCCGACACUAAACCUAAUGGGUUCUAAGGGGAUCCCGGGGUCAAAAGCCGGAUCAGUGAGCAGACUAGGCAGGAAACUUAGUUCGUCGUCAUCAAUCUCAACGACUUUCUCCUUACCUUUCGACAUUCCCUAAGCCCUAACCACAACACCACCAACUACUACCUAAACAGAAGAGAAGAGAAAUUAUCUACAACUAUCCGAGACCAAGGAGAUAGAAGAAAUACCUGAAGUAAUGGUUCAGUCGGUGAAAGUCAGAGAUGGAGGCCUUUUAUGCCGGAACUUCUUUGCCGGAGAAACAGAGACGGAGACGGAGUGAAUGAUGAAUAUGCCGUUCGAGAGGAUUUGGUUUUCCUAAUGAAGACGGACUCUUGGGUUGCCAGCAUUUAACGGCGCCGAAUCCCGAGGGUCUCAUAACCGUCGGUUUGAAAUUCAAAUGAAGGGGGGGAUUUCUGCCACGUCACCUCGUCCGCAAUUAAAUGCGACAUGACUCUUGGCAGCCUUUUCCAAUCCCACGCGGGCGAGUACUAACGAGUUUCUACUGCUGGUCCACUACAUUACCCAACACCAGAAACUGGGGGACCGGUGUUUGGGAGAAAUACGUCGAUGAGACCAGGCAUGGUGAGCAGAUAUCUGAUGGCAGAGUUCUGCGAACCGGUGUGUUCCGUAAAAGCCUGGUGCACGGGGGAACAUGAGCAGAAGUAUCCUGCUCGUCCACGAGCACGUCAUCCGCGAGGCAAAUUUCCUGUAAGAGGCAUAAGGUCAUUCCGGCUAGAGGUCGAGAGGCGAGGAGACCCGGUCGACGGCAGUUGGCAAGACAUGCUCCCCAGCCCGAGAAUCUAGGCACGACAGCCACGCUUUCCCCAGAACUGUGGCGUAACACGCAAGAUCUCACAGAACCACGACAGCCACGCUUUCCCCAGAACCGUGGCGUAACACGCAAGAUCUCACAGAACCACGACAGCCACGCUUUCCCCAGAACCGUGGCAUAACACGCAAGAUCUCACAGAACCACGACAGCCACGCUUUCCCCAGAACCGUGGCGUAACACGCAAGAUCUCACAGAACCACGACAGCCACGCUUUCCCCAGAACCGUGGCGUAACACGCAAGAUCCCACGUUUGCCCAUAACGCAGCAGUCAGAGUCCCAUACCGUCUCAGAAAAAGCGGAAAACUGGGAUUCAGGGGAAGCCUAUAAAAAGGUAGCCAACGAAGGUAAAAGGGUUGGCAUUUUUGAGAUUAUAAAAGAAAUGAAAAAAGAAGAGAAAACGACGAAAAAGCCAUAAGAUCUGUGGCAAGUGUCCCCCGAACCUUCAUAUCUGACUUGAGCGUCGGAGGGUUUGCGCCGGGAAAACAACCGGCGUACUCUGACUUGUCUGUGUGCGCAGGAACCUCUGGAGAAGAAGCCUCACGUGGAGACCUCCUGGUCGUGAAGAAGUUGAUCGGGCAGAGAUCCUGGUCGUAGAACGAGGAGAACCGGAAUCCCGCAUCAACAGAACUUGUACUUGUCCUGUGAUCCGUACAUGCGACCACGAAUGACCUACAUCGAAGGAUCUUACGUUGAAUCCUUUAAACCUGGCUUGGUUAGUGCACUCGCUCAUGGCCACGCUUUUCAUUUCCAUGGCUUCUUGCUCUUUUGUUAUAGAAAAUUUAUUUUUGGUUGCAGUUUGAUUCGACUGCUAAAAUCUCGUGCGAUAAUUGUAUAAGAUAUCUAGAGUUUGAACUUCUUUCACAUUAGGGUUCAAGGAAGUUAACUUAAAUGAUUUUCAAAAUUUUAAAUGUGUACCAAAGAAUUUAAUUUCAUAGCUUAAACUUAUAUUUUGAUCAUACUCUAACUUUGGACAGGAAAAAUUAUAUUUUUCCUUUAGUUCUUUGCCUUGGUGUAUGUUGUGUGAAGUACUUGUGCUUGAAAAUGAAUUGCUGACACAGAAAUUUCUAUGAAUGCAUGCAGCCCAUAAGUGGAUAUGGGGUGGGUAAAGUUUUGGAUUCAGAGAAUCCAGAGUUCAACAAAGGUGACUUGGUUUGGGGAAUGACUGGAUGGGAAGAGUAUAGUCUCAUUACGGCUCCACACUUGUUUAAAAUUCAACACACAGAUGUGCCUCUUUCUUACUAUACUGGAAUCCUCGGUAAACUUUUUGUUUGCACAAUUUAUGUGAGCAAAUUGUGUCUUCUUUUUCAUAUGUAAAUGUUUUUGAUAUCUUGAUGUGAAGGUAGAAAAUUGCAUGUUUUGAGUUUUUGCAUAUUUGAUGGAAACACAGAACUGUACCUGAAUCUUUCAGAACCCCCUUCUCUUUGAAGUUUGAACACUUUUCUUGAAUGUAUCAACUUUAUUUAUGGGAUAUGUUGCCAAAUUGGAAAAUCUAUUCGUUAUAAAACUUUCCUUUGACAGUUUAAUCUAAGCAGAUGUUAAUUCUGCAAAUAGAGUGUGCCUUAGAUUAGUUUCAUAGAUUUGUCUCCUUCUGUACAGUAAAAACUUUGAGCAUUUUCGCCAUAUUCUGAUCAAUACACUCCAACUAGUUAGUUCUUGAGGCGUUUUAUGGUUUCGUGGAGUGAGGCAAGAUGUAUACGUUUGCAAAUUGGCAAUGUCUUUCUCUUGAUGGGUUGAGAGUUGUGAGUGUCAACAGGAAACAAGACCUCUGUUUUAUGAACUCCAAAAAGUUAUUCUGUUAAAAAGAUCGAGACAGAGGCCAUACUAUAUUUAUUAUUGCUAUAAAAGUGUGAAAAAAUAUUCUUUAUUUAAUAUUCUAAACGAUUGAGCCAUUUAGUUAUGAUACUCUGCUGUAUUGGGGCUAAUAAUCUAAGUCGGUUCAAAGUGGUAAAUUUAUAAAUUGAUAGGUAUGCCUGGUAUGACCGCUUACGUUGGAUUUUAUGAGGUCUGCUCUCUUAAGCAAGGAGAGUGUGUCUUCAUAUCCGCAGCAUCUGGUGCAGUUGGACAGCUUGUGGGGCAGUUUGCAAAGUUAUUGGGUUGCUAUGUCGUCGGAAGUGCUGGAAGCAAAGACAAGGUAUGUAAAAUUAGAAUUUGAUCAACAGAUUUGGAGUGUUUGUUUACAGAGAAAAUCUAAGAGAAAAUGUAAGAAACUUUAGCUGAGAAUAUUCAUUUUGUUCAACUUAAUAACAGAAUGAGAUUACAAAGCUUAUAUACUGCUAUCAAGAAUCAUCUUAACACAUACAUCAUUUUCACGUGUAUUUAUCUUUGAAAGAAGCUAAAUAACCAGCUUAACAAACUCACAACUACUUUGCUGACUGGACUGCCACGUCACCAUAACUAACUUAACUAAUCCAAUCAGUUAAUCACAGUUAACACAUAUUCUUAUCAUCCCCCCUCAAGCUUAAGUUCGGGGAAGGACAUUAAGCUUGGUACGAAGAUAAGCAAACUGAUCAAAAGAGAGGGGCUUGGUGAGAAUGUCUGCAAGUUGUUCUGAACUGGAAACAUGACUGAUCGUGAGUUGCUUCUGGGCAAUAUGCUCUCGAAUAAAAUGAAGAUCCAACUCAAUGUGCUUUGUUCGAGAGUGAUACUUAGGAUUGCUAGCUAAUGCCUCAGCACUCUGAUUAUCACAUUAUAGAACAGGACUUUGAGUUGGCUGAAUUUGCAGUUCUUGAAGCAAAUAAGUGAGCCAAAGAAUUUCAGAGGUUGCCGAAGCAAGAGCUCUAUAUUCAGACUCUGCUGAGGAACGAGAAACAAUGGUUUGUUUCUUGGAGGACCAAGAAAUAAUAUUGUUUCCUAAGAAUACACAAUACCCUCCAGUAGACUUUCGAUCAUCAGGAUCAGCUGCCCAAUCAGCAUCAGAAAAUGCUGUUAAAGUCACAGAGCCUGAAUUGAAGAAUUGAAUCCCAAAGUGUGAAGUAGCUUGAAGAUAUCGAAGAACCCUUUUACAAGCUUGCCAGUGUGCAAUGGUUGGAUGAGCUAGGAACUGACUAAGCUUGUUAACAGGAUAAGCUAUAUCAGGUCUUGUUAGCAACACAUACUGAAGAGAGCCCACAAUACUUCUGUAUAAUGAGGGAUUAUCAAAAACUUCACCACUGUCCUUUGUAAGCUUAUCACCUGGACUCAUAGGAGUAUUAAAACCUUUGCUGUCAAGCAUAUUUACUUUUCUAAGGAUAUCACCAAUGUAUUUGGUCUGAGAUAAAUGCAGUCCCUGAACAGAGGGUGUUACUUCAGUACCAAGAAAGUAGUUAAACUCUCCUAGAUCUUUGAGUGCAAACUCUGAAUGAAGAUAUUGAAUAACAGCCUCAAUAUGUUGAGAAUUAGAACCAGUAACUAAAAUAUCAUCAACAUAUAUAAGAAUGAGCACAAUAUCAUGGUCAAUAUGCUGAAUAAACAUGGAUGUAUCAGAUUUUGAGGAUUGAAAACCUUUAUGGAGUAAGGACCCUUUCAACCUCUCAUACCAAGCUCUAGGAGCUUGCUUGAGACCAUAUAAGGCUUUGUUUAACUUGCAAACAUAUGAUGGAUUUGCAAAGUCUAUAAAACCUUGUGGCUGAUGCAUGAACACAUCCUCUUCAAGCAUACCAUUGAGAAACGCAUUAUUAACAUCCAGCUGUCUAAUCUGCCAAUGAUGCAACACUGCUAGACUGAGGACAACUCUGACUGUGCAAGGUUUCACAACUGGGCUGAAGGUCUCAAAGAAAUCCACCCCUUGAGUUUGAUGAUAACCCUUGGCAACCAACCUAGCUUUGUAUUUGGAAAUGCUGCCAUCAGGGUUAUACUUCACCCUAAAUACCCACUUAUUACCAACUAUUUUAGCAGCACUUUCAGAGGGCACUAGAGUCCAGGUUUGAUUUCUUUGCAGAGCAUCAAAUUCCUCUUUCAUAGCACAAAACCACUUGGAGUCAUGCAAGGCACUUUUGACACUAGUUGGCUCAAGAUUUUCAGUAGCUGCUAGAUAUGACUUGGGUUUGAAGAUACCAGCUUUAGCUCUAGUAAUCAUUGGGUGAGAUGGUAAUGAAGAUGAGUGAGUUGGUUCAGCUGAAGGAUGAGAAUAAGAAGGUUGUGCUGAACUGGAACUUGAUGGAGGAGACAUUGCUGAAUGAAAAUUAGGAGAUGAUGACUCUACAUUGCUACUGUCAACCUGAGCAGAAGUUUGAAGAAAAGAAAGUUGUACUGGUGAAGAAGGGACAUCAACAUUGGAGACUUGUGAGGUAGAGUGUUUUAGAAACAAUUCUGUGUUAGGAAACUCAGUUUCAUUAAAAACAACAUGUCGAGCAACAAACACUUUACCAGAUGAAUUUAAACACUUAUAACCUUUAUGAAGUGGACUGUAACCAAUGAAAAUACAUUUUUGAGUAUGAAAGUCAAGUUUAUGCUGGUUAUAAGGUCUGAGGAAUGGAAAACAGGAGCAACCAAAAACCUUUGGAAACUGAUAGUCAGGCAGAUGAUUAUGUAAUUUCUGAAAUGGGGAUAGAUUGUUUAGAACUGAUGUGGGCAUUCUGUUGAUAAGGAAAGAAGCAGUGUGGAAUGCUUCCCACCAAAAGGAGAGAGGUAACUGUGAUUGAGCUAGAAGUGUCAGACCUGUUUCAACAAUAUGCCUGUGUUUCCUCUCAACAACACCAUUUUGAUGGUGUGUAUAUGGACAACUAUACCUAAAACAUAUACCCUCUUGCUGAAGAAAGGUUUUAAAAGCUAUAAAUUCACCCCCCAUAUCUGACUGUAGUGUUUUGAUAGACAAGGAGAACUGUUUUUCAACAAGAAGUUUGAAGUGUUUGAAGGUUUCUAAGGCUUCUGACUUUGCUGUGAGAGGAAAAAUCCAAGAAUAUCGAGUGAAAUCAUCCACAAAAGAGAUAUAAUAUCUGUAUCCACUCAUUGAAUAUUCAGGAGCUGGUCCCCAUAAAUCUGUAUAUAGAAGCUCAAGUGGUGCUUUUGUUUUAAUGGUAGUGACAGAAAAAUGAAGCUGAUGCAUUUUGCCAUGUUGACAAGCAUCACAGAAGCUAAUGAAUUUAUUUGAAAAGCAAUGUGUGGGAAGACUUUUAAUAAUUGUUUGCAAAGCAUGUUUAUUGGGAUGACCAUAUCUAUUAUGUAACAACUGAACUGAUAUCUUUCCAGCUCUAGAAGAAUUUCCAGAAACAGAACAUGCAAAAGCUUCAGACAUAUUUACAUUAUCCAACUUUGACACAUGAUUAUUUGACUCUGGUAAAGAGUUUACAACUUUAUUAUCAAAACAAAAUGACAACAUGGAACUUGGUUUAAAAAGAUUUGGAUUGCAAUCUGCAGAGUAAGGAGAGAAGACAUCAAGUGACAGUAGCUUGUAAAGACCACCUUUAACAAUCCCCUGUGCCAGCAAAGUUCCCUCCUUCUUGUCCUUAAUAAAGCACAUGGUGGAACAAAAUUCAAUGAUUAUGUUAUUAUCCAAAAGAAGUUUAGAUAUACUGAUGAGGUUUUUGGUUAUUUUAGGAACACACAAAGUAUUGGUUAAGGAUAAACAUGUGCCAAAAGAAGUAGAAAGAUGAGUGCAGCCAAUAUGUGUGAUAGUAAGACCUUGUCCAUUUCCAACAAACAACAGUUGAGUACCAUUAUAAGGAUUACCUUCAACCAGGUUUUGCACAUUGUUGGUGAGAUGAUGAGUGGCUCCACUGUCCAGAUACCAUCCCUGAUCAGCAACUCCUUCUGAGGUAGCCAUAUAAGCUGUUCUUGGCCCUGGGUUCUGCAUUGGAGAAUUUGAAACAAAAUUUCUGUUAAAUCUGUUUCUACAAUCAACAGCUGAAUGGUUUGGUUUAAAACAUAUUUGGCAGGUAAUAUUUCCUCUGCCACCUCCUCUACCAAAGCCACCAGAGGACCCUGGAUUUCCACCAUUAAAACCACCAUUUCCACUAAAUCCACCAGUAUUUCCAUUAAAACCACCAGAGUUUGAACCUCUUCCUUGGUUUCCAAACCAGCCUCUCCCUGAGUUUUGAUCCAUAAAGCCACCUCUGCCAGAUCCAUAACCUCCUCUAUUGUUGAAAUUUCCAUUUCCAUUUCUAUUCACAAAAUUAACAUUCCAAUUACCCUGGUUAUUAGUAUUCCAAUUAGCAUUGCUUCCUGACUUCUUCUGAUUAUUACCAGUCUGAGCCACAUUAGCACUAAAAUUCACCUUAGUUUCCUUAGCUACACCAGAAUGAUUACUCUCAAGCCUAGCUUCAUGAGAUAGCAACAUAGAAUAAGCCUCAUUGAUGCUCAUUUUAAGAGCAUUUGCCUCAAUAUAAACUACAACAGGAUAGUAAGCCUGACCUAGCCCUGAGAUUAAAUGUGUAAUGAAGUCAAUAGAGCUAACUGAACUUCCAGCCAUUGCUAAUUCAUCAGUUACUGACCUUAGUUUACAAAAAUAUUCAGUAAUUGACAUGGAUCCUUUCUUAAGAUUGUUUAGCAGCAUCUUUAAAUGCACUUUCUUAGCUGCUGUUUCAAAUCCAAACUGUUCCUCUAAGCUUAUCCAAAGUUCUCGAGAGUUUUUAGAAUUUACCACAAUGCUUAAGAUCUCCACACUGAUUGAAGAUAGAAGCCAGCUCAAGAUCAUCUGAUCUUGCCUUUUCCAAGUAGUGUAGGCAGGAUUUUCUGAGAUGACUGCCGCAUCUGUGCUUGUUGAUUCACCAGUCAGCAGCUGGUUUGGACAGGUACGUGAUCCAUCAAGAAAACCUUCCAGAUCAUUUGCUCGAAUGGCUGAAAGGAUCUGAGAUUUCCAUAUAGUAUAAUUCGAUCUGUCAAGCUUGAUUGGUGUGGCGAAAGUAAAUGUUGAGAUUGCGGAAGAAACAUUUGUACUAAGACUUGAAGAAGCCAUGAUCAAGAAGUGAUUCAAGGCUCUGAUACCAAAUUAGAAUUUGAUCAACAGAUUUGGAGUGUUUGUUUACAGAGAAAAUCUAAGAGAAAAUGUAAGAAACUUUAGCUGAGAAUAUUCAUUUUGUUCAACUUAAUAACAGAUUGAGAUUACAAAGCUUAUAUACUGCUAUCAAGAAUCAUCUUAACACAUACAUCAUUUUCACGUGUAUUUAUCUUUGAGAGAAGCUAAAUAACCAGCUUAACAAACUCACAACUACUUUGCUGACUGGACUGCCACGUCACCAUAACUAACUUAACUAAUCCAAUCAGUUAAUCACAGUUAACACAUAUUCUUAUCAUGUAAUCUGUGUGAAGUACUUGAUUGUUUCCAUGUUACUUUCAAACAUUUAAAUUAAAAAGGAAAUUUUCAUAAUCUUGCCUUUUCUAUGAUUUUCAAAACCAAGGUUGAUCUACUGAAGAACAAGUUUGGGUUCGACGAGGCAUUUAACUAUAAAGAAGAAGCUGAUUUGAAUGCAGCAUUGAAAAGGUUAGCAUCAAUAAAUGCCUUAGCUUGAUGCAGCUUGAUGAAGUAUGAUACACAUUUCUGACCAAUAUACUGCGUUCCCUGAUCUCUUACUUGAAAUAUCUUGGUUUGAGAACCUCAUGCCAAUGCCUUUAACAUUUUGGCAGGUACUUUCCUGAAGGAAUUGAUAUAUAUUUUGAAAACGUUGGUGGAAAAACGCUUGAUGCAGUGCUACCCAACAUGAAAAUCCGUGGUCGAAUUGCUGCAUGCGGUAUGAUCUCACAGUACAAUCUUGACAAGCCUGAAGGUGUGCACAACUUGAUGUAUCUUGUUUUGAAACGGCUUCGAAUGGAAGGAUUCAUUGUUCUCGAUCACUAUCACCUUUAUCCAAAGUUUCUGGAAAUGAUCAUUCCUCACAUCAAAGAAGGGAAGCUUGUAUACGUCGAAGACAUGGCUGAAGGUCUGGAGAGUGCUCCGGCAGCUCUCAUCGGUCUAUUCUCUGGCCAGAAUGUUGGGAAACAGGUGGUUGCUGUUGCUCCUGAAUGAAGAACAAGUUAGUGUUGUAUGUUCUUUUACCCUUUGACACAAAACUUCAAUGUCAAAGAGAGAAUGCUGCUCAUACUGCUUUAUAAAAUAAUCAAAUGAGUGCAAGUUUCAUGAUAUUUGCUGAAUAAAAUAUUGGAAAUUAAGCAGCUAGCCUAGCUCCUUCUUGUAGUUGCAGUUUGAAUGAUGCUGCUGCACAACUGCUGCCGAAAAAAAUCCUUAAUAGAUGAUUAGCAAGGUUUCAAAAAUAAAAAUAAAUGUUUGUGCAAUGUGCCGAAUAUGACAGCCACAAAGAAAGAGCAUACAAAUUGAUUGGUUUUAUGUCUUCUCUAGGAGAAAGCUACAAUACAAGAAAUUGUAUUGAUGGAGCCUUGGACCAAAUUUCUUAUUUAAAUUUUUAAUUUUUUUUAUUAAAUUACUUAUGUUAUUAUGGUUUAUAUUUUUAGAAAUUCUUUAGAAAUUAAUACAGAACUAGUAGCAAGUUGAGAAAUCUACUGAAUGGUCAAGAUAUGAUAAUGUUUAUUGAAUUAAAUUAACAAUCAUCAUUUUCAUAAAUUAUUGUCAGGAUAUUUGAUUCAUGUCAGGUGUAAGUAACUAAGAGAGCGUUUGGGACAGACACCACAGUUGCUCCCGAUGCUUUAUUUUAGGGAAAUAUCCCCUGGAAUAAUGCAUAGGGCGCAGCCCCAAACGGACCCUAAAUGUGCUAAAAAAAAAUUAAUGAGUUGGGUGUGUUUGAUAUUCAUUUGUUGUAAUUCUUUUAAUAAUUAUUGUAGAAAAAAAUAUGAUAAAAAAUUUAUAAUUAUAAAUAAAAAUUAAUAAUAUAAUAAAUAAAAUUUUUAAACAAUAAUUUUAAUAAAAUAAUAAAUAUAUUAUCAAUUUUUCAUCGUUAAUAUUUAAGUCACAAUAAUAAAUAUUUAUUAAACACUUUAAUACUAUAACUAACACUACAACUUUUGAAUUAUAACAGUACAUUCUAAAGACCGUGGAACAAUAGUACAAAAGGUGCUCGUCGUGUAAACAACACAUGGGACCCAAGCAAUAAAUGUUUCUGAUCCUCAACUUUCCUCAUCACUGUCCCUGCAAACAAUUCUGAUUUUCUUGUCUGAUAAAAAAACUGAGAAACAAUGGCGGCCGAACAAGAAGCUGUGAGCAAUAAUGUAAAGCCACAAAUUUUCAUAAUAUUAAAUUAUGAAAAUUGGGCUUUCAUUGAGAAUUAUGGGUGGCCUAUAACCCUUAUUAAGAAAGGGAUACUAAUUAUAAAUACAAGUUAUUUAUGAGAUAGUUUUGAAAAAAUGUUAUUUUUCCUUAUUAAAUAAGGUUUCUUAAGACUCCCUAUAAAUUCAUACUUUUUCCCUUCCAUGACCCUAAGUCCAUGACGUUUAUUCUUCUUCUCUGCUGCUCUUUACGCUCCUACCCAAAUCAUAGGAUUCAAACCUUUGUUUAGGAGAGAAUCAAAGCGACGAGUAAGUUAUUCUCCCUAUUCUCAACAGAUUUCUAAUCACUCUAUCUAGGGUUUAUAUUGGCACGAUUCUAGAUGGUUAUAGAUCAUAAUGCAUGAUUUAGAAUGUAUUUAGGCUUUGUUUAGGGUUUUGAUUUAUUAUGAGUUUAGUUAAUCAAUCCUUGACGUAUUAAGCACAGGAUAAUUCUGGACAAUAUGAGUAUCUCGAAUUUAAACCUAUAUUUUCUGAACGAGUUUUAUUAUAAAAUUUAUAUUUCUGGAAACUAGACAUGUAGGGCUUCUUGAGUAAAUUUUAUUUCAUUAAAUUCGACUUCGUUUUCAAUUUUAUAUUUAUUUUCGAAAUAGAAACCACUGCACUGGAAAACUGCGAUUCCAGCAUUGCGAUCGGAUUCACAAGACUAUUUGUACCACCAAACGAACUCGGAAAAUUCUGAAAGUUUAUAUGUAGGUUAAUAUAUGUGUCUAGGAUUACCAGUUUUAAUUUCAUAAUUUUCUGAUUAGUAUUUUAUUUUAUAAAAAUCACAGAACCCGUUCUGUUUGGUUUAGAUUAUGUGAAAACAGUUUCGAAUUUGCUGAGAAAUAAAUAGUUUCGAAAAUGUUUUUGAUAUCGGAUCCUCUUGCAAAUUUUACAUAGGGUACUCAUGGAUGUCCAGAAUAGUCCCAUAGAAUAUUAUAUCAUUCUGAGUCUUAGAUUAAGAGUUAAAUUCUGAGAAUCAGACCUGUACGGGUAUGAAUUAGAAAAUCAGAUUCUUAGAAUAAGUUAUUAAUUGUCAUAUCUUGUAUUUGUUUAAGGUGUUGAAGGUGAUUGAGGUUCUUAGAAGCUUAAAGGUGUGUUAAUUCAAAUUCAUUUGUCGAGGUAAGUUACUUCAUUCCUACUAUAUUGGAUAUGUAUAAGUAUUUUGAUAUUAUCAUUAUAAGUAUAAAUGUUUUCAUACUAUUUAGAAGAUUAAUGGAUUUUCAUAACAAAAUUAGCUUAUGAAAAUGUUUUCAAAACCUAAUUUCUUUUUAACAAAGCAUUUUAUAAAUACUUUUUAAAUAUGUAAGUUAUUUUGUUACAUGCCUACUUUUAUGAUUUUAUUUAUAAAAUAUUUUGCAAGCCUAAAUUAUUGUUAUGGACUUUUAUGAAUCCGAUACGAAUGUUUUAUGCCUAUGCAUGAUUUCAAUUAUAUAUGAUUGUAUGGGGGCCACCUCUUGGGACUAUAUGGGGGCCACCUCUUGAAGGCCAAAGUGUCGCAAAGUGCCACAUAUAGUGCAAAGUGCCACGUAUAAGUCAUUAUGUUUUGGCUCAUUGUCCGUAGUCAUUUUGAUUCUGAUUCUGAUCAUAUAAUACGAUAUAUGUCUGUUUUGGACCAGUACUGGGUUUCUGUUCUGAGUGUGCACACGAUAUUUUGAUUCUGUUUCUGGCCGGGUCACUGGGACUAUAGGUGACACUAUGUGACAAGAGCUAACCUUUUGUUUUCUGUAUACGUAUUAUAUGAUUUACUUCAUAAGUAAAUAUGCUUUUGGAUAUUCGGAAUUAUUAAGAAUUUAUGUUAUGUUAUCGUGAUAUAUUGUUUUAUGAAAUUUAUGGAUUAUGAUAUAUGUUUUAAACAAAAGAAGGCUUGCAAUAUUUUUGUAUCGAUAGGCCCAGUAUGUUAGAAAUUGUUUUACUUACCGAGUUGACGGCUCACCCCUCGUCAUUACUUUUUGCAGAUUAAGUUUCUUUUGAGAGGUGCGCUUAGCUUUGGAGUUAGUAAUUUUCCGUUUCCAUUUGCCAUUUGAAUAAGAGGAGGAAUAAACUCGUGUUUCUAUUUAGUUAUUUCUAUUAUGAACGUGUAAUUUGGAGUUUGAGACUUUUGUUAUUAUUUUUAUGUCCUCGGGAGAGAUUAUUUAGUAUUAGACGUUAGAAUUUGUGGAUUUAUUUGAAUAAGAAUUGGAGGUAUUUCAGUUUGAAACUUAUGAGUAAAGAUUAUGAUUUGUGAGUAACCUCCUUCUUCACGUGCUCCGCACGUGUUAGAUUUGGGGUGUUACAAAUAAGCGGGUGAUUCUAAGCAACUAUGUGACAGGUUUUCCAAAAGAAUCAGACAUGAAGAUAACAAGUGGAUCAAUAAAGCUGAAGGUAGCAGACUGUUCAAAAGACACGGUGCUUUUGAAGAAUCUUUAUCUUUCUUGUGAUCCUUACAUGCGAGAGCGUAUGAGCAAGCUUGAUAGCCCUUCUUUUGUUGAUUCAUUCCAUCCUGGUGAGGUUAGUUCAUCACGGCCCAUCUCUUGAUUUUUUUUUUUCAUUUGCUUCAAGUUUUGAUGAGUUUCUGAGGUAAUUUGUACGGUUUUGGAAUUUGAACACAAUUUGUGAUUUUGGUGCUGUAACUGUCAUUAAUGAUAUGUAGUAAUUCAAUCGGAAUUUGGAUUUAGUGCUGAUAUGAUCUCUGCUCAUUUUUUUAAAUCUUGUGUCCACAUGCAUUUUUGAAAUCUGGUACGGUUGAGAUUGUAUGUAGAUUAACCUACGUACAGUAUUCUUGUCUAAUGACUACUAACCACAACCUUAUGAGACGAUCGAAACCAAGCUCGGAUCAAUAAUCCAAUCGAGAGAGGAUCAUAACUGAAGCUUAUCGUGUGUGGGAAUAUUUCGGUUAAAUUGUAAUCAUGAUCAUGAAUCAUGCAGGGAAAAGGGAAGUUGAGGUCAAUUUAUGCACUUGAUGGAAUUAAAGAACCAAUAUUUGAUUUUGGUUUACAUUAUUUCUCAGUAAUGGUGACUUUGUGAUGUUAAAUUUAUGCAGCCUAUAAACGGAUAUGGGGUGGCCAAAGUUUUGGAUUCUACACAUCCAAAUAAUGCAAAAGAUGACUUGGUUUGGGGCUUUACCGGGUGGGAGCAGUACAGUCUCGUUACAGCUCCGCAGCUUUUGAUUAAAAUUCAUCAUAAAGAUGUGCCACCUUCAUACUAUACCAGGAUCCUCGGUAAUGAUUUUUGUUACACAUUAAGCUUUGCUUAUAGUAAUAUCAAUACAUAUGCUGCUUAAAUGCUUUCUGAUUUUUUGCCGGCCAUUGUCCAUUUUGCCCGGGAGACUAUAAUUGAAGGAAUUUACUGAAGGAAUGCUGAUUGUUGGGAAUUUGAUUAUUCUAGGUAUGCCUGGUGUAACUGCAUACGCUGGUUUAUAUGAAGUUUGCUCUCCGAAGAAAGGAGAGUAUGUCUAUGUAUCUACAGCAUCUGGAGCUGUUGGUCAGCUUGUUGGACAGUUUGCAAAAUUAGCUGGUUGCUAUGUUGUUGGAAGUGCUGGAAGCAAAGAAAAGGUGCUGUUAUAUCAUUCUUAAGUAGUAAAUAUAGCACCGUGCCUUCUAGCAGAAUUUUACAUGCUUUAUGUUCCAACUAAGCAUCCAUAUUUGAUCGUGAUAAUUAGCAAGGUCAAUAAUUUUUUUUUGACUAUUUUUUCAACGUAAGGUCGAUUUGUUGAAGAACAAGUUUGGACGAUGCUUUUAACUACAAGGAAGAGCCAGACUUGGAUGCAGCGCUCAAAAGGUCAGCUGCAACAAACGUUUCAACUCUAAUAUUUCAUUUUAAUAUUACAGAGCUUUGGUUGAAGUGUGUGAGUUGAUCCCAGAAACGUAACUUCAUCAGUGUCUCUGUUUUCAAAAAACAGGACAAAUUAAAAUCUGAUUUUGCGUUAAAAUUUCCCAGAUGUUUCCCUCAAGGAAUCGACAUCUAUUUCGAAAAUGUUGGGGGAAAGAUGCUGGACGCAGUGCUACUCAACAUGAGGCUCCGGGGCCGCAUUGCGGUAAGCAGUAUGAUCUCACAGUACAACCUGGAAAAACCCGAAGGCAUACACAACUUAGAGCAACUGAUCGGGAAACGGAUUCGCCUGGAAGGAUUUCUAGCAGGUGAUUACUAUCACCUCUAUCUGAAAUUCUUGGAACUGGUCAUUCCUGCAAUCAGAGAAGGAAAGAUGGUGUAUGUGGAAGACAUAGCCGAAGGACUCGAGAAAAUUUCUCGUAACUGCUACACAUUAAACGCGUUUCACAUUUCCACUCUCUCUCUAUAAAUAAACACGCACAUAAAAUUUCUCACUAUCCAAAAACAAAAUCUACAUAAAAAAUGGCGGGUGAAGAAGGAGUGAGCAACAAGCAGGUGAUUCUGAGCAACUACGUGACAGGGUUUCCCAAAGAAUCAGACAUGAAGAUAAUAGCAGGCUCAAUAAACCUCAGGUGCCAGAGGGUUCAAAAGACACAGUGCUUUUGAAGAAUCUUUGUCUUUCCUGUGAUCCUUACAUGAGAGGACGUGUGAGCGAGCUUGAUAAGCCUUCGUUUGUUGCCUCGUUCGAGUCUGGCGAGGUCAGUUACUUCAAUUCCCAUCUCUUGGUUUCAUAAUCUUUUAUGGUUUUAGAAGGUGUUUUAGGGAAACAUUGUGGUUUUGGUUAGUGGGCAUGAGCCUUUGAAGAGAUUAUAAUGUGUAGGACUAUGUAUGCAAUAAUAAGUAUAGGGGAUCUUGUUAGGAGAAGAUUCUCUUAGCAAAAUAAAAACUUUUAUCUUAUCAAAACAUAUGCAGGGAACUUAGUUAUGAUGUCAUGUUAGCAUUGUCUCUGAGGAUUUGAUUUCUUGAUGGGGAAAGGGGAAUUUAAGGUUACAUUAUUCAGCAAUGGUUUUUUUUUUUUUUUUUUAAUUAUGUUCAAAUUAUGCAGCCUUUGAGCGGAUAUGGAGUGUCCAAAGUGUUGGAUUCCACGCAUCCAAAUUAUAAGAAAGAUGACUUGGUCUGGGGCUUAACCAGUUGGGAGGAGUUCAGUCUCAUCCAAUCACCACAACUUCUGAUUAAAAUUCUGGAUACAAGUGUGCCUCUGCCAUACUAUACUGGGAUUCUUGGUAAGUUGUUACUAAAUUUAUCAAUGUCCAGUUCGCAUGAGCUGAAAAUCAUGUUUUAUUUAAUGCAAUGAGAGAGGGAAAUAGUAUGCUGCUUGAACGUCUAGCAUUUUGAAUUUUCAAUGAUUGUACCCUACGUAUUGGCAUGUAACUGAAGGAUUUCUCUUGAGGAAUUUACUAUUUUUUCUGAUUGUCGGGUAUUUUUCUGUUGACUCUAGGUAUGCCUGGUUUGACUGCAUAUGGUGGUUUAUAUGAGCUUUGCUCUCCUAAGAAAGGAGAGUAUGUCUAUGUAUCUGCAGCAUCUGGAGCUGUUGGUCAGCUUGUUGGGCAAUUUGCGAAGCUGGUAGGUUGCGAUGUUGUUGGAAGUGCCGGAAGCAAAGAAAAGGUGAGUUUGCACCUUUAACCCUUACGCUCUAAAUAAAAACAUAACACCUUCUGAAAGAAUUUGCAUAGAGAAUUUUGCAUGUCACAGUAUUUGUGUUCUAACUAAUCAUGGAUAUUUGAUCAUUAGUCUAACUAAAACUGACUUAUUACCACCUAGUUGAUUGGUCUUUGAGAAAUGUUAGUUGAUAUAUGCUUGAAAUCAUACUUUGUUUUAUUAGAUGAUUAUAUUAACCUGCUUCUUUUUCUUUGUGCUGUUUCUCGUUUGAUUACAUUUUCAACAUUAGGUCGAUCUAUUGAAGCACAAGUUUGGGUUUGAUGAUGCUUUUAACUAUAACGAAGAGCCUGACUUGGAUGCAGCUCUUAAUAGGUUAUCACGAAUGAAUGCCUUAACCAUUUUUCUCACUUCAUUAUUACAAUGCGCUGAUUGAAGUAAUCAGUGUUGGCUCUGAAAAUGUAAUGUAUACUUCUCUGUUUUCAUAAAACAGGACAAACAGUGAUCAGUGAUCUCAUUCGUUACAUUGAUAUUUUCUACCAUUGCCAUAUGCCCAUACAUAGUAUAAACUAGGAAUUCAGUUGCUUAAUUGAUAUUCAUUUCAGAGGGAAAUUUUCACUUGCAGCUAACAGAAUCAUGUUUGUGAUGUAUGUUUAUUUGGGAAAUGAAAGGAUUUGCUGCAUUAUUUUAUUCCAAGUUUGCUGAAAUCAUAUUUGUUUUCCCAGCUGCUUUCCUGAAGGUAUCGACAUCUAUUUCGAAAAUGUUGGGGGUAAGAUGCUUGAUGCAGUGCUAUUCAACAUGAGAAUUUGUGGCCACAUCGCUGUAUGCGGAAUGAUCUCACAGUACAACAUUGAGAAGCCUGAAGGUGUACACAACUUGAUGCAAGUAGUUGGAAAACGAAUUCCCACGGAAGGAUUUCUUGCCGGUGAUUUCUACCACCAAUAUCCAAAAUUCUUGGAACUGGUUAGUGGUUAUGGCGGCAAUCAAAGAAGGAAAGUUAGUAUAUGUCGAGGACAUAGCUGAAGGCCUUGAGAAAGCUCCAUCAGCUCUAGUUGGGAUAUUCACUGAGCAGAAUGUUGGAAAACAACUGGUUGCAGUUGCUCGGGAAUGAUAUGAUUAUUAUAUGACCAUGGACUUUAAAAGCUUAGUGAAGAUGCCUCUGUCUUAUUUGUGAUCCAUGUUAUGUUUGUUUGAGAUACAUGUUAUGUUUGUUUGAUCAAGCUGUACUCAGAUAUAAAUCAAAGAUUCAGAACAUGUGUAUGAUACUGGUUUCUAAAUCAAUGAACGCUUUGAAAUGUUAGUGUUUUCACAGGAGAAUGCAAUUUAAUUCAUCAACAAUGUCCCAACAAGACCCUCAGAGCUGUAGCUUGUAAAGUUAAUUACCAUAUUUUUUUGUAAAGUUAAUUACCAUAUUUUUUUCUUUCCAAUAUAUUGCUUAUUUCAUAGAAAGUUUACAUUAAAGUCUCAUGUUUCUUUGAAAGGUAAGCAAGUGUGAACGUUUCAAUCUAGAGCUGGAAAAUGCAUUUCCGGGCAACUUACUUGAUAAAUGAAGUUUUCAUCUCUGACCAUGAUGUUUCCCACAGGUGCAUUCAUUUCAGCUGAUCUAUUUAAUUUUGUUUUCGAAGGAGUGACACAAAAUCUCCUUUGUUAAGGGGAGAAUUUAGAGCGGCUUUGACUGUUAUCAAAUAGCCUAAUGUAAGACUUAACCAACUUCCUGCCCUGUUGUAUUCUUAUGAAUUUUGAUAGAGCUAAGAGUUUGCAGAAGCUACUGUAUUAUAUGUCGUUAGAGGCUGUAAAAAUCAAACACAUUUAAAUUUCAAUGAAAAUUUACUGGAAGUAAAUUUCCUAUGAUCCUACAGGUGACUAAUUAAUGAGAACUUGACAAUGACAAAAGAAAGUGUAUGAACUUUGCAGGCUGGCAUGCCAAUAUUGACUGGGUGGCACCAUCCACCAUCUGCAAGUGAAUAUCAUUGUUGUUUAAUCAACAUGGUGGAGUCCACUGGGACCACACCACAUCAUCAGCCUUAUCUCUAUUCCUCAAUUUUCAGUAUUCCAUACAUCAAACCAAUUUCAGUUUUGUUAUCAAUUAUAACUUUAUUGUUGGUGACGAUUCUGAUUCCUUUCUGACAAAAGGGAACCAUGGCUGCUGCUGGAGAGAUCUUACUCAACGCCUUCUUUCAGGUACUGUUCGACAGGUUGGCUUCUCGUAAUUUGAUCAGCUUUGUGCGUCAACUCCAAGGCGGGGUUGAUUCGGAGCUCAAAAAGUGGGAGAAAAAGCUGAAGAUGAUUCAGGCUGUCCUCUGCGAUGCAGAGGAGAAGCAACUGACCAACGAGGCUGUGAAGAUGUGGCUGGACGAACUCCAAGACUUGGCUUAUGACGCUGAGGACAUUCUUGAUGAGUUUGCUACUCAAGCUUUGGAAAGCAAGUUGAUGGCGCAAAAUCACGAUAGUUCUGGCCAGGUUCUCAGUUUCAUCCCGGCUGGUUUGAAUCCGAAUGCUAUUAUGUUCAAUUAUAGCAUGGGGUCCAAGAUUAAAGAUAUUACUAGCCGGCUGGAUCAACUCUGCCAAGAAAGAAUUGAACUUGGACUGCAACGGAUUACCGGAGAGGCAUCAUCAACUGCUGCUGGUGCACACCAGAGGCCACCCAGUUCGAGUGUCCCAACAGAACUUGAAGUAUUUGGAAGAGAAGAAGAUAAGGCCAAAAUUCUUGAUAUGUUAUUAGCCGAUACCCUAAGUGAUCAUGCUAACUUUGUUGUAAUACCCAUUGUUGGCAUGGGUGGGAUAGGAAAAACAACUCUUGCUCGGGAGGUUUACAAUGACAAGGCCGUUGGAGAUUGCAAGUUUGAUGUAAAAGCAUGGGUUUGCGUAUCUGACGUCUUUGAUGUUUUGGGCAUCUCAAAGGCACUUCUCGAGUCAAUCACCCGCACGCCUUGUCUUCUAAACAGUUUAAAUGAAGUGCAGGUUGAAUUGAAAGUAGCUGUGGAUAAGAAAAGAUUCUUGCUGGUCUUAGAUGAUGUUUGGAACGAGGACUACAGCUUGUGGGUAGACUUAAAAGCUCCGUUCCUGGGUGCUGCACCAAACAGUAAGAUGAUCGUCACCACGCGCAAUUCAAAUGUUGCAUCAACAAUGGGACCAGUUGAACAUUACAAUCUCAAGAGUCUGUCAGAUGAUGAUUGCUGGUCCAUUUUCAUAAAGCAUGCAUUUGAAUCUAGAGAUCUUAACGAACAUCAAAUUUCAGAAUCAUUCCGCAAGAAAGUUGUUGCCAAGUGUGGAGGCUUGGCCCUGGCAGCAAAAACACUCGGAGGCCUUCUGCGUACGACGAGGCAUGAUGUGUGGGAUGAUAUAUUAGAGAGCAAAAUAUGGGAUUUACCUCGACAAAGUGGGGUUCUCCCAGUAUUAAGAUUGAGUUACCAUCAUCUUCCUUCUCAUUUGAAAAGAUGUUUCGCUUACUGUGCAAUCUUUCCAAAAGAUUAUGAAUUCAAUGAGAAGGAGGUGACUUUUUUAUGGAUGGCCGGAGGUAUUAUUCGACAGUCCAGAAGCAAAGAGAGGCUAGAAGAUUGGGGCAGCAAGUGCUUCUAUGAUCUGGUGUCAAGGUCAAUUUUUCAGCAAACAGCAAUCUCUGAUAGUUCUAAAUUUGUAAUGCAUGACCUUAUUCAUGAUCUUGCUGAAUUGGUCUCUGGAGAAACCAUAUUCAGGUUAGAGGAGGCCAAUACUCUGUCAAGAAGAUUUGAAAGGGUUCGCCAUUCUUCCUAUGCUUGUGGUGGACGUGAUGGUAAAAAUAUGUUCGAGGUUUUCAAUGAAAUUGAACAUCUACGAACAUUCUUGCCAUUACGCUUACGCAUAAGAGGUGGCUCUAAUACUAGUUUCAUAACUCGUACGGUUCUAUCUGAUUUGCUGCCGAAGUUCAAAAUGUUGAGAGUGCUAUCUUUACAAGGAUACCGUAUCGGUGAGUUACCAAUUCCAUUUGAAGAUUUGAGACUUCUAAGGUUCCUCAACCUUGCUGACACUGACAUAAGAAGUUUACCUGAGUCAACAUGCAAAUUGCUGAACUUGGAAAUUUUGAUAUUAAGAAAUUGUUCCCGUUUGAUAAAGCUUCCGCAGAAAAUGAGGAAUUUGAUCAAUUUACGUCAUCUCGAUAUAAGAGGUGCAAAGCUGCUAAAGGAGAUGCCAUUUGGAAUGAAAGAGUUGAAGAAGCUUCAAACAUUGUCCAAUUUUAUUGUAGGCAAGGGUGAAUCCGCAUCUGGUUUGGAAGAUUUAAAAAGUUUAAACCUUCUUUGUGAUGAACUCUGCAUUGCUGGAUUAGAGAAUGUAAAUAGUCCACAGAAUGCAAGAGAAGCCACAUUAUGUGAGAAGCACAAUCUUGAAGCAUUGACUCUAGAAUGGGGGUCUCAAUCUGACAGUCCUCGGGAUGCAGUACUAGAAGAGAAUGUACUUGACACUCUACAACCUCAUGAACGUAUAAAAGAGCUGGCAAUCAGGCACUAUGGUGGUGCAGGAUUUCCACUUUGGAUCGGACAUCCUUUGUUCUCCGAGAUGAAGGUCCUUAAAUUGGAGAACUGUGACAAGUGUGUAUCUCUGCCAUCGCUUGGCCUGAUGAAUUCACUUAAGCACCUUGCUGUUAAAGGGCUGAAGAAACUAAAAAGCAUAGAGUCUGCGGUCUUUCCAUCAUUGGAGACUCUAAGUUUUGAGAAUUUGCCAGAAUGGCAGCAUUGGAACACCAAUAUCAAAGGAAAUGAGCCUGUUGAAAUAUUUCCUCGUCUCCAAGAACUUUCCAUUGCAGAAUGUCCCCAACUCUCUGGAGAACUGCCUGAGCUCCUGCCUUCUUUGGAGACACUUGUUGUUAGUAAAUGUGGAAAGUUGGUAGUUCCAUUGUCAAGCUAUCCGAUGCUCUGCAGAUUAGAAGUUGAUGAGUGCAAAGAGCUAGUGUGCAGGACUCCAAUUAAUUUUGAGUUGAUAAAGUCUGUGACUAUUUCAAAUAAUUCAUUACUCAUGAAUGGAUGCAAGGAGAUGCUAUGCCAUGGUCAAGCUGGCUCUUCACUGCAGAAACCCAAGACUAUUAUGAAUGUUUUGGAGUUCGGAAAAUUAUUGAAGCCUGGAUUUCAGAUAUUAGAAACUUUGGUAAUUGGCAAUUCUGAACGGCUCAAGUCAUGGAGUACUUUUAUUGAACCAGGGCUACAUUUGCUCGCUUCCCCUGAAGAGGUAGCAAUUGAAGAAAGUUGUGUACGUCUUGUUUUGUUUCCAGAGAUCAAUUUCUUUCCCAGAAAUCUGCGCUCUCUUCGAAUUUGCAACAGCACUGCUUUCAAAUCCUUACCCGAGGAAAUGAUGGAAAACAAUUCACAACUCGAAAGGUUGUAUAUCAGAGAUUGCGACUCUCUAACAUUCAUCGCAAGACGGAGGCUACCAGCAUCUCUUAAAAGGCUUGAGAUAGAAAAUUGUGAGAAAUUGCAACGUCUGUUCGAUGAUGAAGAGGAUGCUUCUUCUUCUUCUCCUUCAUCCUUGUCUUCCCCAGUGAUGCUGCAACACCUGAGAAUAGAGAAUUGCCCAGAGCUCACCAGUUUAUCAUCGGGUGUCCAAUUCCUUGAGGCGCUUGAAUACCUCAAGAUAGAGCAUUGUCCAAAGCUGGAGUCAAUACCGGAUGGCCUGCCCAAUCUUAAAUGUUUACAGAGCAUUUAUAUACGGAAAUGUCCAAGUCUUGUUUCCUUCUUAGAAAGAGGGCUUCCCAACGCCAUUUCAAGUUUUUACAUUUGCAGAUGUGACAAGCUCGAAGCCUUGCCCAAUGAUAUGCACAAACUCAACUCUCUUCGAGAUUUAAGCAUACAUGGGUGUCCAAGUCUUGUUUCCUUCCCAGAAAGAGGGCUUCCCAACGCCAUUUCAAGGGUUUACGUUUGCAGAUGUGAGAAGCUCGAAGCCUUGCCCAAUGAUUUGCACAAACUCAACUCUCUUCGAGGUUUAAGCAUACAGAUGUGUCCAAAUCUUGUAUCGUUUCCAGAAGAAGGUUUUCCUACCAAUCUAACAUCACUUACAAUUAGAUAUUUCAAAAUGUAUAAGACACUCGUCCAGUGGGGGUUGCACAGGCUUACCUCUCUUAAACGCCUCUGGAUUGCUGUACGUGAUGAUGAAGCAGAGUGUUUUCCAGACGAGGAGAUAGGAAUGACGCUGCCCACCUCUCUCACCGCUCUGCACCUUACUGGAUUCGAAAAUUUGAUAUUUCUGUCUUCAAUGGGUUUUCAAAACCUCACCUCUCUUCAAUCUUUGAGGAUCGAGAAUUGCCCGAAUCUCACAUCAUUUCCAGAGGUGGGCCUUCCAUCCUCACUUUUGGAAUUACACAUUAGAGAUUGUCUAAAGCUUAAAAAAGCGUGCAAAAGAGAUCAAGGAAAAGAGUGGCCCAAAAUUGCUCACAUCCCUCGCGUUGAGAUAGACGAUAAAUUCAUAUACGAUCCAGAAGCAGAGUAGAUUCUAUUAUUAAGGUCAGUUGAUUUGUAUUAUCCGCUAUAACAAGCUCCUCCUUUUUUUUUCAAAUAAUAAUUUUGCAGUCACUCAUAUGAUUCCGUUUUCACAAGUCAGAUUGUAUGUUGAGGCUAUUUGCCUUUUAAUUAUAACACUUAUUGGAGUAUAAUAUUUUGGAGCAAGCAUACUUGAAAUUUCUGUCUUCAAUAUUUUGAUGCUUUUUUAAUUUUUGAUCUAGUAAAAAUACAUAGCCUUCACCGGCAGGAUUCUAGUCUUGGCUUUCACCUCUCUAACUCAUCGUCCCCACUGGGAUUCCAGAAAUUGAAAUUUCUGUCUUCAAUGGGUUUUCAAAGCCUCGCCUCUCUUCGAUUUUUAUGGAUCGCUUCGAUUUUUGCACAAAUCUCACAUCAUUUCCCGAGGUCGAGGAAAAGAGCGGCCCAAACUUGCUCGCAUCCCUUGGGUUAUGAUAGAUGGAAAAUUCAUAUACGAUCCAGAGUCAGAGGUGUUGAUUCUCUUAUUAAGGUCAACUGAUUUCUAUUAUCCACUCUGACAAUCUCCUAUUAGUGUUUUUCCUUUUCUUUUUCAAAAUUUUGCAGUUCUGUAUAAUUGAAAAUGCCACUCACUUGUUUCCUUUUUCGCAGGUCAAAUAGUGCGUUGAGGCUAUUUGCUUUCUAUCGGUGUUUGUUAAGGUAAUUAGUGCUCCAUCAUAGGUAUGACUGGAUUUUUUUCACUUCCGUAAAUAUUGCAUUUCUAUCGGUGUUUGACUGGAUUUUUUUCACUUCCGAAAAUAUUGCAUUUUAGACUGGCAAAUUUAGCAGUAAUUUUAAUACAAUUUUGUUGGUGCCUUUUGUUCCAGAAGCUAGAAAAAUGUGUAGUUUUCAGAUAAGGAGGCUUGUCAGUUCUCUAAUAAGAAUCCAAUAAUUUGCUUUUGCACGUCCAUCUAAUUUGUGGAUCCUUGCAUCAGAAUUUGAUCAAUCCAAAAGGAAUUGCUUUUAGACAGAGGAAGAAUAGCAGUACCUAGCCUAUGUCAUAGUGUAUGGAACCGCAAACCUGAAACUAUUAGAUUGAGGUAAAAAAAUCAUUGACCCCCUCACAUGUUAACUUCUUCUAGUUACUUUCGUUGGAAAAAAAAACAUUUAAGGAAUUUGCAAUUUGUUGUUGGUUAUGGUAUCUGAUGUUCUUUUCUGUUUUAGUGUUUGUAGAAUCUACUGUAUUAUGUGUUGGCAGUUGCCGUAUCUGAGGUAACUUGCCUUUAUUUGACAAAGAUUUAGAGAAGCAUCUCAAAACACUUAGUAAACUUGACAAACUUCAAGAUGCACUUGCCCCCACGCCUUAUUCUCCACAACGCAAAACUUGUGAGUACACCUAUGCCUGCAAUUAUUGUGAAGUGUUUUCAAUUUUGAUGCAGAGAAAUGGUUUCUUGAUGCAAAAUAUUAAACUGUUAAGAUUUAUCCUGCAGGCUUGUUAGAUGCUGUAUGCUCGAAAAGCCAACAACAUCCAGAACUAGAACUCCAAGACCAGCUUUGCGUUAAUUCAGUCAACUGUAAUAAUAAUGCAAAUGACACUAUAUCAAGCUGGACUUAGAGACUAGUCAGAUCAAUCAUCCAUUUCAUCAACGGUUAAUGUCAUGAUGGUGGCUAUCAGAGGAAACAAAAGAUGUGUCGGAAUCUAUACGAACAUUGAGAAGCAUGAGAGGAGCUUUGAUUUUGAGUAGGGUCAAUGAACUCAUGUUGGUAAGUGGUAAUUAAAGAAAUUUGUAAGCUUAGUAGAGUUUCAGUAUUUUCUGUUUGGAGUAUAGUUGAUAAGUUGACUCUGUUUAAUAAGCCCGAUUAUAGUAGCUGACUGUAUUAACCUUUUUUUUUUUGGUCUACUGUUGUUUUUGGUUUCGAUUAUUUUUUCAACAUUGGGUUGAUCUGUUGAAGAACAAGCUUGGGUUCGAUUCUGCUUUAACUACAAGGAAGAGCCAGACUUGGAUGCAGGCGUUAAGAUUUUAAUGGGUAAGAACAAAUGAAUGCUUUAACCAUGUUUCUCACUAAUUAAAAUGCACGGAUUGAAGGCAUCUGGGUUGAUCCUGACAAUGUGAUGGAAAUACUUCUCUAUUUUGUUCCUGUGUUCACAUAAUGUUUGUGGGAUAUGCUUCGACGAAGACCAGCAAUGAUGAGCAGACACCUGGUAAUAGGGUUCCUCGAGCAGGUAUAUCUUGUAAGAGUAUGGUAUUCAGGGGAGCAGGAGCAGGAAUAUCCUGCUCAUCCGCGAGCACGUCAUCCACGAGGCCAAUCUCCUGUUGGAAGCAUAAAGCCAUUCCUGCUACAUUCCUGCUAAGGGUUGAGUCGAGGAGACCCGGUCAACGACAGUUGGCGAGGCGUGCUCUCCAGUCCGAGAAUCAAGGCAUGAAGGCCACGCAACCACCCACGACUACGGAAAUGGGGCAUCCACUUUCGAGAGGUGGGAGGAUAACGAGCGCGAAUGGAAGAAGGCCCGAGUUCAGAGAUGGCCUAUAAAAAAGUAGCCAACAAAGGUAAAAGGGUUAGAAUUUUUGACAUUGUAACAGAAAAAAAGAAAGCUCUAAAGAACUGAGACUAAAAAAGAAAAGCCAUAAGAUUUGUGGCUAGUGUUCCCAGAACCUUCAUAUCUAACUUGAGCGUCGGAGGGUUUACGCCGGGAAAACAACCGGCGUACUCUGACCUAGUUCUGUGUACGCAGGAACUUCUGGAGAAGAAGCCUUACGAGGAGAGAUCCUAAUCGAGGUGGAGUUGAUCGAGCAAAGAUCCUGGUCGUAACAAGAGAGCAACCAGAAUCUCGCAUCAACAUUUUGGCGCCAUCUGUGGGGACUUGAUCAAAAAGCUUCUGUUGAUAGCAAGAAGAGGAGUGAAGCAAGUGGAAAAGCAAUGGAGGCAAGAAGAAAUAGUGCACAAUGGGGUGAUAUGAGGCUUAACGAUUCCGUGACGCUGAGGGAGAUAGCCAGUGAAGCACGGGAAAAAGCCAUGUUUGACCGGAUGGAACGGAUGGAAAAGCAGAUGCAGACCCUGACAACCAUCCUACAUGAGCUGCGGAGUGAACGAAGGGGAACCCAGGAGGAAAGGGUGAGAGGUGGUGGAGUGGCACCAGGUCAUGAUAGUACGAGGAGAAGUCAAACCACCGAGAGAUUUGGUGGUGAGAGAGGUAACCUAUCUCUACGGGGAGAAAUUCAUAGAGAGGAAGAGCAAUCCCCGGCAAGACAGAUUUUUGACGAGGACGACGGGGUGGCGAAUGCAGAGGAAACAGAGUUGAGGUAACACUUGCAUGAUGUAGAGCAAGAGCGGGAUCAAGUUGCAGCACGUGACCUUGGUCGUGUAGUGCAGCUGGAGGAGGAAGUGCGCAGACUAGCGCAGAUAAUUGAUGACAUGUAAGGAAGGAGCAGAGCUCCUGGUUGGAGGAUAAUGCUGGACGGAGAAUCACCGCUCGCAGCAGAGAUCAUGAGGGCAGUUAUUCCAAGAGAUUUCCGCCUCCCAGACCUUAGAUAUUCGGGACGAACUGAUCCGCUGGUGCACAUAGAGCGCUUCAACGACAUAACCGGGGUACAAGGAUUAUCUCAAUCCCAAAGGUGCAGGGUGUUCCCACUAUCCCUUGAGGGACGUGCACGCAAGUGGUACAGGAAACUUCCUCGGUGGAGCAUUAAAACCUUCGAGCAGAUGUGACAGGAAUUUGUAGAGCAGUUUCGUGGGGCAAUAGCACCAGAAGAUGACAUGAUGGAGUUGAAAAGCAUGAAGCAGGGGGAACAAGAAACCCUUCGGGAAUUCAUCAAGAGGUUUCAUCGUGCUGUCCUCGAUUUGGGAGCCUUCAACCAUUCUCAGGCAUUAAGGGGAUUGAAAGAAGGGGUGAAGAUAGGAAGGCUGUGGCACAACUUGAGAAGCCCAGUUAUUCAGAUGUAUACAGCCGCAUACGAGCAGGCUAAGAGGGACAUUGAGAUUGAAGAAGAAAAGGCAGCACGGAUUAAGACAGACCAGCUAGAAGGGUUGGGAAAGAAAGAGAAGAAAGCAUUACCAGGGAAUGGGCCGAUCAGGAGGAAGGACCACCAGGCCUCAGGUAGUGGUGCAAGAGGUCGAGUAACCGCUUACCAGCCUCAUCAGAGACCACCACAGUAUUAGCACAGCAGAGCACAACCUCCUCGUUCCCCAGUUAGAGAGCUUUGGAGAAGGCAUGACUCGACAUAUGGUGGUCUUCAUCAACACUCCCACGGUAGUAGAGGGAGCAGACCAGAAGCGCUGCCACCGCCUCUAACUCAGAAUGGAACAAAUAGAGAAAGGGUAGUGCACAUGAUCGACCAGAACCAGGACUAUGGGCAGUAUACUUCCUUGAAGAUGUCCCUGGACGAGGUGUACGAGGCCAUAAAGGACCGGGGAUUGAUGUACCUCCCUGCCCCAAUAACAAAGCUACCCAGCAGGACGGAUAGGGGACGCUAUUGUAAGUUCCAUGGCACUUAUGGCCAUACCACUGCAGAAUGCAGAGAUCUCAAGACCCAAGUUGAAGAUUUGGUGAGAAAUCGGUACCUGGAUGAGUUUAUAGAUGAGACUUUCCCGAUGGUGGCCUCGACAUGUGAAGGGGAGCAGAGUGAUAGAAACUUUAGGCGCGAGCAGCCUGCAGUAAGGGUAAUAGCUGGGGGCCCAACAUUGGCCGGAGAUUUCAACAGAUCGAGGAAGAAUUAUGCUAGAUACGCCAUAACUAGUAAAGAGUUACUCUUCAACACCCCAGCAGCCAAAUGAGUAAGAGUCAGACAAGUGCCAAUCAUGUGGACGGAUGAAGAUGAAGAAGAGAUUCUAUACCCCCACGAGGAUGCUUUAGUCAUCAAGGCUACUGUUGCAAGUAAGAAGUUUGACCGGAUACUGGUUGAUACAGGGAGCUCAGUUGAUGUGUUAUUUAAGUCAACUCUGGAGGAGAUGGGAAUAGCAGGCCGGAAGUUGGAGUACACCAAUACCUCCUUGAAAGGGUUUGGAGGAGGAAAGCUGGUCCCUCUGGGCGUGGUCGAGCUGCCUAUCACGAUUGGGAGCUCCCCGACAAAAAGGACUAUGAUACUGGACUUUGUGGUGGUGGAUGAAGAAUGUCCUUACCAGAUGAUCUUAGGUCGGCCAUUUCUGAGGAUGAGCAAAGCGGUACUGUCCAACCAUUAUCUGGCUCUCAAGUACCGAGUGAAUGUGGUAGUUGGAGUGGUACGAGGAGACCAGAGAAUAGCACGAAGCUGCUACUCCUUGGCAGCAAGGGAAGCAAUGCAAAUAACAUCCCUUGAUACCCGAGUGGAAAACAUGAAUGGCAGACAAGAACCUGUAGAGGAGCUGGAGACAGUAAGCCUGGGACCAGAGAAUCCGGGAAAAACGAUCAGAAUCGAGUCGAGACUUAAGGAAGAGCAGAAGCAGGAGUUGGUGAAAUGCUUACAGGCUCAUGCAGAUGUGUUUGCUUGGACACAUGAAGACAUGCCAGAGAUUGAUCCUGAGGUAGCAUGUCAUAAGCUGGCAAUAAAGAAAGGUGCUCGGGCAGUAAGGCAGAAAAGGAGGUGCUUCAACCAGGAGAGGUAUGAGGCUAUAAAUGGCGAGGUGGAGAAGCUCUUGAUAGCAGGGUUCAUUUGCGAAGUCGAUUAUCCUGAGUGGAUAUCGAAUGUGGUGUUGGUAAAGAAGGCAAAUGGCAAGUGGAGGAUGUGUGUAGAUUUCACAGAUCUCAAUAAGGCGUGCCCGAAAGACAGCUUUCCUUUAUCAAAGAUCGACCAGCUAGUAGAUUCAACGGCUGGACACGGCCUGCUUAGCUUCAUGGACGCGUUUUCGGGAUACAACCAAAUUCCCAUGUAUGAGCAGGAUGAGGAGAGCACGGCUUUUAUUACUAACCAGGGUUUAUUUUGUUACAGGGUAAUGCCAUUUGGUCUUAAAAAUACUGGGGCCACGUACCAGAGGCUGGUGAAUAAAGUCUUUAAGCCAUUGAUUAGGAGAACCAUGGAGGUGUACGUGGACGACAUGAUAACCAAGUUGAACAUCCCGAAGGAACAUGUCAGAUACCUCGAGGAGACAUUCGGGCUUUUGAGGAAGUAUAAGAUGAAGCUCAACCCGGAAAAGUGUGCUUUUGGGGUCGAGUCAGGGAAAUUCCUUGGAUUCAUGGUGAGCCAUAGGGGGAUCGAAGCAAAUCCCGAGAAGAUCCACGCGAUCGUGUAAAUGAGGUCACCUCGUAGCCUGAAGGAGAUGCAGAGCCUCACGGGGAGGUUGGCGGCAUUGAGCCGAUUCAUAUCCAAGGCUACUGAUAAGUGUCAGCCAUUCUUUCAAGUGAUAAGGAGGGGAAAGAAAAUAGAAUGGACCCCAGAAUGUGAAGAAGCCUUCCAGAACUUGAAGCAGUACUUGCAGCAAGCACCUCUACUGUCCACACCGAGGGAUGGGGACAAGUUAUUUUUGUAUUUGGCGGUAUUAGAUCGGGCCGCAAGUUUUGUUCUGGUGAGAGAGGAAGAAGGGGUUCAGUAUCCGAUAUACUACACCAGCAAGGCUCUGCUCGACCCUGAGACCAGAUACCCACCGUUGGAGAAAUGGGCAUUUGCCCUUGUGGUUGCUGCUCAGAAGCUGAGGCCAUACUUUCAAGCAUUCCCAGUCUCGGUAAUAACAAACCAGCCAUUGCGUCAAACUCUGCACAAGCCAGAUGCUUCUGGUCGGCUCGUCAAGUGGACUAUAGAGCUGAGCGAGUUCGACAUAGACUACAAACCCCGAGCAGCGAUAAAGGCUCAGGCGAUGGCCGAUUUCAUAGCAGAAUUCACAGAGCCCGAAAUAUGUUUGGACCAGCGAGAUGUAGCUACAGACAGCAACGAAGCCCGAGUAUGGCAGAUGUCUGUAGAUGGAUCAUCCGGGGAGUAGGGAUCAGGAGCAGGAAUUGUUUUGGAAGGCCCAGAAGGGGAGGAGAUCUCUUAUGCUGUAAAGUUAGAAUUCGCAGCCACAAAUAACCAAGCAGAGUACGAAGCCUUGAUAGCAGGUUUGGAAUUGGCUAAGGCAGUGAAAGCGGAUAGAGUGAAGAUCAGAACUGAUUCCCAGCUGGUCGCAAAUCAUGUCAGUGAAAGAUUUCAACCGAGAGAGGAGAAGAUGGAGCAGUACCUGAAGAUAGUCAGGCAUAUGAUGGGGAAAUUUGAAGCGGUUUAGGUGAUACAAAUCCCCAGGGAGCAGAAUAGUCGAGCAGAUAUUUUGACGAGGAUGGCAGCGGUAGCAGACCCAAAAAUGCCAAAGUCGAUCCCUCUGGAGGUGAAGUCCAGCCCGAGCAUCGAGCAUAAUUUGGGGGUGCUGCGGAUAGAACAAAAAUGCUCGUGGAUGGACCCGAUAAUUUCAUACCUUAGAGACGGGGUAUUACCACCAGAGAAGCUGCGAGCUCGGAAGAUUAGAGCCCAGGCCUCGAGAUACACGAUGAUUGACGGGGUAUUAUAUCGGCGAGGAUAUACGCUACCUUUCCUUCGGUGUUUGGAUGAGGACGACGCGGACUACGUACUGAGAGAAGUACAUGAAGGAAUUUGCGAAAAUCACUAUGGUGGGAGGUCCCUGGCUCACAAGGUUCUAAGGCAGGGAUAUUUCUGGCCGACAAUGCACCAGGAUGCGCAAGAGAAGACCAGGAGCUGUGUAAGCUGCCAGAGUUUUGUGAGUUUCUCUAACCAACCACCAGAGAAGCUCACCUCUAUGGCCCCCCCCUGGCCAUUUGCUCAAUGGGGAAUUGAUCUGAUCGGCCCGUUGCCAAAGGGAUGAGGAGCAGCAACACAUGCAAUAGUUGCGAUAGACUACUUCACGAAGUGGAUAGAGGUAGAAGCCCUUAGUAGGAUCACAGAGAAGAAAACAACAGACUUUGUAUGGAGAAACCUGGUCUGUCGAUACGGGAUCCCUUAUGCCUUGGUAACGGAUAAUGGCAGGCAGUUUGAUAAUCACAGCUUCAGGGAUUUCUGCCAGAACCUCGAGAUAGAGUUGAAGUAUUGCUCGCCUGCUCACCCUCAAUCUAAUGGACAAGUAGAAGCAGCCAACAAGACCAUCAAGAGGCUUUUGAAAACCAGGCUUGGAGCAAAAAAGGGUGCAUGGGUUGAUGAGCUGUCAGGUGUCCUAUGGGUAUACAAGACAACCCACAAAACAGCAACUGGGGAGACACCGUUCGCCUUGGCUUUCGAACAUGAAGCGGUCGUACCAGCCGAGAUAGGAACGACCACGCACCGGACAGAUCAUUUCAAUGAGCAGGAGAACGACGAGCAGAUGUGUUUGAAUCUAGAUCUGCUAAUGGAAAAGAGGGAGCAAGCAGCCGAGCGAUCAACCAUUUGCCAGCAGAGGGUUGCUCGGUAUUAUAACCAGAAGGUGAAUGUACGGCAGUUCAAGGUCGGAGAUUGGGUGUUAAGAAGAGUGAAUCAGAAUACGAAAGACUCGGCUCAGGGAGUACUUGGACCAAAUUGGGAGGGGCCAUAUAGGGUCAAGCAGCUAGUUGGACCCGGAGCUUACAAGCUGGUUCGCUCGGAUGGCCACGAGGUGAAACGCCCAUGGAACGCAACACACCUCAGGAAAUAUUUCCAGUAAGAAUUGUCCAUGUUUUCAAGUUAUUUCUGUUCGUGUUUGUUGUUAUUUAUUUUAUGUCAAAACAAUUUCAUGUAAGUUGAAUCCUGCAAUUAAUGAAACGUCGAGGAAUUUCAUUCACUUGAAACUGUGAAAAAUCUACUAAGGCAUGCUAAGGCUCACUGAGUCUCAAAGCCUGUUUAUGGAAAGACCAGAAGCCAAGUGUGCCAGGAUCUGCUCGACCACGCGAAGGCCAGCAGAAUCCCAAAUCAUUGAAGAAUCUACCAAGGCAUGCAAAGGCUCGUCAAGUCUCAAAGCCUGUUUAUGGCGAGACCAGAAGCCAAGUGUGCCAGGAUCUGCUCAACCACGCGAAGGCGAGCAGAAUCCCAAUCAUUGAAGAAUCUACCAAGGCAUGCAAAGGCUCGUCAAGUCUCAAAGCCUGUUUAUGGCGAGACCAGAAGCCAAGUGUGCUAGGAUCUGCUCAACCACGCGAAGGCGAGCAGAAUCCCAAUCAUUGAAGAAUCUACUAAGGCAUGCUAAGGCUCACCGAGUCUCAAAGUCUGUUUAUGGCGAGACCAGAAGCCAAGUGUGCUAGGAUCUGCUCGACCACACGAAGGCGAGCAGAAUCCUAAAUCAUUGAAGAAUCUACCAAGGCAUGCAAAGGCUCGUCAAGUCUCAAAGCCUGUUUAUGGCGAGACCAGAAGCCAAGCAUGCCGGGAUCUGCUCGGCCAAGUAAAGGCCAGCAGACUCCCCAACAUCAAAAAAUUAUCCAAGGCAUGCAAAGGCUCGUCAAGUCUCAAAGCCUGUUUAUGGCGAUACCGGAAGCCAAGCAUGCCGGGAUCUGCUCGACCAAGUGAAGGCUAGCAGACUCCCCAACACUGGGAAAAUUAUCUAAGGCAUGAGAAAGCUCGUCAACUCUCAAGGCCUCCUCUGUGACGAGGUCAGAAGCCAAAUGGAUAAAUAAAUUAAAAUUCCAAUGCGAGGAAGCAAAUAAGAACAAUUUUAUUAAGCUCUUAAAAGUCUGCAAUUCUGUUACAUACAACGCUAAAAAAGCAAUUACAACGCAAGACAAGUUCAGGAGGACGGCGGAUCAGUAAACCGAGUAGCUUCGGUUGGCUGGUCCACUUCAGGGGUCGAGGGGGUGUCACCAGUUGCGUCCGGGGGGGUACUCGCCUCACCAACGUUAGCAGGGACUGCAUGAGGAGGAGAGUUUUCCUCCUCAACCACGAUUGGCUCCACCCCUUCGGCAUCCUCCUUUGCCGCCUCCUCGUCCAUGUGUUGAACAAUACUAGCCGCAAGGUCAUCCAUCUUCAGAUCAGGAUGCUGCUUCCCGAGGACGGCCAUGAUGCAACGAUAGGAAUGCCGAAGUCCCUGGUCGUACUGGUUGUCGGCUUCCUUCUCCAAGUUCUUGACCUGAACUCGGUGGGAAUCGCGGAGAGAUUCGAGCUGAGCCUCGUACAUAAUUUUCUGCCUUUGCAGAUCCUCCUUGACCUUAGUCAGCUCUUCCUCGAGAGUAACGGCCUAUGCUUGAGCAAGAGAUUCUUGCUCUAUCAGCUUCAGAUUCUCGAGAUUCAAGUCUCCCGCUUUCUUCUCGGCAGCAUCGGCUCUGGUCGUCGCCGAUUGAAUGUCCUCCUUCAUCUUCCGGUCGUAACGGCCAACCUUGGCCUUAUAGUAAGUGGUCAUGCAGCUGAGGUGGAAAGCGCUAUACUGCAUGGCCCCCACCAGCUCACCUAGGGUGCAGCCAUCAAAGUCCUCCAGGUCCUUCUUGCUCACGAGUUUAAAUAGCUCAUUGAGAUAGGGGACCAAGUGUUCUGCUCGGUGGUCAGAUAAACGAGAUCUAGGCCCGACAGGAGGAGAAGAGAAAGCAGGAUCAGUGGCAGCUCCACUAGUCUCUCUGACUUUGGCAGGAGGAGGAGGAGGUAGAGUCUGCAAGGGAGCAACCUGUUGCACGAUGUUCACCUGCUUUGCAGUAGGAGCAUCUUUAUUCUGGUCCUGCUUGGUCGUUGGAGGUCGAGAACGUUUCCUAGUCAGAGCCCCAAUCACAGCAUCCUCCAUCUUAUGGCCGGGAGGCACCAAACAAGACUCGAGCAGGUUAUAAGUAGUUAUCAGCUCUCGGCUCGAGCAGGAAUUGGCUAGUACAGCCUCGACCCGUUUGAGCUGGUCAGGUUUGAGCGGGAAGUAAACACCCCAAGAACCUGCAACACAAAUAGACACUUGGUUAGAGACAAACCAGUAUAGCGAGAACAAUUAUGGAUACAAGACAUCUAAAGCGAGCAGGCAACCUGAGAUCACGAAACGGGGUGGGACGCAAGAAUCCUUCCCGUCAAUUUGUGCAACUUGACCCCAGGAACCCCCAGCAAAAAAGAAUUUUUUCUUCCAAUUCCCACCACCACCAGUAAGAAGAUCGGUUAUGGGUUUCCUGGUCUUGGUACUAGAUUGGAAGUAGUACCAGCCGGCAUCUUUGGGGCUGCUCUUUAGCUGGUACAGGUGCUUCACCUCAUCAACUGUGGGCUUGCUUUGGCAACAUCUGUCCCACAAUAUGAACAGACCAGAGAGUACUUUCCACCCGUUGGGGUUCAGCUGACCAGGAGCUAGAUUUAGCCCGUUAAGCAUCCGGGCAAAGUAGGGUUGCAAGGGACACCUCAGCCCAUACUUAAAGCUCUCUAGAAACAGGGUAACGUAUCCCCUAGGAGGCCGGCUAGGGGUAUCCUUCUUUCCUGGGAUCUUAAGAGGUAUUUCACCAGGAAUACUAUACUUAAGCCGGAGGUCAGUGAGCUCGUCAAACGUGGUCGUGCACGUCAUGUAAUCAAUAGCGUAAUCCCGCGAUAGGGCUCUACCUCCUACUGUACUCUGCCCUUCUGGUCGCGAUGUUCAUAAUGGGGACACCUCACCAGAAUCACCUCUUCGAUCCUCACUCAGGGUGUUUUCCGAGCCAGAAAACCCCUCCUCACCGCUAUUUCUGCUCGAGGAGGUUGUUUGGGGGGACAUCCUCCUAGCGCUAGUACCAACACUAGGUCUAAUGGGUUCUAAGGGGAUCCCGGGGUCAAAAGCAGGAUCGGUGAGCAGACUAGGCAGGAAGUCCAACUCAUUGUCAUCAACCUCAAUGACCUUCUCUUUACCUUUCGACAUUCCCUAAGCUAUAACUAGAACACCACCACCAACUACUACCCAAGCAAAGCAAAGAGAAAAGAAAUUAUCUACAGCUAUCCGAGACUGAGGAGAUAGAAGUAAUACCUGAAAUAGUGGUUCAGUCGGAGAAGGACAGGGAUGGAGGCCUUUAUGCCGGAACUUCUUUGCCAGGGAGACAGGGACAGAGACGGGGUAAAUGACGAAUUUUCCUUUGGAGAGGUUUUAGGUUUUCCUAAUGGAGAAUAAACUCUUGGGUUGCCAGCAUUUAACAGCACCAAAUCCCGAGGGUCUCGUAACCGUUGGUUUGAAAUUCAAAUAGAGAGGUAGAUUUCUGUCACAUCACCUCGUCCGCAAUUAAAUGCGACACAACUCUUGGCAGCCUUUUUCCUAUCCCGCGCAAGCAAGAGCUGUCAAGUUUCUACUAUCGGCUUACUACGUUACCCAACACCAGAAACUGGGGGAUCGGUGUUUGUGGGAUAUGCUUCGACGAAGACCAGCAAUGAUGAGCAGACAUCUGGUAAUAGGGUUCCUCGAGCAGGUAUAUCUUGUAAGAGUCUAGUAUCCGGGGGAGCAGGAGCAGGAAUAUCCUGCUCAUCCGCGAGCACGUCAUCCACGAGGCCAAUCUCCUGUUGGAAGCAUAAAGUCAUUCAUGCUACAUUCCUGCUAAGGGUUGAGUCGAGGAGACCCGGUCAACGACAGUUGGCGAGAUGUGCUCUCCAGUCCGAGAAUCAAGGCACGAAGGCCACGCAACCACCCACGACUACGGAAAUGGGGCAUCCACUUUCGAGAGGUGGGAGGAUAACAAGCGCGAAUGGAGGGAAGGCCCGAGUUUAGAGGUGGCCUAUAAAAAGGUAGCCAACGAAGGUAAAAGGGUUAGAAUUUUUGACAUUGUAACAGAAAAAAAGAAAGCUCUAAAGAACUGAGACUAAAAAAGAAAAGCCAUAAGAUUUGUGGUUAGCGUUCCCAGAACCUUCAUAUCUGACUAGAGCGUCGGAGGGUUUACGCCGGGAAAAGAACCGGCAUACUCUGACCUGCUUCUGUAUACGCAGGAACUUCUGGAGAAGAAGCCUUACAAGGAGAGAUCCUGAUCGAGGUGGAGUUGAUCGAGCAGAGAUCCUGGUCGUAACAAGAGAGCAACCAGAAUCUCACAUCAACACAUAAUAUAAUAUAUAUAUAUAUAUAUAGAAAGCUGAAUUUAUUUAUUUACGCGCAUGUGCUAGUGCCCACUGGCAUCCACUUGAUUUGUAUCGGUUAAAUGUAUCAUACAAUACAAUAUUAGCUUGACUGUAGAAAAGAGGAGAACGAGUUGGUGUUGGUCUGAACUCUUAUCUUUGAAUCUCACGUGACUCCACUACUUUUUACUUGUUCUGUAGUCCAUUGUCGGCAGCUCAUACAAGGUCUUUUAGCUUUUUAAAAAGUUUUAGCUUUUUGGAUAAAUUACUGAUAAUUGUAAUCUAUAAAUAAUGAAAGGAAUUAAUUAAAUAUUUGGUAAAUUUUAUUUUUUAAAGUGUUAUGAGUUUUAAAAACGGUUGUAUGUAUAUAAAUUUAUUUACACAUAUAUUUAUAAAUAUGACUAUAUAAUAAUAUUUUAUGUGUACAUAUAAUAAUUGAUAACUAAAAUAAAUAUUUUUAUUUUAUUAAUGGUUUUUUCGUCUCAAUGUAGUUGGUAAUAAUAAUCUCUUGAGAUGUAACGAUUUUAUUUCCUAACUGAAUAAGGAAAAUUUUAGAUUUUUAUAAUAAAUGUUAAGAUAUAUUUAGAAUUACAUUAAGUAUGAAAUAAUCCUCAAAAUUAGAUUUUGAAAAGCAAUUCUUUUCUUGCCUUUAAAAAUAUGUCAUAUGAUGAGAUGAUUUUACUAAAAGUGAUUUUUUUUUAAAAAAUUACUAAACAUCAAAAUUAACUCUUAACUUUUUAAAAUCAUUUCUAAUCUUCUCAUCCUAAGUUCUCUAUUAUUUUGUACAAAAUCCAAGGUUUUGACUUUAAUAAAAUGCCCACUCAAAAAGAAAUUAUUUUCUAAUUAAGAUUUGUUGUUAAUGUAUAACUCGAAGUAAUAUUAGAUAUUUGUAAUUUUAUUUCAAAAAAUUUAUUCAAAUGAUAUGGCAAGCAAUGAACAAUAGUUGAUAGCAAUUUUUUUUUCUUUAACAAUGUUCAAAUCAAUCAGUUGCAUUAUCUCACCAUUUUUAUGAUGCCAUGUUAUUUUAAACGAUUUUUUUUUUAUAUAAAACAUACGACGUGUUAACAUCAUUUGCAUAACUUGACCUUUUUUUUUUUCCCUACAAAUAGUAAGUCAAAUUUACUCACCCUAUUUCUACCUAAAAUCUACCUAAAACUCAUGCAUCACUGCAAAACAAAUCCAAAGAUUGCGGUGCGUUUUUCUUGGUCAGAAAUCAAUAAUUAGGUCAAGUACUACUACUAAGCGUGCACAAUUAAUUCUAAAAUACGGUGAUCAAAAUCAUACUUUACGCAAGAGGAUCAGGGCUAAACUUCAAUUAGGCAUUAUUCAUCCAAAAAUCAUUGACUCGGCAUUCUUUGCAAGUUGUAGCAUGGGACAGCUAAGAUAAUUAGCAAAUGAUAUGGACCAUAUGCACCAAUACAUUUGUGACAUGUGAAUCUUGGCAUUAAAGGAAAGGCAAUGUGUCAAAAUUUAAUAGAGCCCAACUCUUCAUUGAAUGAUUAUCAGAUCCAAUACGCAUCCUUUGAUUGGAUUAUUUUAAGUCAAUUAUUGGUGGAUUGGGGCCCACUUGACUCUACCAAAUCGGGCUCGACCAUAUCACCUAUUAACGGCCACCUGUCCUUAUCAUAAAUAGCAAAUGUCACUUGUUUUAUUUUCUAUUUUACCAAAGUAAAGUCACUACGAACGCAAAAGAAAGUGACCUCAAUUUUGGGGGUCAUGAACUUUGGAUUAUUAUGGACACAAGAGACAAGCGCAAUGUUUCUCAUUUAUCACUGGAUAAGAUUUAAGUUAUCAACCCAAUAUUAAUAAAUUCUGCUUGAAAAGUAAAGUUUGAAGCUUCAUUUUGCGAAUAUUCAAUGGUUAACAUUUAAGUAAUUAACCUGAUAUUAAUCCAAUUAAACUUUUUAUGUAAUCCAAGUCAAAAAUAUAUUGAUAAACCUAAACUAAUCUAAUUGGACAUAUUAUUUCAACUUGAAAAGGUGAAUUUAUCAUUUUUCAAUUAAUUUUGAAUCAAGCUAUGUAAAAUAUAAGCUUAUUAAAGACAUAUUUGAAAAUUUCAAAUUGAAUUAUUUGACAAUUACAUUUCAACUAAGUUGUACUGCUAAUUAACUUCCUCAACUUAAAAUGUAUUUUUCUCAAUUAAUUCGUAACAAAGAAUGUUAGAUGUUUUGUUCGAAUGAUAACAUUCAACAUCCUUAUUCUUUAUGAUUAUUGCAUAAAAACAUAUUUUAUCCAUUUACGUCACAUAUGUUCCUAAAUUGUAUAAGAAAAUCACCAAAUUUACUCUUGUAAGUUACUAUAUCAAUGAACAUGAAACUAACUAAUCAUUAAAGUCUCGGAAUGACAUCAUGAGGGGGAUUCCGUUACAUUUAUUGAUAGGAUUAGAUAUAUGUCUUCCCAAAUAUUAGUAGGAGUAAUUAAACAGAUGCAGCUAUUAAAAAUAUGGAAUUACUUAUCUCGUCAAUAACUAACGAUAUUUUUUAUCUAUGCUCGAUAGGCGUCUGAGCUAUAUUAUAAAUUGUAAUAUUUGUAGAUUGUAACAAUUAUAAAAAAAAAAAAAAAAAGCUCCCUAAGACUAAACGACAACAGGACUGUUUUGAAAUAGAUAGAUAAAGUAUGCCCUUAUUUGAGAAAAGGUAAAACACUAGGGAUCUAAAUGUUAUUAUAAUCCCAUGCACAAAAAUGCUAGAAAAAACUAAUAACAACUAACCGAAAAUCCCAGGCGUCAUAUUCCUUUUUACCGCGUUUUAAAAUGCACAACAAUGAUAUUCUCACAAAAGUGGGUACAAAGGUUUGUACAACCAGGGUCUCUUUGUAAAUUAUUUCAAAGUUUUGUGUUAUUUUUUAAAUUUAUGAUUUUUAUUAAUUUUGAUUCAUUGGAGCAUUUCUCCUUCCAUCUCUUCUACAUCUAUUUUUAAAGUUUUUUAAAAUUUUGACUAUAUCUUUAUAGAGUUCUAAAUGAUUAUCUUUUUUCAUAAAAAUCUAUACUUAAAUUAAUCCUUGAAUUUAUAAUCAUUUAUCUUCUUUGAGUCAUAGACCAAAUUUUUUCUUCUAACAUAUCUAUGUAUACUCCUAAGCUAUCUUCAUGGCUUAGAUACAUUCUAUCAAAGCUUUCACAUAUAAAUUGUGAUUUGAGAUCUGCAUCUUGAAUCAACAUCUCUAUAUUAUCCAUUGUUUUACGCUCGAGGGUAGUUAAAAUUGAUUCUAUUAAUGCUAUCGUGUUUCUCCUUCAAAAGAAUCAAAUAUUUCUGGAUUAUUAAUUUCUUUUAUUUCUUCAUACAAGCAUUCGUUUGCCGUUAAUCUUGUUUUAAUCAAGGAAGCUGUAUAAGCAACUUGAUAUUCUUGACAAAAGUCUAAAUGAUCUAUUGCAUCUAGAAAUUUAUUAAUAGAUCUUUCCAUUUUUAAGAAAUUGAGUUACUCUUAUCACUUCCAAUCUUUUAACAUCUCAGAAAACAAACAAGGCCCAGCAUGCUUCCGUUUGUAGCUCAAAUAAAAGAAGAGUUCAGAUCACUAACCAAUGUACUAUCUCUCGGAAGUCUGAGAUAGACUCACUAAUUGCCUCUAACCAUAGAGAGGUCCAUGGUCAGCACCACCAUAGCUCCACACAUCAUACAAGAUCACUUCAACGACUGUUCCACAUGGCCUAAUGCAACACACAGCAGACUGGCCUAAUAGGAUAUGUCUAAGUGAUUUUCUUGCAGUUGUCUCUGGAAGAGUGCUUAGUAAUAGAAAAUCUUCUUCGUUUAGUACAAGUAUUGGUAUGUAAGGUUCUUGAUUAAUUUUCAAAAGAUGUAUAAGUGUUAGAGUGCAAUUUAUGCACUAGUUUUGCAUUAUUUACUUCCCUUAAUAUCAAUGUUUUGCACUUAAUAAUAGUGAUUUACUUGUGUUUUACUUUUGUAGGUCCAAUUCUAUUGAUUGAUGAUAAAAUUGAGCUAUAAGAUGAUGUUUAAGGAUGAUUGUUCUCUUGGAGAAAUUAUGAGCGUCAGAAGAACUUUGUUGAUAAGGCGUGGGCGCGUGCUGUCAAUUGCGGACCUGCAGUUUUUAGUUUAACGUGUUUUGUAUUUUUGGUUAUUUUUGUAAUUACGAAUUUAAUAUUUCAGAUAUUAAGAUUUUAUUUUAAAUAGAAUUCUAAAAGAGAAGAGAGAGAGAGUAUUUAAGGGAGGAAUCUAUUGUGAAAAAGGGGGAUUUUGGAUUGGAGAAAGAAAGAAACCCUAGAUCUAAUUUUUCUCUUCUCUCUAUGAAGAACUAAACUUAUUUUUCUAGUUGAAGGUUAACGAAGCUUUGAUUCAUCACUACUGUGAGAUCUUUCUUAUGCUUUAAUUGUUUUAUUACUUUUUGGAUAUUUGUUUAUUCUCUGAAUUUUUUUCAUGAUUAUGUUUGUUAAUUAGGUAAUUGGCCACUAUUUAAUUAUCAACUUAAUCUAUUGUCAAUUAAAGGAUUCAUCGUAUGAAGAAUUUAAUAUUUGUGACAAAUAACAUAGCAGAGAGUUGUGUUGUGAGAAUAAACAAUCUAAUUUAAAUGAAUCAUCAUAUGUGUUGAUUAGGAUUUGGGUCUCUCUGGUUUUUCAGGCUGUCAAUGAAUUAAAUCCUAUGAUCGUAUCUAGGGUUGUCCAUUGAUUAGGGAAAUAACCAACGGUCGUACCUUGGUUAUCGACUAGUAAAGGAGAGAUUGGCUAUUAGAGGGUCUCAAUAGCUAUAACCGGUCUAUUCAUAAGUAAUAAUAAUCUAUAUUUGAAUCAAUGAUCAGUAGUAGAAUCAAGCUGAGUUAAUUCCUUCAACCAGAGCUUUCUCCAAUUUGAAUUACAACUUUAAUUUGCAUUCUUGUUAUUUUGAUUUGAUUUUUAUUAUUGUCAACAAUUCCCCCAUUUUACGUUUUACGUUUCAAAAGGAUUUAAAUAAUUACCGAUCUCUGUGGACACGACCCUGCUCAAUCACUAUACACAAUUUAUUUAGAGUAGGAAUUUAUUUUUGUUCGCUUCGACACCACUGCUGCCUCGCCAACUAUUCCUUCUACAUCCGCACCACCUUUGAGCAUUCAGUUAGAGAAAAUAGAGCACAAGCUGAACAAGAUGGAGCAGAAUUUGGCCGCAUACUUCGAGAGUGUGGGUUUUACCCCACCAUUUCCGCCAAGCCCAUAGACGUUAUGUGGAUCAAAGCUCACAAUUCAGGGAAGUUUCUUUUUGCCCUUAAUCUUUUAUCCUUACGCUUUAAUUUUUAUGUGAGCUUUAAUUAUCUUACAUUGGGGACAAUGUAAGUUCUUGGUGUGGGGGAGGGAUUUUUGCAUUAUUGAUGUCUGGAAGUAUUAUUUUCACUCUACUCAUCUAUUUUCAUUCUACUCGUCCUUAAAUGAUUUUGGAGUUAGUAUGCUUCAUAUAUUAUUAUUUUUCUUUUCUUUUCUUUCUCACUACUUUUUUCCCAUCUAUCUCAAAUUAUUUACAUCUAUUUUUAUUCUAUCAUACUCUUUCAUCACUCACAUUUUAUCUUUCACUUUUCAUAUUACUACAUACAUCUUUCUCACUUCUUAUCAUUUUUACCUUUCCUUCACUCAUACCUUCUUCUCAUUCUACACCACUAUUGAUGGUUGAUUCAUUUGAAGAGUGUACAUGAUUUGAUGGCAAAUUUACCAACUUUGUGAGGAUUUGAGCCUAUGAGCAACCACUUUGCUCUAAUUAUUUUUAUUAUGUGAAUAUCAAUCUUAGUUUGUUUAUUCUAGAACUUGCUUUGUUAUGCAUGUUGAAGCCACAUUACGGGAUUUUUUGCAUUAAAAUGAUAAGGGCAAACCAUUUACCAUUUUUCUAUUCUCGCAUUUUCUUUUUUUUUUCUCUACCCGAAGACCUUGAUUUACUAUCUUUGUUUGAGCCUUAACCAUUACCCAUCUAAUUCUCUCCGUCUACUUAACCAUUUUUCUUCUUUUUUAGCCUCAAUUUAAGGAGAUUUUUGGACUCAUUGUGUGGAUAUAUUUUGUAUAUAUUUUGUUGCUUUUUCUACCUUGUAUUAAAGUUUCUCAAUUAGAUCAACAAGCAUUAUGCUUGAAUUAAAUUGUGCAAGGUUCAUUUCUUUUGUUUGAUUCAAAAAAAAAAAAGAAAGAAAAAGAAAAGGAAAAAGAAAAAAAAAGAAAAAAAAAGAAAAAUCGAAAAAAAAAGAAAAAGAAGAAAAAAAAAUGUUUACAUUCUUGGUGACUUGAGUAGAAAUAAGCGUUUCGAUAUCAUAAAGUUCGUUCAAUGAGUUCAUUCUUCUCAUUUUGAUCUCUUUUUCUUUCAUAAACCUUUCUUUUUCAUUUAACCCAUUUAACCCCGUUACAACCUUUUAAGACCCUUAGAUUUUUGUAUUUAAUUCAUGUUUUGUGGAUUGAAAUGUGAUAUAUAAGCAAGCUUAUGGUAAUAGCAUUCUUUGAUUUGAUUUGAGUGAAUAAAUGACACCCUAAACACUUUGAGUGCAUGGAGUGAAGUCAAUGAGAGGGCUAUUAAAUCUUGUUGCACUUGAAUUUUGAAUGGAUCUUCUUGGUGGUUGAAUGUUCUUAUUCUAUCUUAUGAGAUUCUAUGCUUUAAAAUCCUUGUCUCUCGAAUGUUGAUCGACUUAAUUUCUUGAGGUAUACUUGCUUAAAAUUGUUUUUGGAUGAGUUGAGAUGAGAAUUGAGUGGAGAUUUGGGAUUAGUCUUGAGUUAUAUGCUUGAGGACAAGCAUCAUCUUGGUGUGGGGGAAUUUGUUAGAGUGCAAUUUAAGCACUAGUUUUGCAUUGUUUACUUCCCUUAAUAUCGAUGUUUUGCACUUAAUAAUAGUGAUUUACUUGUGUUUUACUUUUGUAGGUGCAAUUCUAUUGAUUGGUGAUAAAUUAAGCUACAAGAUGAUAUUUAAUGAUGAUUGUUCUCUUGGAGAAAUUAUGAGCGUCAGAAGAACUUUGUUGAUAAGGUGUGGGCGCGUGCUGUCAACUACGGACCUGCAGUUUUUAGUUUAACGUGUUUUGUAUUUUUGGUUAUUUUUGUAAUUACGAAUUUAAUAUUUCAGAUAUUAGUAUUUUAUUUUAAAUAGAACUCUAAAAGAGAAGAGAGAGAGAGUAUUUAAGGGAGGAAUCUAUUGUGAAAAAGGGGGAUUUUAGAUUGGAGAAAAAGAAAGAAACCCUAGAUCUAAAUUUUUCUCUUCUCUCUAUGAAGAACUAAACCUAUUUUUCUGGUUGAAGGUUAAUGAAGCUUUGAUUCAUCACUACUGUGAGAUCUUUCUUGUGCUUUAAUUGUUUUAUUACUUUUUGGGUAUUUGUUUAUUCUCUGAAUUAUUUUCAUGAUUAUGUUUGUUAAUGAGGUAAUUGGCCACUAUUUAAUUAUCAACUUAAUCUAUUGUCAAUUAAGGGAUUCAUCGUAUGAAGAUUUUAAUGUUUGUGACAAAUAACAUAGCAGUGAGUUGUGUUAUGAGAAUAAAUAAUCUAAUUUAAAUGAAUCAUCAUAUGUGUUGAUUAGGAUUUGGGUCUCUCUGGUUUUUCAUGUAUAAGAUAUCUAGAAGAUGAUAAUUUCACUCAAAAGAGUUUUAUUUAUUUCAUUAUUGAAAUUGUUUACAGAGGAAGGUUACAGAGAAUACAGAGGUAAUUGAAGGUUAGACAUAUGAUAUCUUUCCUUUCUUACAUGCUUUCAUUUAUAUAUCUCUCUAGAGAUAAGAUUAUCUCUUUUACAUAACACAUGUUCGAUCCUUGUGGUGGAAUCUCGAUUUCCUUUUGAUAAGGUGACCCCUUCUUCAUCAUUGAAGCCAGUAGUUGUCUUCUUUUCAUGUUGCCAGACAACCUUUAUCUUGUUCUGGUGAGCUUUUUCUUUUUUGGAAUCUCUCUUUUUGAAUUAUUGAUACUUUUUGGAUAACACCUUUUAUCUUUUUCAGUAGUCCCCGUCACAUGCCAAUUAUCAUAUCUUCAUCUAUAGACAUGUCUUCCCCACUAGAAUCUCCUUUUUUUUUUAAUCCUUCGUAGUAGUAGCCACAUGAUGACUGAUGCUUUAGCACCUUAUAUAUCUCGUGGUGUGUCAGCAAGGUGGAUUCCACGAGAUUUUCGAAUAUGCCCUUUUUCUUUUUUAAUAUGGUAUGUCUGGCUAAAAUAUUUUCUUUUCUACUCAUAGAAAAGAUUAUAUGCUCUUUUGUGGCUUCAUGGAGCCAUAUUUUCUCCUUGUUUAUCCUCUCAAGAGAUUCAUAGAGGACUUUCAUUUCUAUGGCCCUUUUGUUGGUGAGAGCUUUUGGCUCGAAUAAUUCAGGAUCAUAAUCAUUGUAGACUUGAUGUAAAUCAAUGGUUGGACUAACUUUUCUACUGCUAAUUCCAACUUGAAUCAAGUGCUGUGCUGGAUACCACUUGUUACCAUAGUAUUCAGGGCAAGCAGUGAGGAUCUUGACAAAAAUCACUUCUUUUGUUUUAGACAUGAUUUUGAGAUCAUUAAUAGCCUCUGCAACUUUUGUGGGAAGCUCUUUUAUUUCUCUGCAAUCAUCACUUACAUAAACAAGGUUAAGAAAACCAUAUUCAAACAUGUCUUUUAUUAGUUUUAGAUUAGCUCCUGGCACAACGUUUAUCAUUGGAUAUAACCCUAAAUGAUCUAGUAUAAUAGUCUGGCUAGGACGAAUCCCAUAGGCUAUUUUACCAAUUCUUUUAUAAUCAUAAGCGUAGUCGCUUCCUAUUGGUAUUUUAACCAUAGGGACAGAUUGUCUGCUUUUAUCAUAUUGGGGUCUUAGGCUUACUGAAGAUCCCUGAGAUUCUUUUUUCUUUGUACAUUGAUCUUUAAGAUCAUUGAUUGUGAGAUAUCUCUCUGAAUGUGUGACCAUUGAUCUUUAAAAUACCAAUAGGAAGAGUAGUCGCUUCCUAUUGGUAUUUUAACCAUAGGGACAGACUGUCCGCUUUUAUCAUAUUGGGGUCUUAGGCUUACUGAAGAUCCCUGAGAUUCGUCUUUCUUUGUACAUUGAUCUUUAAGAUCAUUGAUUGUGAGAUAUCUCUCUGGAUGUGUGACCUUUAAGCUCUGCGAAGAACUCGAGGCAUUUUGACCCUCAAUUUGAUCUUUAAAAUGGACAUUUUUUUAGCAUAUUGCUAAUAUAUUGUUAUGAAGUUUGGAGUUCUGGAUGAUCUUGCAAACUUUUGUUUGGGCAAAGUUUGCUCAAUUCUUCAUGGGCAUCAUCUAUCAUGGCAAGCCCAUCAUAAAUCAUACUAUUGCCUUUGAGAAGUUAUUCUUGACCUUCAGAGCACAUUAUUAUGCCCUUAAUUAUUUUGGAAAUGCUCUGCUCCAUUGUAUUCUUGGCAAAGAUUAGAUCCUUUAAUAUAUUCAAUUUCAAAAUCAUAUUCAGCAAAAAACUGCUGCCAUCUAAUUAAUGUUUUCUAUUGAGGAAGAUUAGGCAAUUUAUUGAAUAUAAAUCCUUUGACUUGAGUGUUAUCGGAUCUUACCUUAAAUUUCUUUGGUAACAAAAAGAAAGUAAAUUUAGCUAUUCCUUUUUUAAUAGCUAAUAAUUCAUUUUCAUUACUAUGAUAAUUCUUUUCUAUGGGUUUGAAGGUCCCGCUAGAAUAUCUACAAAUUUUUUCUUGAUAUGUUUUUAAGACUGCUCGCCAGUGAUUAUCUGAAGCAGUAGUUUCAAGAAUUAAAUUAUCACUAGAGGUAGGGAAUCCUAACCUUAAGUAAAAAGCCAAAAAAAUUGACUUAUUUUAUUAAGUCAAUUUUUGAAAAUAUAAAUAAUGCAAAAUAUAAGAAUAUCAUCUACAUGAUCUAUCUUAUUAUUUGAAAAUAUAAGAAUAUCAUCUACAUAAAUAAUGCAAAAUUCAUGAAAUUUUUUUAAGAUGCUAAAUAUCUUUUUAUUUAUUAUAGAAGUAAUUAAUGUAUCUUUAUGAGGUAAAAAGUAUCCAUCGAAUUUGGUAUAUUUAUUUAAUUCUUUGUAGUUAAUGACCAUAUGAGCUUUUCCUCGUUUAAUUUCAGCAUGAUUUCUAACUGAUUAGUAUUAAAAAUUGUUUAAUUAUCAAGCGAUAAUAUGUUAUUUUAUGCUUAUGUUAUAAUUUAUAUUUGUGUUUAUGUAAUAUAUUAUGAAUUAUGAAUUAUGUUUUAAAUAUAUUUAAUUUUGUGUAUUUUUAUGUGUUUAUUAGGAAAAUUAUUAAUUUCACGUACUUUGAGGCUCCAAACAGAUAAACGGAGGUCAAAUUUGGAUUCCGGAGGUCCGAAAACCUUAAGAUCAGUCAAGAUCGGCUUAAAAUUGGGCUUGUGUAAAAAAAGUUGACUUUUCCUGUUGACCGAGCACUGAUUGGAUGAUGAAAUGAGCUUACAAUAGAUAUGAGUGCAUGGGAUAACUGGCAAUCUUGACUAAAUCUCAACCGUUCAUGAUUCAAUGGCCAUGAUUGUGCCACGUGGCAAUGGUUGGUGAAGCAAGUUGGAGGAUCCGAAUCUUUGUAUUCGGGUCGACCCGAUCCACCCAUUAACCCGCCAAAUCUCAACCGUUCUUUGGGCAAAUCGGACGAGUCAAAUGAUGCCAUGUGUGAUGUUGACUUUUGAAGUUUGACCAGCCAUUGGAUCUUGAUCUAAGGGUUGUGAGGAGCACAUGCAUGAAGCCUAUGAUGGACCGCAAAGCACUGGAUUAUGAAUUUAUUUUUCUAUAAAUAGGGCCUCAUUUUUAUGUUUUAAUCAUCUCUCUACAACUCUCUUCUUCUCAAAUUCUCUCCAUCUCCUUGUAAUCUUGAUUUCCAUAUGUGUUUUUAAUAUUUUGUAUAAUUAUUUUCAUUAAUAAAAUUAGUUUUAUUUCCAAUUUUAGUUGUUUUUAUUUCUUUUAAUUAUAAGUAAUUCAAUUUUACUACUUCUUUUUAUUUUAAUUAUGCUUAACUAAAUAAUAUUAGUUAGGGGAAGGUGAAACUCUUAAGAAAUAAAUAUGAUUUAAUCAAAUUCUAUGUUUAAUUUUAUAAAUUAAAUUAUUUUCUAUUUAAUUUUAUACAUGUUUUAUAUUUUGAAAAUUUAAUUUAUUGUAGACAAACAAAUGAAUUUGGCACAAUAAAUUCUUAAGAUCUUAAUAUAAGGCAUGGUGAAAUGGUAUUUUGACUUAUUGUAGACAAAUUAAAUUUUGGCACAAUAAAUACUUAAUCCAUCAUAAAAUUAAAGGGAAAAUAAUAAUAAUUUGUAUAAUUAAUCUUUUGAGUAAUAAAUCUAAAACAAAUUGGCAAAAAGAAUUUAUUAAGUUUUAUUUAUUUCUAAGAGUGGAUCCAUAACCCUAACUAGUUCAAUUCCAUAGUUUCAUUUAAAUUAAGUUGUUUAUAUUCAAGUUUUAAUUUCAAUUUUUAGAUAAAAUAAAAUAAACUAAUUAAAUCUUUUCUCUGUGGAUCGACCUCGGACUCACCGAGUUAUAAUACAACAAGACACUCUUAUACUUGGGAGUUAAAAUUUACUUUUAAGUUGUGUCAAGUUUUUGGCGCCGUUGCCGGGGAAAAGUUUUUUAUUUGGUUUGUUUUUCCGUUUUUUAUUUUUCUCUUAUAUGUAAAACUUCGUUUGCCCCCUUUUCCUUUUCUUAAAUUCUCCUUAGUCCCCAUGUCUUUCAUAUUUCUCGUUUCACCCCAACAAUUUCCUUUUCUAGCCCAAUCUUCUGGUAAUUACGUUCGGACCCCAACAUCUUUCAACUGUUUCACUUUCAUCCCAAAUUACUAAUUCUAAACUUCUAAAAAUUACAUUUUGACCAUAAAAUUAAAAAUAAUUUGCAAUAGAAUCCCUAGACGAAAUUCCUCAACAUAAUCAAGACUUGGACAUAUUUGGACAUACUUUGGACAUAUUUGGACAUAUUUGGACUUAUUUUGGACCAAACUAACUUUAACUACUAACUCUAAUUACUAACUCUUAACUUACUAACUGCUAACUGCUAACUGCUAACUUUUAUUUAAUUUCAGUUAUUUAAUUUUCUGCAUUUAUUUUAUUUCGUAUUUAUUUAUUUGUUUUUGCUUUAUUGGUGGGUUUAACCACCAAACUAACUACUAACUCUUAACUUUUAUUUUCAGUUAUUUAAUUUUCAGUAUUUAUUUAAUUUUGUAUUUUUUAUUUUUUUUAAUUGGUGGGUUCAACCACCAUUUUUUUUUAUUUUGCAUUUAUUUAUUUAUUUAUUUUUUACUUUGUUGGUGGGUUCAACCAUCAAAAUUGUUAUUUAAUUUUCUUUUGUAUACUUAUAUUAUUUAUUUAUUUAUUUUUUUAUUUUAUUUUGUUAUCAAUUUGUGUAAAUAUUAUCUUUAUAACAUAACCAUUGCAUGAGACGUUGGUCUCGAUCUUCAAGUGGCAGGUUAAUUCGUAGAUCUCAAUCUCCACCACCAAUCAUGGAUGAGAAUGAAGGCGAAAACGUUUUGGGCGAACUUAAUCCUCAAAUUGAUCAGGGAGACAACCAAUCUCAACAUGGGCAUGAUCAGAAUCAACCAAGGACUCUGAGAGACUACAUGAAUCCAACCAGAACCGGAGCACCGUCGUGUAUAGUAUUUCCUCCAGAAGCAUCUCGAUUCAACUUUAAACCAGGUAUUAUCCAACUUUUACCAACAUUUCAUGGUUUAGAAUCUGAGAAUCCGUACUUGCAUCUAAGAGAUUUUGAGGAAGUUUGUAAUACAUACACGGACCAAAAUUGUAGCAUGAACAUAAUUAGAUUAAAGCUUUUUCCUUUUUCAUUAAAAGAUAAAGCUAAAACUUGGCUACAAAACCUUAGAUCUGGAUCAGUAAGAACUUGGAAUAACAUGCAAGAACAGUUUUUUGAAAAAAUUCUUUCCACCUCAUAGAACAAAUUCUUUUAAAAGGCAAAUCACUUCUUUCACUCAAAAAAAUGGAGAAACAUUAUACCAAUGUUGGGAUAGGUUUACAGAGUUGCUUAACAUAUGCCCACAUCAUGGUUUUGAAACUUGGCGAUUGGUCACUUAUUUCUACGAGGGCUUAAUACCCCAAAGUAGACAGGUUGUUGAAAUGAUGUGUAAUGGUGAAUUUAGGGAUAAAAAUCCUGAAGAUGCACUAGAUUACCUUGACCAAUUAGCUGAAAAUGCACAACAUUGGGAUACUGUUGGAACUUUUGAAUUGACAAAUAAGCAACAAUCAUCUCCAUCUAGUGGAGGAAUCCAUAACCUUAGGGAAGAUCAUGAUUUACAAGCAAAAUUUGCAUCCCUAGUUAGGAAAGUUGAAGCUUUGGAGCAUAAAAAGAGUGAUCAAGUAAAAUCUGUUCAAGAAAUUGCAUGUAACAUAUGUAAUUCGAAUGAUCAUUUCACUCAAGAGUGUCCCACUUUGCCUGCACUUAAAGAAUGUCUAAAUGAUCAAGCUAAUGUCAUUAACACUUUCAAUAAACCAAACCCAUAUUCACAGACUUAUAAUCCUGGUUGGAGAAAUCAUCCGAAUUUCAGUUGGAGGAAUAAUAAUAAUGCACAAUCUUCACAAGCACCACCUCCACAAAAUUUUCAAAAUCCUCAGCCUUAUGCACCAUAUGUUCCACCACCCUGGAAAAAUCUGGAAGACACAAUGCAUUCAUUCAUCAGAAAGCAAGAUGUUAUUAACAAUCAAAAUGCACAAAAUUUUUCUGAUUUGAAAGAUACUCUUGCUAAAAUUGCUUCUGCACUCACCAUUCAAGAAAAAGGAAAAUUUCCAGCCCAACCACAACCAAAUCCUAAAAUUCAACAAAAUCCACCCACAGACCAAGUCAAGUCAGUUAUAACUCUUCGUAGUGGUAAGGUUGUUGAUAGACCUAUGCCUGAACCUUAUGAAAAUGAUGAAAAUUCAAAGGGUAAGGAAGGACUAAAUGAACUUACACCUAGUGAAGAAAUAACUAGUGUUCCACCUGAACCACCAUUUCCGCAUGCAUUGAAUAAACCAAAGAAAUCAAACCACUCUUCUGAAAUUUAUGAAAUCUUUAAGCAAGUGAAAGUUAACAUUCCUCUAUUAGAUGCAAUCAAGCAGGUUCCUUUAUAUGCCAAAUUUUUAAAGGACUUGUGCACUGUUAAGAGGAAAUUGAAGGUAAGAAAGAGUGCUUUCAUGGCCGAACAGGUAAGUACAAUUCUGUCUACUAAUAAUAAGUUGAAAUAUAAAGAUCCUGGUUGUCCUACCAUUUCUUGUAUUAUUGGUAACCACAGAAUUGAGCAUGCUUUACUAGAUCUUGGUGCUAGUGUUAAUUUGCUUCCAUAUUCAGUUUAUCUUCAACUUAAUCUUGGUGAGUUAAAAUCAACUUCAACUACACUUUUGCUUGUCGAUAGAUCAGUUAAAGUACCAAAAGGAAUAGUGGAAGAUGUUUUAGUACAAGUUGAUAAAUUUAUUUAUCCUGUGGAUUUUAUUGUCUUGGAAACUGAACCUGUUGUGAAUAAUUACAAACCAAUUCCUGUAAUUUUAGGUCGACCAUUUUUAGCAACUGCUAAUGCUUUGAUUAAUUGUAGGAAUGGUUUAAUGAAUUUAUCCUUUGGGAAUAUGACUUUGGAAUUGAAUGUUUUCAACAUGUGCAGGCAACCUAAUGAAGAAAAUGAGAAUGAAGAUGAUACUGAUGAACAAAAGGAAUUGUUUGAAUCUUGUAUCGAGGAAAAUAUUCAAAAAGGGGAUUUUUCUGAACUUUCAAAUGUUUGUUUAGUUAAUUCAAUUGAGUCAAAUAAGCAACUUGAACUUGAUAUUUCUAAUAUAAAUUCGUUGCUUGAUUCUGUGCAGACUUCACAAAAUUAUGAUGACGAGCCAAAAUUUGAGGAGCUUGGAAGUAUUGAAAAGACAGAACAACAAGAAGCACCUAAAAUGGAAUUGAAACCUUUGCCUGAAGGAUUGAAAUAUGCUUUUCUUGGAGAAGAACAAACUUAUCCUGUUGUGAUUUCUUCUACUUUAACAAGCGACCAAGAAGGUAAGUUACUUACUGUUCUUAAAAAGCAUAAAAAUGCAAUAGGAUGGACUUUAAAUGACAUUAAAGGCAUUAAUCCCUUAAUCUGCACACAUAGAAUUAAUUUGGAAGAAAAUGCUAAAAUAUGUCAACAACCUCAAAGAAGAUUAAACCCACACAUGAAAGAGGUAGUCAAAACAGAAGUCCUUAAAUUACUUGAUGUGGGAAUUAUCUACCCUGUUUCUGAUAGUAAGUGGGUAAGUCCUACACAAGUAGUGCCUAAAAAAUCUGAAAUCACUGUUGUUAAAAAUGAAAAAGGUGAAUUAAUUCCAACACGAAUUACAUCUAGUUGACGCAUGUGCAUUGAUUAUAGAAAAUUAAAUGAAGCCACUAGAAAAGAUCAUUUUCCAUUACCAUUCCUUGACCAAAUCUUAGAAAGAGUAGCAGGACAUCCCUACUACUGUUUUUUAGAUGGAUAUUCAGGUUAUUAUCAAAUUCCUAUAGCACUUGAGGACCAAGAAAAGACCACAUUCACAUGUCCUUUUGGAACAUUUGCAUUUAAAAGAAUGCCAUUCGGGCUUUGUAAUGCUCCUGCAACAUUUCAAAGAUGUAUGUUAAGCAUUUUUUGUGAUAUGGUUGAACAUUGUUUAGAGGUCUUUAUGGAUGAUUUGACUGUGUUUGGGAAUUCUUUUGAUGAUUGCCUUGAUAAUUUGGAGAAAGUUUUAAAAAGAUGUGUUGAAAAAGAACUCGUGUUGAAUUGGGAAAAAUGUCACUACAUGGUUACUUCUGGAAUUGUUUUGGGUCAUGUUGUUUCUAUUAAAGGAAUUGAAGUUGACAAAGCAAAAAUCGAAGUCAUAUCUAAAUUGCCACAACCAAAAACAGUUAGAGAUGUGCGAUCCUUUUUAGGACAUGCAGGAUUUUAUAGGAGGUUUAUAAAAAACUUUAGUGCCAUAUCUAAACCACUUUGUAACCUCUUAUUAAAAGAUGCACCGUUUGAAUGGAAUGAUGAUUGCCAAAAAUCUUUUGAAAAAAUAAUUUGUCUUUUAACAUCUGCACCUAUUAUGCAAUCUCCUGAUUGGUCUUUGCCAUUUGAAUUAAUGUGUGAUGCAAGUGAUUUUGCUGUUGGUGCUGUUUUAGGACAAAGAAGGGAUGGUAAGCCUUUUGUGAUUUAUUAUGCGAGUAAGACUUUAGAUAGUGCUCAAAUGAAUUAUUCUACAACUGAAAAAGAAUUACUUGCUGUGGUAUUUGCAUUAAACAAAUUCCGUUCAUAUUUGCUUGGCUCCAAAUCUGUUGUGUUUACUGACCACGCUGCUGUGAGAUAUUUGAUGAGUAAACAGGAUGCCAAACCGAGGAUAAUUCGUUGGAUUUUGUUACUACAAGAAUUUGACCUUACCAUCAAAGAUAAAAAGGGUGCUGAAAAUGUUGUUGCGGAUCAUCUAUCAAGACUCACAUCCGAAUUCUGCAAUGAUAUAACACCCAUAAAUGAUUCUUUCCCUGAUGAAUUUUUAUUUUCUGUUACUUCAAUGCCAUGGUAUGCUAACAUUGUUAAUUUCCUUGUUACAGGUAAAAUGCCUUUGCAAUGGAAUGCUCAAGAGAAGAAGAAAUUUUUUGUUGAAGUAAAGAAAUUUUAUUGGGAUGACCCUUAUUUGUUCAAAUAUUGCCCAGAUCAAAUUUUUCGGCGAUGUAUUCCUCAUAAUGAGGUAAGUAGUGUCAUUAAUUUUUGUCAUUCUGAAGCAUGUGGUGGUCAUUUUUCUUCAAGAAAAACUAUUGCUAAAAUUUUACAGUGUGGAUUUUAUUGGCCUACCAUGUUUAAAGACACAUAUGAAUUCUGCAAAAGUUGUGAAAAAUGUCAAAAAUUGGGAUCAAUUACAAAAAGAAACAUGAUGCCCUUAAAUCCCAUACUUGAAAUUGAAAUAUUUGACUGUUGGGGAAUUGAUUUCAUGGGUCCAUUUCCAUCAUCUUUUGGAUUUGUGUAUAUAUUAGUUGCAGUUGAUUAUGUCUCAAAAUGGAUUGAAGCAAUUUCUUGUCGAAAUAAUGACAGUAAAACUGUGAUUAAAUUUUUAAGAGAAAACAUUUUAAGUCGAUUUGGAAUCCCUCGAGCCAUUAUCAGUGAUGGAGGUAAGCAUUUUUGUAAUAAGUCAUUUGAGUCUUUAAUGAAGAAAUAUGGAAUUACACAUAAAAUUGCUACCCCUUAUCAUCCUCAAACAAAUGGUCAAGUUGAAUUAGCAAAUAGGGAGAUAAAACAAAUUUUGGAAAAAACGGUUAACCCAAACCGAAAAGAUUGGUCUCUUAGACUUAAUGAUGCACUUUGGGCUUACCGCACUGCAUUUAAAACAUCAUUAGGAAUGUCACCCUAUCGGUUAAUUUAUGGUAAACCUUGUCAUUUACCUGUUGAACUUGAACAUAAAUCACUUUGGGCUAUUAAAGCUUUUAAUUCAAAUUUGGAUGAUGCUGGUAAUGUGCGAAAAUUGCAAUUGAAUGAACUUGAGGAAUUAAGGAAUGAUGCAUAUGAAAAUUCAAGAAUUAUUAAGGCAAGAACAAAAGAAGAUUAAACCCACACAUGAAAGAGGUAGUCAAAACAGAAGUCCUUAAAUUACUUGAUGUGGGAAUUAUCUACCCUAUUUCUGAUAGUAAGUGGGUAAGUCCUACACAAGUAGUGCCUAAAAAAUCUGAAAUCACUGUUGUUAAAAAUGAAAAAGGUGAAUUAAUUCCAACACGAAUUACAUCUAGUUGACGCAUGUGCAUUGAUUAUAGAAAAUUAAAUGAAGCCACUAGAAAAGAUCAUUUUCCAUUACCAUUCCUUGACCAAAUCUUAGAAAGAGUAGCAGGACAUCCCUACUACUGUUUUUUAGAUGGAUAUUCAGGUUAUUAUCAAAUUCCUAUAGCACUUGAGGACCAAGAAAAGACCACAUUCACAUGUCCUUUUGGAACAUUUGCAUUUAAAAGAAUGCCAUUCGGGCUUUGUAAUGCUCCUGCAACAUUUCAAAGAUGUAUGUUAAGCAUUUUUUGUGAUAUGGUUGAACAUUGUUUAGAGGUCUUUAUGGAUGAUUUGACUGUGUUUGGGAAUUCUUUUGAUGAUUGCCUUGAUAAUUUGGAGAAAGUUUUAAAAAGAUGUGUUGAAAAAGAACUCGUGUUGAAUUGGGAAAAAUGUCACUACAUGGUUACUUCUGGAAUUGUUUUGGGUCAUGUUGUUUCUAUUAAAGGAAUUGAAGUUGACAAAGCAAAAAUCGAAGUCAUAUCUAAAUUGCCACAACCAAAAACGGUUAGAGAUGUGCGAUCCUUUUUAGGACAUGCAGGAUUUUAUAGGAGGUUUAUAAAAAACUUUAGUGCCAUAUCUAAACCACUUUGUAACCUCUUAUUAAAAGAUGCACCGUUUGAAUGGAAUGAUGAUUGCCAAAAAUCUUUUGAAAAAAUAAUUUGUCUUUUAACAUCUGCACCUAUUAUGCAAUCUCCUGAUUGGUCUUUGCCAUUUGAAUUAAUGUGUGAUGCAAGUGAUUUUGCUGUUGGUGCUGUUUUAGGACAAAGAAGGGAUGGUAAGCCUUUUGUGAUUUAUUAUGCGAGUAAGACUUUAGAUAGUGCUCAAAUGAAUUAUUCUACAACUGAAAAAGAAUUACUUGCUGUGGUAUUUGCAUUAAACAAAUUCCGUUCAUAUUUGCUUGGCUCCAAAUCUGUUGUGUUUACUGACCACGCUGCUGUGAGAUAUUUGAUGAGUAAACAGGAUGCCAAACCGAGGAUAAUUCGUUGGAUUUUGUUACUACAAGAAUUUGACCUUACCAUCAAAGAUAAAAAGGGUGCUGAAAAUGUUGUUGCGGAUCAUCUAUCAAGACUCACAUCCGAAUUCUGCAAUGAUAUAACACCCAUAAAUGAUUCUUUCCCUGAUGAAUUUUUAUUUUCUGUUACUUCAAUGCCAUGGUAUGCUAACAUUGUUAAUUUCCUUGUUACAGGUAAAAUGCCUUUGCAAUGGAAUGCUCAAGAGAAGAAGAAAUUUUUUGUUGAAGUAAAGAAAUUUUAUUGGGAUGACCCUUAUUUGUUCAAAUAUUGCCCAGAUCAAAUUUUUCGGCGAUGUAUUCCUCAUAAUGAGGUAAGUAGUGUCAUUAAUUUUUGUCAUUCUGAAGCAUGUGGUGGUCAUUUUUCUUCAAGAAAAACUAUUGCUAAAAUUUUACAGUGUGGAUUUUAUUGGCCUACCAUGUUUAAAGACACAUAUGAAUUCUGCAAAAGUUGUGAAAAAUGUCAAAAAUUGGGAUCAAUUACAAAAAGAAACAUGAUGCCCUUAAAUCCCAUACUUGAAAUUGAAAUAUUUGACUGUUGGGGAAUUGAUUUCAUGGGUCCAUUUCCAUCAUCUUUUGGAUUUGUGUAUAUAUUAGUUGCAGUUGAUUAUGUCUCAAAAUGGAUUGAAGCAAUUUCUUGUCGAAAUAAUGACAGUAAAACUGUGAUUAAAUUUUUAAGAGAAAACAUUUUAAGUCGAUUUGGAAUCCCUCGAGCCAUUAUCAGUGAUGGAGGUAAGCAUUUUUGUAAUAAGUCAUUUGAGUCUUUAAUGAAGAAAUAUGGAAUUACACAUAAAAUUGCUACCCCUUAUCAUCCUCAAACAAAUGGUCAAGUUGAAUUAGCAAAUAGGGAGAUAAAACAAAUUUUGGAAAAAACGGUUAACCCAAACCGAAAAGAUUGGUCUCUUAGACUUAAUGAUGCACUUUGGGCUUACCGCACUGCAUUUAAAACAUCAUUAGGAAUGUCACCCUAUCGGUUAAUUUAUGGUAAACCUUGUCAUUUACCUGUUGAACUUGAACAUAAAUCACUUUGGGCUAUUAAAGCUUUUAAUUCAAAUUUGGAUGAUGCUGGUAAUGUGCGAAAAUUGCAAUUGAAUGAACUUGAGGAAUUAAGGAAUGAUGCAUAUGAAAAUUCAAGAAUUAUUAAGGCAAGAACAAAAGCAUUUCAUGAUAAAAGAAUUUUUCGAAAAACAUUUGAGAUUGGUCAAAAAGUGUUGCUUUAUAAUUCUCGUCUUCAUUUAUUUCCAGGAAAGUUAAAGUCAAAAUAGAGUGGCCCAUUUGUUGUAAAAAAUGUAUAUUCAUAUGGGGCCAUAGAAAUUGAGAAUCCAAAUAACGGUGUCACAUUUAAAGUUAAUGGUCAAAGAUUAAAACCAUAUCUGGAACAUCACCCACGUGACGAGGACACCGAAAUUAAUUUGGAUGACCCACCAGUUCUUGAUUAAGUCUUUAAUGAUUUUUUUUUUUUUUACUAUUAUUUUACCGUUUCAUUGUUUGAUUUUUUUUCUUUAGAUUGAUGCACUGUACAUAGUUUUUUUUUAACAUUGUUUUUCUUGUGUAAGCGUGUUUGUUUGACAGUUGUACAUUCUCUCAUCAAUUUUCAUUUUACAUCAUGAGCACCUCAAUGAGAAAAUACCUAUUCGCACAUCUUAAAAGAUUUCGGCGUAUAAAAUUUCACUUAAGAGGCCUAAUACAAAGCUGUAAAUCACAUCCACUUUGGGAUCUGCAACCACCAGAAUUCGUGUCCUAUGUUGAGGAUCUAGAAGGACAACUCAGAACAGUAGAGAGUGGCAUAUAUGAAUUUCAAAUAGAGCUUGAGGUUAACUCAAUGAGAGGACGAAUGUAAGUUCAUUUUCCUUUUAUAUUGUGUGCUUUUUUUUUGCUCGCUUUCACGCUUGAUUUGAUUUUGCAGAUUUGAUUUUGGUGUGUUUUGAUUUAUUUUCCCGUAUAAAUGGCGGAUAACGGUACUCCGUGACUUCUUAAGUCGGUAUCUUCAGUUUCCCACAAUAACUGAAACCCCAAAAUCAAACAUGGAAGAAAUACAACAUAAACUCCAUAAGCAUUUUCCCUCUCUCCCUCAGAAUGCCCUCAGGAAAAUUUACAAAGCUCGUUGUGAACGACUGCGUUUGUUAAUGAUCAAUGGCAUUCUUUCUGACAUUCGUUGGUUAAUUGAAGCAAAGGUCUGAUUAGCAGGUGAGUUUUCUAGUCAAUUUGUUUCUUACAUGCCUGGUUUUGGUAAAAGUACGUUUGCUAAGAAAAGGAGAGCUAAACGACUUGGCUCAAAAUGUCAUAACUGUGUAAGACUUGGUUGCAAACGACCGGAUUGUAAAUCUUUAGGAAUGGUUUCUGAUACUCGUGAAGAUAAAAUUAAAUUCGUUAAAGAUGGCAUGAGUAAAGAAUCGUUGGAUGAUAUCUUACGAUCUCUUGAGACGCAUCGAAGCGGAAUUGUGCAAUGUGAGAUUUACAAUUUGUGGAUACUAUUCCAAAAACAAAGUGCACAGUUAAGUCUUGGGAAUCUGACUCAAAAAGACCCUGUUUGCCAGUUUAUAAGAAAACUGGAUGGGAAGCCGAUCCUCGACCCAUAGAGGGCGUUCAAGCCGUUACUGGACGUAAAACCAGAGGAAGAUGUGAGCCACAAUCACAACUACUAGUAAAUAUCCUUUCACUUCACUGUUAUUUUACUUUACUGUUAUUUUAUCAUUUGAAUUAUUGCAUUUAGCGAUGUGAUUUUGUAUUUAUUUGGUUUCUUUUACUGUUUGCUUUUUCUAAUCAUUACUUUUUUUUUUACUAUUUGUUUUUGAAUUAUUGAGCCACGAGCUUUCCUCGUCAUUUGACAAAUAUGCCAACCCAUUUACAGCUGUUUCUCUUUAUUUAUGUCACCAAGAUCUUUAAAUAUGAGCUCGUUUUUCAAACACUCACAACUUGUUUUUGAAAAAUUAGUCCAAUGGCAGCAUCUUCAAGUAAACAAUUCAAAAAUAUUUGUGUGCUUUCUGGGUUUCACUAUGGAAAGUACAAAGAGUUCGUUCAGGUAGCUGUAGAUCUUGGUCGUGUCAUAGCAGAGAGGAAACUGCAUCUUGUAUAUGGAGGAGGUGAACGAGGGUUAUCAAGACUUGUCUCAGAAGCUGUUUUUACCAGAGGAAGCCAAGUACUCGGCAUUAUCCCAAAACCCAUGAAACCGCUAGUGUGCAUGUCUGGCCCACCAAUUGGAGAAGAAUUAGUGGUAUCAAGUAUGCAAGAGAGAAUAUCUGAAAUGAUGAAUCAUGCUGAUGCUUUUAUUUUCUUGCCAGGAGAUCUUGCAACUUUUGAGGCACUAAUUACAUUUGCAUCUUGGGCCCACUUGAACAUUCAUCAAAAGCCCAUCGGUUUGUUAAAUGUUAAUAAUUUUUAUGACGGCUUGCUAACUUUUAUUAAUCAUGCAAUAAAGAAUCAUUUUGUUCCACAUUCUGUAAAAAAACUCUUUAUCUCUGCUUCUACUGCUAAUGAGUUACUUGAUCUUUUACAAGCUUAUACACCAGAGCCAGAUCCACAGACUGUUGCACUGAAUUGGUCGACUAAUGAUGGUAACGGUAACAGUAGCAGUAAUAAGAAGUGCGAUUUAGAUUUAACUCUCCGUUUGUAAAUAUUUGCUGUUGUAGUGUUCAUGUGAUGUCUUCUACACUCUUUCUAUUUCCUUUUAAAACAUUGAGGACAAUGUCUUUUUCAGGUUGGGGGGAGGGAAUAGUUGAUAAUUGUGGAAUGUCUUAGUCCUGGUUAUGUGUUUACAAAAAAAAAAAAAAAAAAAACAAUAACAAAAUUUUUUUUUUCUGUAAAGACUAACUUAGGACAAAUUUGAGUCGAAGAUGGCAGGAUAUAGAGAAUGUAGUCUCUCUAGAAACGCAUCUUCUUAAUCUUAAGGGUGUUGUUAAAAAAAAAAAAAAAUUGACUUUUUCUUCAUCUUUGUUAUCUACUUUUAAGCUUCUGCAUCAAGUUAAGGUGAGAUCUCCUAUUCUUCUUCUUUUAUUAUUCUCUUUUAUUUUUAUUUAUUAUUAUUAUUAUUUUUUUGCAUAUCUGUAAAAUUAUAAAAUGUUAGGAUAAUGUUUAGAUUAGGUUGUGGGGUGGGGAUAAUUGACGUAUGUUUUAAAUAUGUAUGUUGUUUUUUUCUCUUUUCUCUUUUCUUUUCUUUUCUUUGCCAAAAAAAAAAAAAAAUUGUUUUUUGUCUAGGAUGGCCGUGUAAAGAGUCACGACUUUUGAGACGCAUCCUAAUAGUCUUGUUGUAUUAUAUUUUGAUUUUGAGAUUCAUGGUAAGUUGUUUUUGUUCCCUUUUCUUUGAAUUACUCAAAUUUGUGAACUCUCCACUUGGUUAUUAAGUUAUUUAAUUGUUUACUCAUUUAACAGGUAUUAUUGAAUCAUUCUUCACACACACAUUAUGACACAUACUAGUGGGUUGUAAGUUAAAAUUUUACAGCAUUUAGUUCUUUUGAUUUAUUAGGAAAAGUAUCUAAGGUAGUAGAAAGUGUAUAGUUCCAAAAAAAAAAAAAAAAGUAGAAAAAAAAUUGUUUUUAAUUUUUCUAUAUCUAGAACCCGAGUAAUUAAGUCCGUAGGGGUGUUUCAACACCUAGUGCCCUAAGGUCAACUGGUCUGGGAGUCACUGGCCUAAAGCUCACUACAUGGGUAAUAGAUAUAUUGUUUGUUUAUUAGAAACCCGAGUAAUUAAGUCCGUAGGGGUGCUUUAACACCUAGUGCCCUAAGGGCAACUGGUCUGGGAGUCACUGACCCAAAGCUCGCUACACGGGUUAGAAAUGUAAUAUAUAAAAAAAAAAUGUGUGAAUAAUCUAUUGCCUAAAGAUAUAAUUUCUAAUGAAUUUUAGAACGAAAAUGUUGUUUUUCUUUUAAUGAAGCCCCAUAAGUAUUGUGUUAAUUACUUGAGCACAAAAGAAGGUUUGAUGAUAUUCUGGAUAAUGAGUGAACAUCAAUGUGGUAAAGGAAUUUGGGAGAGUUCAUUUAUUUGGUAAUUUAGAGGAUAGAUGAACAACUAUUAACUUGCAUGUGAAUUUUAUAAAUCUUAAUAUAACGCUUUAAUUGCUAGAGGGCUAGCAAUAAGCUGGUUGGGGGGUGUGAUUAGUAUUAAAAAUUGUUUAAUUAUCAAGCGAUAAUAUGUUAUUUUAUGCUUAUGUUAUAAUUUAUAUUUGUGUUUAUGUAAUAUAUUAUGAAUUAUUAAUUAUGUUUUAAAUAUAUUUAAUUUUGUGUAUUUUUAUGUGUUUAUUAGGAAAAUUAUUAAUUUCACGUACUUCGAGGCUCCAAACAGAUAAACGGAGGUCAAAUUUGGAUUCCGGAGGUCCGAAAACCUUAAGAUCAGUCAAGAUCGGCUUAAAAUUGGGCUUGUGUAAAAAAAGUUGACUUUUCCUGUUGACCGAGCACUGAUUGGAUGAUGAAAUGAGCUUACAAUAGAUAUGAGUGCAUGGGAUAACUGGCAAUCUUGACUAAAUCUCAACCGUUCAUGAUUCAAUGGCCAUGAUUGUGCCACGUGGCAAUGGUUGGUGAAGCAAGUUGGAGGAUCCGAAUCUUUGUAUUCGGGUCGACCCGAUCCACCCAUUAACCCGCCAAAUCUCAACCGUUCUUUGGGCAAAUCGGACGAGUCAAAUGAUGCCAUGUGUGAUGUUGACUUUUGAAGUUUGACCAGCCAUUGGAUCUUGAUCUAAGGGUUGUGAGGAGCACAUGCAUGAAGCCUAUGAUGGACCGCAAAGCACUGGAUUAUGAAUUUAUUUUUCUAUAAAUAGGGCCUCAUUUUUAUGUUUUAAUCAUCUCUCUACAACUCUCUUCUUCUCAAAUUCUCUCCAUCUCCUUGUAAUCUUGAUUUCCAGGUGUGUUUUUAAUAUUUUGUAUAAUUAUUUUCAUUAAUAAAAUUAGUUUUAUUUCCAAUUUUAGUUGUUUUUAUUUCUUUUAAUUAUAAGUAAUUCAAUUUUACUACUUCUUUUUAUUUUAAUUAUGCUUAACUAAAUAAUAUUAGUUAGGGGAAGGUGAAACUCUUAAGAAAUAAAUAUGAUUUAAUCAAAUUCUAUGUUUAAUUUUAUAAAUUAAUUUAUUUUCUAUUUAAUUUUAUACAUGUUUUAUAUUUUGAAAAUUUGAUUUAUUGUAGACAAACAAAUGAAUUUGGCACAAUAAAUUCUUAAGAUCUUAAUAUAAGGCAUGGUGAAAUGGUAUUUUGACUUAUUGUAGACAAAUUAAAUUUUGGCACAAUAAAUACUUAAUCCAUCAUAAAAUUAAAGGGAAAAUAAUAAUAAUUUGUAUAAUUAAUCUUUUGAGUAAUAAAUCUAAAACAAAUUGGCAAAAAGAAUUUAUUAAGUUUUAUUUAUUUCUAAGAGUGGAUCCAUAACCCUAACUAGUUCAAUUCCAUAGUUUCAUUUAAAUUAAGUUGUUUAUAUUCAAGUUUUAAUUUCAAUUUUUAGAUAAAAUAAAAUAAACUAAUUAAAUCUUUUCUCUGUGGAUCGACCUCGGACUCACCGAGUUAUAAUACAACAAGACACUCUUAUACUUGGGAGUUAAAAUUUACUUUUAAGUUGUGUCACUAACUAUAAAGGCUGGGUUACUUUGAGGACUUUUAGAUUCUCCAAAAUUUUUAUCAAGUUUUUCUAUUUUUUUUUUCAUAAUCUGAUAUAAUUUGAUUGAUUUUUAUAUUGUAUUCACCACGCUGGCUGCUUCGAAAAUGUAAUUUUCGAGUUGUUUACCUAAUAAGAUUAUAAAUUCUUGGUGUGGUGAUGGAAUGAUUACAUGGUGUUGUAAGAGUAAUUCUUUCGUUAGUCAUUAUAUAAAUGAACUGACAAAGGAAAUUGACUUCUAAAAGUAUAUAUGCUCCUAUAUGAUUAUAAGACCAUAAUAUAUGGAUACUUAAAAUGUAAUCUUCGAUUUGGAUUAAAGUUUUUAUCCUACAUGUUCCUAAAAUGAUUUGUUCACCAUUUAUUCCUUGUCCUGUUAAGGGUUUAUAAUCUUUCGAAUAUGAUUUUGGAUAAAUCCUUAAAUUAGGUAAGCUAACUCCUGAACCAGUGUCUAUUAAAGCAUGAAACCAUUCUGGCUUAUGCUUAUAAUAUGGUUUAAUCACUUUUAUAUAAACUAUAAAAAGAUUAGACAUAUCUUGAUAUGGUUUGCUUAAUUCCUUCAACUGUUAAGCUUAUUUUUCUAUCUCCUAUAGAAUAAGGAGUAAAAUUCUCAAGAAAGUUCAUCCCUAAUAAUAAAGGACUUAUUUAUGUUUCAUAAUCUGGUUCUAUGAAAAAAGAAAAGAUGAAUUCUAUCCCUUUUAUUCUUAAUAGUAUUUCACUAUAUUGACUUAAUGUCUUUCUUUCUCCAUUAAAUCCUACAUAAGUAUGAGGCUCAAUUAAAAUUUUUCUUUCUAAAUAUUUAAUAAUUUUAGAAUCUACAUAAGAUUUUGCAGCUCCUGUAUCAAGGAUAGCAAAAGUCUCGUGCCAUGAUUUUCCAUUAUUAUAUUCAAUCUUAAUUUUUAGAUUUUGAUUAUCCAGUAUUGCUAAAUUUACUGGACUAUUUGUCCUUUCUCGAAAAUGAGCUCUUAUCAUGACUUGAAUUCCUCCGAUAUGAACAUAUCCAAUUUUAAGUCUAUCACUAGAUUUUAUCUCAUUUAUCUUAUCUUUUAUAUCAGUUUUUAAUAAUAAUGGUAUAUUUGUAUUUCCUCUAGCAUACCUAAUUUCAAUAGGUUCUUCUCUUACAGUAGCACUAAGAUACAUUAUAUUUUUUCUUUUAAUCAUGUUAGCAAUGCCUUGUGCUAACUUAUUAACCGAAGUCAUAGAUGAUUCCAAUCCUUUUUUAUUAUUCUUGAGAUAUUGCUUUUUAUCAAAGAUUAAUUCUCUAUUAAAAGAACCUUGUUCUUCUAACUCUUCAUCUUGAUAUAAAUCUUUAUUUUCUAAUUCUUCUAUACUCAUUCUGAAUCAGAUUCUAAAUCAGAACUUCUCAAAGUUUCAUUAGAAAGAUAAUAUAUGCUAUCAUUUUCACUAAUAUCUUUGCUAUCGGUGAUUAAUUCUAAAUCAUUGAAAUCUUCAAAUAUUUUUAUAUUUGCUUUCUUCGUUUUAGGACAUUCAUUUGCAUAAUGUUCUUCUUCAUUACAUAACUAGCACUUGCAUUUUUUAGGUGCAUUGGUUUUGGAUCUUCUUUUAAAUUUAUUUUUCUUGUAGAAUUUCUUUUUAUAUUUAUUUUUCUUGUAAUAUUUCCUGUUGGCUUUAAAGAAUUUCUUCUUUUUGAAUUUUUUUUCUUGUGUUUAUAGAUUUUAUCUGAACAUCCAAAUCUUGGCGGAUCUUCUAAUUUAGAACAACAUAAUUCUCGAUUUUGCCUUUUCAUAAGUCUUCUAUCUCUUAUUUCAGAACACUAUUCAUUUAUUCUAUUUUGAGCAAAUCUAAUCCUAUUUCGUAAUGUAUAAGUUUCUGUAGUAUCUUUGUAUUCUUUGUUAUAUUCCAACAUAAUCCUUCUACCCCAUGGGUCUGGUAUCUUUACAAAAUAUAGAUCAUGGUAAUAGCAUAUGUUAUCCUCAUCUUUAUCAAAUUCACAUUUAUAAUAUAAUUCUUCGAAGCUACAUGUAUAUUCUUCUAAAUAACAUAUAUUACAUAUUUCAAGCCUUGUUAGCUUCAUUAAAUUUUCUAUCUGUUUUCUUUUUAUUUCUUGUUGAAAAUCAGUUUCCCAAUCUUCUCCCAAGAAUUUUUUUCUUAUUUCAUUUUCGAAUCUAUUUAAAACCUGAUCAACACUUUCGUUUCGAUUAUUAUUUUCUCCAUACAAUAUUCUAUUUUUAUGAUUAUCAUUUAAUCCCAUAAACCAAUGAGAAACAAUUCCUAUAAACGAAAUUUUAAGGAAUUCUAUACUAUUAUCCCUAUCAAUUUUGUGAAAUGCAAAAGCCAUUUUCAUAGAUUUAACCCAAGCGGUAAUCGUUUUAUCUCUAUCUUUGAUACAGUCUAAACCUAACCAUACACCAUCAUGGUUGAUUGGUCUUUCUCUAUAUUCUCCUGGAGUUUUAUGAUCUUUUUUAGGUUUGUUAAUCCUAAAAUAUUGACCUUGUGCUCUUUCCUGAGUUGGUAUUUCUUCCCUAACAUAGGAAGCUCUAUUACUAGUUUCUCCUUGUUAAAAACCGUUUAACUUUGGUUCAUUCAUUUUUAGAUGUUCUAUUCUAUUUUCAAUAUCCUGCAAAUUAAUGACUAUAUCAUCUUCUUCUUCGGAUUCAGAUUCUUUAUCAGAUAUCUCUUGAUUAGGUAAUUCUAUGUUUUCACUUAGCAUUCUUAGACUUAUUAAUUUUUUGUCUUUGUUUAUUUUGUUAAAUAUCGGUUUAGAUGUUGUUAUCAUUUCUUUAUCUUUAAGUUCAUUAUAGUAAAUUAUGGUAUCUUGUAAAAUUUUAUUUUGUUUAUUGAUCUUCUGUACUUCAAUCCUUUUGUAAUUUUCCAUUUAUGCUUAUAGCGAAUUUAUUACCAAUUUUUUCAUCGAUUUUUUCAAUUUUUUGUAGUUGAUUUCAAUCUUGUUGAAUUUAUUUUCAAUUGAACUUUUGUUCACAAUAUUAAAGAUUUCUUGUUUUAAUCUAUCUUGAUCUUCAAUAUUAAAGUCUUUUAUUAAUAGCUUAACAAAAUCAAAUUCUUCACUCAUUCGCUAUCCUAUCAUUUUGACUUGUCUUAUAUUUUCGGCAUCAAAGCUUUUAAUCUCAAGUAUCUUAUUUACACUUUCUAUAUCAUCUAUGGUUAAAUUAGGGUUUCCUAAUUUAUUUAAUAAAUAUAAUGAGAUCCAAUUUAAUUGAUUAUUUCCCCACAUAUCAGAAUCAUUUACUAAAUCAAAUGGUUGAAAUCUUCCAUAAGUAAAUCCUCUAUGCCUAUAGCUAGAAGGUGGUAAUAUGUUGGUUUCAAUAUUUCUAUAUACUUCUCUCCUGAUCCUAAAGAGAAGAAUAGGAUCAAUAUUUAAAUUUCUAAUUUUUAUUAUGAUGAGUUCUCCAAUUUUAAAUUCAUGAACUCUAACUAAAUAAAAUUGUAUUAAUUGUUUAUCAUCCAAUAUAUUAACUUCUGAAUAAUAAUAUUGUUUAUGUUUUGUUAUAUUAUCUUUAACUCCACACUUGUUUAAAAUUCAACACACAGAUGUGCCUCUUUCUUACUAUACUGGAAUCCUCGGUAAACUUUUUGUUUGCGCAAUUUAUGUGAGCAAAUUGUGUCUUCUUUUUCAUAUGUAAAUGUUUUUGAUAUCUUGAUGUGAAGGUAGAAAAUUGCAUGUUUUGAGUUUUUGCAUAUUUGAUGGAAACACAGAACUGUACCUGAAUCUUUCAGAACCCCCUUUUCUUUGAAGUUUGAACACUUUUCUUGAAUGUAUCAACUUUAUUUAUGGGAUAUGUUGCCAAAUUGGCAAAUCUAUUCGUUAUAAAACUUUCCUUUGACAGUUUAAUCUAAGCAGAUGUUAAUUAUGCAAAUAGAGUGUGCCUAAGAUUAGUUUCAUAGAUUUGUCUCCUUCUGUACAGUAAAAACUUUGAGCAUUUUCGCCAUAUUCUGAUCAAUACACUCCAACUAGUUAGUUCUUGAGGCGUUUUAUGGUUUCGUGGAGUGAGGCAAGAUGUAUACGUUUGCAAAUUGGCAAUGUCUUUUGCUUGAUGGGUUGAGAGUUGUGAGUGUCAACAGGAAACAAGACCUCUGUUUUAUGAACUCCAAAAAGUUAUUCUGUUAAAAAGAUCGAGACAGAGGCCAUACUAUAUUUAUUAUUGCUAUAAAAGUGUGAAAAAAUAUUCUUUGUUUAAUAUUCUAAACGAUUGAGCCAUUUAGUUAUGAUACUCUGCUGUAUUGGGGCUAAUAAUCUAAGUCGGUUCAAAGUGGUAAAUUUAUAAAUUGAUAGGUAUGCCUGGUAUGACCGCUUACGUUGGAUUUUAUGAGGUCUGCUCUCCUAAGCAAGGAGAGUGUGUCUUCAUAUCCGCAGCAUCUGGUGCAGUUGGACAGCUUGUGGGGCAGUUUGCAAAGUUAUUGGAUUGCUAUGUCGUCGGAAGUGCUGGAAGCAAAGACAAGGUAUGUAAUCUGUGUGAAGUACUUGAUUGUUUCCAUGUUACUUUCAAACAUUUAAAUUAAAAAGGAAAUUUUCAUAAUCUUGCCUUUUCUAUGAUUUUCAAAACCAAGGUUGAUCUACUGAAGAACAAGUUUGGGUUCGACGAGGCAUUUAACUAUAAAGAAGAAGCUGAUUUGAAUGCAGCAUUGAAAAGGUUAGCAUCAAUAAAUGCCUUAGCUUGAUGCAGCUUGAUGAAGUAUGAUACACAUUUCUGACCAAUAUACUGCGUUCCCUGAUCUCUUACUUGAAAUAUCUUGGUUUGAGAAUCUCAUGCCAAUGCCUUUAACAUUUUGGCAGGUACUUUCCUGAAGGAAUUGAUAUAUAUUUUGAAAACGUUGGUGGAAAAUUGCUUGACGCAGUGCUACCCAACAUGAAAAUCCGUGGUCGAAUUGAUGCAUGCGGUAUGAUCUCACAGUACAAUCUUGACAAGCCUGAAGGUGUGCACAACUUGAUGUAUCUUGUUUCGAAACGGCUUCGAAUGGAAGGAUUCAUUGUUCUCGAUCACUAUCACCUCUAUCCAAAGUUUCUGGAAAUGAUCAUUCCUCACAUCAAAGAAGGGAAGCUUGUAUACGUCGAAGACAUGGCUGAAGGUCUUGAGAGUGCUCCGGCAGCUCUCAUCGGUCUAUUCUCUGGCCAGAAUAUUGGGAAACAAGUGGUUGCUGUUGCUCCUUAAUGAAGAACAAGUUAGUGUUGUCUGUCCUUUUACCCUUUGACACAAAACUUCAAUGUUAAAGAGAGAAUGCUGUUCAUAUAUACUGCUUUAUAAAAUAAUCAAGUGAGUGCAAGUUUCAUGAUAUUUGCUGAAUAAAAUAUUGGAAAUUAAGCAGCUAGCCUAGCUCCUUCUUGUAGUUGCAGUUUGAAUGAUGCUGCUGCACAACUGCUGCCGAAAAAAUCCUUAAUAGAUGAUUAGCAAGGUUUCAAAAAUAAAAAUAAAUGUUUGUGCAAUGUGUCGAAUAUGACAGCCACAAAGAAAGAGCACACAAAUUGAUUGGUUUUAUGUCUUCUCUAGGAGAAAGCUACAAUACAAGAAAUUGUACUGAUGGAGCCAUGGACCAAAUUUCUUAUUUAAACUUUUAAUUUUUUUAUUAAAUUACUUAUGUUAUUAUGGUUUAUAAUUUUAGAAAUUCUUUAGAAAUUAAUACAGAACUAGUAGCAAGUUGAGAAAUCUAUUGAAUGGUCAAGAUAUGAUCAUGUUUAUUGAAUUAAAUUGACAAUCAUCAUUUUGAUAAAUUAUUGUCAGGAUGUUUGAUUCAUGACACGUGUAAGCAACUAAAUGUGCUAAAAAAAAGUUAAUGAGUUGGGCGUGUUUGAGUUAAUGAGUUGGGCUUGUUUGAUAUUCAUUUGUUGUAAUUCUUUUAAUAAUUAUUGGGGAAAAAAAGUUAUAAUAAAAAAAAUUAUAAUUAUAAAAUAAAAAUUAAUAAUAUAUAAUAAAUAAGAUUUUAAAUAAUAAUUUUAAUAAAAUAAUAAAUAUAUUAUAAAUUUUUUAUGAUUAAUUUUUAAAUUACAACAAUAAAUAUUUAACAAACACCUUAAUACCACAACUAACACCACAACUUUUGAAUUAUGAUAGUACAAUCUAAAUGCCACAGGCCUUAAAAAAUAAAAUUACAGUCAAGUUUUAAAACUGUUAAUGAUAUUCACAAAGACUCUGGAACAAUAUUACAGAAGGUGCUCGUCGUGUAAGCAACACAUGGGACCCAACCAAUAAAUGUUUCUGAUCCUCAACUUUCCUCAUCACUGUCCCUGGAAACAAUUCUGAUUUUCUUGUCUGAUUAAACAACUGAGAAACAAUGGCGGCCGACCAAGAAGCUGGGAGCAAUAAGCGGGUGAUUCUAAGCAACUAUGUGACAGGUUUUCCAAAAGAAUCAGACAUGAAGAUAACAAGUUGAUCAAUAAAGCUGAAGGUAGCAGAGGGUGUUUGGGAGAAAUACGUCGACGAGACCAGGCAUGGUGAGCAGAUAUCUGAUGGCAGAGUUCUGCGAACCGGUGUGUUCCGUAAAAGCCUGGUGCGCGGGGGAACAGGAGCAGAAGUAUCCUGCUCGUCCACGAGCACGUCAUCCGCGAGGCCAAUUUCCUGUAAGAGGCAUAAGGUCAUUCCGGCUAGAGGUCGAGAGGCGAGGAGACCCGGUCGACGGCAGUUGGCAAGACAUGCUCCCCAGCCCGAGAAUCUAGGCACGACAGCCACGCUUUCCCCAGAACCGUGGCGUAACACGCAAGAUCUCACAGAACCACGACAGCCACGCUUUCCCCAGAACCGUGGCGUAACACGCAAGAUCUCACAGAACCACGACAGCCACGCUUUCCCCAGAACCGUGGCGUAACACGCAAGAUCCCACGUUUGCCCAUAACGCAGCAGUCAGAGUCCCAUACCGUCUCGAAAAAAGCGGAAAACUGGGAUUCAGGGGAAGCCUAUAAAAAGGUAGCCAACGAAGGUAAAAGGGUUAGCAUUUUUGAGAUUAGAAAAGAAAUGAAAAAAGAAGAGAAAACCACGAAAAAGCCAUAAGAUAUGUGGCAAGCGUUCCCCGAACCUUCAUAUCUGACUUGAGCGUCGGAGGGUUUGCGCCGGGAAAACAACCGGCGUACUCUGACUUGUCUGUGUGCGCAGGAACCUCUGGAGAAGAAGCCUCACGUGGAGACCUCCUGGUCGUGAAGAAGUUGAUCGGGCAGAGAUCCUGGUCGUAGAACGAGGAGAACCGGAAUCCCGCAUCAACAUUUUGGCGCCGUCUGUGGGGACCGGAGCAAAAAGCUUCUGUUGAUAGCAAGAAGAGGGGUGAAGCAAGUGAAAAACAAUGGAGACAGGAGGAAGUAGUGCACAAGGGGGUGAUAGGAAGCUUAACGAUUCCGUGACGCUGAGGGAGAUAGUCAGUGAAGCACGGGAAAAAGUCAUGUUCGACCGGAUGGAACGGAUGGAAAAGCAGAUGGAGACCUUGACAACCAUCCUGCAUGAGCUGCGGAGCGAGCGAAGUAUAAUCCAAGAGGGAAGGGUGAGAGGCGGUGGAGUGGCACCAGGUCCCGAUAGUGCGGGGAGAAGUCAAACCACCGGGAGAUUUGGUGGUGAGAGAGGUAACGUACCUCUGCGGGGAGAAUUUCAUAGAGAAAGAGAGCAGUCCCCGGCAAGACAGACUGGCGACGAGGACGACGGGGUGGUGAAUGCAGAGGAAACAGAGUUGAGGCAACACUUGCAUGAUGUAGAGCAAGAGCGGGAUCAAGUUGCAGCACGUGACCCUGGUUGUGCAGUGCAGCUGGAGGAGGAAGUGCGCAGACUAGCACAGAUAAUCGACGACAUGCAAGGAAGGAACAGAGCCCCUGGUUGGAGGAUAAUGCUGGACGGAGAAUCACCGCUCGCAGCAGAGAUCAUGAGGGCAGUUAUUCCGAGAGAUUUCCGCCUCCCAGACCUCAGAUACUCGGGAAGAACUGAUCCGUUGGUGCACAUAGAGCGCUUCAACGACAUAACUGGGGUACAAGGAUUAUCUCAAUCCCAAAGGUGCAGAGUGUUCCCACUAUCCCUUGAGGGACGUGCACGAGAAUGGUACAGGAAACUUCCUCGGGGCAGCAUUAAAACCUUCGAGCAGAUGUGCCAGGAAUUCGCGGAGCAGUUUAGUGGGGCAAUGGCGCCGGAAGAUGACAUGAUGGAGCUGAAAAGCAUGAAACAGGGGGAGCAAGAAACCCUUCGGGAAUUCAUCAAGAGGUUUCAUCGGGCUGUCCUUGACUUGGGAGCCUUCAACCACCCUCAGGCGUUAAGGGGAUUGAAAGAAGGGGUGAAGAUAGGAAGGCUGUGGUACAAUUUGAGAAGCCCAGCUAUUCAAACGUAUGCAGCCGCAUACGAACAGGCUAAGAGAGACAUCGAGAUUGAAGAGGAGAAGGCUGCACGGAUUAAGACAGACCAGUUAGAAGGGUUGGGGAGGAAAGAGAAGAAAGCAUUACCGGGGAAUGGGCCGAUCAGGAGGAGGGACCACCAGGCCUCCGGUAGUGGAGCAGGAGGUCGGGUAGCCGCUUACCAGCCUCAUCAAAGGCCACCACAGUAUCAGCGCAGCAGGGCGCAACCUCCUCGUUCCCCAGCUAGGGAGCCUUGGAGAAGGCAUGAGUCGGCAUCUGGUGGUCUCCAACAACACCCCCACGGUAUCAGAGCGAGCAGACCAGAAGUACUUCCACCGCCCCCAACUCAGAGCGGGGCAAACAGAGAAAGAGCAGUGCACCUGAUCGACCAGAACCCGGACUAUGGGCGGUACACUUCCUUGAAGAUGUCCCUGGAUGAGGUGUACGAGGCCAUAAAGGAUCGAGGGCUGCUGCACCUCCCUACACCAAUAACAAAGCUACCCAACAGGAGGGAUAGAGGACGUUAUUGUAAGUUCCAUGGCACCCAUGGCCAUACCACAGCAGAGUGUAGAGAUCUCAAGACCCAAGUCGAAGAUUUGGUGAGAAAUCGGUACCUGGACGAGUUUAUGGAUGGGACUUUCCCGAUGGGGGCCACAACAGGUGAAGGGGAGCAGAGUGGCGGAAACGUUAGGCGCGAGCAGCCCGCAGUAAGGGUGAUAGCUGGGGGCCCGACAUUGGCCGGAGAUUCCAACAGAUCGAGAAAAAAUUAUGCUAGGUACGCCAUGACCAGUAAAGAGGUACUCCUCAACACCCCAGCAGCCAAACGAGCAAGGGUCAGGCAAGUGCCAAUCAUGUGGACGGAUGAGGAUGAGGAAGGGAUUCUAUACCCCCACGAGGAUGCUUUAGUCAUCAAGGCUACUGUCGCUAGCAAGAAGUUUGACCGGAUACUGAUUGAUACAGGGAGCUCAGUUGAUGUGUUAUUUAAGUCAACCCUGGAAGAGAUGGGAAUAGCCGACCGGAAGUUGGAAUACACCAAUACCUCCUUGAAGGGGUUCGGAGGAGGGAAGCUGGUCCCUCUGGGCGUGGUCGAGCUGCCUAUCACAAUUGGGAGCUCUCCGACAGAAAGAACAAUGAUACUGGACUUUGUCGUAGUGGAUGAGGAAGGUCCUUACCAGAUGAUCCUAGGUCGGCCAUUUUUAAGGAUGAGCAAAGCGGUGUUGUCCAACCAUUAUCUGGCUCUGAAGUACCGGGUGAACGGGGUAGUAGGAGUGGUACGAGGAGACCAGAGGAUCGCAAGAAGCUGCUACUCCUCGGCAGCAAGGGAAGCAAUGCAGAUAACAUCCCUCGAUACCCGAGUGGAAAACAAGAAGGGCAGACAAGAACCUGUAGAGGAUCUGGAAACAGUAAGCCUGGGACCAGAGAACCCGGGAAAGACGAUCAGAAUCGGGUCGAGACUUAAGGGAGAGCAAAAGCAGGAGUUGGUGAAAUGCUUACAGGCUCAUGCUGAUGUGUUUGCUUGGACACAUGAAGACAUGCCAGGAAUUGACCCUGAGGUAGCAUGUCAUAAGCUGGCAAUAAAGAAAAGUGCUCGGGCAGUAAGGCAGAAGAGGAGGUGCUUCAACCAGGAGAGGUAUGAGGCUAUAAAUGGCGAGGUGGAGAAGCUCUUGAGAGCAGGGUUCAUUCGGGAAGUCAGUUACCCUGAGUGGAUAUCGAAUGUGGUGUUGGUAAAGAAGGCAAACGGCAAGUGGAGGAUGUGUGUGGAUUUCACAGACCUCAAUAAGGCGUGCCCAAAAGACAGCUUCCCUUUACCAAAGAUCGAUCAGCUAGUAGAUUCAACGGCUGGACAUGGUCUGCUUAGCUUCAUGGACGCGUUCUCGGGAUACAACCAGAUCCCCAUGUACGAGCAGGAUGAGGAGAGCACGGCUUUCAUCACUAACCAAGGUUUGUUCUGUUACAGGGUAAUGCCAUUCGGUCUCAAAAAUGCCGGGGCCACCUAUCAAAGGCUGGUGAACAAAGUCUUUAAGCCGUUGAUUGGGAAAACCAUGGAGGUGUACGUGGAUGACAUGAUCACCAAGUCCAAAAUCCCGGAGGAACAUGUCAGACACCUCGAGGAGACAUUCGAGCUUUUGAGGAAGUAUAAGAUGAAGCUCAACCCGGAGAAGUGUGCUUUUGGGGUCGAGUCAGGGAAAUUCCUUGGAUUCAUGGUGAGCCAUAGGGGGAUUGAAGCACAUCCCGAGAAAAUCCAGGCGAUUGUGCAAAUGACGUCUCCCCAUAACCUGAAGGAGAUGCAAAGCCUCACGGGGAGGUUGGCGGCGUUGAGCAGAUUCAUAUCCAAGGCUACAGAUAAGUGUAAGCCAUUCUUUCAAGUGAUGAGGAGGGGAAAGAAAACAGAAUGGACCUCAGAAUGCGAGGAAGCCUUCCGGAACUUGAAGCAAUACUUGCAGCAAGCUCCGCUGCUGUCCACACCGAGGGAUGGGGACAAGUUAUAUCUGUAUUUGGCGGUAUCGGAUCGGGCCGUCAGUUCUGUUCUGGUGAGAGAGGAAGAAGGAGUUCAGUAUCCGAUAUAUUACACCAGCAAGGCCCUGCUCGACGCUGAGACCAGAUACCCACCGUUGGAGAAAUGGGCACUUGCCCUUGUGGUUGCUGCUCGGAAGUUGAGGCCAUAUUUUCAAGCAUUCCCGGUCUUGGUAAUAACAAACCAGCCAUUGCGUCAAACUCUGCACAAGCCAGAUGCCUCUGGUCGGCUCGUCAAGUGGGCUGUAGAGCUGAGCGAGUUCGACAUAGACUAUAAACCCCGCGCAGCGAUAAAAGCCCAGGCAAUGGCCGAUUUCGUAGCUGAAUUCACAGAGCCCGAAGUAUGCUUAGAUCAACAAGAUGCAGAUAUAGGCAAUGACGAAACUCAAGUAUGGCAGAUGUCUGUGGAUGGGUCAUCAGGGGAGCGGGGUUCAGGAGCAGGGAUUGUCUUGGAAGGCCCAGAGGGGGAGGAGAUCUCUUAUACUGUAAAAUUGGAAUUUGCAGCCACGAAUAACCAGGCAGAGUAUGAAGCCUUGAUAGCAGGUCUGGAAUUGGCUAAGGCCGUGAAAGCAGACAGAGUUAAGAUCAGAACUGAUUCCCAGCUGGUUGCGAAUCAUGUCAGUGAAAGAUUCCAACCAAGAGAGGAGAAGAUGGGGCAGUACCUGAAGAUAGUCAGGCAGAUGAUGGGGAAGUUCGAAGCAGUGGAGGUGAUACAAAUCCCCAGGGAGCAGAAUAGUCGAGCAGACAUUUUGGCUAGGAUGGCAGCAGUAGCCGACCCAAAAAUGCCAAAGUCGGUCCCUCUGGAGGUGAAGUCCAGCCCAAGUAUCGAUCAGAAUUUGGGGGUGUUGCAGAUAGAACAAAAAUGCUCGUGGAGGGACCCGAUAAUUUCAUACCUUAGAGACGGGGUAUUACCACCAGAUAAGAUGCGAGCUCGCAAGCUUAGAGCCCAGGCCUCGAGAUACACGAUGAUUGAUGGGGUACUGUAUCGGCGAGGAUAUACACUACCGUUCCUUCAGUGUUUGGAUGAGGACGACGCGGAUUACGUACUGAGAGAAGUACACGAAGGAAUUUGCGGAAAUCAUUCUGGCGGGAGGUCCCUGGCCCAUAAGGUUCUAAGGCAGGGAUAUUUCUGGCCGACAAUGCACCAGGAUGCGCAAGAGAAGACCAGGAGUUGUGUAAGCUGCCAGAGUUUUGUAAAUUUCUCUAACCAACCACCAGAGAAGCUCACCUCCAUGACCUCCCCCUGGCCAUUUGCUCAAUGGGGAAUUGAUCUGAUCGGCCCAUUGCCAAAGGCACGGGGAGCAGCAACAUAUGCAAUAGUUGCUAUAGAUUACUUCACGAAGUGGAUAGAGGUAAAAGCCCUUAGCAGGAUCACAGAGAAGAAAACAACAGACUUCGUAUGGAGAAACCUGGUCUGUCGAUACGGGAUCCCUUAUGCCUUGGUAACGGAUAAUGGCAGGCAGUUCGAUAAUCACAGCUUCAGGGAUUUCUGCCAGAACCUCGGGAUAGAGCUGAAGUAUUGCUCGCCUGCUCACCCUCAAUCGAAUGGACAAGUAGAAGCAGCCAACAAGACCAUCAAGAGGCUUUUGAAAACCAGGCUUGGAGCAAAAAAGGGUGCGUGGGUUGACGAGCUGGCAGGUGUGCUAUGGGCAUCCAGAACAACAAAACCGCAACUGGGGAGACACCGUUCGCUUUGGCUUUCGGACAUGAAGCGGUCGUGCCGGCUGAGAUAGGAACGACCACACACCGGACAAAUCAUUUCAAUGAGCAGGAGAACGACGAGCAGAUAUGUUUGAAUCUUGAUCUGCUAACGGAAAGGAGGGAGCAAGCAGCCGAGCGAUCAGUCAUUUACCAAUAGAGGGUUGCUCGGUAUUAUAACCAGAAGGUGAACAUACGGCAAUUCAGGGUCGGAGACUGGGUACUGAGAAGAGUGAAUCAGAGCACCAAAGAUUCGACUCAAGGAGUGCUGGGACCGAAUUGGGAAGGGCCAUAUAGAGUCAAGCAGAUAGCGGGACCCGGAGCUUACAGGCUGGUUCGCACGGACGGCCACGAGGUGAAACGCCCAUGGAACGCAGCACACCUCCGAAAAUACUUCCAGUAAGACUUGUUCACAUGUGAAAACUAUUUUUGCUCAUGUUCAUUACCGUUUAUCUUUCACGCUUAUUGUCCAAACAAUUUCAUGUAAGUCGAAUCCUGCCAUUAAUGGAACGUCGAGGAAUUUCUUUCACUUGAAACCGAGAAAAUUUCCCAAGGCAUGCAAAGGCUCACCAAGUCUCAAAGCCUGUCUUAUGGUGAGACAGAAGCCAAGCAUGCCAGGAUCUGCUCGGCCACGAGAAGGCAAGCAGAAUCCCAAUCCUCGAAGAAUCCAAGGCACGCAAAGGCUCACUAAGUCUCAAAGCCUGUCUUAUGGCGAGACAGAAGCCAAGCAUGCCAGGAUCUGCUCGGCCACGAGAAGGCAAGCAGAAUCCCAAUCCUCGAAGAAUCCAAGGCAUGCAAAGGCUCACCAAGUCUCAAAGCCUGUCUUAUGGCGAGACAGAAGCCAAGCAUGCCAGGAUCUGCUCGGCCACGAGAAGGCAAGCAGAAUCCCAAUCCUCGAAGAAUCCAAGGCACGCAAAGGCUCACCAAGUCUCAAAGCCUGUCUUAUGGCGAGACAGAAGCCAAGCAUGCCAGGAUCUGCUCGGCCACGAGAAGGCAAGCAGAAUCCCAAUCCUCGAAGAAUCCAAGGCAUGCAAAGGCUCACCAAGUCUCAAAGCCUGUCUUAUGGCGAGGCAGAAGCCAAGCAUGCCAGGAUCUGCUCGGCCACGAGAAGGCAAGCAGAAUCCCAAUCCUCGAAGAAUCCAAGGCAUGCAAAGGCUCGACAAAGUCUCAAAGCCUGUUUUAUGGCGAGACAGAAGCCAAGCAUGCCAGGAUCUGCUCGACCACUAGAAGGCGAGCAGACUCCAAAGCAUUCGAAGAAAUGCCCAAGGCAUGCAAAGGCUCGACAAAGUCUCAAAGCCUGUUUUAUGGCAAGGCAGAAGCCAAGCAUACCAGGAUCUGCUCGACCACGAGAAGGCGAGCAGACUCCAAAGCAUUCGAAGAAAUGCCCAAGGCAUGCAAAGGCUCGACAAAGUUUCAAAGCCUGUUUUAUGGCGAGACAGAAGCCAAGCAUGCCAGGAUCUGCUCGACCACGAGAAGGCGAGCAGACUCCAAAGCAUUCGAAGAAAUGCCCAAGGCAUGCAAAGGCUCGACAAAGUCUCAAAGCCUGUUUUAUGGCGAGACAGAAGCCAAGCAUGCCAGGAUCUGCUCGACCACUAGAAGGCGAGCAGACUCCAAAGCAUUCGAAGAAAUGCCCAAGGCAUGCAAAGGCUCGACAAAGUCUCAAAGCCUAUUUUAUGGCGAGGCAGAAGCCAAGCAUGCCAGGAUCUGCUCGACCACUAGAAGGCGAGCAGACUCCAAAGCAUUCGAAGAAAUGCCCAAGGCAUGCAAAGGCUCGACAAAGUCUCAAAGCCUGUUUUAUGGCGAGACAGAAGCCAAGCAUGCCAGGAUCUGCUCGACCACUAGAAGGCGAGCAGACUCCAAAGCAUUCGAAGAAAUGCCCAAGGCAUGCAAAGGCUCGACAAAGUCUCAAAGCCUGUUUUAUGGCGAGGCAGAAGCCAAGCAUGCCAGGAUCUGCUCGACCACUAGAAGGCGAGCAGACUCCAAAGCAUUCGAAGAAAUGCCUAAGGCAUGCAAAGACUCACCAAGUCUCAAAGCCUGUUUUAUGGCGAGACAGAAGCCAAGCGUGCUAGGAUCUGCUCGACCGCGCGAAGGUGAGUCGAAUCCCAGGCAUUGAAGAAUCUCCAAAGGCAUGUGGCAAAACCAUGAGCCAAGCCGGAACCUGCUCGUCUAGACAGAGACAAGCAGAUUCUCAACCGAAAAUUAAUUCAUAAUUACAACACAAGAAAGUAAUCAAAAACCAUUUUUAUUAAUUUGUUAAUAAUUAACAGAGGGGAUAAUCUUUAUGAACAUUGUUCAUUACAAUACAAGAAAUAUAUCAGGAAGAUGGUGGACCAGUAAGCCCGGCAGCAUCGGUUGGCUGGACCUCCUCAGGUGCAGGAGGGGUAUCACCAGUUGCGUCCGGGGGGGUGCUCGCCUCGCCAACAUCAGCAGGGACUGCAUGAGCAGGAGAGUCUUCCUCCUCAAUCACGAUCGGCUCUACCCCAUCGGCAUCUUCCUUGGCCGCCUCCUCGUCCAUAUGUUGAGCAACACCAGCUGCAAGGUCAUCCAUCUUCAGAUCAGGGUGUUGCUUCCCGAGGACGGCCAUGAUGCAACGAUAGGAAUGCCGAAGUCCCUGGUCGUACUGGUUGUCAGCCUCCCUCUCUAAGUUCUCGACCUGAGCUCGGUGGGAGUCGCGGAGAGAUUCGAGCUGAGCCUCAUACAUAGCCUUCUGCCUUUGCAGAUCCUCCUUGACCGUGGUAAGCUCCUCCUCGAGGGAAAUGGCUUUUGCUUGAGCAAGUGAUUCUUGCUCUAUUAGCUUCAGAUUCUCGAGAUUCAGGUCCUUCUUGCUCACGAGUUUAGUUAACUCAUUGAGGUAGGGGACCAGGUGUUCUGCUCGGCUGUCAGGUAAGCGAGAUCGAGGCCCGACAGGAGGAAAAGAGGAAGCAGGAUCUGUGGCUGCUCCACUAGCUUCCCCGACUUUUACAGGAGCAGGAGGUAAAAUCUUCAAGGGUGGGACCUGCUGCAUGAUGUUGGCCCGCUUUGCAGCAGGGGCAUCCUUACUCUGGUCCCUCUUCGUGGUUGGAGGUCGGGAACGUUUUCGGGUCAGAGCCCCAAUCACAGCGUCCUCCAUCCUAUGGCCAGGAAGUAUCAAGCGAGACUCGAGCAAGUUGUAUGUAGUUAGCAGUUCUCGGCUCGAGCAGGAAUUGGCUAGUACAGCCUCGACCCGUUUGAGCUGGUCAGGUUCAAGCGGGAAGUGGACACCCCAAGAAACUACAACACAAACAGACACUUGGUUAGAGACAAGCCAAUAAAGCAAGAACAAUUAUGGAUGCAAGACAUCUAGAGUGAGCAGGCAACCUGGGACCGUGAAACGGGGUGGGACGUGACAAUCCUUCCCGCCUAUUUGUGCAACUUGACCCCAAGGACCCCCAGCAAAAAAGAAUUUCCUCUUCCAAGCCCCACCACCACCGGUUGGAAGAUCGGUUAUGGGUUUCCGGCUCUUGGUGCUAGAUUGGAAGUAGUACCAGCCGGCAUCUUUGGGGCUGCUCUUUAGCUGGUACAAGUGCUUCACCUCAUCAACCGUGGGCUCGCUUUGGCAACAUUUGUCCCACAAUAUGAACAGACCAGAGAGCACUCUCCACCCAUUGGGAUUCAGCUGACCAGGAGCUAGAUUUAGCCCGUUAAGUAUCUGGGCAAAGUAGGGUUGCAAGGGACACCUCAGCCCGUACUUAAAGCUCUCUAGAAACAGGGUAACGUAUCCCCUAGGAGGCCGGCUGGGAGCAUCCUUCUUUCCUGGGACCUUGAGAGGUAUCUCACCAGGAAUGCUAUACCUAAGCCGGAGGUCAUUGAGCUCGUCAAACAAGGUCGUGCACGUCAUGUAAUCAAUGGCAUAAUCGCGCGACAAGGCUCUGCCUCCUACUGUACCCCGUUCCUCUGGUCGUGAUGUUCCAGAUGGAGACACCUCACCAGAGUCACCUUCCCCAUUCUCACUUAAGGUGUCCUCAGAGCCAGAAGGUCUCUCUUCACCAUUGCUUCCACUCGUGGAGGUUGUUUGGGGGGACAUCCUCCUAGCACUAGUCCCGACACUAAACCUAAUGGGUUCUAAGGGGAUCCCGGGGUCAAAAGCAGAAUCAGUGAGCAGACCAGGCAGGAAACUUAGUUCGUCGUCAUCAAUCUCAACGACUUUCUCCUUACCUUUCGACAUUCCCUAAGCCCUAACCACAACACCACCAACUACUACCCAAACAGAAGAGAAGAGAAAUUAUCUACAACUAUCCGAGACCAAGGAGAUAGAAGAAAUACCUGAAGUAAUGGUUCAGUCGGUGAAAGUCAGAGAUGGAGGCCUUUUAUGCCGGAACUUCUUUGCCGGAGAAACAGAGACGGAGACGGAGUGAAUGAUGAAUAUGCCGUUCGAGAGGAUUUGGUUUUCCUAAUGAGGACGGACUCUUGGGUUGCCAGCAUUUAACGGCGCCGAAUCCCGAGGGUCUCAUAACCGUCGGUUUGAAAUUCAAAUGGAGGGGGGGAUUUCUGCCACGUCACCUCGUCCGCAAUUAAAUGCGACAUGACUCUUGGCAGCCUUUUCCAAUCCCACGCGGGCGAGUACUAACGAGUUUCUACUGCUGGUCCACUACAUUACCCAACACCAGAAACUGGGGGACCGGUGUUUGGGAGAAAUACGUCGACGAGACCAGGCAUGGUGAGCAGAUAUCUGAUGGCAGAGUUCUGCGAACCGGUGUGUUCCGUAAAAGCCUGGUGCGCGGGGGAACAGGAGCAGAAGUAUCCUGCUCGUCCACGAGCACGUCAUCCGCGAGGCCAAUUUCCUGUAAGAGGCAUAAGGUCAUUCCGGCUAGAGGUCGAGAGGCGAGGAGACCCGGUCGACGGCAGUUGGCAAGACAUGCUCCCCAGCCCGAGAAUCUAGGCACGACAGCCACGCUUUCCCCAGAACCGUGGCGUAACACGCAAGAUCUCACAGAACCACGACAGCCACGCUUUCCCCAGAACCGUGGCGUAACACGCAAGAUCUCACAGAACCACGACAGCCACGCUUUCCCCAGAACCGUGGCGUAACACGCAAGAUUCCACAUUUGCCCAUAACGCAGCAGUCAGAGUCCCAUACCGUCUCGAAAAAAGUGGAAAACUGGGAUUCAGGGGAAGCCUAUAAAAAGGUAGCCAACGAAGGUAAAAGGGUUAGCAUUUUUGAGAUUAGAAAAGAAAUGAAAAAAGAAGAGAAAACCACGAAAAAGCCAUAAGAUCUGUGGCAAGCGUUCCCCGAACCUUCAUAUCUGACUUGAGCGUCGGAGGGUUUGCGCCGGGAAAACAACCGGCGUACUCUGACUUGUCUGUGUGCGCAGGAACCUCUGGAGAAGAAGCCUCACUUGGAGACCUCCUGGUCGUGAAGAAGUUGAUCGGGCAGAGAUCCUGGUCGUAGAACGAGGAGAACCGGAAUCCCGCAUCAACAGAGGGUUCAAAAGACACGGUGCUUUUGAAGAAUCUUUAUCUUUAUUGUGAUCCUUACAUGCGAGAGCGUAUGAGCAAGCUUGAUAGACCUUCUUUUGUUGAUUCAUUCCAUUCUGGUGAGGUUAGUUCAUCACGACCUCAACUUAGAUUUUGGGAUGGUUUACGAUUCACUCUCAGUUUAUGCAGAAAAACAAUCUAGUUUUAAUUUGGCAGGGUUUUUC
This 214682-nucleotide long non-coding RNA is filed under the name Citrus maxima (pomelo). RNAcentral's name for it is "long non-coding RNA (CMAX_LNC000709)". The record is from RNAcentral. Lineage: Eukaryota; Viridiplantae; Streptophyta; Magnoliopsida; Sapindales; Rutaceae.